This 329915-nucleotide long non-coding RNA is filed under the name Ananas comosus (pineapple). Its description in RNAcentral is "long non-coding RNA (ACOM_LNC011983)". Lineage: Eukaryota; Viridiplantae; Streptophyta; Magnoliopsida; Poales; Bromeliaceae. The record is from RNAcentral.
CCGCCGACGCCGCCGGUUUUCCCACUAGGUCUAAGCUGGCACAGAUAGAUAGAUAGAAAGGUAGAUAGAAAUACAUUGCUACUAUAUCUACUAUGCCAUCAAAUGCAAAGAAUGCAUGGAACAUCAUCUAGCAAUAAUCUACUAUUUUGCUAGUAUGCUUCAACAGUGUAAUGAAUACAACUACAACAUAGUUAUGCAGUCUACUAUAUCUAAUCAUGGUAUGAAUGCAAUCCACUUAUGCUAUUCAUGUUACGACCUAAUCGACUAGGCCAACUUGCCUAAAAUCUCAAAUCUCAAAGGUCCUAGGCAAAGAGCUACCCCGCCCCUUGCCCGACUCAAUCUCGAAGGUCCUAGGCAAAGAGCUACCCCGCUCCUCGCCCGACUCAAUCUCGCUCUACUAGGUACGAGCUGCCCGCUCAAAUCUCAUAAGUGAAGUAAUAGUAUGUCUCAACAAUAAAAAAAUGAGCUACUACAUAGUGAUGUCUCUACACAUGCUACUAUGUCUCAACAAUAAAGAAAUGAGCUACUACAUAGUGAUGUCUCUACACAUGCUACUAUGUCUCAACAAUCCGAAUGAACGAGCUACUACAUAGUGCGUCGUGCAAUUAUACCUCGAUAGUAUCCAAUCUCAUAGCCAACUCGAAGGUUGCCACCCCGGGGUCAACCCCGACUUACUCUCAAUCUCAUAGGUGAGGAGAAUUUGUACUCGCACACCGAGACCAUCUGCGGGACAACUACGUCUGCCCCUAGUGAAGUACUCCGGAGACUCGUGCCUCGGUGGAGCGACCACCGACAAGCAAAACAGACUAGUGAGUAUGAUCCAAUCCUCACAAGAGGAUACCCUAUCUACCAGGGUAAAUGUGCCUCUGCUGCACAAUACCAAAUGCAUAAUCAAUGCCUCAAAAGCACUAAUGCCAAAUGCAUAAUGUCUACAACAUGACAAUCGGAAAAAUCUACUAUCCCUAGGUUCAAAUGCCAUAGUGUUCCACUACACUAGGUUUGAUGCCACUCGUUUAUGUCAUGAUGUUAUAUGCGUUUUAAUACACUAAAUCGACAUGCCACUCGUCAAUAUUAUAGUGUCUUUAUUACACUAGUCCAAAUGCCACUCGUCUAGGCCAAUUACAUGUCCAAGUUCAUCAUCAUUCUUGUCACUAUAGGAUUCUUGUCACAAGACCCAAUCCUCAUGCAACCUAAGAUCAAGUGUCAAGCCCACAAUGCUACACAACCUAGGUAACAUGCAAGGAAUGGAAAUGUAAUCAUCUACUAAUCCUAUAAUGCACAAUAUAUCAACAUAUAGGAAUAUGAUCAAAAUAUAGAACUUAGACAUAAAAGGAAGCUCAGUUGCUUCGGGAUGGACACCCUCCUACCUUUCAAUGCUACCAAGAGGCUAGGGUUCCGAUUUCGUGAUUUUUGGAAGCUUUCGCCGCAAGCUGCGGCAAUCUGUACCUUAACGGCUUCGUUCUUUAAUAUCUUCGCGUACGCUAGUCGUAUCGCCGAACCGACUUCACCAACGCGUCAGAAAACCUAGCAAUUAGGUCUAUACAUGAUCAAUUUAGAUCAAACCCUCGCACAUUACAAAAUCUCAUUUUUGAGCCCUAACAUGCAAUUACCCCCAAAUAAUCCAAAUUAAACGGAGCAACAUGCUAAGAAUGCUCAUUAGAGGCUACUAGAACACUUAAGGUUAAGGAUUAAGCCAAAUCCCAAAAUUUUACCAAAAUGUGAACGCCGAGACGGAAGCACGCCACUCCAACGGGCGCAUGAAAACUCGAUCCGUUGCUCCCAACGCAUUCGCAAGCUCGUUCUCCGCCAACGCCGCGAAUUCGGGCGAAAGAUCUAGAGAGAUGAGAGAGUUAUUUAGAGAGAGAAAGUGAGGAUUUCUCUCACUACCACCAUGAACGUGUGGUGUUGUGGGGGUGGUGGUGGUUGUGAAGAAGAAGACUAGAAGCUUCUACUUAUAGCCCACACCCCAAUAGUAGCAUACACUAUUUACUUCAGGCAGUUCGAAAUCUGAUAUCUUUCGUCGGAGCUCUCUGAAUAUCCGUUUGAGCUCAAAUUUGAUAGUCAUGUUCGGUUUUGCUUAACUUAACGAAAGAAAUUUUAAUCUUUCAGUUUCGACCCCGUUUGGUCACCGAAAGCUGUACCGAACUGUAAUCUUUAUCAGACAAUUGUCGGAUUUUAUUUUCCACCUUCCGGGUGUCAGAAUGAUAUAAAACUUUAAAUCUAGUCUAAUAAAAAUAAUUCUGACUUAUCCUCCAGUUUUCAUAAUUUUUUGACACUCUGCAUUUUCUACUAAUUUAUCUGUCUCGUUUCACACAGAAAAUUUUAAAUAUUCUGUUUUCGCUCCGAUUUCAGUACAAGUCAUUUCUAACCUAUAUUUCACUUCUCUAAAUUCAAUAAAAAUAGUAUCUCAUACUAUUUUUAUUUAUUUUCACUUUUAUAUUUAAAAUCCGGUAUGUUACAUUCCACCGCAACCUCACCGGAACCAUUUAAAUGUACACCGUAAUUUCAUAAUUUUAAAAGUCCGGUACCCUACAGAAAAUUUGCUACAAUUUGAACUACUUGGUGUAAAUUGCAAUGGAGUAGCAAUAAAUAUUUUUCUUAUAUUUUCUACUGAAAGUUCUUAGAAUGUAAUUAAAAUAAAAUAAAAAAAUUAAUCAUUGUUUAAUAAUCAGUUAGUUCUUUGACCACUUCACUUUAUGAAUAUCUAGAUUAUCUAAACUUUUUGAAAUCCAAACAAUCUUUUGUCAUUACUCAAAAGAAAAAAAAAUUGUUUGCUGGCGAGCCAUUUGCUCUCCGGAUCGGCAAUGAUCGUUUAGAUGGGGAGGGCCCCACCAUACAUAAAAGGUGGGCCCCUCUCAUGGUGCGGUGCUCGCAGUUUCGGCGAGCCAAUUUUGGCGAGCAUAGUAUUGCGCUACUCGAAACGGGGAAAAGUAAAAAUCCAGAAAAUUGAACUCCUUGCAAUGAAAUGAAAUUAUUGGAGUAAAAUUCAAAGUCCUGCAAUUAAGAUAAAUAACGCCCAUGUCAUGGUCCAAAAGAUGACAAAAGCAAUGAGCUAUCAUAAUAAUGAAGAUCAAGAAAAUAAAAAAGUUAAGAAACGAAACGUAACUGUUCAUUUAAAUUUCUCAUAUACUAACCACACUAGUACAAUUUUUUUUUCUUUAAACCUUUAUAUUCCCUUCUUGAAACUUAGGGAUUGUUGGUUUUGCUGUAGCUAUAAAUAAAUAUAGUAAAAUUAGAAAAGCAUGCCGUUAGAGAUACAACAAACAUAUCCUUUCGACAGUAUGUAAUUGAGAGUGAUUUAACUAGAAAAUUUGCUUGAGUGUUCGAAGUUAAAAUUGCAUUCUGUGUCGAGGGUACCUCUAGAAAAAUAAAAAUGUAUCAUUUUUUAUUUAAGAGGUGAAUGUGUAAAUAAAGUUACUCGUUUAGAAGUACUCUUUUCCAUUACUUCUUCUCUAACUACGUAUGAUUUGUGAGCAAUUCGAGAUGUUAUAGUUGAGCCUCCAUCAGUAGGUCCAACUCAGCAUGUUGAUGUAAUUAUACAAUAAACUAAACAAGAUUUUGUAGUCUUAACGUAAUGAUACUUGCAAUGCAACGUGAAAUGCAAGUAACCGAACAAUACGAGCAACCAAACAACCUCUGUAGAGAAAUCAAAGUCACGACUAUUGUAUCCGGAAAUAAUACUGCUGUGCAUUUUCCAAACAUUGUAGUGGUAUGAUAUAUGGCUCGCCUCAUUGGAAGAGUUUUGUGCACAAGGUUGCAGAAAAAUCAGAUCCUUCAAUAUUUUGGAAUUUCAAGGAUUUCGAUUGAUUUAUGAGUUUGUGCACGCAGAGAAAGAGAGCCUCAAUAUACUUUCCAAUAUUGUAUGAGCAAUCGCGUUCCCCCAUCUCUUUCUUUUUUCUUUUUUUUUUUUUUUUUUUUUACCCCCCAAAAGGCAAGCACAUAACCCCUUUUACAAUCCUACCAAUGAUUUUUUUCACUAAGGACUGGGAGUCAUAAUAACAUCCCACCCCUCGCAUAGAUGCCGUAUCAUUGUGGGUAAGGGUGAGGAUGGUUUGAAUUUUAUUUGAUCGAAUCCUAAAUCGUACUUGAUCGGAGCCGGAUUCGAAUGUCAAAUUAGCUAUUCGAUUGGAUUUGGACUUGAAUUCAGUAAUAAUAAUAAACUUUUCUUUGGAUUCGAUUUUGAAUUCGAAUCCAGAUUUUGUUAUCCUUCAUAUGCGAUGCGUUUCGGCUAUAGAUACGGAAGCGGAUUUGAAUAUUAGUGUUCAAAUCUGUUUUCAACAUGUAGGCUGAGCACUGGGAAAAAGAAGAGUGAAUAUACAUAGUGCAAAGGCAUUUCAAAACUUGGCGUUUGGUCUUUAAAAUAAAAAAGUAAACCAAUCAGGGAUUCAGGAGAGCUCCUUAAGUGUAGAGUUUCUUUUUUUUUUUAUAUAUAUAUAUAUAUAAAAAUUUUUAACAUUUCAAUUUUUUUUUUUGAGAAAUAGGUAGCAAGCAACCUACUUCAUUCAUUAAGUAACAUGAAUUUAGCGUACAUAAUGGAAGCAGCUAGGGCCUCCGGACCGAGCCGGCGACAAAAGAAAAACAAAAGCAAAACAAAACAGGAACACUAAGUAGACAUAGAGAGACAGACAAAACGUUACACAGAAAACAUAGAGAACAUAGAGAUUGCAGGAGGGUUCAAAGUGCUUCGUUCCAGGCUCUGAUCAAAGAAGCGACACGUUCGGUAGCCCAGGAAGCGUUAUGAGCCGCGUCGCUAAAGCACAUGCUAUUUCGUUCCGUCCAGACGACCCACCAAAUUGCCACCAAGUGGGUUAAACUUUUCGAUCUUAUUUCGGUCACGCGAUUCUCGGAGAUCUGUAUCCAAAAUCUCCGAACAUCCCCCGCGUCCGAAUCAGCUAGCACAAGGGGUCCAACUUUAUAUCGGAGGUAUCUGACAAAGAUACAGUCAUGGAACAGGUGAUAGCAGGUUUCGGGUAGUAACGCGCAGAACUUGCAAUGCUGGUCCACCGGGAACCCUCGGCGAAUCAAUCUGUCCGCUGUGAGUAAUCUCUUUCGAAGUAGAAUCCAAACAAAAACUUUAUGCUUAAGUUGGAUUUUUAACCCCCAAAGAUGAUCGUACAAAGAAUCUAUCUGUCCUCCAUCAGAGAUAAAAUCGUAAAGGGACUUAACGGUAAAAUUUUGGUUCGCGGUCCAUCGCCAUUUAGGUAUGUCCUGCGUGAUCGAUGGUCUAUAUUGAGCGAGCAGGCUUUUAAGCGUCGUAGUCUGUUGGCGGAACAAAGAAGUGGUGCUAGUCGCCAGGCCUGUGGUUAUGAAGCGCCAUCUCCACUGUCACGCCCCGAGCUCCGCCAAUUUGGUCGGAUUCGGCCACGUCGACAGACCGCCGAACGAACAGAGCUUUCCCUGUACGUUCUAGGCGUCACAAUCUAAACAAUGCAACAGAAGAGGUCCCAACCAGGAACAGUAGCAAGUAUGUAGAUUGCAUAAGUAUCAAAAACAUAAAAGGCUAACUAUGCAAUUAAUAGCAUUCAUCUCACAAUUUUACAUUUAGAAAAUUUCAUAAGUCUUUAAAUUAUUACAUAAGCCCNGGUCCCAACCAGGAACAGUAGCAAGUAUGUAGAUUGCAUAAGUAUCAAAAACAUAAAAGGCUAACUAUGCAAUUAAUAGCAUUCAUCUCACAAUUUUACAUUUAGAAAAUUUCAUAAGUCUUUAAAUUAUUACAUAAGCCCUUAUACAGUUUACAACUUACACAAUUUAUUACAAAUUUGAUACAAGUUUGUUUCUUUCAUUCUGAACUCCGAGCUAGACUGCUUCAAGGGUACUGCUAUCUCUGGUCUCAGUGGUAGGGCGCUAUCUACGAAGCUACGCCCUGUCCUCGCGCCGCCGCGCCGUUCACGUGCAAACCUGUACCCCCAAAAACCACACGGGGGUGAGAACUAUAUAAAUAUAGUUUCUAGUGGCUACGGCCACCCAAGGGAAGAGCUCGACCCACCAGGUCCAAAAGAGGCAACUGCAGGUUAGUAAACUGAACAGAUAGAUAGAUAUUCGAUGAUACAAUUAGUAAAACCAUACCUUGCCUCACGAUAUGCAAUAUGUAAAUCAUGCAACUAUGUAACAAGUAGAUCGACUGAUCCUACUUUAUAUCUUUAACCAUUCUUUACUUGUAGCCGUUCUUUAUUAGCUAUUUACGUUCAUUAGCUAUUCUUUAUUUCUUAUUCUUUAUUCUUUAUCAUAUUGUGGUCACUGGCGAUUCUUUCCUAAGGUUACUUUACCUUAGUCAUCUAGCCAUCCGACUCGGUCUUGAGUCAAUCAAUCGCGGAUAGUCCGCGCACUAUCUAGCUCGAGGUGAAGGAACUCUCACAUGCACCUCAGCUGGCGACAGCUCACCGUACUCCUGUCCUAACCGUCUAGCGGUGAACGGAUCGCACCUCACCCAACAACUGCCUAGGUGUAUGACUUAGCCACCUGGCGGCGAAAUCGUCGCACACGCCAUGACUGUGGUUCAGUCAACAGGCGGCAGGAUCCACAAACUGGCUUAACUAUCUGGCGGCGAAAUCGUCGCACACGCCGAACAAUGGCUCAAGCCCCUGGGCGGCGAAAUCGUCGCACACACCUAAUGCUCCCUUGGUAUCAACCUCGGCGGCGAAAUCGUCGCACACGCCCUAGCCUUGACACCAAGGUUAUCACAGAUCUUGGGAUUCCGGAAUCCAUUUCCACAACUUAAGGGUUUACUCUUUUACCCUAUUUCGACGACCAUUCUAGGUCUAAAUCAAUCAUCUUUAUGUGGUCUCUCUACCACUAUACCCCAUAACUUAGUCCAACUGUACUAAGUGUUACAAUAUGUCACGACCUAGGUAUCCAAUCACACUAGGUUCUAUGUCAUUUCACCUAGAUCUCAACUCUAGGUUUACUUACUUGACCUAUGUCCAAUGACACUAGGUUCAUGUUCGACCUAUGUUUAUACAUUAGGUUCAUGCCACUCGAUCUAUUUAUUAUCCUAGUUAUCCACGCCUAGGAUUAUAAUUUGCACAUUUACAUUUACCUUGUCACCGUCAAGAUUUCUACUCAACUGGAGUUGUUGAUUUAUACCCAAUUCUUAGGGAUUUAACAUAAGGUUCACAGUUUACAUAUUCUCAUUUAUCUUGUUACCAUCGAGGUUUCUAAUCAACUAGAAUUAUCGACAUUCAUAUAGCUUGAACUAUAGUACAUUCACUUUCAUAUAUGUUUAGACAUAGGCAUCAAACGUUCAUAUUCAACUUACAUGACUUUAGUCUAUGUAUCAACAUUCACAUAUCAUUUAUCAUUCAUACGUUCAUGUAUGUUUAGUCAUAUGCAUCUAGCAUUCAUGUUUAUAUAGGCUUAGUCAUAUGCAUCUAGCAUUCAGGUUUAUAUAGGCUUAGUCAUAUGCAUCUAGCAUUCAUAUCCAUAUGCAUCUAGCAUUCACAUUUCUAGGAUAACCAUUAUAGAUCAUCAUAUAUCAACAAUCAUAUAUGCCUACUCAUAUGCAUCUAGCAUUCAUGUUCAUAUAUCGACAAUCAUAUUCAUUUAUGCGUCAAAUGAAAGCAUGUUUUACUUUGGCAUGGAAGUGACCUAAUCACUUUGGUAAAGCACAACCCACCUUUACUUGAUACCGGAAUGCGAGAAAUUCGCUUCUCGCACUUUCCCGAGAACCACGACCUGCUCUUGCGACAAUUGAUGCCGAAAACGUCUUUUUGGCGCUAUCUUUGCGUAGGCUCGACGGAUUGCCGAACCGACUUCGCCAACGAGUUUCUUUUACCCUCAAUUAGGUUUGUACGCGGUCAAUUUCACGUUAGGACCUUUAUCCUGCAAAAGUGCAUUGUCGGGGUCAAAAUAAAACUAUCGAGCAAUUCAACUUUUAUUUCAUUCCAUCUCUCUUUCUUUUCUUUCUUUUCUUUCUUCUCUUUCUUUUCAUUCUUUUCUUUCUUCUCUUUCUUUUCCUUCCUUCUUUCUUUCUUCCUUUCUUUCCUUUCUUUCUUUUCUUUUCUCUGCAGCCCUGCAGCUGAGCUGCUGCUGCGGCUGCUGACUGGCUGCUGCUGCUGCUGACAGCAGCUAGGCUGAGCUGCUGCUGCUGAAGCUGCUGCUGCGCAAGCUGCUGCUCCUGCUGAGCUGCUACUGCUGCUGCGCAAGCUGCUGCUGCUGAAGCUGCUGCUGCUGACUGCUGCUGCUCCUGCUGAGCUGCUACUGCUGAUUGCUAAUGCCACUGCUGCUACAACCAGUAGCAGAGGGAAAAAUGGAAAGGGAGAAGGAAAGGAGAAGAGAAAAACAAUGAAAUUACCUCUUUUCUUCUUCUCUUUUCUCUUCUUCUUCUUCUCUUCUCUUUCUCUCUCUCUACGUAUAGGAGUGAAGAGGGGGGGGAUAAGGAUGGAGGGCUCCCUGGCAGGGGGUUAGUGGAAAUCCACUAAGCCAUAUGAAAAUUACCAUUUUGCCCCUCGACUUAUCCGUUUAGCGACACAGAUCAAAUACCUUUCGCAGGCCCUUCCGAAAGUCCGAUUGAGCUCAAAUUUGACAGGAAUGCUCGUUUUUACUUAACAAGUCCACUGAAAUUUUAACAUUUCAGUUUUGACCCCGUUUGGUCACUGCGAACUGUCCCGAACUAUAAUCUUCAUCAGAUAACUUUCGGAUGCUAUUUCUCUCUCUACAGGUGUCAGAAUAAUAUGAAACUUCAAAGCUAGCCUCAUAAAACCAUUUCUGACAUCUCCGCAAAGUUUCAUAAUUUUCUGACACUGUGCAUUUUCUACUAAUUUCUCAGUCCCGUCCUUUACAGAAAAUUCUAAAUAUUUUAUUUUCGCUCCGAUUUCAACACAAGUCAUUCCAGACUUACAUUUUACACCCUUAAGUCGAAUCAAAUGGUAUCCCACACCAUUUAUAUUACUUUGCUCACUUUAAUUCUUUUAAUCAAAGUUAGCGUCGGAAAUCCGCAAAUUUUCUUUACUUUUUAUUUCGCGCCCAAUUUGCGUCGAAACACUUAUUUAUCAUCAGAAUUCAUUCUCACACGUCCAAAAUCACUAGGGGAAGAUAUUCAACUAGCUCGAGCUUCACUUUGAUCCCCUAGAUCAAAGUUAGCAUCGCAACUCAAGGUUUCCAUAUAUUACAUCCAUCCUCUUUCAUUCCAGCAUUGUGAGACAGUGGCUUCCUGAUUUGCGGUUCUGCAGCAGAAUAUUCUAGGAAAUCGGGUACUAAGUGGGGUUUCUUCAAUCCAAAUGUCCGACCACCACCUGAUAUUUUUUCCGUCACCAAGUACAUAAGAAAGCCCACAUUUGAACACUUUCUGACAGCUCAUCACACUUCUCCACCACUGGGAGUGCGGUCUGAAGGAUCUUCCCUCAUGUAACGGCUUUCUUCUAGUGUAAUAAAGUGCGGUGAUCAACCUACCCCAUAACAGGUGCCUCUCAUUGAAGAAACGCCACCACCAUUUAGCUAAAAGAGCCAUAUUCAUAGCUUCCAUAUCCUUGAUCUCCAGACCCCCUUCUUUCAUGCUUUUACAUAUCGUUUUCCACCCAACGAGACAAGAACCCCCAGAAAUUUUAGAGCACCCUUUCCAAAAGAAAGAUCUUCUAAGAGCUUCAAUGCGAUUCCGUACCCAAUGUGGCACUUUGAAAAUUGCAAAGUGGAAUAACGGAAGAUUCGACAGUACCGAGUUUACCAGGAUGAGUCUCCCCCCAUAAGAGAGGAGUUUUGCUUUCCAUCCAUCAAUACGCGUCUUGAUGUGGUUGACGAUCGGAGUCCAAUCGUCCUUUCAAAGGGAUUUGGUAUGAAGCGGCAACCCCAAGUAGCGACACGGUAGUUUACCUACUCUACACCCCAAUAUAUCUGCGAGUUGUUUAGCUCUGAAUGCGGUGGUUCCCACAUGGAAAUGUUCCGUCUUGUUCAAAUUAAUCUUGAGGCCAGAGGCCCAUGCAAACAUCUUCCAGAUAAACCGUAAGUUACGCAUCGCGGGCUUUUUGGGCUCCGAGAAGAAAAGCGUGUCAUCCGCGUAUUGCAGAAUCACUGUCUGACACUCGGCCGUCGGUCCAAUUCCCUAAAGCAAGUUAUUACCCCUUACUGCUGCGGUGAUCCUAGCCAAACAGUCGGCCACUAAUAUGAAUAGAUAGGGGGAAAGUGGGUCCCCCUGUCUUAGCCCCCUCCUUGUUUUCAUCCACUUUGUCGGCAAGCCGUUCACUAAAAUGGCGAUUUUGGCGUUACAGAUACAUUGUUCAAUCCAGUCCCGCCAUUUGUCACUGAACCCAAGCCACCGUAAAAUACUUUGCAAGAACUUCUAGCUAACUUUGCCGUAGGCCUUCUCAAAAUCCACCUUAACACUGACGCACUCCUUGUUAGUUCUAGCACACCAGUUGAGUAGUUCAGCUGCAGUGACAAAAGAGUCCGCUAGUAGUCGGUCUUUCAGGAAAGCCGAUUGAGAUGAAGAGAUAAUUGAUGGUAACACCGCCGCAAGUCUGUUCGCGAGCACUUUCGAGAUAAUCUUUUGAAUACCGUUUAGGAGGGAAAUUGGUCGAAAAUCGUUAACCUGGCAUGCACCUUCCUUUUUGGGGGUUAAACAUACAUAAGAGUAGUCUGCUGGUGCCGUGCAAAGGUCGGAAUUCUGAAGGUCUAAGAAAAUAUCAAAUAUGUUAUCCUUAACCGUCUCCCAGAAAUAUUGGAAAAAGAUCAGGGGGAAGCCGUCGGGACCUGGUGCCUUGUCACUACCUAGUUGAAAGAUAGCCUUUUUAACUUCAUCCAAGUUAAAGGGUGCCGAGAUGAGAUCCGAUAAGGCGUCCGCUUGAUACAAGUCGGCCCAAUCACCAAAAGAGGAAGGCACAUCUUCGGCCCACCCGAAUAGACGUUUGAAGGAGUGAAAGAAACAUGAUUUCAUUUGAGCUUCGUUUCUAAUUAGUCUGCCAGACUCAUCUUCAAUAAACUGUAUCUCAUUGCUUCGCUUCCGACCAUUGGCAACUGCAUGAAAGAAAUUUGUGUUAUUGUCCCCUUCCUUUAGCCAGUGUUGUUUCGCUCUCGUUUUCCGGAGGAUUUCUUCCUCCUGCAGGAUAAGUUGAAGUUGUGCUUUAAGGUCUACCCGUUUCUCCCGUACAUCCUGUGGCAGUAUGUUUCGUUCCUCUAACAUAUCGAUGUUUCUAAUUUCCUCUUUAAAACACCUCAACGCAUUGGCUAUACUGUGAAAUUUCGUCUUACACCAUUCCUUUAUUCUAAUCCUGCAGUGUCUCAAUUUUGCCAUUAAAGUAAGUAUAGCAGACCUCCCUCCAGAUACUUCAUUCCACCAGAUAGGUACGUUUUGUGAGAAGUCCUCCCUGGUAAGCCAUACUUUCUCAAACCGAAAUCGCCGCGGAGUGGGAUUGGUUCCAGAGGCCAGAAUUAGCGGGGUGUGAUCGGAAGUAAUUCUAGAUAGCGCGGAUACCCUACAGUGCGGGAAGGCUUGAUCCCACUCCGUCGAAACGAGAAAUCUGUCCAGCUUGACUAGGGUUGGUGAACGUUGCAUAUUAGACCAAGUAAAAUUUUGGUUGGAAAUGGGCAGGUCAAUGGCUUCAAGUUUAGAGAUGAGGUCAGAGAACAUAAACAUCGCUUCUGUACUCCACCGAUUUCCGGAGCAUUCUGCCUGGUUUCUAGUGAAGUUGAAAUCCCCGCAUAUCGCCCACUUACUGUUGGAGCAAAUCGCGCCAAGAGCGAGGAGUUCAAAACAGAACUCUUCUUUCCCAUCCCAUGUUGGCGGACCAUAUACAUUUGACAGAUAAAAACUCGUUCCACCGGUGACAUGUUUCAAGUUGAGGGUGAGCGAGUGAUCGCACACCAAAACUUCCGUACACUCGAAAAAUUUUGAGUUCCAACAUGUAAUUAAACCGCCAGAGGCUCCAACAACCGGAAUAAAUUGGCACUUGCCGAAACUCGAACCACAGCAAGAGCGAAGAAAGGAACGAGACGCAGAAUCCACUUUAGAUUCUUGGAUACAGACUACCGAACAAAAGAGUUUAGAGACAGUAGACCUGACACAACGACGCUUACAAGGGUCGUUUAGACCGCGAACAUUCCAAGUAAUAAUAUUAAACAUAGGAAAAGUGACACACACCCAAAAGUCGGCCCAAACACAACUCGAAACUUGCUCCAGAUCAACCCCGCAGCAAAAACUUGUGGAGCUCCUCGGCNAGGACCUUAGGGGAACCGGUCUCUUGACCUCAGGGACCGGUCCCUGAACAUAGAAAAGUUCAGUAAAGUAUUUUUAAAGCAAUCUAAGCCUUCUGAACUUAUUCUAAUCAACUAUCUUCAUCACAAAUGAUCUUUUCUUCAUACCUUAGGUGCCGAACUUUACGAGUGAGUCUUUUCCCUUCAAUUUAGAUCUUUUCUUCAAUCUUCUGCAAUCAACUCUUCAAGACUCCAUUCAACAUUACGAAAGCCGCCAACCUAUAAAAUCCUUAACACUGUCGAGAGAACGCCCUUUUGUGGUAGUUGAAAAUGUCCGAAACACAAAAAGUACUUUGGAGUUGAGUCCGCGAGAGCAAAUGAGGCAAACUGCAUCAUUGGGCUGAUGUUGCUCUCGGGGACCGGUCUCUCCAGGUGAGAGACCGGUUCCCUCGGCUGGGUGUAGCGGGGUUGCUUGGUGCAACCGGUCCCUGGUAGGGAGGGAUCGGUUCCCGAACGUGGUCCCAGCGAGAAUUGCCAAAAAUUGGCUAAGUCUUGAAAAUUGAGCUCUCGCGGACCGGUCUCCCAGGUGAGGACCGGUCUCCUGAGGACCGGUCUCCCGGGGGGAGACCGGUUCCCGAACGCGUGCGCCCGAGGGAAGCUCUCGGGGACCGGUCCCAAGUCGGGGAGACCGGACCCUCCGCGCGAAAACUGCCUUGUGAGGGCAGUGCACAGGAGUGAAAGUUGAGGGGCUUUUAUGCAAAAUGGCUUUUAUUUGAGUGGGCUGAGCCCUCUCUCUCCCUCACACUCAUCUCAUUUCACUUUCUCUCACUCUCUUUCUCUCUUGCUCUCUCUCUCUCUAGAAAAAAAAGGAAAAGAGAAGGAGAAGAAGAAAGAGAAGAAGAAGAAGGAGAAGAAGAAGAAGAAAAAGAAGGAGAACAAGAUAAGGAAGGCUUGGAGCAUCUUCCUCUCUUUCUCUCUUCUCCAUUUGUGUAGCUCUUGAGGUAGGCUACUAAACCCUAGCUUUGUAUACUUAGGGUUUUUGGGUUUUUAUGCUUUGGAAUGGGUCAAAUGGACCCCAAGCAUACUUCUAAGUAGAUCAAUCCCAUAAAUCUAGGGUUUUAUUAGAGGUUUGCUAUAUGUGCAACCUAGGGCUCCAAAUGGGGGCAUUUUGUAAAGUAUGAGAUUGAUCUCAUUUGAGGCCUUGUAAACCUAAUCGAUAGGUGCCCAAACGCGGGGGCGAAGUCAAUUUUGCGAUUCGUCAAGAGGGCUUGGAGCUAUCGGCGAAAUACGGUUGUUUCGGCACUAUCUUGGACCAAGGAAGGCUAAAGCCUUUUCGUAAAACUCACCGAGGAGCGUUUUUGGGGCCUCUACGUUGAUUAAAGGUGGGGGGUGCCAUCCCGAAGCUUUCGAACUCCUUUCUAUGUCUUAGAUUGCAUUUAAUCUCAUCUCUUCAUGUUGCAUUGUAGGAUUGCAUAGUAGCACCAUUCCUUAUGCUUUCUAAAUGAUAACCUAGUGUACUUGGAACGCUUGGUAACUUAGAUAGGUGAGGAUUGGGUCGGAACGUGGAUCCUAUGAUGCGAAAGAAAAGAGAUGUACCCGAUGGGGGUGUUGAUGACAUAGAAAGUAUUGUUAAUGUUAAAGAACAUACAAGUGGCAUCCAAACAUUGAAUGAUGACGAGUGGCAUUAAUGUAGUGUAUACGACACUAGAGGUUUGAGAACCUAGGGAUAGGUGGAUCGCUUAGAAAAUGCCUUGCGGACAAGAACUUAGUAAACCUAAGUAGCCUCACAUUGAGAGGUUGUUGAUGAGUCGAUUGAGACAUUGACCCUAGUGGUAGGGCAUCCUCACUUGGAGAGGACUCGAUUGGGUAUUGACUCUAGUUGAUAGCAUCCUCACUUGGAGAGGAUUGGAUUCGGUUGUUGACCCUAGUGAUAGUGCAUCCUCACUUGGAGAGGAUAGAUCUAGCUCACAGUCUGCGUUUGGGAUGGUAUAGCCAUCCAAUCCCCACAUGGAGGGGAUUGUCGUCGAGUACUCCGAAGUGUCGCGCGACUAGGACCACUUGGAGGUCCAGACCACAUGGAGGUCCGCAGACGGUCCUGGGCUUGGGUGCACUUGGAGCUCCCUCCCCACUUUGGGAUUGAAAGGUAAGUUAUGGGCGAGCCCUAGGGCCUCGCCACAGAUUGGGUAAAUGGAAAUGUUAAAGGUCUAACAAUGUUAUUGAACAUAGCUAUUCGAACAUGGAUCGAAUUUGUUAGCAUGGUAGCAAACCUUUAUUAUAUGAUGCAUGCAUUCAUAUUAAUGAUUAUGGGCAUAAUAGCAUAGUUUUCCUACUAUCGCAUUUACAGCUUUCACAUACAUAUCUAUCUAUCUAUCUAUUUGUUGUUACUUGUGCCCACUUGGACCUAGUGGGGAGAUCGGCAGAGUCGGCGGCCGAGCCCACUGGGAACUAUGGAAGAUAGUUCUCACCCCACUCUAUUUCCAGUGGUAGGUUCAGGGCUGCAGAUAGAGGACCGCGGCAAGGGCAUCGCGCCCGACCAGUGAGACCGUGGUAGUAUAGUAGCUUUCCUUUUUGCAUUAGUUCACCUAUGUAUUGAGAGAGAUCAUUGUAGGUGAGGAUUCAGAGAGCUAUGUAUUUUGAAGAUGAAAAAUGUAUUCAUGUAAAUGAAAUGUUGGAACUAUUGUAAUAGUUAGCAAGUACUCUCUUUAUUUCACUUGUUUUAUCUUGUGGAUCGCUUGCUCCUUGUAUUGUUGGCACUGUUUGUGCCCUUGUGAAUGUGUAUGCUUAGAAUUUAAUUUUCUGGGUAAAUUCUUGUACACAUUCCUGUUGUUGAGCCUUGGGCGAAUAGGGGAGGUGCUGUCCGUUCGGUGGCUCGCCGCCGCGGCCGAACCGUACCAAAUUGGUAGUGGUUUCGGGGCGGAGCGUGACAAGUUUCUUAUAUAGUAUAAAUUAUUGAAUCAAAGGAUUUGUUUAAAUAAAAUUUCUAUCAAAUGAUUUUUAAAUAAAAACAAAAUUUAAAAUCUAGAUAUUUUUAUUUUUCUAACUAGUAUGCUUAAUGAUUUCUUAACUUCAAAACUAAAAGAUUCGAUUCAUAUUAUGAAUCCGUAUCCCUCUGUCAUCCAAAUUGUAUUUGAACUUGUUUCGAUCAAAUAUGAUUGUGAAAUUUAUCAUCCAUUCAAUAUUUGUGUCCGAAUUGGUAUCCGCAUAUCAAAUACAAAACUGUUAAGCUUAUUAGAUCAUUGUCAUCCCUAAUUAAGAUACCACUGUUUGUGUUUGGCAUGUGAGCCAUUUUAUAUCGGACGUUUUUGGGUCAUGCUGGGAAGUAAAAGUCAAAUAUCCUGAUUAUAUCAGGAAAGAGCAGAGCAGAGCAGUGCAAAGGUAGGUGGUUAUUAUCCAUCCAUAUUAUUAUACCGUUUGUACUCACUCCCGCUUAAUUUAUUUAAUUAUUGGUAGUCCACACUGCACAGCAGCGGGCUGCGAGCUGCCAUAUUCAACUCAUUACCCUUUCUCCUUCUUUUAAAAAUAAACAAAACACCUUUUUAUUUCUUCCAAAGAAAAGAAAGUUGAAACAAAUAGGAUGGGAUGGGAUGGGAUGGGGGCAACAUUCAGCACAGAAUCCGUGCCAACUACCGCCCAACCCCCACCCCCACCUCCACCUGCUCCCUUUAAAAAUUCUUCUCAAACAUUAUUAGCUAGCUCUCAGCCACGCUACCUGGAGACGGCACAAGUAUUAAAUAUACAAGAAUAUUAAAGAGUCCAUCACCCGAGGAAGGUCCCAAACACAUUCUCCAUCAAUUAAAUAUAGAAUAUUAAAGAUACUAUCAUCCAGAACUCAGCUUUCAGAUAAACUAAGCUUCUGUAUUUCAAUCUCAUAAUAAAGAGUCCUAAUUUUAUUUCAUUUUCUCUCGUUUAAUUAUAACAUAACUUCUAUUAUGAUGCACGCACCCUUCUCAUUUGAAACAAAACGAAAAUGCCUGCGCCUAAUAUAAUAGGUAGGUCAUUAUUAAAUUCCAGAAAACACACUAAACAAACGAGAGAAAGUAGAGAUAUUUUAGACUAAAAAAAUUACCGGAGUGGCUGGAUAGUUAGGAAAAGAAAAUGAACGCACAAGGAAGUAAUAAACUGAGCGCACUCUGGAAAUGUUGGCUCCCUAAUACAACACAUUCUUCCACUUUGCUUAAGAGCCAUGAAAUUGACACUGCAUCAUACAAUAUUUGUAGCACACUGAACUUUAAUAAAUUAUAAGGUUUCAGUGUCCGAAUAGUGUUUGGUACUAUUCUGGAUGUGUUCGAGGGUCGAGAACUGUGUACCGAUCUAUUACUCGCGUUUUGUGAAGCGAUGUGAGUACUUAGCACCAAAAUAUGCAAACUGCAAGUUUUUGGGUGCUGAAUACCGAUACCACAGUGGGGUACCGAUACCUUGACGUGUGACUGAGAGGGCUGCUCUCGGGUUUGAGCUGAUCUAUUACUCGCGAAUAGUGUUUGGUACUAUUCUGGGUGUGUUCGAGGGUCGAGAACUGUGUACUGAUCUAUUACUCGCGUUUUGUGAAGCGAUCGUGAGUACUUAGCACCAAAAUAUACAAAAUGAAAGUUUUUGGGUGCUGAAUACCGAUACCACAGUGGGGUACCGAUACCUUGACGCGUGACCGAGAAGGCUGCUCUCGGGUUUGAGCUGAGGGGUGCUAAUUAAGUAUCGGUACAGAGUCGUCGGGUACCGGUACUCGGGCCGGAUACUGAUACUGCAUCGAGCUGGUACCGGUACACCGUAGUUUACCCACUUGAUAGAGGCUCGGGUUUUGCAGAUUGGUUGACGGGUACCGGUACUCUCCUUCGAGUACCGGUACACAAUGCAGUCUGACAUUUUAGCUCCUUUAACUCCACCAGUGCUAUUCUAUACGGAGCCUUCGAAACUGGUUCCGCCCCGGGAAUCAAGUCAAUGAUGAACUAGACUUCCCAGUCCGGUGGCAGUCUUGGUAACUCCGCCGGAAAUACAUCCGGGUACUCGCACGCUACUCGAAUAUCCCCCAACUCUGGGUACUCCUUUCGAGCAUUCACUGUCACGCCCCGACACCCGCCUAUUUGGUCGGAUUUGGGCACGCCGACAGACCGCCGAACAGACAGAAUUUCUCCUGUACGUCCUAGGCGUCGCAAUCAAUACAAUUCACGAUGUUCCAACCAAGAACAGAAAUCAACAUACAGAUUGCAUAUGGAAAGGUAUCAACAACAUAAACACAUCUUAUGUUAUUACAAGCAUUCACAUUGAUACAUUUGCUUACAUCUCAAUUACACUUUCUCUCCAACAUACAAUAUGAGUUAUUACAAUUUAUUACACAUUUGAUACAUCUUGUUCUUUUAUUUUCCUCUACCCCUAGGCUAUGCUGACUCGGGGUACCACUAUCUUUGGUCUCUGGGUAGGGUGCUAUCUACGGAGCUACGCCCUUGCCUCGCGCCGCUGCGCCGCUCAUGUGCAAACCUGUAAAACCCUAAAACAACGUGUGGUGAGAACCAACUCCAUGGUUCCCAGUGGGUACAGCCACCCAGGGGAAAAGCUCGACCAAUAGGUCCAAGGAAGCACUGCAACAAGUUAGUCCAAUAACAUAUAACAGAUAUAUAUAUUCGAUAUUGAACUAAAUGUCAUGCCUCGCAAAAUGCAAUAUGCAAUAUCCGUAACUUGAUUCUACUUCAUAUUAUUAACCAUUCUUUACUUGUAGCCGUUCUUUACUUUAUUAGUUAUUCUUUAUCAUUAGCUUUUCUCUAGUCUUUACUUGGUCACAUAACGCUCAUUGGCGAUUCUUUCCUAAGGUUGCUCAUACCUUAGCCAUCUAUGCCACUUGACUCGGUUUUGAGUCAAUCCUCUACGGAUAGUCCGCACACUGGCUGCUCAACAGCCCAUCGCACUCGAUGACUCGGCCACCCGGCGGCGAAAUCGUCGCACACGCACAGCUCUGGCUCAAGUCACCCUGCGGUAUGAUCCACAAACUGGCUCAACCAUCCGGCGACGAAAUCGUCGCACACGCCAUGACAAUGGUUCUUUAGCCCCGGGCAGCGAAAUCGUCGCACACACCCUGCACAACUCUUGGUGUUCCACGAGUCCUGAGAUUCUGGAAUCCAUUUCACAGUACUCAAGGAUUGGUCUUAACCCUAUGAAAUUGACCUAUCUAGGUCCAAGCCUUUACUCAACCUAAGUUAAUACUUUAGGUUCAUUGCUUUCAUACUCUUAGCCUAGGUUUAUUAACACUAGGUCCAUUAUUCUCGUCUACCUAGAUUCACUUGACUCUAGGUUCUUACCUUUACCUCACAACCUAUGUUCUCUAACAUUAGGUUUAAUGCCUUUCUCGUUAACCUAUGUUUAUUAACACUAGGUUCAUUAUCACUCUUGUUCAACCUAGGUUCACGACUCUAGGUUCAAUGCCACUCGAUCUAUAUGUAUACAUAUGUCCUUUACUCCUAGGUUCACGACUCUAGGUUCAAUGCCACUCGAUCUAUAUGUAUACAUAUGUCCCUUACUUAGCAUUCUUACAUUAACUAUAUUCUUAGCAUUAACCACAUGCUUGCAUUUAUUAAUUCUACAUCAUGCUUAUCAUACAAUUACUUAGCAUUCUUACAUUAACAUUUCUACACAUACAACAUGACUAACGUAUGUCAUUUAUUCUAUGCUUUCCACUUAGCAUUAUUUACACUAUGUCAUUACGCACCGUUUGGUAGCCUCACUUAGCAUUCAUCUCAUGCAUACACAUGGUCUAUUAAUAGCUACCAUUAUAUGCAUCAAUAAUAAUACUCAUUCUUAGACAUACAGGCGACCUAGUCGCUUCGGUAAAUACAACCGACCUUAACUCGCGUUUCGAUUGCUUGUCGACACUUGCAAUCGGCCUCCCGCGGCACCCGUAUCCGGCACAGCCCAAUAUUGCAAUUGCACCACAACCGUGCUCCGCUUCGCAGCCCCGAAAAUUAUAGGUCUUCGGUUAUGUGCCACGGUGCUCCAAAUCCAUUUCCACGAUUUUACGACGUCGCCUCGGCCCUCCAGACGGCAACGAAGCCUAAACGUCUGUUUCUUUAAUAACUUCGCAACGGCUCGUCGGAUUGCCGAACCGUCUUCGCCAACGCAUUUGUUUACCUAGCAAUUAGGCUUACGAAGGGUUAAAUGAGAUCAAACCCACCUCCUAGCAAAAAUUGCAUUACAGAGCCCUAGGUUACAACUAUUGUAAGAAAUCAUUAAAUUGAUCCAUGAUUCAAGCAUUAAUCCUCUAUUUAGCAUCAUAGGAUUCCAAAUAAGCCAUUUCUAUGGAUUAUAAACAAAGAUUUGAAGAUCUACCAUGAAAGGGCUCAAGAAGAUCACCUCAAAAUGAGCUCUAAACCAUGGAGAAGAUGAGGAAGAUGACGGCGAUUCACCUCCAAGCUUCAAUCUCCGCCAAUUUCUUUAAUUUUGGGAGAGAUUUAGAGAGAGAAUUUGAAGUUCUCUCUCUCCCUUCCAUGCGUGUGUGCGUGCGUGUGUAUGUGCGGUUUGGGCUGCUGUGGCUGAGCAAGGAGAAGAAGAAAAGGGUUGAGUCCCUUUUUACCAUUUUUCCCCUCAACUAAACACUAUUCAUCACGGGCAGCUUGAAAUCUGAUAAAUUUCGUUGGAGCCCUUCUGAAUGUCCGUUUGAGCUCAAAUUUGACAGGCAUGUUCGGUUUCACUUAAUAAGUCCAAAAAAAUUUUAAUCUUUCAGUUUCGACCCCGUUUGGUCACUGAAAACUGUACCGAACUACAAUCUUUAUCAGAUAGCUUUCGAAUUCUAUUUCUCUCUCUACGGGUGUCAAAAUGGUAUGAAACUUUAAAUCUAGCCCCAUAAAAAUAAUUCUGACAUAUCCGUCAAUUUUCAUAAUUUUCUGACUGUGAGAUCUCUGGUGUUCAGCUGUGGAGGCUUGUCGGCAGCUCUGGAGAGUGUCGGGAUAAGUUCGAGUCGCGUUGGUGUCAAAUAGACGUAAAACGGGCUUCGUGAGACGCGAGGGCAGUUUUUAGCGAAGAAAAUCUGCAAUUUGCUCAUUUACUGCUUGCUGUAACGGUACAGCCAUCGUGGUGUACCGGUACACUACACAGAUUACGCGCAUACUGCUCUCGGGUUGGCUUCCUGUACCGGUACGCGAUCCCGUGUACCGGUACACCAGGGUAGGUGAGAGGGUGUUUUGGUCUUUUUCUACCUCGUUCGUAUCACCCUCCUCUCCCCAGCUUAUUUACAUAUAGAGUAAGGCUGAGAGAGAGAGUUUUGCUCUUGGUUUCCUCCCCUCUCUCUCUAGAACCAAUUGUGGGCAAGGUGGAGCUCGGGUGGAGUUUCGUCGCCGACGUGGUGCCGCGGAGCCGUUCGAGCGCACGUUGUGUCGUCUUGGUGCUAUGAGGAGCUCGGGCGAGCGUAGAUUUCCGUCGUCCUCGACAUUGCGCCGAUUCUUGAGGAUCUAUCGAGGUGAGUGCUCUGUGGAAUUGCCGCGCAUACUUCAGGUAUCAUCAAUUCGAGCUUAAGUGCUGAUUCGCAGGAUUUUGUCGGCGACUGUUAGUAUUUCAGCUCGUUCUCGACGUAGGAGCAUCGGAUUGCGACGAGACUUGGUGCGUUGGAUUCGGGACUUCGAGAGGAAUCCAAGAAGCCCUUACAUGCGAAUUUUGGUGAAGGUUAGCUUGGUCGAAAUCCUUCUCUUCUCUGCUGCUGUGGAUUUUGGGACUGAAUUGGUGGAUUUUGAUCGUAGAGCUUAGAGUUAGCUCGAGUGCUAGACUUGGAGGGUUCCCGUUAAUCCAGCAGGGGUCACUUUGGUUCGAGGCCUUGUUCGCUGCCAGGAGCUAGCUUCUUGAGGUGGGUUACAUUGGUUUUGACUCCUAAGUUCAUAAUCGUCAACAUGUAUAGAUCUCGAUUUUGAUAAUUUAUUCUAGCUCGAAUUCAUGGAUUAUAUGAUAGAAUGCAAAUCUGAAUUUGGAGCAUGUGGUAAUAAAUUAAGUAGAUUAUAUAUGUUGGACUUGGAAACUGAAUUAGGAGAAAACCUGCGAUUUGGACCGUCACUUGAUUAAACUGCCUGAUUUAGCUCUAGGAGCUGUUAUUAUAUUGUACUGUCGCAGUAUUUUCGAGACGAGUACUCCAGGUAGUUUAGAAUGUAUCUACACUCGUGCUAGUUCGCCGAGGGGAUUUUACAGGGUCAUUCAAGCUGUUCCGUACUGUAGGGUGCCGUUGAGAUUGACGGUGGACCCGUUUCGCCUUUUUGGUGUCUGAUUGUGCCGAGGGCACGUUACUUGUUGGUUGUUAGACCAGUUAGAGUCGAUUUCUUGACUUUGGCUUUUCAGAGCCUGUUUGAGCUCGACAGAGAUACGCUGCAUACUCGGUUGGGUAGCGCCCACGAGUGCCACUCCGGAGUCAGGCUUUGUGCUUUCGCGUUGGUGUCGCUCAUGCCAGUUGGACUUGCUCUCCACGGACCAGUUAGUGUGGAUAGAGCUUGAUAGUCGCAACGGGGCAGGGACGGGUGUAUUCACAGUCCCGGGGACGGGUAUGCUUACAGUCCCGAUUGGAUUGGGUCAGAGUUGACAUUUCCUACAGUUGGUUAGUGUAGAGCAUGAUAGUGUAGUGAUCGAUAGCGGUAGAGUUUAUUUCCUGCUUUUCUGACUACUCUUGCUCCCUUCUGUAGACUUAGUGGGUGGACCGAUGUUGUUUUGGGCGGUACCCACUGAGGACUACUUGUUUUUACAGUAGUUCUCACGCCCAGUUGUUACCUAUGUUUUUGCAGAGCCACAGGUUCCGGCUGCUGCACCGUCCGCGGAUCAGGAUCGAGGCAAGGGCGUCGCGAGUUAGAGCCCUACCCGACGUGCUGAGCUAGAGGUGCCCCUACUGCAGGUAGAUGUUUUGUUUCGAGUUUAUGUACAUAGUGGACUUAACUCGCCAGUGCGAGUAGCUUUGUAUUUUGGAUUUGGACUAUGUAUAUGAAACUCAGUUUGUUUAGCUUCUGUUUUCUCUAGCAGCUCUCUACUACUGUUCGUAGUAGUGUUUGAUUUACAGGUACAGCUAUCGCUUCGUAUACAGGGAAAAUUUCUUUGUAUACGGCGGAUUUGUCGGCGUGCCCGGGGAACGUGUAAUCCGGGGCGUGACAGAUUAAGUUGGUAUCAGAGCUUUGCUGUAGGUCGUUGGGACCUAGGAAACCUAAGUUUGGCAAACCUUAGGGAAGCAAGACGUGAGAGGCGUAAUUUUAUUGCGAAAGUCAAUGAUUAUUUGUUCUAACUCCUCUUAGAGCAGAGUGAGUGACUGAAGGAGUUUCUGUUUCGGCCUGAGAAAUUAUGUUGGCUGCAGACGACAUAAUUUUGGAGGGAAACAGGGACCGCCUUCUAGACUUUCGUUUGAUUGGGUCGAGAGUGUUUUGUUGUAUCUGACCCCGAUUUGUUCCUUUCAGCUAUGUAUCGUCGCCGAGGUCGACCGUCGUUGCGGGAGCGUGCCCAGUUGGCGCGGGAUCAUGCUGGACCUUCUGAGAGAUCUGAGCAGAUGGAGCAGAGUACUCGGCAGGAGCAGGGUGACAGACUGGGGGCGAGUGUACCCCCUGUUGUGGAGCCGAGUGCGCGACCAGAGACUAGCGCACCCCCUGAUCUGAGUGCACAGUUAGCUGCCCUGACCGAGGUGACGAGACAGCAGGGGGAGCUAUUGCAGAGGUUGUGUGAGAGGAUAGCUCAGCCACCGAGUUCUGUACCGAGGGCACCAGAGUCGCCAGUUCCACCCCCGACUACUCCAGUGACAGCACCAGCUGCAGCAGUUCCUCCAUCGGCAGCAGUUCCAGUAGCGCCAGUUGCGCCUGCUAGGGGGCCAGUACCGUUGACUGAGGCCGAGCAGGAGCGGUGGACGGAGAGGUUAGCUCGUUUUCGCCGAUUUGAUCCACCGAUCUUCGAUGGCAGAGGCACUGAGGCCUGGAUUGUUGAGGGAUGGGUCAGUGCGAUGGAGAAGUUAUUCGAGGAUCUGUUCGUUCCAGAGUGGGAGCAAGUACCUUUGGGAGUACACUGUCUGUCUGGUGAUGCACAUGAUUGGUGGCGUAGAGCGAGGCGAGACCAGGGACUGGUGGCGACACAGUUGAGGUGGGAUGAGUUCUGUGGAAUGCUGUAUGGGAUGUAUUUCCCCAACAGCAUGAAACAGAAGAUCGAUGAGGACUUGAAGAGGAUCCAGUAGGGUAGCGGACAGUUCAGGAGUAUGUUCGGGAGUUUACUAGGCUCCUGAACUGUGUUUCGUUCGUGGCCAGAGACGAGGCACAUAGGGUCUACUUGUUUGAGCAGGGUUUAAGACCCGACCUUUUCAGGUUCGUUAGGGCGCAGAGGUCGAGAACUUUGGAUGCGUCCAUUGAGCAGGCAUUAUGGGAGGAGAGAGGAGAGGUGUCGCUGCGGGAGAGGGCUCAGGGGCCGGGACAGAGUCAGGACAGGAAGCGCCCAGCUCCAGACGNUUUAUUGCGAAAGUCAAUGAUUAUCUGUUCUAACUCCUCCUAGAGUGGGGUGAGUGACCGAAGGAGUUCCUGUUUUGGCCUGAGAAAUUAUGUUGGCUGCAGACGACAUAAUUUUGGAGGAAAACAGGGACCGCCUUCCAGACUUUCGUUGAUUGGGUCGAGAGUGUGCGUUGUAUCUGACCCCGAUUUGUUCCUUUUAGCUAUGUAUCGUCGCCGAGGUCGACCGUCGUUGCGGGCGCGUGCCCAAUUGGCGCGGGAUCGUGCGGGAUCCCCUGAGAGACCUGAGCAGAUGGAGCAGAGUACUCGACAGGAGCAGGGUGGCAGACCGAAGGCGAGUGCACCCCCUGUUGUGGAGCCGAGUGCGGGACCUGUGGCUAGCGCACCCCGGGAUCUGAGUGCACAGCUGGCUGCCCUGACUGAGGUGACGAGGCAGCAGGGGGAGUUGUUGCAGAGGUUGUGUGAGAGGAUAUCUCAGUCACUUAGUUCAGCACCGAGUGUACCAGAGCAGACUGUUCCACCACCGACUACUCCAGUGACCGUACCAGCUGCAGCAGUUCCUCCGUCGGCAGCAAUUCCAGUAGCGCCAGUUGCGCCGGCUAGGGGGCCAGUACCGUUGACUGAGGCCAAGCAGGAGCGGUGGACGGAGAGAUUAGCCCGUUUUCGUCGAUUUGACCCACCGAUCUUCGAUGGCAGAGGCACUGAGGCCUGGAUUGUUGAGGGAUGGGUCAGUGCGAUGGAGAAGUUAUUCGAGGAUCUGUUCGUUCCAGAGUGGGAGCAAGUACCUUUGGGAGUACACUGUCUGUCUGGUGAUGCACAUGAUUGGUGGCGUAGAGCGAGGCGAGACCAGGGACUGGUGGCGACACAGUUGAGGUGGGAUGAGUUCUGUGGAAUGCUGUAUGGGAUGUAUUUCCCCAACAGCAUGAAACAGAAGAUCGAUGAGGACUUGAAGAGGAUCCAGUAGGGUAGCGGACAGUUCAGGAGUAUGUUCGGGAGUUUACUAGGCUCCUGAACUGUGUUUCGUUCGUGGCCAGAGACGAGGCACAUAGGGUCUACUUGUUUGAGCAGGGUUUAAGACCCGACCUUUUCAGGUUCGUUAGGGCGCAGAGGUCGAGAACUUUGGAUGCGUCCAUUGAGCAGGCAUUAUGGGAGGAGAGAGGAGAGGUGUCGCUGCGGGAGAGGGCUCAGGGGCCGGGACAGAGUCAGGACAGGAAGCGCCCAGCUCCAGACGACGGAGGUCAGUCGAGUAGCAGGCGUCCGCCGAGGCCUCCACGAUCGCAUUCACAGGGUCGUGGGUUUUCGGGGCGUCAGCGGUCCAGGGACUCUCGUCAGAGGGGACAGCCAGAGAGGACGCCGCAGUGUGUGAUCUGCGGAGGACCACACUGGCCCAGACAGUGCGAGCAGAGGGAGGGCCGGUGCUACGGAUGUGGUCAGCCGGGACACAUGAGGGCAGCUUGUCCCCAAGCAGCAUCUCCAGCACCAUCGUCAGCUUCAGCUCCACCAGCACCUCAGCAGACUUACAGAGCAGCGCCGAGUUACCGCCAGGAUGAUAGAUCAUCCAUGCCGCGACAGUGUGAGCGGCGACAGCAGGCUCCGAGUGGCAGAGUCUAUGCAGCACAGGUGGAGGACUCUACGGCAGCCAACCGAGUGGUGGCAGGUAUCACUUUGAUUUUCGGCAUUCGUACUCGUACUCUUUUUGAUACUUGAGCCUCGCAUUCUUUUGUUAGCCGAGCAUUUGUAUUGUUGCAUGGUCUAGAGUUAGGGGCAUUGUCACAGGCACGAGAGGUGCAGAUUCCGGUCCAUGUUUUACAGGUUGCAGAGUGUUGUUGGUCAUGUCCGGUGCAAUUGGAUUCGUGGGUUAUGCCCGCAGACCUGUUGGUGCUAGGGCAGCUGUAGGACUUCGACGUUGUGCUCGAUAUGGAUUGGCUGGCGCGGUACUAUGCUACGAUUGAUUGUGGAGCGAGGACGGUGACGUUCCACGAGCCAGGCCAGGAUGAGUUCACUUUCAGAGGCUGCAGGAGUACGUUGUUUGCCACCUGGAUCUUUUCGGCGAGGCUCGACAGAUGCUGAGUAGCGGGUGUAUUUGUCACGCCCCGAGGUCCCUUUUAAGUUUGGAAAAACAGCGGAAACGACUAAAUUUUUUUUUUGAAGCACCUGAUCCCAGAUAUUGUCAGAUCCGCCACAAAUACAGAGAAUCCACUAUUCACACGGACAGAGUCUCCCCUGUAUUUGCACGGCGUCGCACAAGUACAAAAGUACAAACAGUAUACAACCACAACUAAAUGAAUAUACAGAUAGCUAUACGUUCAUACAUUUACCAUUCACACCGUAGUUUUACAUUCGAUGUUUAAACAAAAGUCCACGAAAAACCUUUUAAAAACUGUUCCAUACGCGAAAACUUUUAUCUUUUAUAAAGGCUACCACGAGGGGUAGAAAACCUUUUAUUUUACCAAAUCCAGAAAUUCUUUUAUUACAUUCAUGAAAGUCCACAUAUUCUAAUGUAAUAAAAAUACUGAACCAUAUAAACUGACUAAGCUAUAACAACAGAAUAGUAGGGAUAAAACUAAACCGAUAAUCUGGGUCGGAAGCUCUAUCGACCGCUACGAACGUACCUCACGGCUCGUCCCAAAACUCAACGUCUGCAACACCUGAAAAAUAGUGGGGGAGGUGAGAACAUGUAAACAUGUCUCCCCUCCCAGUGGGUACCGCAAGCCGAAGAAGGCGAGGAGUACUCACCGGAUCAGGAAGAGAUAAACAACAGUAUGGGUAAGUAAAAUACAGUAGCAACGAUAAUGAACGAAUGAGAUAUAUAUAUGAAAACACAACUACCGCUACUGUAAUGUACAACUGCAAGCAUACAAGGAUAUCAAAACUAUAGUAGCAAGACAACUGUAAAGAAAGAACUAGAAGUAUAUAUGCAACAACCGCUACUAUAGCUAUAUGCGUCAACCGGACGAGAAGUCCAAAAGUACCCAAUCUAAACCGCCGUGUCGGUCUAAGGACCUCAGGCAAAAGCCACUACCUGCUCACACCUGGCAUGUAACCCUAGCACAAAGAGAACACCGCUGGGCUCACGGGUCGGAUGUACGACCACUUUUCCGGAAAAGAACACCCUCCUGCGGGGGAUCAACCCGCUGGUGUACGUGAAAUGCACUCGAGCUGUGGCGAUCAAUGCGGAUAUGAUCAAUAGCCAAAUGUCGGCAACCAGCCAACAAUCACCGCCCCUCGGGGCAAGCCGACCAAUAGGUCAUCAAACUAUAAAGAAGCACAAGAACCGACCACUCAAGUCAACUAGGAUGGAACGACUCUACAUCCUCUCAACUGUAUGUAAGUACUGACUAAUCAAGUCAACUGGGAUGGAACAACUCAACAUCCUACCAAAAGUAUGUAGAUACUGAUCAAUAGGUCAACUACUGUAUAUAUGCAAGAAUCGAUCAACAAGUCAUCUGAGUAUAUAAUCUAGAACUACCGUCGGCCAUGGCCGACAAUCCUACCCCUCAGGGUACACCGACCUCAAAGGUCAUCAAACGACAGAAGUCAAGAAACAGACCAACCCAAUACAUAAUGCAACAACCGACCAACCAGGUCAACAGAUAUAAGAUAAAAGCACCGAUCAACUAGAUCACCGAAACGAAGUACGAGAACCGACCAAUCAGGUCACCGAAACAAAGUACGAGAACCGACCAAUCAGGUCACCGAAACGAAGUACGAGAACCGACCAAUCAGGUCACCGAAACAAAGUACGAGAACCGACCAAUCAGGUCACCGGUAUCACAUAUGGAUAAACUACUCUACUCCUACACAUGAUACUAAGCAUAGAAACAUAUAAGUAGAGUAUAAUAGAAACAACGGGGAUGCAAGCUCAAAAUAUAAUACGAAAAUAGCAACAGAAGAAUAGGGAUAGAAGAAAUAUCACCGAGCGUGCACCACUGUACCGACGUCGGAUCGAAGUACCUACCUGUAUAAAGCUGAAACGGUCUCGCGAAGGCGGAGACGAAGCGACCGGACCUACGAAGGGUCCACCGGGUUAGAGUCUAACCCACAAACACAAUAACACGACCAUUCUCACACAAAUCCCAAAAUCAAAACCCCUCGGAACUCGGUUUCUCAAACGCAACUACCGAACCAGCCGGAAAUCCCGGAAACCGUACCGAAACUCCACCGUCGCUCACCCGUCGUUUCCGAACCCUCGAGAAGACGCGGGUGACCAGCCAACCAGGCUCAACGACGCUACAAUCAACCACGAGGCACCGUCGGAUGAAUUCCGAGUCGAACGCGCGUUCUAUCGGCGGAUUUCACCGAAAACGCUCCGGAAAUGACAGAUAGAUUUCCGCAAGGGCUUGGGGCCUUGGACGAUCAGUCCAGAGGUUACCUUAAGCCUUAACCUGCUGCCAACAGCAGCCACAACGAAGCGAAACGCAAAAGGAUCCCUAAUGGCCCCUGAAAUCACAUUAUUUUAUGUGAUUUCAUGGCUCUAACGGGUCGUACCAGCAAACCAGGGAUCUAUGGAGGUUGCCAUCGCACUUGCUGCAAGGUUUCAGCAUGCCUGAGGCCGUGCUCACCUUUCGGAGCACUGCCGGCAGCAACCACGCGCGCACGAGCGACGCGAACCUCAGCGAAUCAGUGCGCAUACUGUGGAAAACAGCCUUUUCUCACUAACCAGGGCACCGUUAACCUAAAUGGAGGCGAGCAUCGUGUUCAGCACGAGCCCACGAUCACCGUGCUCACCUCCCGAGGUGCCAGGGAGUCAUCGGAUCGCCGAAAAAGUGACCAGAACGCAAAACAGCAGUGCUGGAACCAAAGUAAACUACUCACCGGAGCUGUGGGAGCUAGGGAUGGCCGCCGGCGAUCGGGCGGCGGGCGCUCCGGCCGGUGAUGGCAGCAGCAAGUCGGGGAGGUCCGGGGGAGGUGCUGGACGGCGGCGGGCAGCAGCCGGUGGCGCGGCGGCGGAGAUCGGGCCCGCACACUUCCUCUCGGGCUGGAGCUUGCCUGCGGCGAGGCGGCGACCGGGGGAGGUCGGGGCGGCGAUGAUCCGGUGCCUGAGACCAAGGGGGAGGUGGUGCUCACCUCAGAGGGCAACGGCAGCGCUCGGGAGUGGCACGGCUCCAAGGUCGGCCCGCACAGGACCCGAGCGGCGGCGGGAGACCUUGGCGGCGGCCGGCGGGGCGCGGGGACGGCCGGGGACGCGCGCGCCGGGUUGCUGGAGGUCGCCGGGGUCCUCAGGGGGGCUUGGCCGCAGGGGAAGUGCGGUCCCAAAGCCCGCAACCUGAGGUCGGCCUGGCUCGGGUCUGGGCAGACCCGGCUGGCUAUAGCCUCUUCCGGCGGCCCCGGGGCUGCUCGGCGGCGGCCGGAACACGAGCACGGGCAGGACAGGGAGGUGCUGGGAUGGCAGGGGCGGCUGGGGUUAGCUGGGGGGUUCUAGGGUUAGGGUUAGCUCAAGAAACCCUAGGACAAACUAUAUAUAGGUGCGGAAAACUCGCGGAAAACCCCCUCGAAAGGAAUCUAAUUAAUCCGAGCUCUCAACCAGCAGUCGCAUAACGCACGAUAGUCCCUCUAAGAUCGAAAACUCGCAAUUCGACGCAUAAAAUAUAGGGCCUUUUCGCGAAUAAUCCAAUUACUCAAAUCAGCCCCUUCGCGGACUUUUCGCGAUUCCCGAAGAUCCGUCCGUCGGAUUUCCGAUCGGAUCGCACCAGCGCGAUCAGCACGACAGAGGCAUCGAAUCUAGCAUUUCGUUUCGCCCGAAAAGGUUCCCGAUUUGCGACAAAACCAUCCCUCCUAGGUUCCACCAAAAACCACAUAUAGACAACUAUAUGUAAAAACCAUUAAACCCCUUUUUCUCGAAAUCCGUGCAUCCAAAUCCAAUUCCGUCAGUGCCAUUGGGUCCAGGAUAGUUGAGCGGUUGAAAACGAGCUAUUGGAAUGCUAUAUUCGGAGUCCGAUACGCGUCGAAAGUCCCCUUUACUCCGCGGCCUCUCCGGAAAACCGGAGUUACUAUUCACUUAAGUCAGACUUCCGGGUCGCGUAACUUCUCCGUUUUAACUCGUUUUCUCCUGAAAUUUGACAAGUACACUUAUAAUUAUAUUACACACAAGAACAUCGUCAAACAAAAGGGUUUAAUCAAUAAAUCAAAAAUCUCAGUUAUUACAGUAUUGCUUUCUUAGCGACAGUUGUGGAGGUACCUACGGCGGCGCCGGGACUUGAGGACAUUCCAGUAGUCCGCGAGUUUCCCGAUGUGUUUUCCCCUGAGUUGACGACGUUGCCGCCGGAGAGGGAGAUUGAGUUUGUGAUUGAUGUAGUUCCUGGAACUGCACCAAUCUCAAAGGUACCUUAUAGAAUGGCGCCGGCAGAGCUGAGAGAGCUGAAGGCACAGCUUCAGGAUUUGGUGGAUAGAGGGUUUGUGAGACCCAGUGUGUCGCCUUGGGGAGCGCCGGUGUUGUUUGUAAAGAAGAAGGAUGGUUCGCUCAGGUUAUGUGUGGAUUACCGGGAGCUGAAUAAAGUGACCAUCAAGAAUAAGUACCCCUUGCCGCGCAUAGAUGAUUUGUUUGAUCAACUGCAGGGAUCUUAUGUUUUCUCGAAAAUUGAUCUCCAGUCAAGUUACCACCAACUGAGGGUGAGGGCCGAGGAUGUUCCCAAGACGGCUUUUCGGACUCGGUACGGGCAUUAUGAGUUCACGGUGAUACCUUUUGGAUUGACGAAUGCCCCUGCCGCAUUUAUGGAUUUGAUGAACAGAGUGCUCAAGCCGUUCUUGGAUAGAUUUAUGGUAGUCUUCAUGGACGAUAUCUUGAUACACUCCCGGAGUGAUACUGAGCAUGAGGAGCACUUGAGGAUUGUGCUACAGCUUCUGCGAGAGAAGAAGCUGUAUGCCAAGUUGAAGAAGUGCGAGUUCUGGCUACGGGAGGUUGCUUUCUUGGGCCACAUGAUUUCAACCGAGGGCGUAGCAGUGGACCCGAAGAAGAUUGAGGCAAUUCGAGAUUGGCCUAGACCGACGACGGUUACUGAGGUACGGAGCUUCCUGGGACUCGCAGGAUAUUACCGUCGGUUCGUGGAAGGCUUGCGAAGCUUUCCACACCCCUUACAAGCUUGACUCGGAAGGGGAUUCGUUUUGUCUGGAGCGACGACUAUCAGAGGAGCUUUGACGAGUUGAGACUGAGGUUGACAUCGGCUCCUAUCCUUGCCCUUCCUGUUAUGGGUGAAGGAUUUGUGAUCUACAGUGAUGCAUCGCACAGUGGACUUGGUUGCGUGCUGAUGCAGCAUGGUAGGGUGAUUGCUUAUGCUUCACGGCAAUUAAAGGAUUAUGAGAAGAAUUACCCUACGCAUGACUUGGAGCUUGCCGUAGUGGUUUUUGCUUUGAAGCUCUGGCGGCAUUAUUUGUACGGCGAGCACUGCGAGGUCUUCACCGGUCAUAAAAGUCUCAAGUAUCUGUUCACACAGAGGGAGCUGAAUCUGAGACAGCGCCGGUGGUUGGAGUUACUGAAGGACUAUGACAUUAGUAUUCAGUAUCAUCCUGGCAAGGCGAAUGUGGUGGCAGAUGCGUUGAGCAGGAAGUCAGUGCAGAGCCUGAGUUUGAGGAUUACUGAGCAGAGGCCCCUACUCGAGGAGCUACAGCGGCUGGGACUCGAGAUAGUACCCCCUGGGUCUACGGCGAGGCUGACAUCUCUUGUGUUGCAGCCCACUCUGUUGGAUAGGAUCCGUGAGAAACAGAGUGGAGAUCCGUAUUUGUUGAGGAUUAGAGAGCAGCUAGACAGGGGGAAGGAUGAGGGAUUUGCUUUGGACAGUGCGGGAGUACUUAGGUACAGGGACCGACUGUGUGUACCUGUGGAUCCUGAGAUUCGAGCGGAUAUUCUGAGAGAGGCUCAUUGUUCUCCUUAUACAGUUCACCCUGGGGGAACCAAGAUGUAUAAGGAUCUUAAGGCACGGUUCUGGUGGCCUGGAAUGAAGAGGGACAUUGGCAGAUAUGUGGCUCAGUGUUUGACUUGCCAACAGGUAAAGGCCGAGCAUCAGAUGUCUGCUGGCAAGCUUCAAAGUCUGCCAGUGCCCGAGUGGAAGUGGGAGUACAUCACUAUGGACUUUGUCGUUGGAUUGCCUAGAGCGCAGGGUGGCUACGACGCGAUUUGGGUGAUAGUGGACAGACUGACCAAGUCUGCUCACUUCCUACCGGUUCAGACUACCUGGUCCAGAGAGAGACUCGCGCAGCUAUACUUAGAUGAGAUCGUUAGGCUGCACGGCGUGCCAGUGUCGAUUAUAUCAGACAGAGACCCGAGGUUUGUAUCACAUUUCUGGAGGAGUUUGCAGACAACCUUGGGUACACAGCUGCAUUUUAGCACGGCGUUCCACCCACAGACAGAUGGUCAGUCAGAGAGAACCAUACAGACUCUAGAGGACAUGCUGAGGGCAUGCGUCCUGGAUUUUGGAGGAGGGUGAUAUCGACAUGUGAGACUGGUUGAGUUUGCGUACAACAACAGCUAUCAAACAAGCAUUCAGAUGGCUCCGUUUGAGGCGUUGUAUGGACGCAGAUGUCGAUCCCCCCUGUUUUGGAGUGAUGUGGGUGAGCGGAGGACACUUGGACUAGAGAUUUUACUUGAGGCUGAGGAUAAGGUGAGAGUCGUUCGACGACACCUUUUGACAGCACAGAGCCGACAGAGGAGCUACGCCGAUACCAGGAGACGAGACUUAGAGUUUCAGGUUAGAGAUCUUGUUUUUCUCAAAGUCUCGCCGUCUAGAGGGAUACGCCGCUUUGGAGUACGUGGAAAGCUUAGUCCACGGUUUGUUGGCCCUUUCGAGGUAUUGGAGCGUAUCGGACCGGUGGCUUACAGGAUAGCUCUACCCCCGCGACUUGCUGGCAUCCAUGAUGUUUUCCACGUCUCAGCACUGAGGAGAUAUGUUUUUGACCCCUCUCACGUGAUUGACUUCACUCCACUCGAGAUUGGCGAGGAUCUGAGAUACGAGGAGCGACCGUUGCGGAUUCUUGCUCGAGAGACGAAAGAAUUGCGCAACCGGGUCAUCCCGUAUGUGAAAGUGCAGUGGAGGCGUCAUGAUGAGCGGGAGGCGACUUGGGAGCCUAAAACGGUGAUGAGGGAAGCCUAUCCCUAUUUGUUUGAUGCCUGAGCAGAGGUAUGUUUCAGUUUCGUGGACGAAACUUUUCGUAGUGGGGGAGGAUGUGAGAUCCCUGGUGUUCAGCUGUGGAGGCUUAUCGGCAGCUCUGGAGAGUGUCGGGACAAGUUCGAGUCGCGUUGGCGUCAAAUAGACGUAAAACGGGCUUCGUGCGACGCGAGGGCAGUUUUUAGCGAAGAAAAUCUGCAAUUUGCUCAUUUACUGCUUGCUGUACUGGUACAGCCAUCGUGGUGUACCGGUACACUACACAGAUUACGCGCAUACUGCUCUCGGGUUGGCUUCCUGUACCGGUAAGCAAUCCCGUGUACCGAUACACCAGGGUAGGUGAGAGGGUGUUUUGGUCUUUUUCUACCUCGUUCGUAUCACCCUCCUCUCCCCAGCUUAUUUACAUGUAAAGUGAGGCUGAGAGAGAGAGUUUUGCUCUUGGUUUCCUCCCUUUCUCUCUCUAAAGCCGAUUGUGGGCAAGGUGGAGCUCGGGUGGAGUUUCGUCGCCGACGUGGUGCCGCGGAGCCGUUCGAGCGCACGUUGUGUCGUCUUGGUGCUGUGAGGAGCUCGGGCGAGCGUAGAUUUCCGUCGUCCUCGACAUUGCGCCGAUUCUUGAGGAUCUAUCGAGGUGAGUGCUCUGUGGAAUUGCUGCGCAUACUUCGGGUAUCAUCAAUUCGAGCUUAAGUGCUGAUUCGCAGGAUUUUGUCGUCGACUGUUAGUAUUUCAGCUCGUUCUCGACGUAGGAGCAUCGGAUUGCGACGAUACUUGGUGCAUUGGAUUCGGGACUUCGAGAGGAAUCCACGAAGCCCUUACUUGCGAAUUUUGGUGAAGGUUAGCUUGGUCGAAAUCCUUCUCUUCUCUGCUGCUGUGGAUUUUGGGACUGAAUUGGUGGAUUUUGAUCGUAGAGCUUGGAGUUAGCUCGAGUGCUAGACUUGGAGGGUUCCCGUUGAUCCAGCAGGGGUCACUUUGGUUCGAGGCCUUGUUCGCUGCCAGGAGCUAGCUUCUUGAGGUGGGUUACAUCGGUUUUGACUCCUAAGUUCAUAAUCGUCAACAUGUAUAGAUCUCGAUUUUGAUAAUUUAUUCUAGCUCGAAUUCAUGGAUUAUAUAAUAGAAUGCAAAUCUGAAUUUGGAGCAUGUGGUAAUAAAUUAAGUAGAUUAUAUAUGUUGGACUUGGAAACUGAAUUAGGAGAAAACCUGCGAUUUGGACCGUCACUUGAUUAAACUGCUUGAUUUAGCUCUAGGAGCCGUUAUUAUAUUGUACUGUCGCAGUAUCUUUGAGUCGAGUACUCCUGAUAGUUUAGAAUGUAUCUACACUCGUGCUGGUUCGCCGAGGGGAUUUUACAGGGUCGUUCAGGCUGUUCCGGACUGUAGGGUGCCGUUGAGAUUGACGGUGGACCCGUAUCGUCUUUUUGGCGUCUGAUUGUGCCGAGGGCACGUUACUUGUUGGUUGUUAGACCAGUUAGAGUCGAUUUCUUGACUUUGGCUUUUCAGAGCCUGUUUGAGCUCGACAGAGAUACACUGCAUACUCGGUUGGGUAGCGCCCACGAGUACCACUCCGGAGUCAGGCUUUGUGCUUUCGCGUUGGUAUUGCUCAUGCCAGUUGGACUUACUCUCCACGGACCAGUUAGUGUGGAUAGAGCUUGAUAGUUGCAACGGAGCAGGGACGGGUGUAUUCACAGUCCCGGGGACGGGUAUGCUUACAGUCCCGAUUGGAUUGGGUCAGAGUUGACAUUUCCUACAGUUGGUGAGUGUAGAGCAUGAUAGUGUAGUGAUCGAUAGCGGUAGAGUUUAUUUCCUGCUUUUCUGACUACUCUUGCUCCCUUUUGUAGACUUGGUGGGUGGACCGAUGUUGUCUUGGGCGGUACCUACUGAGGACUACUUGUUUUUAUAGUAGUUCUCACACCCAGUUGUUACCUAUGUUUUUGCAGAGCCACAGGUUCCGGCUGCUGCACCAUCCGCGGACCAGGAUCGAGGCAAGGGCGUCGCGAGUUAGAGCCCUACCCGACGUGCUGAGCUAGAGGUGCCCCUACUGCAGGUAGAUGUUUUGUUUCGAGUUUAUGUACAUAGUUGACUUAACUCGCCAGUGCGAGUAGCUCUGUAUUUUGGAUUUUGAACUAUGUAUAUGAAACUCUGUUUGUUUAGCUUCUAUUUUCUCUAGCAGCUCUCUACUACUGUUCGUAGUAGUGUUUGAUUUACAGGUACAGCUGUCGCUUCGUAUACGGGAAAAAUUUUUUUGUAUACGGCGGAUUUGUCGGCGUGCCCGGGGAACGUGUAAUCCGGGGCGUGACACUGACACUGUACAUUUUCUGUUAAUUUAUCUGUCCCGUUUCUCACAGAAAAUUCUAAAUCUUCUGUUUUCGCUCCGAUUUCAGCACAGGUCAUUCCCAACCUAUAUUUCACUUCUCUAAAUCCAAUAAAAUAGUAUUUCAUACUAUUUUAUUUAUUUUCACUUUUAUAUUUAAAAUCCAGUAUGUUACAUUCCACCGCAACCUCACCGGAACCAUUUAAAUGUACACCGUGACUUUAUGAUUUUAGAAGUUCGGUAUGUUACAUUCACCAUGGUUGCCAAAUAGGCCUUACACCCUCCUUUGAUCAUUUUCUUCGCCCUCACAGAUGAUAUAGUCACCGCUAAGCGCCUACUUUUGCACGCUUGGUACACCAAUUCUUCUUGAUUAGGCUCACGAAAAGUGAUCACCUUGCUUUCACAAUCUAUAACCGCAUAGUACUUUGAGAGCCAGUUGAUCCCCAAGAUAACAUCGAAUCCCCACAUCUGAUCUAGCACUAGCAGAUCAAUCAGCAUAAUCCAAUCACCUAUUUGCACUGGACACGCCAAACACUCAUUGUGGACACUGAAUGAAUGUUCUGGGGCAUUCACCCACCAGUAAUCCUCGUUGUAUACCAUCUCUAUGCCAUGAGUUUGAGCAAAUGAUGUGCUAAUGAAUGAAUGAGAUGCGCCUGUAUCAAAUACUGCUCUAGCUCUAGUGCCUUUAAUCACAAUUAUACCUGCCACGACGUCGUCGGGUGCUGCAGGUUGUUGCUCCUCCACCUGAGCGGCAAAGACUCGGCCGCUAGGCGCUCUCGAUCCCUCCAGCUGACGCGGUGAUGACGCGCGCCCAGUCGACAUCGCUGGUAGCAACCCCGCAAGCUGUCUCGGGGUAGACGGUGCUGACGACGCCGUCGGUGCAGACGACGUCCAGCUCGGGCACUCCCGGAUAAGAUGUCCCGAUUGGCCACACUUGAAACACUUGCCAUCGCGCUGCGGGCAAGUCGACACUCGGUGCUCUCCGCCACAAAUAACACAUCGAGGAGGUCUCCAGUUCCUCGACUGCUAUCGGGGAUACCGAGGGGGUUUCUUAGCAUUCGGCCGGCCCCCGGCACCACCCGCCGUUCGCUUCUUGCCCUUGUCCUUGCUCUCGGUCAUAGCCUCCCGUUCUUCACGUACAUGGGCGCUACCGUGCUCCGCCCACAAUGCUCUAUCAAAGACCUCCGCAACGGUCGUUAGCUUCAAGAUCUGCACCUUUUCAUAAAUCCUCGACUGGAGUCCUCGCAAGAACCAAUCAGCCCGAUCCCGAUCAUCUCUAACAACAUCGGGAACACAGUCAAUGAUGUGACAGAAUUCUUGCUCAUAUUCUCCCACCGAUCGGUCGCCCUGUCGCAGCUUGCGAAACUUCUCUUGCAACCUCCGCUUUACCUUAUUGGGCAAAUAGUUCGCGAACACCGCUCUUUUGAACUCCUCCCGCAGCAUAAGCGGAAGAUCAGUAGGUCGAUCCCGCUUAACUCGCUUCCACCACACCAUUGCCGCCUUCUCAAGACAAUGGGUGGCAAGGUAUACUUUAUCCUUCUCCGAGGUAUUGAGAUCCUCGAAGAGCGUUUCCAUCGAGUCGAUCCACGACUCCACGACCGCUGGCUCCACCAAACCGCCCUCGAAGGUAGGUGGGUUGAACUUCUUGAACUGAAUGAGAGCCGCCAACGUGCGCUCUCACUCCGCCUCUACCGCUGCGCUAUCGGGAUUUGAGGUUCUCGAUACGGCCGGUACUACCGUAACUAGGACAGCCGCUGCUGCCGCCGCUCCCUCGUCCACGCUCGGCACUACCACAAGGGGCGCGACAUGCUCGACACCCGUCUGGGCCGCCGCCGCCUGCUGACGCUCCAAAGCCUCCUGGAGCCGCUGAAUCUGCUCCCCUUGGCGUUGAACGGACUCCGCUUGCUGCCGCACUACUCCAAUAAGCACAGCCACUUGAUCCCUAAGCUCUCCGUCACCACUCGCUCCGGAUCGCUCGGGCUCCGCAUUUGGCUCCUCCGGUAUCGACCUUGUCUCCGGUCGACAACGAUGUGCCAUUGCUUCCAGAAAAGAAGCAACCCGCAUUAGCUACACAACCAACAUUGCUUGACCAUACCCAAUCCGGCGAAAGCAACUUAUGCAUUCGUUCUUGCCCCAAGCAUUAUGUCGUCGGCCGCCCGACACAAAACAAGGAGUAGGAAAUAAAUGAAAAUUAAACUUAGCCUCUAAUCACAUUAGAGAUGUCCCAACUUAACCCAAUCAGAUACUUUCGCUAACUUUAAUUCCACGUCACUCACGUUUCCUAGAUCCUUAAGGUCUUCCAAUCCUAAGGGUCUCUAGGUCAAUUCCUAUUCUUUCACUCUAGGCUCUGAUACCACAAUAUCUGUCACGCCCCGGGACCGAAUACCAAUUUGGCCCGGCCCGGGCACGUCAAACAGACGCCGAACGGACAGAGUUUCCCCUGACCGCCCAAGGCUCAUCACAUGUACAUUUUCAGCCAUAGAGAAAAGCACUAGCGGAAACAAGCACAAUUGGCUUACACGACGGUAAGCAGUGGCCAUGAGUGAAAGAAAGAAAAACUAACAUUCAUUUUGUACUAUGAUUCAAUUUAGAUCAUAUACAUUACAUCCAACUUGUACAUUUUCGAUUUUUUACAUUUCAUUACAACAUUUCAUCAUUUCUUUCGUACAUCACAUUUACCUCAAGAGAGAGCUUUACAUUCUUUUCUUUACAUCAUUAAUCAUCAAAUACAAAAGAUGAACAUAGGGUACUCUAUUAGCAAAAUGUAAACCAGACUCAACUCUGGUGGCCUCUGUCUACGGUGCGAUACCUUUACCACGGUCGCUCGCCGGCUCGCUCGGUCCCGGCUCUGUGGAAUAGUGGGGUGAGAACUACAACAAAGUUCCCAAUAGGUUCGGCCCCAAUCUCACCGACUUUCCCACUAGGACCAACUCAGGCAUAAUAGAAAGGGUAAGCAGAAAUAUAGUAACCAAUCUAUAACAUGAUGCUAAUAUGCCUGAACAAUAAAGCAAGGAGUAUGCUCAACAUAAAACUCAUGCAGAUUAUGCAAGUUCUUUUGUUCUUUCUCUUUACUCUUUGUUCUUUAUUUUUUAUUCUUUGUUCUUUAAUCUCACGGCUAACCCGGGGGUUUCGCCACAUUAACUGCUCACAUUAAGCCCAUCAUCGCGCGCCCUCAGCUGCCUCCCGCUAAGAUCGUCAUCGGGUUUACUCCAACCCGUGAUGCAAAAACUCCGGAGCGCAUCGUCCGAGGGGGAGCGACCGCCCUCGAGCACGGAACUCAUAGCAAGUAUGAUCGAUCCUUAACUCUAAGGAUAUAUAGUUCAAUCAUUGUCUUUACACUAACUCUAGUGUUCUUUACAUCACUUUAUUUUGCUAACUCUAGAAAUAAUUGUUCUUUAACUUUACUCGUUCUUUAUGCCACACCUUGCACUAACUUUAACCAUUAUCAUUGUUCUUUUCAUCACAUUGAUUCUUUAAUGCCACACACUAAUUCUAGUGUCGACUAUAUACUUUCGAAUGCCACUCGAUCUAUGCUCUUGUGUCACUUUGUUCUUUUAUCUCAUUAGGUUCUCACAUUACCUCUCAUGCAUAUAUAGGGUGUUAUAGGUUCUCAACCAACUAGAAAUGCACGUGUAUUCACAUCAUACAAUAUUUACAUAAUUAUCAUCACAUUUUACCCUACAAUGCAUGCAACAACAUAUAUAUAAAUGCUCAAUUAAAUGACACAUUAGGCAUAGAGGGAAUUCCAAAAAGUUUGGAUAGCACCACCCACCUCGUAAGUUCUUAAAGGUGCUCCGACGAUUUUCUUAGGAUUUUUAGACACCCGGUUCGCUACCUGCGUGUUAACGAAGCCAAAUUAGGCUUAUUUGGUCAUAACUUUGCGUAGGCUUUUCGUUUGCUUCAACCGACCGCACCAACGCGUCGGAAAUACCCCUAAUUUGGUUUGUAGAGGGUCAAUUUCACUUUGGAACCCUCGUAAGCAAAAGGCCCAAUUUGGGUGCCCUAGCUCAUAACAUAUAUCAAACCUAGGGUUUGAUCUCAUUGGGAAGCAAAAGAAGUUUCAUUCUACUCUAGAGACUCCACAAAAACCAUCUUUAGUUCAAUCCAAACUCUAGUUUGGAUUCUACCAUGAGAGGGAUUGAAGCUCUCUUUCAAGCUUCACCUUCCACACCAUUCCAUGGUUUUGAUCUCAAAAGGAAGCAAAAGAUAGCUUCAAACACUCUAUAGGUUCCAUAAAAACCACUCUAAACUUAAUCCAAACCCUAGUUUGAGUUCUACCAAGAUUAGGGUUCAAGCUUACCUCUAAGCUUGCUCCAAAGGGGAAGAAAAGGAGAUAGCUUCACUCCUUUGCUUCCUCUUCACCUUCUUUCUCCUUUUCUUCUUCUUCUUUUCCUUCUUUUCUUUGUCUUCUUCUUCUCCUUCUUGUCUUCUAGAGAGAGAAAGAAAGAAGAGAGGGAGUGUGAGGGAGAGAAUGAGAGAAAUAUCCCAAAACCCCUCACAAUACAACCCAUAUAUUGCACUUUUGCAAAUAAACCCCNUCCUUUGCUUCCUCUUCACCUUCUUUCUCCUUUUCUUCUUCUUCUUUUCCUUCUUUUCUUUGUCUUCUUCUUCUCCUUCUUGUCUUCUAGAGAGAGAAAGAAAGAAGAGAGGGAGUGUGAGGGAGAGAAUGAGAGAAAUAUCCCAAAACCCCUCACAAUACAACCCAUAUAUUGCACUUUUGCAAAUAAACCCCUCAGCUUUCACUUUAUUGAACUGCCCAAACUGGGCAGAUUUCGGGUUCGGGGACCGGUCUCCCCGACUUGGGACCGGUCCCAGAGAGCUCUCCCCGCGGGUAGCCAAGGCUACGCGCGACGCAACCGGUCUCUCCCCCAGAGGGACCGGUCUCUCGGGGACCGGUCUCUCCCUGCAGGGACCGGUUCCCGAGAACUGGUUUUCUAGGACUUAGCCGAUUUUUCGGCCUUUCUCAUUUCUCACGCGUUCGGGAACCGGUCUCUCCUACCAGGGACCGGUCCCCGAGAGCUCAAAAAUUGCAGUUUGCAGAUUUUUGAUUCUUUAGCUCUCGAAAACCUCCCAUAACGCACUUUUGAUCAUUUUAACACCUUCAGACUUUUCGAAGUGUACCAUCCUCGCACUUUGGUCAAUUUGACUAAAGUUCGAUAUUUAUUUUUCGAAUUUUCGGUAUAUCACACAUUUGGGUUUUCUCUUGUUUAAGCCUUUGAGGCUUAAUUGAUAGUUCCAAAACUUCCUUUUAGGUUGGAAUUGAAGCAUCCUAACCUCCAUUGGGAGUUUGGAAGAGUUUUUCCUCAUCUAAGGUAUUUUCUACCUAUUUUCGGUAUGAUUUUUGAGGAAUUUCAUAGGGUGUUCGUUCGAAACUCCUAACCCCCUUAGAAUUUUUGUUGGGGUGCUAGAAAACUAGUGGACAGCUUCGUUCGCGCAAACAAAGAAGUUUCGAUAGGUAUCCGGUGCAUUUGACCUUACCGAAAUUGGUGAACUCCUAUGUCAUUUCUUAUGGUUUAAAAUAAAAAUUCAUACAUAUUCAUGCUAAUGUAGAAUAAAUAAAUUUUAGAAGGCUUAAAAUGUACAUACUACAUGUCAAGUUUAUAUCCUCUAUAUAGUAGAGAGAGAGUUGUAUAGUGAACUUGCAAAUGAAAUGACAUAUUUCAUGCCAUGUUAGAAACCAUGUGAAAUCAUGUAAUUCUAAGGGAAAUAAAGGUUUAACAUAUUUGUGGACAAGUGACUUAUACAUGCACAUAGUUAUCAUGAACUUUCAUGUAGUGACAUUUGACUUAGUUUUGUGACUAAACUUCAACAAUGUGAUAUUGUAUUAGACCUUGGGUCGCUAGUGCUUAUACCAUAAUUUAGACAUGAUGACCAUGGACUUGAGAUUGAUAAUCAUGCUUACUUGCCAUUGUGCUCAUUUGCACAUGCUUGUGAGGAUCGCUCUCUACAAGCCGGCACUCCGGAAUUAGCCUACGUGACACAUGCUCACCCGUGCGAGAUUGGGCGCCGAAGUGGGAUGCCGUGGGGGAGGCUCAUUCCUAGAGGGGGGAUGUUGACUACUACGAGGCCACUAGGCACGGCACAAGUCGGACUACACUUAAUAGGUCCCAGCUGAAUUCAACAAUGACAUUUAAAAGUGUAAUGUGACUAUCACUACUAGAUAUGGUAUGCUAGUUGGAUAUGCUCAUUCAUGUUAGAAUAGCUUUAUUACAUGUCGAACAUCAUACUAAUUGGAGGCACAGUAGCUAGUAAUUUAUUAUCUGCUGAAUAAUCAUGCUAUCUCUUUAGUUAUACUCUUUACUACUUAUGCCUCGGUUACCUAGUGGUGUAAUACGCUGAUAUCGACGACUUACCCACUGAAAAUUAUUGACUAAUAGUUUUUAUUCGCAUUUUGUUGAUAUUUUUAUUUAUAGAACCAUCCACUGCGGGAGAGGCUAGGGAUCGCGGCAAGGGAGUAACGUCUAGCUAGAUUAGCAUCGGAGUUUCUGCUAGGUGGUCACCUCUUCUUUUGUUUUUGUUGGAGAGAGAUGAUUAGUCCUUGAUGCAUAGAGAGACCACCCUUUUGUAUUUAGCUUCUAUUUAUGUGGAUUCCAGGAUGUAUGCUUUAUUUUGUGGAUUAUAAUUGUUUAGUUAUUUACUUUUCUAAUACUUGUCUUUAGAAAGUAGUAACGUUCAUACUCUAAUAUCACGCUAAAUGUUGUUAUACUCUUGUUGUAUUUCUAUCUUGUUUGUAGACACCUUAUAUGUUCUUGACAUAUAACGGGUCUGAGCACGCACUGGGCAGACUUCCGUUGGGAUCUGGGCAUGACAAUAUUACAAUCAAAUUCCUCAAGUAAUUUCAACACCCAAACUAAGCCGAAAAGAAACAAUGAUAGUCGUUGACACCGCUACAGCGAUAUUGCCGAUAGAACUUAUCACUGUCCAGGAUUAUAUACUCAACAGCAUUAGCAAUCUAAUUGCAUGCAUCAUUAACGUAAUGAAAGUAAAUUAACAAUUGGUGAAUGGAACGAGAAAAAAAAAAAAAGGAAUUGCACAGGAUGAGGGAUGAUAAUCUAAGAGUUUCACAGGAUGAGGGAUAAUAAUCUUUCAUAAGCCAAACAACGUUCUUCAGAGUGGCUACAAUCGCAAGAACGAAGAAUCCACAAGAGCUUGAUACUUCGUCAUAUCUACGAACAUUAGAUCCACUAAUCUGAUUUCUUGUUCUCAUUUCUACCACUUUCGUUCCCAUACAUCUUCUGCUGAAAUAUUAUACAUACAACAGUAGCCACAAAUGAUAGAGAAACACGAGAGAUGAGCUUUCAACCAUGACAUUCUACAACUUAGAGCACAGGGGAAGCAGAAAAUAAUUGAAGCCCCAAAUGAACAGAAGACAAACCAACAAAAAUUGUUAAGGGAGGGAUACAAAAGGGGAAGUUUCUGGUCAGAAUACACAAAUUUUAAUGGUAGCGUGGCCCUCCUUUUCAUCUACCUUCAGUUGCUAGCUGCAGAGAUCCAUCUUUCUGCAGCUUUAAGCUGAGGCUAUUGAACCGCUCCCGUGAAUACUGCCUUGAAGCCUUCCUCCAAUCAGUUCCUGCCUUCAUCAUCGUGGCAAACUCCUCAUAGCUAAUUUUCCCAUCCUGAAAGGAAAGCAAAUUAUCAGUCAACACAGGCUUAUUAAGCUAUGCGAGGAUAAUAGUCCCACUUAUUGGACUCCGUGUUGUUUUUUAUUUGAACUCCCAAAACAAAAUUCUUUAUAGAUCUCCCCCAUGAAGUUUAAAGCCACAGAGAGAGAGAGAGAGAGAGAGAGAGAGAGAGAGAGAGAGAGAGAGAGAGAGAAGCUAGCAACUAUUAUUUAGAAGCUCUUUGUAAGAGAUCUCACCUCAAAUGAAAAGUAACAAAACUUAUGAAGCAAUUGAAGGGUGAAUGGGUAACUUACCUUGUCUGUGUCGACAUCGCGAAUGAUUGCGUUGAUAACUUCUUCAUGAUUUGGACCCAAGUCGUCAGCCAAGUUGUCUCUAAGCUCCUCAAUUUCAAUGUAUCCACUCUUAUUCUUAUCAAAGUAUGCAAAGGCUUUGUGAAGAUGCUCGUCAUUCCCAAGCUUCUUGAGGUGGAUUGACACAGCAACAAACUCUCCAUAGUCUAGAGUUCCAUCUCCAUCAACGUCCGCCUAUAAUAUAAUGUCCAACAAGCAUCAGAAUUUCAAAUUCAGUAACCUAAUUAUUUCCAGCUACCAAGGUGCUAAUGCAAUAUAUUAAACAAUCACCAGGCUGGAUCCUACAAUUCAGAUGUACACUGGGCCUAUUUGUUGUUUGGGCCUUACUAUUUGGGCUAUGUACUUUGGUGAAUCAAAAAUCUCCUAUUUCUAUUUUUUAUUAUUAUGUAUGUGGGCUCUCUAUUUGUUAGCCUUUGGAUCACGGUUCUUUUGAUCUAAAGGCCCAUAUUGAUAGCUUCUCUGAAGAGCUAAAGUGGAAUAUUAGAAUAUUAGAAAGAAAAGAAGAGUGAGAAGUAGAGAGUGAGAAAAAAAGUGGGAGAAAAGAGAGGAAACCCUAUAGGUUGGUUUUGAUCUUGGUUUUAUCAGGAAGGACGAGAAAUCUUUAUUAGUGAGAUGUUUAUUUGCAUGUUGUUUAGAAUAUAUCAAGAUGCAGGUAUUUAAAUAAAGAAGUAGAAUACACCCCAUAAAGUUGGCGAAUGUGGAUAUAACACUGACAAAAUAGCCUAUUGCAAAGAAUAUCAAAACAAAAUAGUCAAAUCAGCUUCAGCCUGUAUAGCCUGUUUGACCACAUUUCUGCUUUUGCUUUCAAUUGCAAUCACUAGUAGUAAAGCAUUGAUAAAUGGAAAUCUCGGGUAUCUACAGCAGCAGGAAACCUAAAUGACGUUCCUAGCCUAAAAAGAAGAAACUGCAGAGCUAGAAGAAGCUUCAAUUUGGAGUUUCUGAUCCUAAUACAGAAAGAGAUAUUAGACGGACCACUCCUAAUAUCACUACCCAAAAAGCACUUUAUCAAACAAGAUUACACCCUACGCUAGGACCACACAGAAAGAGCAUGAUUCAACAGCCCUAAAGACAGCCACAAAAUCGGAUAGAAAGAUGGUCAAACACAAAUCUAAUAACAAGCUAUAAUAGGGAAAGAUAAACGCAUUCAUACUUCCUUUAUUUGUGUAUUCUGUAUAUAAUUGCAUUUGGUUGAUUGUAUUCAGUCUUAUGCAUAUUAAUGAACUUAUGCACUAUAAUAAUAUACGAAAAACUGAUUGCAAGGCUGACAAUAACUCACUAGACUUCAUCAAAAAUAAUAUCUUACUAGAGGACAAAUUCUAGCUUAGACUGCAAAGCAUAAAUAAGAAAGCAUCCAAACAUAUCCUACAAAAAAAAAAAAAAAGAAAAAAAAAAAGAAGAAAAAGACACAUUAUUCAAUGAAAGGAAGCUAUCAUCAGGUUGAGUACUCACAGCAUCCAUUAAUAUUCUACAAUCUGCAUCAGCAAUCUGGUGCCCAAGCUUAUGCAAACCAAACUUCAACUCUUCAAAUGUUAUUUGACCACAGCUGUUUACAUCCAUCUUAUGAAACAUAUCCUUUAUAUCAGCUACUUCUUCCACUGAUAAAUGCUCAGCGACAACCUGCAACAAAACCGCGAGCAUUAACGAAGCUGUUAUCAGUUUCACCAAAUCUAAAAGCUCAAUGUCACAUUUAAAAAAAAUUAAAAUUAAGCAUAAGCCAAAACAAAUGUUUCAGAGGUAAAAAUGAAAAAAUUUCAGCACACAUAUACUAGAUACUUCUUGAAUGAGUUUACUUACCCUAAGUGCUCUCUUUUUGAAUUUGUUCAUGACAGAGAAUUGUUGGAGUCUUGCUUUAACAGUUUCACCAAGAGAGACAUUUGGAGCCUUUUUGGCAUUCUGCAACCAAGGAUGAUCUGGAAGAGCAACUACGACUGUCAGAUACAAGUCUUGAACAGAGUCAAUUUUCAACAGAAGAAGUAAUAUACACCAAUCAAAAUAUAAGUGUCUUAGAACAGGGUAUUCUGACUUCAAAGAACUAGGGAUACAAAUGGGAAGUUGAUGUAAAGAUUUCUUUUUUAAGUGAGAAGGUUGAUACAUCAAGUAUUACAGUAAACAUGAGACAUUUUACCAAUCAGUGCACUGUAAUGGAAUGCAAAUUAUAUUCUCAACAAUGCACUCAAAUGAUUAAUUGUUAGAUACUCUAUAGUUGUGGUCAAUAGAAGCGAGUCUUAUUUAAAUUCCCAUCACUUUCUAACACUGUAGGCAGAAGUUGAGAUUUUGCAAAUAAUUGAUUUUUGGCCUUUGCAGUUACUUCAUCAAUUUCAGUACGUAAACAUAAUGAUACGCCACAAAAGAAGACAUGAUUAAGAAGAAAGUGAAGAUUAGUACCUAGAACUUCUUGAGCUGUUAAUCUCCGCUUUGGAUCCGGAUCAAGCAUCCUCUUGACAAGGUCUUUAGCAUUGUCUGAAACUCUAGGCCAUGGGUCUCUUCUAAAGUCUAUGGCAGAACGGAUGAUUGCUUGCGCCACUCCCUGUUCAGUUUCUGUGUUAUAAAAAGAAACCUUCAGAUUACAUCAUAAGAUGCUUUCUGGUCAAAAAUACAGAUGAAUCAUCUUGCGUAGUUCAACUACUUAUGCAUCAGAUUAUGAGUUCUUAAGAAGAUUAUUCUAAUUUAAAAAGAAAUUCUAGUGAAAUAUAUAUUUUGUCAUCUGCAGUUAUUUUUUUCUAUUUCAUAUUAAAACAAAUAAACACGCGCGCGCACACAGAGAUAUAGAUACCUGCCCAAAAUGGAGGGACUCCACAAAGAAGAAUGUAGAGGAUUACUCCUGCACUCCAAACAUCAACUUCUGGGCCAUAAUUUCGCUUUAGAACUUCCGGAGCCAUGUAAUAAGGACUUCCCACAAUUUCAGUAAACCUUUCACCUAAAUAUGUAAAACAAAUCAGCAAGCUGCCGAAGGUAUAGUAUUCGUGCAGAUGAUGACAAAAGGAGGAUCCCUAAGCAUAAACGUAGCUAAUGUCAAGUCAUCAAUUUCACCCUGCUUUUUUGUGUAUAAUGCAGCUACAUUGAUCAGCACGAAGACUUGGGGGGCAUACCAGGCCUGAAAAAUACAGACAAUCCGAAGUCAAUCGCCUUCAGGGGGGCAGUUUCCUUCUUGUUGGCAAACAAGAAAUUCUCCGGUUUCAAGUCCCUAUGCAUCACCCCGUGCUUGUGACACAUCUGUUUAAGCAUGAAAUUAGGGAAAGAAAAACAGCUGAUUAUUAAUCACCACUAAACCUCAUCAAAUAAAGAAACUACUUCAAACACGAUAUAGGGCAAGCAAGGGAAGUAGUAGUGUGAGAAUACAAUGAAGAGCCCAAGUAGUAGUAUCAAGUAUAACAAUCCAAUCAGCUGUUAGGAUAAAGUUGAGAUACGAAAUGCGUAGCUACGACAUAGAAUAAUGGAACACAAAUUACCAUCUGCCAGCAACAGAUCAGCAGUUGAAGAAAAUAUUUGUGCACUUGUAUAAACUGUAAAAUCGCAGCACACAGCAUCAGAUUUCGAGAUCCAAGAUAUCACGAUCGUCAAGACAGCCAUUCGUAAUGGGCAAAGAAAGAAUAUAGAGAGUCCCAAUUGUGCCAACAGAGAUCUAAAGGAUAGCGUUUAAUCUCCUCUACAACGUUACAAUUUUUAAAGCAGAUUGAAACCUCAAAACGUCCAAUUGCUAUAGAUACUAAUAAAAUAGAGCAAAUGCCUAAAUGCUUUUCAGGAAAGCUAAAAGUUGCAUUCAGUACUUGCCAGAAUUAAUCGCAGCAGCAAAGAGACGGAAUGAAUCUCAAAUAGAUAGAUCUCUAAUAGGUAAUAAGAAAAAAAAAAAAAGAGAGAGAAUUAUGGAAUAGUAAUAUCCAGGAGAAUACAAAUACAAAUCCAAAUCCAAAUCCAAAUCCAAAUCCUCGAAAAGGAUCCAAAUCCGACAAGGGGAUGAUGAGGUGUGAGAUAAGAUCGGACCUGCACGACCUCGACGAUGGUGCGCGUGACGACGGCGGCGGCCCGCUCGGUGUAGUGGCCGCGGGCGACGAUGCGGUCGAAGAGCUCGCCGCCCUCGCAGAGCUCCAUGACGAGGUGGACGGCGCUGUCGUCCUCGUAGGUGUCGCGGAGGGUGACGAUGUUGGGGUGGCCGGGGAGGUGGCGCAUGAUGUCGACCUCGCGGCGGACGUCCUCGAUGUCGACGGCGGUGCGGAGCUUCUUCUUGGAGAUGGACUUGCAGGCGAAGGCGUCGCCGGUGGCGCGCUCCGUGCAGAGGUAGGUGAUGCCGAACUCGCCGCGGCCCAGCUCCUGUCCCAGCUCGUACCGGCUGCCGAUGUCGCGGCCCGUCGGCUCCCUCAGCACCGUCAGCCUCGGCACCCCCGCCCCCGACGCCGCCGGCCCCUUGUUGUACUCGAUCGAGAACGGGUUCGGCUUCUUCCCCUUCCUCCCCUUCUUCGCCCCCGCCCCCGCCCCCGCCUUCUUCCUCCUCGCCUCGUCCCCCGGCGUCGCACAGCAGUUCCCCAUCUUCUUCUUCUUCUUCGCCUUCUUCUUCUAGGUCGAUCUCCCUAAAUCGGCGUAUGCGUAUGCGCGUAUGCGUGUGUGUGGCGUAAUUUUUUUGUUAUUUUAUAAUUAAUUAAUUAAUUAAUUUUGCAAAGAUCGAAUCGCGGAGGGACAAAGAUGAAACGAAAUCCCUUUCGAUCGAAGCAGGAUGAGGAGGAGGAGGAGGAGGAGUUGUACCGCUGACUACAAAGAGAGAGAGAGAGAGAGAGAGAGAGAGAGAGAGAGAGAAGAGAGCGAGAGAGAGAGGGGGGAGGGAGAGCUCGGGGGGCAGGGGAGGGGAGGGGAUUUUAACGGUGGAGAGGGAGGAGUCCCGGUGGGAAGGGGCAUAUGGAAUGGUGUGAACACGCCAUUGUCGAAGCCGAGGGUUGAGGAAAGAAAAGGGGUCAAAGACUCCAACUAGAUCUUUUCUCUUCCUACAGAGCCUUCCUCCCUUAACCUCCCUUCCUGCCCCCUUCCUCCCUCUCUCGCCCUACGGCCCUAUUUCUUACAGCAAAAAUAUGAGAAAGGAAAAACCAAAAUAAUAUAAUAUUUGAUUUAAAAAUGAAAUAAGUAAAAGUUUAUUAUAUAAGUUUAUAUUAUUAUUAUUAUAUAAAUCUAUAAAUCUAUAAUCUAUAAAUCUAUAUGAAGUCAUAAUAUUUUUUACCACGUGGCAUGUUACUUUUCACUCUCCACUCUUCUAAUUACAUGCAAGGUGCAAUAUUUAAUUAUAUGCACCAUAUUAAUAUUCUAUCAACGAUUGGGCUUUAUAACUUUAGUCAACUCCUUUCUCCAUUAAUCUUCCAUCCCGACAUAGCCUAAUUUUAAAACAAACCACUUUCUUCUCUUCUCAGUGUCCAACCCUUCACCUCCCCACGCCUCUAAUUAUAUGUAAGGUGCAAUAAUUAAUUACAUGCACCCUAUUAAUAUUUUAGCAAUGAGUGAAUUCUAGCUAUAAUUUAAUUUUUUAAUAGUUAAAUUUAGUUAUGUAAAUUAGUUGUACUUAACAUGGUAUAAUUUUUUAUAUAUCAAUAACUCGUAAAUAUAAAUUUUAUUAAAAUUUUUAAAUUUUAUUUAUAUUAUUUAUCUAUUGUAUCGCACGGGUCUCUACACUAGUACGUAUAAUUGUGAGUGAACCUUCUUUAAUGCUUCGUCCUAACUCAUCUUCCCCGUUGUGCUGUGCAUACGGAAGCCAUAAGUUCGCUCCGGCCAACGCCAAUAAAGAAAGCGAGGCACCUUUAAUUUCUCGUGGAAAUUUGCAGAGUAUGUUCUUUUCUAUUUACGGACAUACCCCUCCUGUAGCAGGGUUACUCCGUUUUUAGUAAAGCGAGAUAAAGAGGGAGUUUAUUUUCCCCCUGGAAAUGGAUGAGAAUGAGUGUGACCCAGUCAAUCAUGGCAGGUCACGGCAGGUUGUUAAUUCUUCUUAUACGAAAGAUGUAUUUGUCUUUUUACUUUAGGGCAUGACGGUACAUCUCCACCGUCAAUUGACGUUAUGUGGACGUUGGAUGAUGGCCCUAUGGCCGAUAUAUUUAAUCAAAAAAAUUGCUCUCAUAAUGCGGAUUAUAUUAUUAUUAUGAUUAUUAUUAUUACUAUUUAACCUUCAGAAAUUUCUAAUGGUAGUGGCUAAAGCCCUUUCUAGCAUCCAACUAAUUAAAAUUUGUCAACUAAGCUACAAAUAUGAAAAAAAAUGCAUGGUCAAACAAUUGGACUCGGAGCAGAGGUGUAGCCGCAGGCGGACCCAAAAUCUCAAUUAUUGAUCAUUGAUUUAAAUAUUUGGGUUACUUGCUACAUAGUUCAACUUUUAACUAUUAUUCCUGCAACAAUUCAUUAAUAUUUAUAUUUCUUCCUCCGAUUUGUUACUGUUAGAAAACUGUUUAUUUUUUAACAGCAAUAUCAAUUUUGUUAUCACAAAUAUAUCCCUUUAAAAAUCCUAAUUGUUAUAAUCAUGCAAAAAUAUUCUCCCAAAAUAUUUUUAAUAGUCAUCUUCUUUCUGUUUAAAAUCCAGCUCAAUCCACUAUUAUUGCAACCUCUUUUCUCACUACUUUUAUCUUAAAUUUUGGCCAAUUUACAUAAAAAAUUCACAAGUUUUGAGCUUUUGCAAACUAGGCCGUCUUUUCCGAUUUUGCAGAUUCAAUCCGAAUUUUCAACAAAUUGACCAAAAUAUCCUUAUACCUUUUUCUCUUUUCUUUUUUUUUUCUCUCGCGUUCUUUUUUUUUUCUCGCCGAAGAAGUCGAUGAAGGCGAAAAUGGGCCCCCCACCUCUGGCCCCCACGCUCUCGCCAGCGCAAGCCUUGCGCUCCUCGCCUCCGACCCUCCUGAGGCCACGCCGCGAUCCUCUUUUUUUUUUUCCCCUCUCCAACCCUCCUCCACCCGUCGUCCCCACCGCUGCCUCUGGCGACAAAGAGGUAGUGCUUCUCGGGGCCCAAAAGCACACUGGCGAGGAAGGGGGAGAAAAGUAGUUACACUCCGACGAGGGUGAUGGUUGCUUUAGAGGGCAAGGGAAAGGUCGUGACCAAAAAAAUUAUAAAAAGAAAAAAAAUAAAAAUAAUAAAAAAUAAAAAUAAAAAUAUAUUUUUUUCUACAGAAAAUAUUAAAUAUCAUGGAAGAAGGAAGAAUAAGUCCUUGUUUGGUAUUGCGGUUGGAGGCCCAAAACUCCUUUUUUAAAGUGCUUGGGCUAAGUACCCCGUUUGGUAUUCCAAAUAAUAUCCCACUUUAUCCGACCGCUACCGUAAAUAUACCCCCAAAAUGCGGUACGUACGAAGCAUCCCGCUCGAUGCUUUCUCCGGUUUGGAGUUUGGGAUUUGUGUGUUCCGCACAAAUAAAAUAAUUGAUAGACAAAAUUACCCCUAAAUUUAAUCAAAAUUUACGAGCUAUUUAAAACCCUUAUUUUCUCCUAAAUAGAUGAGAAACCCUAUUUUCUCUUCCAUUGGAUGUCUUUCUCUAGCCAACUCGCAGUAAUUAGGAGAGGAAAAAUUCUUUGGUUCGUUUUUCGAAAGGUGGAUAUCAUAUUCUCUGCCGUCUUUAAAUUCUUUAGUACGUUUGUUUUUUUUUUUCAGUUUUUUUGAGAAAAACAUGUCUUUUAAAUUGUUAAAUUUCUCGAGAGUUUAUUGUAUUGAAAAGAACUUGUGCCCAAAAUUUUUUAUUUUUCUGUUGAGAUUUUAUAGUAUUUUGCCUAAUCACAUUUGUUAAAUACAAUUAUUUUAGUUUAAUUUUUACCUUUUUAUACUGUAGGUGAUACUUUUGGGGGUAUAUAAUAUCUAAAACUAAGGAUAUUUAGAGUAUUGAAUCUCGCACAAAAGCAACAUGGGAAAAAAAUAUUAUUCAUAUAUUUUGUGACCUCUAUUUAAAACAAAUUGAAAUAGGCAAUCGACCAGGAACUCACUUUAAUAAGAAUGGUUCGAAUAACUUAGUUAACAAUUUUAAAAAAGAAACAAAUAGAUAUUACGAUAGACAUCAAUUGAAGAAUAAGUGGGAUCAAGUAAAGAAGGAAUGGAAGCAAUGGAAGCAAUUGUUAAAAAAUGAAACUGGAAUUGGAUGGGAUCCAUAGAGGAGAACUGUUGAUGCAGCAGAUGAGUGGUGGCAGGAUAAGCUAAAGGUAUUUAUUUCACAUGUAAUACAUAACAUUUGUAUAUUUUAUUAUUCUUCAUAUUUAAUAAUCAAGUAGUAUUUAGGUUCAAUAAUAUAUCAAUAUCAAUAUAAGCUUAUGAAAAGGCAACCCUAACAGAGCCCUCCCCGUGUUUCGCGCUCUCUGCCCUCGCGUACGCUGCCGCGCCCACCCCUUCGCUGCCACGCCCCGCAAUCGCCAAUUUGGUCGGUUUGGGUACGUCCAACAGAUGCUGAAUAGACAGAACCUCCCCUGCCCGCCCAAGGCUCAACAACAAGGAUCAUGUACAUUUAGUUGCUCAGGUGAACAUAAACAAUAUACUUGAAUCAUUGCGAGUGUAAUACAAGCAAGAGCAAAAGAGAAAUACUAGCUAUUACAUUCAUCAUUCAACCAUUUAUAUCAUUUGGUUUACAUGUUCAUCUCAAAAUACAUAAACAUCUCUAGCAACCUCACCCAAAUACAUAAGGUCUCUCUACCAAUAUACAACAUAUCACAAGAUGGUACUCGACUCUAAUGCAUAGGAGGUAGCUAACUAGCUAGGGCGCUAUGCCCUUACCGCAGUCCUCAACCUGUCCGCACGUGCUCGGCCUUGCAACAAAGUGGGAUGAGAACUAUUAUAUAUAAUGGAAUAAUAAAAUCUGCUAACAUAGUAAUGAAAUCUACUAUCAUACUACUAUGCCUCAAUCAACAUGAUACAAAUAAAGUAUCUACAUAACAAUGAAACCUACAUCAUGCUAUUAUGCCUCAACAACAACAUGGAUAAAGAUAUGAACAUAGCUAUGAAAUUUACUAACAUGUCACUAUGUCUCACAUCAUGGUAUGAAUGAAGGAUCUAUUAUGCCAUUCAUAUACUUGUCACCCAAUCAACUUGGCUAACCCGAAGGUUACGCCUCGACUCACAUCUCAAUCCCAUAGGUGAGGAGACUUUGCGCUACGCACACCCGAGACCGUCUGCUGGGUCGGUACGUUGACCCAUUGUGCAACAACUCCGGAGCUCACUGCUUGGGUGGAGCGACCACCGCUAAGCUAAAACAGACUAUGUGAGUAUGAUCGAAUCCUCUCAACUUGAGGAUACCCUACCAACUAGGGAUAACAACAACUCGGGAAACCAUCUAUCUCAAUGUUCAUGUUUAAGUGCCACCACUACACUAGAUUCACAUGUCACAUAUACACAACUUGGGAAGUCAUCUAUCCCUAUGUCCAUCAUGUUAUAAGUGUCUCUAUUACACUAGUUUUAUAUGCCACUCGUUUAUGUCAUCACAUAUAGUUUCACAUGCCACUCGUUUAUGUCAUCACAUAUAUCAAGUUCACCACUUGUUUUUGGCACUAUAGGAUUCCAUAUUAAGACCCAAUUCUCAUGCAUCCUCUAGCUCAUGUGUCCAACUCACAAUGCUAUUUCUACCAUGGAAGCAUUCAAGGAACGAAAUUAUAUCUAUCAAGCAUCCUACCAUGCAUAAUAUUAAUAUAUGGAAUGUAUGAUCAACAAUACAACAUAGACAUAGAAUGAACCUCGAUUGCUUAGGAUAGCACCCCCCAUAUUUUGGUGUUGCCGCGAUGCUAGAGUCCUAGUUUCGCGAUUUAUGGACGACGAUUUGGCUUGACCCAAAGCAAACGAAUCGAAAUCGGUACUUUUCUUCAAUAACUCGCCGCACGGCCGUAGGAACAUCAAUUAGAGUUACAUAGGCUCAAUUUAGAUCAAACUCAACCAUGAUCAAAAGCUCUCUCUAUAAACCCUAAAAUCUCACUAUUGCAAAAUACUCCAUCCAGCUUAUUACUCAUGCAAUAAAUAAGAGUAGCAACACCUAGGGUUCCAUUAAACUCCAUUCCUAGGGUAUUUAAACCAAACCCUAGCUAUCUACCAUUGGAGGUCAAGAAGCUUACCUCAACAAGCUUUCCUCCCAAGCCAAGGAAGAAGAAAAGGAAGAAGCUUCACCUCCAAGCAAUGUCCUCCACCCACUCCUCCUCUUGAUCUACCCCUAAGAGAGAGAGAGAGACUUCUUAGAGAGAGAAAGUACUUCUUUUAGGUUGGGGUUGUGAGGAAAAGUGAGAGAGAUGAGUGGAAAAACCAACUCAUAUAACCCCCAUGUGCACACAAUUGCAUAAACACCCCCACACAUCACCCCAUUACACACUGUCCAGACUGGGCAUUUUUCGCUUACGGGGUCCAGACCCUAUAUAGGGCCCGGACCCCGAGAGUACAACUUUCUGCAAAAGUUGUAGAAUUGAGUCAACAUGCUCUCCAAGGUCCUCUACACCCCCUUGAGCCAUUUCGAUGCAUUCGAGCCUUUCCUAAGCGUCCAAAGCCUCACUUUGGUCAAUUUCGACCGAGAUUCGGUUUCACACGACGAGGAUUCAUUACCUUACAUCCUCCCCUCCUAAAAAGAAGUUUCGUCCUCGAAACUAACUCAACUUUAACAUAAUCAUACCUCAACUCAAAUUUUCGAAAAGAUGAGGAUAAUGUUCUUUCAUCACGUUCUCAAGUUCCCACGUGGCUUCGCAAUCAUCAUGUCAAUCUCCACUGAACUUUGAUGUAUGGAAUCUCACGGUUUCUCAACUUCCACUACAAGAAAAUCAUUUAUACGUGACAAUAAAAGGUUGUUACUAAAAAUAAAAAAAUUGUCACUAAUAGUUUUAGUGACGAUAAAUACCGUCACUUUUUAGUGACGAUAAAUACCGUCACUAUAAGUUGUCACGGUAGGUCCCGUGGCAAAUAGAUUUUGCUACGGAAAAAAAAUAUUGUAACUAAAAAUAGUAUUAAUGACAAGUUAAUUUUGUCACUAAAUAUUACCUAUUUGUCACCAAAUAAUAUUUACAUAAUGGUUGAAUAUUAAAAAUAGUAAUUUUAGGUGACAACAUAUGCUAUCACUAAUAGUUAGUGACGUCACUAUCCAUCACUAAAUAUUGCAUUUAUGACAAUAAUUCAUUGCACUACUAAUAUUUAGUGAUAACAAAAUUUGUCACAGAAUAUUACAUUUAUAAUAAUAACAUUCAUUACUGAUAUAUCAUCACUAAUAUUUAGUGACGAUAUAUAAAUUACAAUAACAUUUGAUACAGUUCAAAACAAUCAACUUAUAUUUAGGACAAAACAAAUCGAGGAGAUUUUUAGGUCCUAAUAAUGGAAAAUUAGAAAUAUGCUUACAUUCGUCAUACAAAAUACCUCCCAGUAUCUCCAGUUUCUAAGUACAUGACAAAUAGUUUUCAAAUUCAAACUACAUGAUUUAACAUGAAAUAACUACAUUUGAUUUUAUGGUCCACAUUCAAAAUAAAGGACUGUCGAAUACUAACACCAUGUAGAAAUUGCACUAUUCAUCCUUACCUGCAAUAAAUUAAAAAUAAAUAUAUAAUUAGUUAAUGACAUAUAACAAUGUGUCUACAUACUAAAACGGAUAUAAUCACCUUUUCUCCCCUUAGCAAUUGAAUCUUGCUCAAUUCAAAAAAUUUCAGCAUUCUGUUGGCAUGAUGCCUGCAGAUAUCAAUCAAAUAGGCAAUAAGAAGGAAGUUUAAAAUGUCAUGUAAUGGAAUUACAUAAGCCGUAUGCUGUGAUUACAUGCUAAAACUUGAUAUCACUAUAAUAUUAUCAUAUCACCUAGUUACAAAAGAUAAAUAAAUUGUGAGCAGUAUCAGGUCAUCUAGCAUUGAUCACUCAUCUACUCAAACAACCAGAUAUUCCCUCACAUAUUAAAGUGCGAAUUCUCCUUUAACAUCGAAAACAAGUCAAAUUCCCUCCCUCCAAAUAGACUGUCAGAGAUUUAUCUAUUCAAUAGUAUUUUUCAUAGAGUUUGGAUAAAUUAGGUACAAAAUAGAGAUUACAUAUGCACUUUUCUGUUCUACAAGUAAUUCACAACAUUAACUUAAAGAUUGUCCUAAAUAACAUAUGCACUUUAAAUUUGAAGUCAGCAAGUGUAAAAUUCAAGAUAGAUUGCUUACCAUCUACAUAAGAAUCGACUUCUACAAACAAGAGCGACAAGCACAAAAGUCAGCAAGCGUAAACAGGCUAGUUCCAUUGCAUCUAUCAUACAAUAACACGGUUCUAUAUUUGAAGGACUGGAAUAAUAUGGAAAUAGGUAGACAAGUUGCUCAAACUUUUCCUCUUUUGUUGUUGUGUUACAGUAUGGUUGAAACUAACAAAUAACUUGCGGGAUCGCUGCAAUAUUAGAACCAGGGACCAGGAAGUGAACGAUCUAUGGUGACAAACUGAUUUGUUGUUCAAAUGGUCUGCACUAUGGGGUUGGAAGAAGCAAAGGAUAUACAGAGUUACUAUGAAAAGUAAAUAUAUAAUCCAUGUUUAAUGACGUACCUGAUUAUUGGGGUUACUAAGAAUAUGAACCUCACAUGAAUUAAAAAAUGGAGAAAAGGAGCAGCAGUAUCACAAGCCAGAGAUUUCAGUUAAAAUAACUCAAAAUUGUUAGAUGUACAUAUUUUCCAUCUAUGCUUAGUACUAUUAAUAAUAUAGUAGCCGGACUCCUAUUUUAAAAGGUUUAUAUUAAGAAAUUGCUCUCUUGUUUAAAUGUGAUACCAACUCAAGCAUGAGGGGAAAAAAAAAAGAGGAAAUUUCAUGUUACAAUUAUCAAUUAUCAACUAAAUGAUUCUUCUCUGCUCCUUGAACUCUAGUUAAUCAUAAUUAAGCAUGAAAAGGAAUUGCAUUAAACACAUAAUAGCAAAGAUGAGGUAGACGUAUUUCUACCUUAAUGUUAAUCUGGACAAGUUGACUCAAAACUAAUUUCUCUACAAAGGAAUACAAAGUAAAAUGAUAAUGACGAGUUGACUCAGAACUGAUCUGUAGCUUCAGUAUGGGAAGGCACAUUUUGGUGCUAAAAUACAUGUAUUAUCAUCGAACAAAAAAUCAAGAAAACUUGUACAGCAUCAGACUUUCAAAAUUUUAUAGCAUUUUCUUGCUCUAGCAACUACUUUCAUAUCAUGAUCAAUAAGUUUCAAAAUAAAUAACAAGUUUCGAAAAAGAAAAUAAAAAUAGUGGAAUUUAUGAAUAUACAAGUUUCGAAAAAGAAUAUACAAUUGCAAAAUCCAAAAAUUUUGAAACCCUUUCUUUGUAUUCAGGACUUAAUCGAUUCUGAAUAUGCAUCCAGCUUUUGUCCAACAUAUUUUCUAUAAUAAUAAAAUAGUGGAAUUUAUGCAUGGAACAUGAAAAGCAACAGAAAUAUUAAAAACAAAAUCAAAAAAUAGCUCAGGAAUUUACAACCUAUAUCUAUAAUAUGAUGUAUAAUUUCUUUAUAUUCAUAGGUUGUAAUAAAUAGUAAUAGAAGGUUAACUUCAGAAUUGAAGUCUAUUAACUAUAAGAAAAAUCCUCAUCAAGAAUUUCAAAUUUUCAAGCAGAUUUCCAAGACCAUGCAUGUAACACACUGGACUUCUGUAAAUUGCAAGGUUCAAGUGUCUGAUCUGUGUUCUGAGCUUUUCCAGACUUUUUGGUGGGUCGUUGACAGUGUUCCGACCUAUGGCUCGUAUCCCGGAAAUUGAGGUUUAAAGCUGUGCACCAAAAUCCAAAGAGUUGAAUUUUUGGUCAACUCUCGGGUGGCUUUUUCAGGCCGUGUACCGGUAUAGGGUUGAUGGCUGUACCGGUACGGGCUGAUGGUUGUACCGGUACGCGGGCCCGUGUACCGAUACACAGGCAGUUUUGAGCAAACCCGAGGCUCGGGUUUGGCCUUUUCGUUGGAGGUGUAUCCGUACGCGUGCCCGUGUACCGGUACGCAGUGCAGAAUGUAGUCUGCUCGGGUUUGGAGGGUGUUUUUGCUAUUGUAGCAUCAUUACAAAUACACCCCACGACCCCUGAUGUUCCUUGAGCUUGGAACCAGUGGGGAGGAAGGUAAGGGAGCUCUCUUUUCUCCCUCUUUGAUUUCCUUUGUUUUGGUUGGAAUUUUUGAGGUUUAAUUCCCUCUUUUGCCCUCUUUUUGCCUUUUGGUGACUUUUCCACCAUGGGAGAAGCUUGGGAGCUUGGAGUUGAGCUUGUUGGAGGAGAGAUCUCCAACCCUAGUAGGUUUUGAUCCUUGUUUAGGACUUCAUUAGAGGUUAGUUGCUUAUUAUUUCUCUUUUGAUCUUGAUUUUCAUGAUUUUUGUAUUGGAAACCCUAGAAGUGAGGAUUUAGGGUUUGAUUUGGGGAUUUUUGAUCUAGAAUUUUGGGGCUCAAUUGAUUGAUUUAGAACCUUCAUCUAGAUUGGAUUGGAAGGGAUCUAGCUCCCCUUUGGAGCUUGUGAGGGAUUUUCACCACCAUAGGUGAGUUUUGGCCAUUUCGUUGAGUUGGUUAAUGUUUAACCUCUUCGUUGUUCGUAACGUUCGCGUAUCUCUUCGCUCCUUACUUUUAGGGUACUUAGAGACUCGUGGACAACUCCGUUCGACGAAUCGAAGGAUUCCGAGACGGUUCGGUGGGUUUGGCCUCACCAAAAUGAGAUAAAAUUCUCAUUUGAUGGUUUUGCUUAUCGUAAAAUAGAAAUGCAUGCAUAAUCAUGCUUGAUAGAAUAUUUGAGAAUUUUAUAAUGCUUAAAAUGCACAUACCAUGUACGAUGCAUAUUUUACCUCUUUAAAGUAGAGAGUUUUCAUGUUGGGCUUGGGGCCUAUGGUUAGCAUUCUCAUACUUAGUUGUGGAUCAUGUUUUAUUUAGUGAAAAUAAUAUGUGCAUUGCACAUUUGGACUUUGACCUAUGCUUGGUAUAGUAAGCCAAUGUCAUAAAGAGGUAUUCGGCUUGGACUAGAUAUGGAUUUAUCAAGCUAAUGUCAUAAAGGGGCAUUAGGCUUGGUAUAUAUGUGGACUUAUUAAACCUAUUGUCAUAAGGGACAUUAGACUUGAUGGAUAAGCGAAUUGCAUGUGCAUGUUAAUAAUCAUGAGAACUAUGAUUUGUGGAUAGAUACAUGUUAACAUCUUUAUGCAAUGUAGAAUGCAUGCGAGGUACACAUUAGUAAUAUGAGAUCACAUUGGAGAACAUGCGUAUUAAUCUAUUGUUGAUGGGAUAAGCCAAUGUCAUAAAGCGACAUUGAGCCUGGGACACGUAUGAAUCUAGUGAGCUAAUGUCAUAAAGAGGCAUUAGGCUUAAAAUACUUAUGGACUUAGUAAAUCUAAGGUCAAUGACAUAGAAUUUUUAUUGAACGGUUAAACCUUCACAUUGAGACAUUGAACUAGAUCUUUGAGAUGCUAGUGACCUUUGCUAUGUUAGAGACAUGAUGACUGUUUGGUGUCUAUUACCAUGUUGGAGACAUGACGACUGGACUAUUGAGGUAUUGACCAUGCUUGUUUGCCAUUUGUGCUUAUUCGCACAUGCUUUAGCUCCCUACAAGCCGGCACUCCGGAGUUAGCCUACGCGACUUAUGUUCGCCCGUGCGGUAUCGAGUAGCCUACGGGGCCUGGAGGGAUAGACUCAUUCCUAGAGUGGGAAUGCUGGAGCUACCACUGGCACUUAGGCGGCACAAGCCGGACUACACCUGUGUAGAUCCUGAUUGAGAUUGAACCAGAAUAUUAAACAACAAGUUGACAUUCGCUACUAGCUAGAUUAUAGUAGUUGGACUCUUGAUAUGCUAUGGCAUAGAGUUGGACAUUUGGGCUUAUAGUAUACUUGACAGUAUCGCUUAUUACAUUGUAGUAUUUUGGUUGCUAUGAUAGUACAUACUAGAUAUGUAGUGGACUUUGGGACAUAUAGCAUACUUCAUAGCAUUACUUGUUGCAUCAUAACAUAUUGUUUAAACUUCGGUAUAUUGGAUCAUGUAGAGUAGAUGUACUCCAUGUUGACAUUCAGAAUACUUGUGGCAUUGUAGUAUAGCCUUCUCUAUAUGCUUUUUUUUCCGCAGUUACAUUUUCUUAUCUAUAUCUAUUUUUGUUUUGGGCCUAGUGGUGCAAUUCGGUGCAGGUCAGUAAUUGCCCACUGGGAACUAUAAUUUAUAGUUUUCACGCCCCCUGUUUUAUGUCUUCUUUCAGAGCCUUCCACUUCGGGAGAGGCUCGGGAUCGCGGGAAAGGUAUCGCCUUGGGCUAGCUAGCGAGGGAUUUGGCGAGAGGUGGUCCACCUCCCUUUUGUUUUUCUUUGGAGAGGUUGCGAGAAUUUUUGUACCGGGUUAUAGAGACCACCCUACUUAUGUAUUUGGAGAUCUAUGUUGUAUUAGUUUACUUUAUGCUUUAGUAGUAUUGUUUUCUUUUGACUCUACCUGAUGUUUGAACCUAGAUAUAUACUUGCUCUGAUAUUCCUAGUUGUAGAUUUUCUCUUGCUUUACUCUUUCGCUUUUGUGUAGACGCCUUAUAUGUGUAGACAUAUGGCGGGUCUGGGCGCGCUACCGGGAGGGCCUCCGCCGGUCCCGGGGCGUGACAAUGCAUAAGUACAGAGACGUAACAAUUACUUGCAUUAAAUGAUCAUUAAAAUAAAAAGAGUAGAAUGUAACCAAGUUUUUGCACAACAAAGUCUCAAACGUGAGAUAGAAUCUAUCCAACAGAUAUGACUAUUGGAGUGCUUGAGAUUUUCUUAGGGCUCAUGUAGCAGUUCAAAAGCUAAACAAAGUAUCAAAUGUUUCACCUCUAAACUUGAUUAAUAAUGGGUAAGUAGCAAAUGUACUAUAAAGGACAAAAUCUAAGGAUAUAGUAACAGGCAAGCAAAGCAUAGAGUUAUUAAAUCGCCAAAUUUCAAAUCUACUCAUUGUGAGAAUCUUGGUGCUCAACACCUUUGGGCCAUGUUCUCCAACUCUACUCUUCUAUUCUGCCAACAUUUUAUUUUGGUGAAAAUGUACUGUGACCACCUUAGCCAUAGGACUUCGUAAACUAGAAACCAAUCCACGACCACUCCCUAGAUCUUUGAUACUUUCUUUUAUUCACAUUUUAUUUGAUUAUAAUAUUACCCACUUUUCGUAUGCACAAGACAAAAACUAUAAUGUAUGUUGGUGCGAGUAAAAUUUAUUUGAAAUUUGAAUUCUUUUUAUUAACCCUUCAGCUCAGUUUGUUCUACUUACAGUGGCGUUGGACCACAACAUACAAACCGAUUAUUCAGAUACUACUUUAUUUCGCACAGAUAUAUGAGGAUUGGGUAAAUUGCACUAAAGGUCUUUAAAGUUAAAAAUUUAGUUUGGAGACUAUCUGUGUUAAUUUCGCUUGGGCAUCAUCUGAAAUAGGCCAUGCCAAACUAGGCCUCGCCCUCAACUACAGGCCACGCCCUCAUCUACAGGGCAUUCCAAACUAGGUCCCCCAACAUUUUUUUUUAAAGUUUAUUUUUGUUUUAAAUUUUUUGAUAAUUAAGAUGUUUUAUUCAAAUAUAUUAAGAAUUUUAUCAGAUUUUCCGUGAUUUCAUCAAAUUUAAAAGUUUUGACCAAUUCUAGCAAUUAUCUGCUCAUGUAUGCAGCAACCAGAGCUAAACUAUUUUCAUCAGGGCAAUAACUCAGCCUUUUUUUUUCAUGAUCUUAAGAACAUGGUUAUAAGCUUUAACUGUUGAUCCUAAAGAUUCAUAAGAACAUGAAAAAUAACAAAAAUAUUAAAUAUUUUAAAAAAACUAAAACGAAUCACGUCAAUUGUAAAAUAAGCCAAUCGAUUGAAAGAGAAAAAACCCCAAAUACCUAUAGAUCCCGAGAUUGGGGGUAUCAUCCAAGGACCCCGAGGAGCUAAUGCUUGAAGCCAAAGCCGAGCCCGACGCGGACCCGCGACGCCGACGCUGACGUCGUGCUCGUGGUGUGCGGCGGCAGGGAGUGGUGAGGAGAUGAACGCGGGGUGGGGGAGCGGGUGUGCCUGCGUCGAUCGCUGCUCGCAUCCGCCGUUGAAGCUCCGCGGCGAUUUCGAUCCGCGUGGCGAUCGCCGGAGAUCUCUCCGGCAGCGAUCGCCGGAGAUCUCGGCAGGAACGAAAGCCGGAUACGAAUGGGAAGGGUUUGGGAGUAAAAAAAUGUCGGGGUAUGCCAAUGGUAUUAGGUGGUUUGGGGAUUUAAAAUACAACGUGCAAAUAUGAAUAAAUAAAAAGAGUGUUGAUGUUUUUGUAAUCAUUAGUUGUGGUGUAGUGGUUAAGAGGGAUAAAAGAUUUGCAAAGGUUGCGGGUUCAAGUCCUAUCCCUUUAUUUUUUGUGACAGUUUUUUUUAAAUUUGUAACUAAAAGCUUUUUUGGUGACAUACGAAAUUCAAAUCCGUAGCAAUGCACUACUUUUUUGCAGUGGGAUCCGCACUUCUCGAGCAAGAAUAGAUACCGGGAACUCUUCAUAUGUCAUAUCCUCUUUGAGUUUCGGUGGUUCAUACAAAAGAGCAUGCUCGGGAUCGUGAAUAUACUUGCGGAGAUUGGAUACGUGGAACACGUUGUGGACUCCCGCAAGCUUGGGCGGCAAGGUCAGCCGGUAUGCCACCGUACCAAUCCACUCCAAUACCUCGUACGGUCCGAUAUACCGGGGACUUAGCUUUCCCCGCUGUCACGCCCCGCAAUCGCCUAUUUGGUCAGUUUGGGCACGUCGAUCAGACACCGAACGGACAGCACCUCCCCUGUCCGCCCAAGGCUCAAUAACAAGAUUAGGUACAUUUCUGUCGCCCAGGAAGACAUACAACAUAUAUGAAACACAACAAAUGCUAUACAAGUAAGAGCAAAAGAUACAAGAGAGUAAACUAUCUAUUACAUUUUUCAUCCACAUUCACUUUGGGUUUACAUCACCAAAAUGGACACAUCAUUAUUUACACGUUUCUUCUCAUGACAUGUGUAUAUAUAUACAACUCUCCAAAAGCACCCUCACCAAUAUACAUCAUCAUCUCUCAAGUACAUAGGUGAUCUAAUGCAAGUAGAGAAGCCACUAUCUAGCUAGGGCGCUAUGCCCUUACCGCGAUCAACUGCAGGUAUGCUCUCGCUAGGCCCUGCAACAAAGUGGGGUGAGAACUACGAAUAGUUCACAGUGGGUUCGGUCGCCGACUUCGCCAAUCUUCUCACUAGGUCUAAGCAGGCAUGAGUAGGUAGAUAGAUAGAUAGAUAUGAUAAAGAACUGCUACAUAGUAUGAAUUCUACAAAUAUUAUACUAUACCUUUAUCAACAUGAUGUAAUGAAUGCUAACUUUACAUAGCAAUAAGUUCAACUAGCAUACUACUAUGCUUCAACAAUAUCAUAGAUAAGGAGAUGCACAUAGCUAGGAAAACUACUAACAUGUCCCUAUGUUAUGUCAUGGCAUGAAUGCACUCUCUACUAUGCCAUUCGUUCAUUUGUUAUCCAAUCUACUUGGCUAACCCGAAGGUUACACCACGACUCACUUCUCAAAUCUCAAAGGUGAGGAGAAGCUGCACUCGUACAUCGAGACGGUUUACGGGACAACUACAUCUGUCCCAGGGCAACUACUUCUGCCCCCCUAUCGUGAUAACUCCGGAGCUCACUGCUUGGGUGGAGCGACCACCCCAAGCCAGAACAAACUAAGUAAGUAUGAUCCAAUCCUCGUCUACUGAGGAUACCCUGUCUACAAGGGUCACAGUGCUUCUACCGCACUUGAUUCAAUGUCUUAUUGGCAAAUCGGAAAAAUCUACUAUCCCUAGGUUCAUGUUAUAGUGUUUCUACUACACUAAGACCAAAUGCUACUCAUUUAUGUCAUAUGUUUUCCAAGUGUCUACUACUACACUAAAUCAUAUACCACUCAUUUAUGUAAUCAUGUUUAAGUGUUUCUACCACACUAAUUGACAUGCCACUCGCUUGCAUAAACAUAUCAUCCAAAUUAUUACUUGAUCUUGCCACUAUAGGAUCCAAUGUCACACCCAAUCCGCAUGCAACCACUAGAAUAUGUGUUCAACCCACAAUUUCUAUCACUACUAUGGAAUCAUGCAAGGAAAUGUAGCUACAACUACUCAACAUAUCCUAUAAUGCAAGAUAACACAUAUACAUGUAUGCUGAAUAAUAGAACUUGGACAUAGAGAGAAGUCCAACUGCUUCCUGAUGACACCCCCCACCUUCUGGUGAUGCCAAGAUGCUAGGGUUCAAGUUUCGCGAUUUUAGGACGUUGCCUCGGCCCUCCAGGCGGAAAUGAAGCUAAAAACGUCCUUUUUCCCCAUAUUUUUCGCGUAGGCUGGACGGAUCGCCGAACCGACUUCACCCGCGCGUUAGAAUACCUCUACUAAGCUUUCCUUUCCAAGAAAGGAAGAAGAUGAAGAAAAUGAUGAAGCUUUCCUCUUUCAAGCUCCAAAUCUCCACCCUUUUCUCAUCUUGUUCCACUCCUAGAGAGAGAGGGAGAGCUCCUAGAGAGAGAGUGUGUUUAGGUUGGUUGCAAAUGAGAGAAAGUGGAGAGGAUGAGCCCACUUCAUAUCUCUUUUAACCCUACACUUGCCAAUUUGCAAGAAACCCCCUCAACUUCAUGUUUUCUGCACAACCCGAACUGGGCAAUUUUCGGGUAUGGGGUCCGGACCUUGUAGCUAGGGUCCGGAUCCCGAAAGCAUAAAAAUUCUGCAAAAAUGCAAAUUUGCACUACCAGCUCUCCAAGGUCCUCUACAACCCUCUAAAUGCCGUUUUCGAUGAUUUCAGCCAUUCCGAAAUGUCCCGAACCAACUUCCGAUCGAUUUUGAUCGAAGUUCGAAUUUACAUAUCGAGGAUUCUUUUCCUUACAUUCUCCCCUUCUUAAAAAGAGUUUCGUCCUCGGAACUUACUCAUCUUGAACAAAAUUCUAAACAAUACUCAUACCUCAGCUCAACUCCUCAAAGAGAUGAGGAUGAUGUGCUUUCAUCACAUCCUCGAGUUCCCACGUGGCUUCGCGAUUAUCGUGAUUGCUCUACCGAACCUUGACGUAGGGGAUCUCGCUAUUUCUCAACUUGCGCACUUCUCGAGCAAUAACUGACACCGAAAACUCUUCAUAGGACAUAUCUUCUUGCAAUUCCGGUGGCUCAUAUAGCAAAGCGUGCUCAGGGUCGUGGAUAUGCUUGCAAAGGUUGGGAACGUGGAACACAUUAUGAACGUCCGCAAGCUUGGGCGGCAAUGCAAGCCGGUAUGCUACCGCACCAAUUCGGUCCAACACUUCAUACGGCCCAAUGUAAUGGGGGCUUAACUUUCCCCGAACUCCGAACCGCUUCACACCCCUCAUGGGUGAAACCUUCAAGAAGAUGCGGUCGCCCACUGCGAAUUCUAAAUCUCGUCGGCGCUUGUUCGCAUAACUCUUUUGCCUCGACUGCGUCGUUAGCAAUCUUUGGCGAGCAAGGCAGACCUUCUCUUCCGCCUCCCGCAAGACAUCGGGACCCAACACCGCCCGUUCGCCCACAUCACUCCAGUAUAUAGGAGAUCGGCACUUUCUCCCGUAGAGAGCCUCAAACGGUGCCAUCUCUAUACUAGCUUGGUAACUGUUGUUGUAGGCGAACUCGGCCAUUGGCAAGUGAUCAUUCCAACUGCCCUUGUAGUCAAUGACACACGCCCACAACAUAUCCUCCAACACCUGAAUGGUUCUCUCCGACUGCCCAUCGGUUUGAGGAUGGAAUGCGGUGCUGAAAUCGAGCCGUGUGCCGAGCGCUUCCUGCAGGCUUUUCCAAAAGUGUGAAGUAAACCGGGGAUCUUGAUCUGACACAAUCGACUUCGGAACCCCGUGCAACCUCACAACCUCAUCAAGAUAUACAUGCGCUAGCUUGUCACCCGACCAAGUAGUGUGGAUUGGCAGAAAAUGUGCCGACUUCGUCAAGCGAUCCACAACUACCCAAAUUGCAUCGUGGCCACCCGACGAACGAGGCAAUCCAACCAUGAAGUCCAUGGAUAUAUCCUCCCAUUUCCAAACGGGGAUAGGUAGGCUCUGAAGUUUUCCUGCUGGAAACCGGCGCUCUGCCUUAACCUGUUGACAUACCAGGGCACUGCGCCACAUAGCGUCCAAUAUCAGCUUUCAUUCCCGGCCACCAGUAGAGCAUUUUCAAAUCUUGGUACAUCUUGAUGCCGCUCGGGUGGACACUAUAGGGAGACCAAUGCGCUUAUUGCAAAAUCAACUUUCGAAUUUCUUCAUUUUUCGGCACACACCACCGGUUUCGGUAUCGAAGCGCAUCACCGGCGUCUAUACUGAAAUCGCCGCCACGCCCACUCUCGAUGUCGCACCGCACUUUUUGGAGACUCGAAUCGGCAAGUUGCAGACUUUUGAUUUCUCCAACAAGGUCGGUUGGACAACGAGAGCCGAUAAUACAGUCGAAACCUCCGAAGCUACAACCUUAAGAUCCAUUUGCCCCAUUUCCUUCCACAGGGGCUCCUGAUUUGUGACCCACAACGCGAGGUUCUCCGCCGACUUCCUGCUAAGUGCGUCGGCUACCACAUUAGCCUUCCCGGGGUGGUAAAGGAUAUCAACAUCGUAGUCCUUUAGCAAUUCUAACCACCGCCAUUGCAGCAUAUUAAGCUCCUCCUGUGUGAACAGGUACUUUAGACUUUUGUGGUCCGUGUAGAUCUUGCAAUGCGCACCAUAAAGGCAGUGCCUCCACAACUUUAAGGCGAAGAUCACUGCGGCUAACUCCAAGUCGUGGAUAGGGUAGUUCUUCUCGUAGCUUUUCAACUGACGGGAUGCAUAGGCGAUCACCUUUUCACCCUGCAUUAGAACACACCCUAAACCCGAAUAGGAUGCAUCGCUAUAUACCACAAUGUCCUCACCUUGCACUGGUAGGGCGAGCACCGGAGCCAAAGUCAACUUUUCUUUCAACUCUUUGAAACUCCGGUCGCACUCGUCGCCCCAAAUAAACUUGGUGCCCUUCUGUAUCAGACGGGUAAGUGGAAUAACAAUCUUCGAGAAUCCCCCCACGAACCAUCUAUAGUAGCCUGCUAAGCCCACAAAGCUUUGGACCUCCGUGACAUUAGUAGGGCGAGGCCAGUCCUUGAUUGCCUCAACUUUUCUUGGGUCAACGGAUACUCCACCCUCGGAAAUAACAUGCCCCAGAAACGCGACUUCUCGGAGCCAAAAGUCACACUUCUUCAAUUUCGUGUAUAGCUUCUCCUCCCGAAUGACUUGAAGCAUUAUCCGCAAAUGCUCCGCGUGCUCCUCGUCGCUACGCGAAUAAACCAAAAUGUCGUCAAUGAAGACCACGACAAAUCGGUCCAAAUAAGCUCUGAAGCCACGAUUCAUUAAGUCCAUGAACGCUGUCGGGGCAUUUGUGAGCCCGAACGGCAUGACCGUGAAUUCAUAGUGUCCAUACCGGGUGCGAAACGCAAUUUUCUGCACAUCCUCCGGCUUAAUCUUCAACUGAUGAUAGCCAGACUGGAGGUCUAUCUUUGAGUAAACCCGAGACCCUUGCAACUGAUCAAACAAGUCGUCGAUACGGGAAAACGGGUACUUAUUCUUGAUCGUGACCUUGUUCAACUCGCGGUAAUCUACGCAGAGUCGAAACGAUCCAUCCUUCUUCCGCACAAACAAUAACGGGGCUCCCCAUGGUGACACACUUGGCCUGAUAAAUUCAUUGUCGAGGAGAUCUUGCAAUUGAGCCCUCAACUCCUUCAAUUCUGCCGGUGCCAUACGGUACAGAGCCUUUGAAAUCGGCGCGGUCCCGGGAAUCAAGUCUAUAAUGAACUCGAUCUCCCGAUUCGGCGGUAUCCCCAGUAGUGUCACGCCUCGGGGCCCAACGAAAGCCCGCUCGGCGUGUGUCCAAACCUGCCAUAUGUCUAAAACAUACAAGGCGUCUACAACAAAGCGAUAAAUAAAACAAUAAGAGAAGAACAUCUAGGAGUAUCAGAGCGUACAUCUAGAUUUCUACAGCAAGAAUAGGUAAAAGAAGCCAAAACCACCAAAUAAAAGUCAUAAGUAAUAAAAAAAGAUAUCCCAAAACAAGAGCUAAAAGAGUAUAUAGGUGGUCUCUAUACAUGGUACAAAAAUCUCUCUCUCUCCAAAACACAAAAAGAGAGUAACCACCUAGGAGCAAGUAGCUCCCCGCUAUCUAGCUAGGCGACAACCUUGCCGCGAACCCGUGCCUCCGCCGGUGCCGAAGGCUCCGAAAUGAAAUCAUAAAACAGGGGGCGUGAGAACUAUUAAAUAAUAGUUCCCAGUGGGCAAUUACUGACUUCAAUGAAAUGCGCCACUAGGCCCAAAAGCUACAAAAAGGGUAAGUACGAGUAUAAGCAAAAGCGAUAUAUACGACAAGCAAAUAAACAUGAGUACUUGCUACUACAUGAUAUCUCUACUUAGCAUGAAAUUGCAUAAGUAAGAAAGUUAUACUAUCAUGAAAAUGCACGAGUAUACAACCGUCAUAAUAUCCACAAUGUAAUAGUAAAAUGUUAUUGUUUACUAUUCUAGUCAAUGUUCACUUGGCAUGUUAACUACUUAAAGUUAAAUCUUUGAAGACCUGCCUGAAGGCUGUCUAGCCUAUAGACCCACCCGUAGGCUGUCUGGCCGGUGCCGAGCCUAAUGGCCCCGUGGUAGUCAACAUCCCCAUUCUAGGAAUGAGGCUUGCCCACGACAAUCCACUUCGGCGCCCAAUCCCGCACGGCGAAUAUGUAUCACGAUGGCCAUCUUUGGAGUGCCGGCUUAGGAAUGAGGCUUGCCCACGACAAUCCACUUCGGCGCCCAAUCCCGCACGGCGAAUAUGUAUCACGAUGGCCAUCUUUGGAGUGCCGGCUUGUAAGGAGCGACCCUCACAAGCAUGUGCGAAUGAGCACAAUGGCAAGAAAGCGCAGAUCCGUCUCAAGUUUCAAGUCAUCAUGUCUAAAACAUGAAUGUAUCGAAUGUCUCAAGGGCUUAUCUCUAUGUUAUCAUGUCUAAAACAUGGAAUAUAGUAAAUGUCAAUGGCCUACCACUAUAUCUCUAUAUUGCAGUUUUCCAGUUUGCUGGUUCAUGUGCCCCUUCAUGACACUUUUUUUCACUAAGUCAAAGCAUGAUAAUUAUGUUCAUGAAUACAUAAUUCUAAUCAUUUCCCUCGCAUGAGACAUGUAAUCAACCCGCAAAGAUAAACAUUUCCACAUGCAUGCAGCCUACACAUAUAGCUCCACUAUAUAGAGUGAAAUUUUCAUUAUACAUAACACAUGCAUUUUAAGUAUUCUAAAAUUCACAUAAAUUCCAUUUAGCAUGAAUAUGCAAUCAAAUUGACGUUACGACAAAUAUAAUACACAUAGGGGCCAUUUCGCCCCGAUUUCAUGAAGCCAAACCCACCACAACUCUUGCGACCCUUCGUUUGCUCCGACGAAGGUGCCCACUAGUGUCCUAGCACCCUAAAGAUGUAGAAACAAGAGUUAAACGAACCUUACGAACAUCCCAAAGCUCAAACAUUAACCAACUCUAGCUAAGGUGGAGAAAACUCACCUAUAGUGUAGAAAUCCUCUAAGAAAUCCUAAAUGGAAGCCAAAUCCCUUCUAAAGCAACCUAUACCAAGGUUCUAAACCAAUCAAUUAGGUUCCAAAGCCCUCAAAUGAAAAACCCCCAAUUCUAACCCUAAAACCCCAAUCUAGGGUUUCAUUUGGUAAAACCUACCAAAACAUGCUCCAAAGAGUAGAUUAAGCAUACUAACCUCCUUGGUAGCUCCAAACCAAGCUCAAAAUGCUCUAGGGUUGAAGGUUGAUCCUCUAUCAAGCUCCUAGCCCAAGCUCCAAGCCACCAAUGGUGAGAAGAGAGGGUGUGGGGGAAGUCCAAAGUCCACCAAGCAAGCUCUCCUUGCUCUUCUCCUCCUUCUUCCCUUUCUUCCUUCUCCUUCUUCUUCUCUUUCUAGAGAGUGUGAAAGAGUGAGAAGUGAGGAAAAGAGAGAGAGGAAAAGCCCUAAAAGCCCUCUAAAGUAACAAAAUCUAGAAAAGCCCCUCAACUUUGCAACCUGUGCACUGCCUGACUAGGCAGUUUUCGGGUGGAGGGACCGGUCUUUCCCCACAUGGGACCGGUGUAGCACACUGGACCUUUGCAAAUUGCGAGGUUCGAGUGUUUGAUAUGCAUUCUGAACUUUUCCACACUUGGUGGAAGGUCGUAGAUAGUAUUCCAACCUAAAAGUUUGAUUCCUGGAGUUUUGGCUUUGUUCUAAGAGUUUUCACUCUCGGGGACCGGUCCCUGAUAGGAGAGAUCGGUCCCCUCAGAACAGUGCUGCAGCAGGACUUGAGGCAACCGGUUCGUUGUGGGUGAGACCGGUCCCCAAGAGCAACUACACGGGGAGAGACCGGUCCCAUGCGGGGAGAGACCGGUUUCCGAACAUUGGAUUUUCGGGGCAGGCUGAGAGACCGGUCCUAGGUCAGGGAGACCGGUCCCUCAGUCCGAAAAUUGCCCAGUUCGGGCAGUGCAUUAGAUGCAUUGUUGAGGGGCUUUUCUGGAUUUUGUUACAAUAGAUAACCUAUAUGGCCAUUUCACCUCUCUCCCUCCCUCAUUUCACACUCUCCUUUGCACCUUAGAGUGAGAAAAAGAAGGAGAAGAAGAGGAAGAAGAAGGAGUUGGAGGAGAGCAAGAUUUUGAGGCUUUGGAGCAUCUUCCUCCCCCUUUGCUCAUCAUUGGAGGCUUGGAGCUUGGGCUAGGAGCAUGAUAGAGGGUUAAUCUUCAACCCUAGAGCAUUUUGAGCUUGGUUUGGAGCUACCAAGAAGGUUAAUUGCUUGUUUCUUCCCUCUAGAUCUAUUUUUGGUGGAUUUUGGGAGAUGAAACCCUAGAUUGAGGAAUUAGGGUUUGAUUUGGGGAUUUUGGAUUUGUGGCUUUUAGAGCUCUAUUGAUGGGUUUAGAACCUUGGAUUAGAUUGCUUUGGAUGGGAUUUGGCGUCCAUUUGAGCUUUAUUUGAGGAUUUCUUCACCAAGGUGAGUUUUUCUCCACCUUAGCUUGAGGUAGUUAACGAUUGAGUAUAGGGUUAAUCGUAAGGUUCGUUUAACUCUUGUUCCUACAUAUUUAGGGUGCUAGGAGGAUAGUGGACACCUUCGUCGGAGCUUACGAAGGGUUUCGGUAUCUACGAUGGGUUUGACUUCAUGAAAACGGGGCAAAAUGGCCCCUAUGCAUUACAUACUCGUCGUAAAGUCUUUUUGAAUGUAAAUCCAUGCUAGAUAGAAUUUAUGGAAAUUUUAAAAUCCUUGAAAUGCAUGUGCUAUGUGUAAGAUAAAUAUCACUCUAUAUAGUAGAGCUAUAUGUGUAGACUGCAUGCAUGUGAAAGGUGUGCAUCUUUGCAAGUUGAGAAUAUGUCUCUUAUGCUAGAAAUGAUUAGAAUUAUGUAUUCAUGAACAUAAUUAUCAUGCUUGGACUCAUUGAACAAAAUGUCAUAAAGGGGCACUUGAAACUAGUAAACUAUGAAAAUGCAACAUAAAGACAUAGUGAUAGGCGAUUCGGCAUCGACUAUAUUCCAUAUUAGAGACAUGAUGACAUAGUGACAAGCCUUUGUGACAUUCGAUACAUUCCAUGUUUUUAGACAUGAGGACUUGAAACUUGAGACAGACUUAUACGCAUGCUUGCCAUUGUGCUCAUUCGCACAUGCUUGUGAGGGUCGCUCCCUACAAGCCGGCACUCCGGAGUUAGCAUCACGAUACAUAUUUGCCGUGCCGGAUUGGGCGCCGAAGUGGAUUGCCGUGGGAAAGGCUCAUUCCUAGAGCGGGGAUGUUGACUAUCAUGGGGCCAUUAGGCACGGCACCGGCCAGACAGCCUACGGGUGGGUCUUACAGGCCAGACAGCCUUCGGGUGGGUCUUCAUGCCAGACAGCCUUCGGGUGGGUCUUAUAAGAUUAAACUUUUAACAAUUAAAGUGACAAGUGGACAUUGUCUAGAAUAGUAAAAUCCAUCAUCGCAGGAACUCACCCGCUAGAACCGUCCUUCGGGUUUACUCCAACCCGUGAUGCAUAACUCCGGAGCGCAUCGCCCGAGGGGGAGCGACCGCCCUCGAGCACGGAACUCAUAGCAAGUAUGAUCAUAUCCUUAACUCAAAGGAUUUAUAAGUUCAAUCUUGACUUUACACUAGCUCUAGUGUUCUUUCGUCACUUUUUGUUGCCACUCUAGCAAUCAUUGUUCUUUACCAUUCAUUACUCUUGCUAACUCUAGCAAUCAUAUUUUUUACAUUCUUUACUUUUGGCUACCUCUAGCACUUCAUGUUCUUUACUCCCCACAUUACUUUAACUUUAAACAUUGUCAUUUUCAUCAUUCUUUACAUUACAUUGGUUCUUUACCUCACACUAUCUCUAGUGUCAUUUUACUUUAACUUUAUCGAAUGCCACUCGAUCUAUGUCAUUGUGUCACUCUGUUCUUUUGCUCACUUUGGGUGCUCACUUUUCUCUCAUGCAUACACAUAGGGUUUUCGACGUUCACAUAGUUCUCAUUCAUCAUAUUAUGCAAGUUGUACUCACAAUCAUGCAUCAUCACAUUUUCAUCAUUACUUUACCCUAAAAUGUAUGCAACAAUAUAUAUACACAUGCUCAAAUGAAUGACACAUUAGGCAUAGAGAGAAGUUCAAUAAGUUUGAGAAGCACCACCCACCUCGUAGGCUUUCAAAGGUGCUCCGAUAAUUUACUUGGAAUUUUUAGGUCCUUCGUUCUUUACCUGCGGCAUAACAAAGCCAUAUUAGGCCAUUUUGCCCAUAUCUUUACAUCGCCUUUUUGUAACAUUAAUCCGAGCGCACCAACGCGUCGGAAAUACCCCCAAUUAGGUUUCUAGAGGGUCAAUUGCACUUAGAAAUCCCCAUGAGCAAAAGCCCCAAUUUGGGUGCCCUAGCUCCAUAGCAUGUGAAAUCCUAGGGUUUGAUCUCAAUGGGAAGCAAAAGUAGCUUCAUUAUACUCUAAAAAGUCCAUUAGAACCAUCUUUAGACAAAUCAAAACCCUACUUAGUGUUUCACCAUGAGAGGUGAUGAAGCUCACCUCAAGCUUCACCAUUUCUAUGGUCUUGAUCUCAAAAGAAGCAAAAAAAAAGUUUCAAAUACUCUAAAAGCUCCACAAAAACCAUUUAUAGCUUAAUCUAAACCCUAGAUUAGGUUUUACCAUGAUUAGGGUUCAAAGCUUACCUUGUAAGCCUCCCUUUUCCAAGCUAGAGACGAGGGAGAAGGAGUUUCUUCACUCCUUCUUCUUCUUCUCCACUUUCUUCCUCUUCUUUUCCUUCUUUUUCCUUCUCUUCUUCUUCUCCUUCUUGUCUUCUAGAGAGAGAAAGAGAGAUGAGAGUGGGAGAGGGUGUGAAAUGAGAGAAAAGCCCUCAUAACCCUCAUACUAUACUCAAUGGGUUGCAAAAUUGCAGCUAAACCCCUCAACUUUCAUCUUAUUCAAUUGCCUGGACUGGGCAGAUUUCGGGCUCGGGGACCGGUCUCCCCGACUAGGGACCGAUCUCCGAGAGCUCUCCCAGCGCAGCCAGAACUGCUUCGCGCAAUGCGACCGGUCUCUCUCUGGUGGGACCAGUCUCUGGGGGACCGGUCUCUCAGGCAGGGACCGGUUCCCGAGAGCUAGUUUCUCAGGACUUAGCCAUUUUUCCUCAUUUCUCAUUUUUCACGCGUUCGGGGACCGGUCUCUUCCACCAGGGACCGGUCCCAGAGAGCUGAAAAUCUGCAGUUUGCAGAAUUUUGAUUCUUAGCUCUCGAAAACCUUCCACAACACACUUUUACCCAUUUUACACCUUCGGACUUUCCGAAGUGUACCAUCCUCGCACUUUGGUCAUUUUGAUUAAAGUUCGAUAUUUAUUUUCCGAAUUUUCGGUAUAUUACAUAGUGCUAUGUCCGUACGCACGCCAUGCGGGCAAGCAGCAUGCGUGCAGUGUUUACAUGCGACGUGGCUAGGAUGCGGCUAUGUCAUGUGGUUGCAUCGUGAAUCGCAAUUUAAAUUAGUUUUAAAUUUUAAAAUUUAAUACAUAAGAUGUAUUAGAUCUUUUUAAUAAUUUUACGAAAAUUGCAAUUCUUGAAAUAAAUAAAGAUUUAUUUUAAAUUAAUCCGAAACCCAAUUAAUUAGAAUUCGAAUUAGAGAAUUUGUUUUUAUAUGCAUGUGAUGUAUAUGAGGUGAUGAUCAUGGAUAGCGACCUUGUGAUGUGCAUGUAUCAUGUGAUGAUGUGAAUUUUUGUAAUUUAAUAAGGAUCCAGUAUUAGAUUAUAUUUUUUUUGGUUCCUGCGCGUGCCAGUUAAAUUAUGUAAUUUGGAGACCUGCGUGUCUCAUUAAUUUUAUGCGUGUUGUUAAAGUUAUUGUUAUAAAAUAAUAAACGAAAAAAGGUAGUUAGGUUCCAGAGGGAUUCAUUGCAUUUCAAGAGUUGAUGCGAUGGGAUCAAGUUUUGGACCAGAUGCUGAAUCAAGGCGAGAAGACAAGAGUGAUCAACUCAAUCUCCGAUCCGAGACGCGAAUAAGAAAGGUUUUCUGUGUGCUAAUCCCUUAUGACAACAACGAUCCAGUCUGUGGCUCAGGCACCGAAUCAAGAUAAAAAUCCAUUUCAUCACCGGUAGUAUUUUAUCAUAUGCGAUGUAUGUAUGCAUGUGUGUAUGUGCGUUUGCAAUGAGAUGUAAAUUUAAUAAUAAAUUUAAAACUGAUGAGACAACUAAAUCGUCCCUAAUAAAAUUAAGUUAAUCGGUGUUAUGAACCCUUAGGCCUUCCACCGUUGAUAGGGGUGUAGGCGUCUCUUUAGUUUGAUUAAUGCACCGGAUACGGGCGUCAGUUGCAUUAAGAGCCGCAACCAUUCUAAUUUGGCAUGAGAUGCGUGCUGGUGAAGAAAUGGAUUAGAUCCAAGAAAUUUGCCAGGAUGAGGGAUUCAAUGACAUUCUUAUUUGCACGAUGAACUGUGGGUCUAACUUAACCACGAAGAUAAAGCAAGAUUCUGUCAGGAUGAGGCCUAUAUUCUUAUUGGAGGCCAAGAUGUAGAUUGCAAUUUGCCUUGAACAGCAUUGAACAGAAGUUGUUCAGUUAAUUUGUUUGCUCAUUGCAAAGAAUCUGUCAGGAUGAGGUGAGGUGAUGUGUAGAACAGAUGGGACCGCAAUACCCACUAGAAACUUAUAAACAAAGUUUACUUGUUUGCUCCGCUCGGGGGAAGUGUGGAGAUUCGUCAAAUUAGUGAAGGCACCUUUAGAUUUAAAGACCAAUCAAAUGGAUCUAAGAUAUAAGUACAUAAUAAUUAGAAUCUAUAACCUUCUACAGAAAAUGGUCAUCUAAGCCCACUUGCCAAAAUACUUUGAUAUUAAUGCUUUAACUGACUCGAAUUCACCGAUUGGCUGAGAAAAAUUGAGAAUGUUCUCAAUUUUGAGAAAUUAGCCUAUGUGUGGACACGAGCCUCCAGCGUGUGCCCGAAAAUUCGACGGCUCAACAAGCAGCUGCAAAAAUAAAUGGACUUGAUGACGCAUAUGAGGUGAAAAUGUUACAUUGCUUGGUCUUAUGGAGCCAAUGAGUUGCAACGCAGCAUGAGCACGAUGGAGAGCUGUGCCUGAUAUUUCUACUUCAUCUCAAGGAGUUGUAUGAUGAAAGAAAGUCGAAACAGCCUCGCUCGAGGUGUCGAAGCGGACUGUAUGCAGGGCUAAGAUCGUCGAGAUUCAUUGUCAUUGAAACUACUAAUCUUAGCGGUUUGUUCUACCUUCAAUGGGUCAUGACUGCUUAGAUGCACCUCGAUUUUAUGUAAUUCAAUGCAGGGCUAAAACAAAGUAGAAGACUUAAGGAUGCGAGAGCUUAACCCUUACGCGUUGGAAACGAAGCAAGCAGUUUGCUGCUGUUGCUGGGGACUUAUCCUUUAUGUCUACCGACGGAGUAAGUUUUAGAACUGAGAUUUGUCUUAAGUUCCGUUAGUGCGACUUAGAAACCUUAAUUUCUAUUUUCACGCUUAGGUAUUGGACGGUUAUAAGUUUAUUUUUGAAUCAAACGUCUUAUUCAAUUUAUUUGAGAAAUAAUUUGAUCGGUUAUGUUCUUUAAUGACAAUCUCUAUCACUUCGCAUAUGCGAUGUUAGUGUUAAUACAGUUGAUAAUGGCAUGAAUAAGAAUAUCAUUGGUUUCAAAAGACAAGAGGAGGUAAUAUAAGAACGUACUUGUGGCAUCUUAGACCUUGGUACAUUGGAGAGGAUAGGAUUAACAUUGAGCUAGAAUGGCCUUAGGUCCUUACCUUUUGAAACCAUACCCAGCUUGUGACAUGUUCUUCAACGGAAAAAUAACUAAGUCUUCUUUUUGUUGGAAAAGAGACGAGAAAGCUACUGAAGUACUCGCCCUAAUACAAUACUGAUGUAUGUGGACAUUCAGAUGUAGUCUGGCUUGGGGUGGCUUAUCUCUACUUCAUUAUCUUUAUUGAUGUCACGCCAGGGACUUCAGCGGAAGCUGACCCGGUGAAACCAUGACCGCCCAGACCCGGCCCAUACGUACUAAAACAUAUCAAGGCGUCUACAAAAAAUUAAUCGAUAGAUAAAACAAUUAAUACAAAGAAAUCUAGUGAUAUCAGAGCAUUGGUAAUAACUAGCUUCUUAACAAGGAAGGACCAUUAAAGCAGAAAAGUCCCUAGAUAAAAACAUAAGUAAGUACAAUAGGAUCCAUAACAAGUGCUAAAAGGAGUACAGGUGGUCUCUCUGCACCAUUGAUACAACACCUCUUCACAAAAUAUAAAUAUGGAGAUAACACGCUAGCCCGCAAAGAACUCUCCGCGAGCUAGCUACCGACACCCUUGCGCGAUCCCGUGCCUCCGCCGGGUCUGCCGAAGCUCUGAAAGGACAUAGAAACAGGGGUGAGAACUAUUAAAUAAUAGUCCAGUGGGCAAUUACUGACUUCAGUGAAAUGGCACCACUAGGCCGAAACUAUAGAAAAGGGUCAUGUACAUUAUAACAAAAAGCGAUAAAUGCGCGUAAGUUAAAAUAAAUAAAAUGAGUACCCCAAUAAUCAUGAAACUCUACUUAGACAUAAUUUACAUAAGUUAAAGAUGCAAACUACUAGCUAUAUGCACAUGACACACUCAACAUAUUAAAGCAUGAUUAUGCAACUACUGAGGUCACAAUCGUAAUAGUAAAAAGAUGUGCAUUGUUUACUAUUCUAGUCCAAUUCCACUUUAAUAGUUAUAAGAAGUUCACAUAGCAUGUUCUGUCACAAGUCCCAUCAUAUGAAGACCGCCACCCGAUAGGCUGUCUGGCUAGCCAGUGCCUAAUGGCCCCGUGUAGGUCAAAUCCCACUCUAGGAUGAGCCUCCCCACGGGCAAUCCAUUCGGCGCCCAAUCCGCACGGGCGGCAUAUUGUCGCGAGCUUAUCCGGAGUGCGGCUGUAGUGAGCGACCCUCACAAGCAUUGUGCGAUAUUGAGCCACAAGAUGGCAAGCAAGCAAAUGAUCCGUCUCAAGUACCAAGUCUCAUGAUCUAACAACAUGGAAUUAUCAAGUAUCUCAAUGGCUAUCUCUAUUUGUCAUCAUGUCUCUAACAUGGAAUAUAGCAGAUACGUAGCUGUAUUCAAUAUGUCUCUGGUUGCAGUUUAAUGUUUACUAAUUGUCAAGCUAGCCCCUUGAUGACACUCUUGUUUUUCAUAUGUCAAGCCCCCCAUGGCAAAACUAUAUUUCAAGGACAUGUUUCGCCAAGUCAUGAUCCUCAUUAGAGAUUGUACUUUUCACUUCAAAUAGAACGCUUUUCCCGUUAUGAUUGGUUCUACUCAUAUAGCUCACUAGUAUAGUGAAAUUUUUAUAAUACACAAGGCAUGCAUUUUAAGUGCUCUAAAUCCAUAUAAAUUCCUAUAGCAAGAAAUGAACUUAAAAAUAUUUUACGACAAGUAGAAAGGGCAUAGCGGGCCAUUUCGCCCCAAUUUCCACGAACCAAAACCCACGCGAUGACAAGAAACUCUGUCGUUUGCUGCCACGACGGGAUGUCCCUAGUUCUCCUAGUACCGCUAGGAGGUAUUAGAAACAUUGUGCAUACGAGAACAACACGAACAAUACCUAGCUCAAUCAUUAAGAAUAAUCAAGCAUUAGUGUGAGGAAAAAACUCACUUUAGUGCAAAUCUCUCUAAAGCUCCAAAGGAGAGUAGCAGCCCUUCCAAUCAACAGAAUGCGAAGCCUCUAAUCCAUCAACUAGCUUCCAAAAGCCCUAGAUUCAAAAUGCCCAAUUUAAGCCCGUAAAACCUCAUUCUAGGUUUCACACAAAAGAAGCCAAUAAAAAUCUAAUUUAGAGGAGAGGAUGAGCUACUUAACCUUUAGAAGCUUCAAAUAAGGAUCAAAUCCUCCAAGAGUGGCAGAUCUGCCUCACCCAAGCUCCAAGAUCAAGCUCCAAUGCGUGGAAAGCUUCCAACAAGCAAAGAAGCAAAAAAUGUGAGGGUUUAACUCUACCAAAAUUUCAAGCUAAAAAGGGAUGAAAUCCAAAGAGGAUGGUGAGGAAGCGGUGCCCUCCUUCUCCUCCCUGUGAUCUGGAGCUCAAAAGAGGUGCCUAAGGGGGUAGGGGUGCUAAAUAGAUUUAGAGCACAAACGCCGAAAAAAACCCUGCAGUUCCGGACUGCACGAAAAUGCCUCCUUGUACCCGUACACGGGCUCUUGUACCGGUUACAAGGCCCACGAAAAUGCAAACCCGAGGCUCGGGUCGCGGGCUCUGCGGUCUGUAACGUACAAGCCGAUGGCUGUUACCGUACAACCCAUCAAACUAUGUACCGGUACCAAAGACCAGUCUUGUUCCGUACAGCUCUGCUGCAGGGCUACCGGAGGACCAAAUAAUUCCGAAUUUGGAAUUUUCGCGUGCCUGAUCUCAAACCAAAAAUCCUCAGCGGUGCGAUUGCAGGUCGGAACACUCAUCAACAAACCUAUCCAAACGAACUGUGGAAAGGCUCCCCACACGAUCAAACACUCGAAUCUUGCGAUUUGCAAGAUCCAGUGCAUUAACAUUUCACCCCUCUAAAAAGGAUUCAGUUCCCGCGAGCGAAACUCAAAAUGCGAUGUAUCUCAAGCUCCAGCCUGGAAAAAUGAGGGUAGCGCUCCUGCCCAAAGCGCUCUCCCUCCACGUAGCCUCCGGCGCUCCCCUCCGUGGUUGUCAAAGAACUUCACAAUAACGGAAUGUCACCGAUUUCCAGCAGCUUCUUCACCUCGCGAGCCAAAAUCUUCACGGGUUUGCUCCUCGAAGCUCAAUCCUCGCGCCCAGCUCCACUGGUAUAGUCUCCAAAACGUGAGCUGGAUUUAUAAAUGUACCUCCGAAGGACCGAUACAUGAAAGACGUUGUGCACGCCGGAUAUGGUUCAGGUGGAUUAGAGCAAGUCCGAUAUCCUACCGGACCUACCACGCUCCAAGACUCAAUACGGUCCAAUGAAACGGGGCUCAACUUUCCCUCGAAUCCGAAUCUCUUGAUUCCCUUUAGUCGGCGAGACCUUCAAGAAAACAUGGUUCCAACUUGGACUCCAAGUCCGCUGUCCGUCGAUCAGCGUAGCACUCCUCUGUCUCUCUGCGCCGUUCAAAAGUCGCUCCGAGCAAUUCCAAAACCUUGUCCUCAGCCUUCCUUGAGAGCCACAUCAGUGGCUAAAAGCCAAUCUCUCGCCGACUUUAACUCCAAUGGAAUGCAAUAUUACCUUCGUCCAUAAAGUGCUCGAGGGCGCCAUCUUAUGCUUGUUGAUUAACUGUUUUAUAAGCCAAACUUCGCCAUAGGUUAAGAUGCUGGCGACAACAUCCCUGGAAGUUCUAUCACACAAGCCGGACAUAUCUUCUAAAGUCUGAAUAGUCGCGGCUCUUUUUAGACUGUCAUCACUCUGGGGUGAAUGCUGUACUAAAUCUAAUCGAGUUGCUAAGGCUCCUGCAGGACUUCUCAAAAGUUAACACAAAAGCUCUGCACGGUGUCUCGAUCCGAAAUCAAUCGACUGUAGGCACACUCCAUGAAAGUCGCACAAUCUCAUCAAGUACCUGUCCGAGCUUCUUCCCCGUCCCCAAGUCGCAUGAAUAGGUAUGAAGUUGCGACCGACUUCGUCAACCUAUCCCGAUCACCCAAAUAAGGCAUCGUUCCUGCUUGAGGCGAGCGCAACGCCCUUGUCACAAAUCAUUGGUGCAUUUUCCUACUUUUCACACUGGAAUAGCAAACUCUGAAGCUUCUCGCAGGAACUCGGUGCUCAGCCAUUCCACCUGUUGGCAAUGUUCAGACACCUAGACAAAAACUCACGAACAUCCUUUUUUCAUUCCCAGCCCCAAUAGAGCAACUUUAGAUCCUUAUACAUCUUUUGGGCCCACCGGCAUGAUUAGCGAUACGGCGCUCUAUGCCCGCUUUCGGGAAAUCCUCUUUAAUCCCGAAUCCGCGGGUAUACAAAUUCCGCCCACGGUAAACGCAUCAAUCCCUGAUCAUCCAAAGGAACUGUCGCCAGUACAACCAAUCACCAUUUUUCCUCUAUCUUUGCCCCACAUCGGAAGCUUGUUUCUUUAAUUCUAGUCCAACAAUGUUGGUUGCACCACCAAUGUCUCAACCUCUAGGCGUGUCAGGGCACUAUCUCCACUCAACCGCUUCAUUGCAUCGAUCAACUGCCGGUUGCGGUCACAAAUGCACGCUAAGAUUUUCAGUCGAUUUCCUAUCUUAGCGCAUCGCCACCACGUUAGCCUUGCCGGCGGUGGGUAAAGAAUCAGACAGUCAAUAAUCCUUAGUAGCUACACAACCACUGCGCCUGCCUCAAGUUCAACUCCUUCUGAGUAAUAUAGGUACUUUAAGCUCUGUGAUCGGUAUUACUUCACACGUUUGCCAUAAAGAUAGUGGCGCCAUAGCGUCAGGCGACCUACCGGCCGCCAACUCCAAAUCAUGGUUGUUUGGUAAGUUCUUCUCAUAUUCUUUAGUUUGGCGAGAGCAUACGCGAUCACUUGCCAUCCUGCAUCAAUACACAGUCCAAUCCAUUAAGUUGAAGCAUCACUAUUAAACCCAUAUUACCCUGCUCCAUCUACUGUAGGGAUCAAGAUCGGGGCUGUCAAUACUCUGCUUCAAACUCUUUGGAAGCUUCGCUCGCACGCCGUCAUUCCAAAUGAACUUGACUCCUUUAUGUGUGAUUCUCGUGAGGAUGUAGACGUUUAGCCAAACCUCUACAAUAUUCUCCGUAGUAACGGCCAAUCAAGGAAGCUUUUGUAUCUCCGUGACGUUAGUCCGGUCUUCGGCCCAAUCUGAUUGCUUCAAAUCCUUCUGGAUCCACUGCCUAUACCUGAUCCUGAAAUCAAGUAUCCAAGGAAAGGCUACCUCUCGAAGCAAACAUUCACAUGGGCUUCACUUUGAAUUAAAGCUCUUUUCCCGAAAGUACUUGAGUACAAUCCUCAGAAAUACUCUGUGAAUCCGCGAUCACUCGAGAGUAGACCAAAAUAUCGUCGAUGAACACCAUGACGAACCUGUCUAGAUAAGGCUUGAAAACACGGUUCAUUAGAUCCAUAAAAGCUGCCGGGGCAUUAGUAAGCCCGAACGGCAUAACUGUGAACUUAUAAUGUCCAUACCGUGUCCUGAAAGCCGUCUUUGAUAUGUCCUCGGGCUUGAUCUUCAACUGGUGGUAUCCCGACUGCAAGUCGAUCUUGGAAUACACACAUGAUCCCUGAAGCUGAUCAAACAAGUCGUCAAUCCUUGGCAACGGAUACUUGUUCUUGAUCGUGACUUUGUUAAGUUCACGAUAAUCCACACAAAGGCGAAGCGAUUCGUCCUUCUUCCUGACGAACAAAACUGGUGCUCCCCAAGGCGAAACGCUCGGUCGAAUGAAGCCUUUGUCCAACAAAUCCUGCAGCUGUGCCCUCAGCUCCUUUAGCUCUGCCGGUGCCAUCCUAUAGGGCGCCUUUGAGAUUGGGGUAGUCCCAGAGACGAGAUCUACCACAAACUCAAUCUCCCUAUCAGGAGGCAUACCCGGUAGCUCAGUUGGAAACACAUCCUGGAACUCUCGCACCACCGGGAUAUCCUCGAUCCUAGGGGUGUCAUCCUCGCCCCUCAGCACCACACUAGCCAAAUAGGCUACGCAACCUCUGCUAAUUAGCUGCCUAGCACGAGACGAGCUGAUCGUCAUCGCAAACAGCGAACUCCGGCAUCCACUAAAUACCACCUCAGUCUGCCCAGGUUCUCUAAAUGUAACCGUGCGAUUCUUACAAUCAAUCGUGGCAUAAAACUUGGUCAACCAAUCCAUACCCAAGACCACAUCAAAAUUUCCCAGCUUGCGCAAAGCUAGCAAAUCUAUAGGCAUGAUCCAAUCUCCUACCCGAAUAGGGCAACUGGGACCAUACUCUCUAAUGUCCAAGAUGUGGUCGGGUACAACAACAUGUCCCGUAUGCAACAAAGGAACCAAAGGGAUGCCAUGCAACUCGGCAAACAACCGAUCUAUAAAUGAAUGCGAUGCACCGGUAUCGAAUAAAGCACGAACUCUAAUGCCAUCAAGUAAAAUGAUACCUGCAACCACAUCCUCGGCUGCUGCCGCCUCCUCGGUCUGAGCGGCGUACAUGCGCCCACUCGGGGCCUGUUGAGAUCCCUCGCCCUGGCGCUGGACGGGUGGCCACCCAGGCUGGUACUGUGUCGAUGGAGUCCCCUGGCUAGCGGCUGGUAGAGCCGGUGCCGAUGCAGUCGAUGGUGCCGGUGAAGAUUCCCUCGGGCACUCGGUCCGAAAGUGGCCCUCCUGGCCACACUGGAAACACCUCCUUCCCUGCUGCGGGCACUGCGGUGGAAUGUGGGGGCCACCACAAAUCACGCACUGGGGAGAUCGGCGUUGGUCAGAACCUCCUCGGUGAGUCGCCGAGCCACGCCCACGCUGCUGGCUCCUCGAAUGCCUCGGCGGCCUCCUAGAGUGCGUCUGGCUCACACCCUCAGCCGCAGCCUCUUGGCCUUCCCUCUGUCCCUAGCCUCACGCUGCUCCUGGACCUCUGUCGCGCCGCUCUCCACGAUGAGCGCGCGAUCCACCACCUCUCGGUAGGUUUGGAGGUUAGAGGAUUACACAAACCGGAAAAACGACGGUCGCAACCCUCGCUCGAAGAUGCGGGCCUUGUCCUCGUCGUCCCGCACGACAAAAGGCACGCAAUACAGAAGCCGAGAAAACUCCCUCUCGUACUCAGCUACGGUCCGGUCGCCUUGGCGCAAGUUGCGCAGAUCCUGCUCCAUCUUCCGCUUGACGCUGGUCGGGAAGUAAUGGGCCAAAAGAAGCUCCUUGAACCUCGUCCAAGUGAUAGUCGCCAAGUCAGUGCUGGGGUGCUCCUGAAAAUCCAACCACCAGCUGUAGGCCUCGCCGUCCAAGUGGUAAGUGGCGAGCCAAACUCGAUCCCUCUCCUCCACGAAAGUGUCGCGGAAGAGCUUCUCCAUAUGCAUCAACCACUUCUCCACGAUCCAGUGGUCGACCUUCUCGCCGUCGAAGACUCGGGGACUGCACCUCCUGAACUCAUUGAGGCGCUCCAUCAGUCUAUCUCGCUCCGCCCCCUCAACCAAAGUAGGGAAAGCUGCUCCAACCGGGGGCCUCUGCACAGGUGGUGCCACCAAAACCUCCUCCUGGGGUACGGCCGCAGGCGCCGCACGCGAAGAACUGGGCGCGGGGGACGGCGCUCUCGGUGCAACGUCCACAACUGGUGCUGGCGGUGUAGGGGCCUGAGUCUCCCUGGAAGCUGCCGCCUGCUGCAAUAGUAGGUCCUCCAGACGCUUCAUCCGCGCCUCCUGUCGGCGCGCCGCCUCGGUCUGCUGUCGGGCCGCCUCCGCCUGCUGAGUGACCAAAUCAGUGAGGGCCGCAAGCUGGCCCCUCAACUCACGGACCUCGCUGGAUCCGGAGGUAGCGGAGGUCUCGACCUCCUCGAAGUUUGCCGCAUUGUCCGCCCCGGCAGAUUGGGAGCGAGUAAUCGGCAUUGUCACUACAAAACAUAAAAGCGGAAGUUAGUAAAACCCAUGCUAUCGCAUCCCCGCUCAAAAAGCAAUACCCAAAUCAUGCGAAAGUAAAGAAAUGUUCUUCACCACUAACUCCCGAUGUUACGUUAUCGGCCGCUAACGUAACCCUCCGCGAAGUUAGGAGUUAUACACUUCAAUUUAACUCCACUUUCUAGAGUUAUUCAAGAUACCCAAUCUAGAUACUUUCGCUUACAAGUCGAAUAGACCUCGUCUCUCACGAGCCUAUUUCCUAUAGUCCAACCGGCCUAAGGUUUACUAGAUCCCCUAAGACUCAACCCUAGGCUCUGAUACCAAAUUAAUCUGUCACGCCCCGGGGCUCAGCGGAAGCCUACCCGGUGCGUGCCCAGACCCACCAUACGUCUAAAACAUAUAAGGCGUCUAUAAAAAAAUUUCGAUAGAUAAAAUAAUAAUACAAGAGAUCUAGUGAUAUCAGAGCAUUGUAUAACUAGUUCUAUAUCAAGAAAAAGACAUAAAGCAGAAAGUCCACUAGAUAAAAACAUAAAGUAAGUACAAUAGGGAUCCCAUAACAAGUGCUAAAAGGAGUACAAGGUGGUCUCUCUACACAUGGUACAACACCUCUCUCACAAAAUAUAAAAUGGGGGAGUAACCACCUAGCGCAAAAGAACUCUCCGCGAGCUAGGUACGCGACACCCUUGCAGCGAUCCCGUGUCUCCGCCGAUGCCGAAGGCUCUGAAAAGGAACAUAGAAACAGGGGCGUGAGAACUAUUAAAUAAUAGUUUCCAGUGGGCAAUUACUGACUUCAGUGAAAUGCACCACUAGGCCCGAAACUAUAGAAAAAUGGUCAGUGUACAUUAUAACAAAAGCGAUAAAUGCGCUGUAAGUAAAUAAAUAAACAAGUACCCAAUAAUCAUGAAACCUCUACUUAGCAUAAUUUACAUAAGUAAGAUGCAACUACUAGCUAUAUGCACAUGAACACCGAACAUAUAAAGCAUGAUUAUGCAACUACCCAGAGUCCACAAUGUAAUAGUAAAGAUGUCAUUGUUUACUAUUCUAGUCCAAGUCCACUUUAACAGUUAUAGAGUUCACAUAGCAUGUUCUGUCACCAAGUCCCAAUCAUAUAAGACCCACCCGAAGGCUGUCUGGCCUGCGCCGUGCCUAAUUGCCCCGUGGUAGUCAACAUCCCCACUCUAGGGAUGAGCCUCCCCCACGACAAUCCACUUCGGCGCCCAAUCCCGCACGGGCGAGCAUAUGUCGCGAUGGCUAUCUCUGAAAGUUUUGAGGAGCCCAAGGAUCUAUCUAGAUUGUAUAUAUCUAGAUGGGGGGUUGAAUAGGUGUUAACGGGCCAAAACCUACAAAUUCUCGAUGAAAAAAAACAAUAAAAAUUAAAUGCGGAAAAUAAAAAGCAAACCGAGAUUUACGUGGAAAACCCCAACUGGGAAAAACUUCCGGACCUAACACGCGAAAAAAUAAUUCACUUAAGAGAAAAGAUUACCAGGUGAAAUUACCGAUCACGGACUUAACUCUCUUAAACCUCCUUGAUCUUCGCCGCUACACUCUCGGGUUGUCCACGCCCGUCACUGAUCCCGAAUCCACGAAACGCCGCCGUACUUCUAAUUCCACGAGAGCUAACAAUUACAUCCGAAUCCUUCGUGCACUGCUCGUGAUCCACGAGCUGCCACGAUCCGAAUCCAAACGACCGCCGUCAAAUAACGCCGAAUUCCAACGACGCCUCUAUGAAGAGCAUCAUGAUUAUGGUGAUCCUUCGCUUAGGAGUAACGUAGAAAACUCAGGGAUAGAACCCAAGCGAUAGCUGAGAUCAAAUCGGACAUAUAGAGAAUGCGAAACAAUACUCGAUUAUGAUUAAAGGGCUAAUUUGUAGACAAAUAGGUUUUAGAUAUAUCCAGCUGCUAGGGUUUCUCAAACAUGUAUUCUUAUGAUCCUUCUUCUGUUAGAGAAGCCCAAUAACUUAUUUAUAGACUUUAGAAUCAAUUGGAGUCGGAUUAGAAAGAUUUCACGAUUUUACACUGUGUACCGGUACACUUUAGGCUGUCACCGGUUACACAAUGACGGAACGAAAAACCUGACGAAACAGUGGAACCGGUUACACCCUUGAUGGUCGUACCGGUACACAUUUUGUACCGGUACACUUCUGAUGCUAUACCGGUACACUUUGCAAAUUUUCGCCGUUUCGGGUUUUGCAAAGUUCCAAUGCACUUUCUAAUCCGUUAGACAUUGAUAACAUGAUUCUAAUGUCUACAACUAAGUAUGAAUCACCAUAACAUGAAUUUAUACUUUACCUGAGCAUCGUGAUUCAUAUCGUGAGUUAUUUUCCAACUUCUUCGAAAUCUUGAAUUCUUCGAUCUUCGACAACACGCACCGAUUCUUCAAGACUCCGACUCACUUCACGAAACUUGCCAAUACACAAGACUUAACAAUCUCCCCCUUUGGCAAUUUCGUGACAAAACACACACUAACUCAAAAAUUACAAAUUACAAAAAAAUGAAGUUCAAUUGUCAUCACCAAAACAUUGAACUCCUUGCGUGUAAUCCAAAUACAAUUUGAAACUCAAACCUACAUUAAGAACUCCUAAAACAAACUCUAUGACUUAGACACAACUAGGAGUCUUGAAGUCUUGAUUUCCUGCGGAACAAUUCAUCCAAAAAUGAUUAAACUCAAAUUCUUAUACCUUCUCCCCCUUUGUUCUUCACAUCUCGAUCACAUCUCCCCCUUUGUUCUUGAACUCAUCAUCCUCUGCGUAGUUCAUUGCCUGUUGUCAUCCAUGCUCUCCCCCUGUUCUACGUUCUCCCCCUUUUUGUCAAAAAUUGCCAAAAGAAAGCAAAUAGAGAGAGAAAAUAUACUAGAAAGCAUAAAAGUAGACUAGUCAUAGUUACAGGCCUAAAGUAAAAGUAAAAACAAGCGACAGAAAGAUAAGCAAGCAAGUCUAAAACAUCGUCCUAGAAAGCAAGCAUAAAAAGUAACAAGACAAAGCCCGAGGAAGACAUCACUCCGUGUCCUCGUUAUCAUCACCAUCAUCAUCUCCUGCUCCAGCUCCAGAUCCCCCAGCCUCAGGAGCAUCACCAGACGGUGGAAUGAGUGGAUGUCGUGAGCAUCACCAGAUCCCCCUGAACUAGAAGAUCACUAGGUGCUUGUUGCUUAUUUUUAUUCAUUGCAUUACAUGUUUACAUGAUGUUUUGGUGUUUGAAUUUUAUUGGUUUAAAUCUUUUUGAGGAAAGGUAUUUCGGAAUUAAAAUUUUUGAGAAAGGAGAUGAUUGAGAAUCUUUAUUUUUAUUGCAUCGAGAUUUGUGGUUUUUGGCCGUUACACCUAUUCACCCCCCUCUAGGUGAUAGAUACAAUCUAGAUAGAUCCUUGGGCUCCUCAAAACUUUCAAUCUCCGGAGUGCCGGCUUGUAGGGAGCGACCCUCACAAGCAUGUGCGAAUGAGCACAAAUGGCAAGUAAGCAAUGAUCCGUCUCAAGUACCAAGUCCUCAUAUCUAACAACAUGGAAUAUAUCAAGUAUCUCAAUGGCCUAUCUCUAUGUCAUCAUGUCUCUAACAUGGAAUAUAGCAGAUACGUAGUGGCCUAUCAAUAUGUCUCUAUGUUGCAGUUUAAUAGUUUACUAGUUUCAAGUGCCCCUUGAUGACACUCUUGUUUUUCUAUAUCAAAGCAUGGCAACUAUAUUUCAAGGUACAUGUUCCAAGUCAUGAUCCUCAUAAGAGUUGUACUUUCCACUUGCAAAAUGAACGCUUUUCCCGUAUGCAUGCGUUCUACUCAUAUAGCUCUAUUAUAUAGUGAAAUUUUUAAUAAUACACAAGGCAUGCAUUUUAAGUGCUCUAAAAUCCAUAUAAAUUCCAUUUAGCAUAGAAAUGAACUUAAAAAUAAUUUACAACAAGUAGAAAGAGCAUAGAGGCCAUUUCGCCCCAUUUCCACGAAGCCAAACCCACCGAUGACAACGAAACUCCUCGUNNNNNNNNNNNNNNNNNNNNNNGAGACCUUUACCGAGUACUAUACGCGUCUACAAGACGUGGUCAAUACAUGCGCUAACUUGGGAGAGAAAAUCCCGGAUGCUAAAAUAGUUAGAAAAAUUCUUCGAACUCUUCCGGAACGUUUUCGGGCAAAGGUCGCCGCAAUCGAAACGGUCAAACAUCCGGACGAGAUGAAAGUAGAAGAAUUAGUAGGAGCUUUGCAAACGUAUGAAAUGACUUUUCCUACUAAUCAAUCUUCUUCCAAGUCUCUCUCUAAAAGCACAGGGGUUGCAUUGAAAUCUACAAAGGAGAAGGACGAAGACUCGAGUUCCGACGACGAGUUAUCAAUUGCAGAUUUUGAACAUCAACUAGCACUCCUCACGAAGAAGUUUCGUCGAAAUUUCCGGAACAAGAAUAGAUUGAACAAGGCUUCAACAUCUAAGCGACAAUCUUUGUCUAAAUCAUCUUCAUCUUCAAAGUCUAAGGAUAAAAGCCGUGCAAAGUCUUCAAAGGAAAAGGAUGUAUUUGAAGGCGAGAUCCAAUGCUUCAAGUGCAAAGGCUACGGCCACAUUGCGACGGAUUGUCCUUCGAAGAAGAUGUAUAGACAAAAGGCUAUGCAAGCAAAGACGUGGGAUGAUUCAACAUCAAGUGAUUCAUCGUCAAGUGACGAAGAGAAGAAUGAUCAAAUUGCCUUAAUUGCUAAUACACCUUCGUCGAAUGUUGUGUGUUUAUCCUCUAUCGCUACUAAUUCUAAUGUUUCUUUUUCCUCGCAUGAUUCAUCGAGCGACAACGGGGAAAGCGGGGAGGAUUCGAACGACGAGGAUAUAGCGGAAGCUUACAACCUACUUCUUAUUGAAUCAAAGAAGAUGGCUAAACUCAACAAGAAGUUGAGACGUCGUUUGUUGGAACUUGAGGAGGAAAACAACAACUUGAAAACCACGAACAAAGCUCUCGAGGAGGAAAGGGAAUCAAUUUUGAAAACGAAUUCGGACCUCCUCGGGAAGCUUAAUGAAGCGGAAUCAACGAUCAAAUCAUAUAAUGACAAGAUUGGAUUUUUGGAGCAUCAAUUUCAUGAAUCGCACAAGUCCAAUCAAGUCUUGACGGAUCAAGUUCGUCAACUCCAAUCCGAUCUUCAACGAUUUUCUUCCGGAUGAAAGAAAUUGGAUCAUAUGCUCGGAUUGGGUCAAACGAACAAGCUUGGACUCGGAUAUGAACGGACAUACAUUGAGAAGGAUUCUAAAUUAAUUUCGAAAGUGUCAACAAAUGUGAAAGACAAGACGUGUCAUCAAUGCGGUGUCAAAGGACACAUCAAAAGGAAUUGCCCAAAUACGGAAAAGAAGAAACAAUUGGCAAUGUCUACACAUCGAUCGACACUUUCAAAACCUCAAUCGACAUCGUCUACAAUUCGACAUCCCCCACGGAAUCAAAAGCAAAAUCAAGUGCAUAAACUUCAACGCCAAGCUCAACCAAAGCCUCAACCGAAGAAACCACCAACGAUUGAUCGAAAGACUAAACAAACGGCACCUAACGUCAACAAGCCGAGAAAACCAAUGAUCCGACAAGUUUGGAUCCGGAAAGGUGAUAUCUUUCCUUGCUCCUCGUCUUAGUCAUUUUGAUCUUUAGUGUAAUGCUUUGAUAGGUGCUUGUUGCUUAUUUUUAUUCAUUGCAUUACAUGUUUACAUGAUGUUUUGGUGUUUGAAUUUUAUUGGUUUAAAUCUUUUUGAGGAAAGGUAUUUCGGAAUUAAAAUUUUUGAGAAAGGAGAUGAUUGAGAAUCUUUAUUUUUAUUGCAUCGAGAUUUGUGGUUUUUGGCCGUUACACCUAUUCACCCCCCUCUAGGUGAUAGAUACAAUCUAGAUAGAUCCUUGGGCUCCUCAAAACUUUCAAUCGGUAUUAGAGCGGGAUCUAGAUAAAUUUGUCACGCCCUGGAUUUCAGCGGAAGCUCACCGCAAGUAAGCAAUGAUCCGUCUCAAGUACCAAGUCCUCAUAUCUAACAACAUGGAAUAUAUCAAGUAUCUCAAUGGCCUAUCUCUAUGUCAUCAUGUCUCUAACAUGGAAUAUAGCAGAUACGUAGUGGCCUAUCAAUAUGUCUCUAUGUUGCAGUUUAAUAGUUUACUAGUUUCAAGUGCCCCUUGAUGACACUCUUGUUUUUCUAUAUCAAAGCAUGGCAACUAUAUUUCAAGGUACAUGUUCCAAGUCAUGAUCCUCAUAAGAGUUGUACUUUCCACUUGCAAAAUGAACGCUUUUCCCGUAUGCAUGCGUUCUACUCAUAUAGCUCUAUUAUAUAGUGAAAUUUUUAAUAAUACACAAGGCAUGCAUUUUAAGUGCUCUAAAAUCCAUAUAAAUUCCAUUUAGCAUAGAAAUAAACUUAAAAAUAUUUUACGACAAGUAGAAAGGGCAUAGGGGCCAUUUCGCCCCAUUUCCACGAAGCCAAACCCACCNNNNNNNNNNNNNNNNNNNNNNNNNUAAGGUUCCGAUAUACUAUAUAUUUGUCGCUUUUCUGUUCACGCUACAGUCAUUAAUAGAAAUAUCUUUAACCCCUAAAGAUUACUACCAUUAUUACUUUCUCAAAACGCCUUACUCAGAGCUUGCUCCAAUGGACCGGAGAGAAUUGAGAUAGAUGAUGAUCCGUCUCUUCAAGCUUCGUUCUCCUCAACAUCCCUUCCUCUGCCUUCUUUUUGAGAGUGAUGAGAGAUCCCUUAACUACGAUAGAAGAGAGGGAGUGUUUAGGGUUGGUUUGGUAAGAAAUGAUAAUAAAAGGAGAAGACAAGCCCCUCUAUACUAUUGCUCCAAAUCAAGCAUUGCUUACAAGACUAAUUUUCAAAGUUUUCAGUCAUUUUCAUCUUUUUGUUCCGUUUUUUCGCUUUCGUUUCGCUUCUCCGGAUUCAUUUCAAUCGAACACAGACUACCUCAAAACAUGUUCUAUUGCGUUUUUAUUUUUUCAUAUCCUCGUGCAUCCGCUUUUUGUACUUGCUAUAUGUCUGAUUUAGUGUCAUAUUCCCCAACAUUAGGUCUUUUCGGUGGUACCUUGGUUAUCGGCACCUUAGAGUCUUUGCCUUCAUUUAUCAAUAAACACCCAUGGAGACAGAAUUGUCGUUAUGUCGUAACUUUUCACUGAACUUAUUUUUUGGAACAUAACUUGCUUCCAACCAUAUAUUUCACUCAUAAAGAUUCAUAAUUUGUACUGAAAUCACAGUACGCUUUCAAACAGGAUAGUGGUGGGAUUGAGUUGAGGUAGAGAAGAGAGUUGUGAUGAAGUCCCUCCUUCUAGUUCGGUUUGUUACCCCCCCUUUCUAUCUAAUAAUUAAAGUCCUUGCUACUGUUGCAAACUAUUUGGCUACUUUCCCGGCUCUAGUUGGUUUCUCGUUUACUCCUUUGAAGUUUAGUUCCGGACUUUCCUUUGUGCAUAAAAUCAUCAUUUUUUCAUAUGUAUUUAGCCAUAAAUUUUUUCUAAUGUCAUUUUCAGCUUUUGGUCGAUGUUUUCGGCUUCGUUAUUAGCUUCGUUGGCUUCUCGAUUCUAUUGCAUAUGAUCGAAUUCUCUAUUACUAACUGAUCGACUUUUUCAAACUGUUUUUUAUAUUGCAUAUUUAAAUCAUCUUUUUUCAUACCACUUGCUUUGUCGAUUUAGUUCGAGUGGUCCAACAUAGCGCUUUUCGGCUCUCGUUUUCGUGCCCAUUCCAGCUCGAAGCAUCCUCGAAUGCUUCCCAAAGCUUCACUCAGAUUCAAAUUAUUCUUAUCCAACCAAUUCAUACUUUCCUCAUUACACUUCAUAAAAGAUGUAAGUCUUGAGUUAUCCUCCGGCCUUUAAUUAUCAUUAUUAGAUAAUCUUUUGUUGACUGUCUUUUUUGCUUCCUGUAACUAACUUUGGUUAUAUUGUCCUAUCUACACAUUCCAAUAUGCAUUCUGAAUUCAAAAAAUUAAAUAAAAAUAGUUAAGCUUCGAAAUAUACCAUAACUGCCAAAGAUUAUCUUCAUUUGUUUCAAGUCUCAACUUUGCAACUCACCUUGAAUGGAUGAAAUGUUUGACUUAUCUUUAUACUGGGUGUACCUCUGUAUUUGAUAGUGGAGUUGAUGUAUCAUCCCUUAAGUUCAACCAGCGCCGUGCGUCUAGCGUAUUCAUUUUUUUAUUAAUUAUUUAUGGCCUACUGAAUUCUUUUUCUCAAGAAUGCUACUAUAUUUCCUCGCCAAACUGUUAUGCCACGGUGUUAAGAAAUCUUUAUUGUUAUACGUUUCAUGUUGCGGAAAAAAUAUACAUCAAUUUAAAAUUGUUCUUUUGAAAACUUAAUAGAUUAUCACUCUGACUGUUGUCAAGUGUUUUAGUUAGAUCAUCUAGUAUCUUAAUCUAAGUUGAUUCUUAUAUGAAAUAAAUGGUAUUCUAUAAUUUUUAUUUUUACACUUCGUCGUUGAUCGAUAUCAUCCACGUAGAGAUUUCGUCUGCAAUUGGCGUUUAUGUCGUAAAGGUCAUAUUUUUUCUACCUUUCUCUCUUACGCGAGAAUAACUGCCGUCUGAAUCUGCACUCGGUAUCUUAUACUAUUCGCCGGUUACUAUUUUUUAAGCUAAACAAAUAUCUCCCUUGACCAAUUUAGACGACCCUUUCUGAAUUCCUGUUAUCCGAUCACGAAUUAAGCACCUUUUGCCUCGACUGAGGAAAAUGAAUCAAUUUCUAGGCUGUGCUACUUGCAACUUUUGAUGAUCGAUAAUUUGAUUUUGGGUAUUUAUUGUAGAAAUAAGAAAGAAAAAAGAUAUGUACGCUAGGUUUCUUAUUUUCUUUUUACUUUUUAUACUUUUCUUUAAUUUAAAUUAUCGCCAUAUGUACAUUAUUUUGAUUUCUUAUUAAAGUCGAUAUAAGUGUAUACAUAAUAAUUUAUAAUGAGAAAACUCUAAAGUACGUAAUCCGUUAAUUCGGAGAUAAUCCUUAGUGUUUUUACCUAUCUAGAUAGUCAGUCACCAAUUAUAUAUACCAGCAAAAUGGUUAGGCAUAUAUAACGCCAAAUACUUCUUAGUCCUAGAUGUCUCACAACUCGUUAUAGUUGUAACAUUUAUACAUAAGUCCCUAUACAUUAAUAUUAUUUUAUAUGUGUAUACCAUUAUUAGUAAUACACGUAUGCAGCCAAUUUUAAACACACUAAAUUAUACUCUAAUGUUAUGCAAUAAUUACAUAAUAUUAAACCUUUUACCUAUCUAUAAUUAGUAAUCUGUAGAGUAAUCUAACUAUAUUUAUAAAUUAUUAAAAUUUUAUUUCCAUUCAAACUCUUUUAUCGUCUUCCUAUAUAAUCUAUCAUUUAGCUCACUAUAUUUUUUUCUUUUGAGAGGAAUAAGCAUGUGGCGUGAUUUUCUGUAUAUCGGGACCUAUAAUAGGUUCCAAUAUUCUGUCUUGGUAUAGCCUGAGAUAUGAUGCAUUUUCAUCUUUUCAAUCUACAAUUAUUCACAAUCGAAACUUUCUGUUUCGAUGGCUAAACGUUUUGAUCUCUAAUCCCUAAAUAGAAUAAUUAAUAAUUGUUAAUGAAUUAUUUCUUUGUUCUCCUCGACAAUCCACAUCGCUUCACAUGACAGCGUAGCAGGAUGUAGUGGCAAUCAUUCCAGUAAGUGAAUUUAUUCGGACUGAACCUCAGUGAGUUUAUCUCUGGUACAAGACAAGUCGUUCUAUCGCUAUAGUUUCCAAAGAGUGAGGUCAUAGAGUAUUUCUCCUAAAGCUCCCAUUACCCGUCAUAUGGACAAAUUUUGAUCAGACAGAAGCCUUAUGGUUUACCUUUGAAACCGCCAUAUCGCCAUAUACCCCCUGGCUCUUCAGAUUAUUUCUACUUUGCCGUACAAAUCGCAAUAGAACCUAAUUAUCUCUCUAUACAAUCCGGUAGGAUUAGCGAUAGUAUCCCUAGUAGUACAAACACGCCAUAACUCCUGACUGAUCACUUGAAAUCUGAACUGUAGCCACUAUAUAUUACUACUCAGACCAUGCAAGAUCAGAAGUUUGUUGCUACGUAUCUAAACCUACAGUACCGCGUCAUUGCAUAAUUGAAUGGCUGAGGUUUCGCAGGGUCAAAGGAUCAUUCGCUGAGCCACGCUAACAUCGAACCAUUACUUGGACGUUUACCGAUGAAUAGAUUACAUCUGGCUCAUCGUAACGUUCUUAGUUUGGUGCACGCUCAGCUGUAUACGCCUUAGUGUCUGUUCCGCUUCAACAACUGGCUGUCAUGUCGGCAUCCAAAUGGUGGCCCACGACAUCUCUAAUGACUCAACGGCAGAUUGGCGCUCAAAAGGGAAGCGGGCUACCCACCAUUACACCUUACCUCGGAUCAACAAUCAUGCCGUCCUAUGAGUGUUCCUCCGUAUGAAGGAGCAUUUUAUGUAUAUAAUACACGCAUUAUAUGAUACCUCUAAUUCUCAACCUGAAUAUAAUAUUUUACACUUAAUUCAUUAUCAAGGAGGACGAUUGCGCGAUGGAAUUCUAUUUAAAAUGAAUGGAAAAAUAACCGUCAAAUUAUAUUAGAUAAUAGAAUUAAGUAUCAAAACUAUAUUGUCGCUAUAGAAAAUAAAUGAGUCUAUGCUCUGUAGGCUUCUAGGGCAUAUAACUAUAUCUUAAUCUCCCACUCUGUUGCUCUUAUAAGCCAUCGCCAUUUUAUAUAAUAUUCCACAUCUUCUCACAGAUCGAUUCCAAGUUUUAUGCUGUAUGUCAUAUUUCUUUUAGUUAGUUCUCGGGUCUCCGUCCACAAACCCCAUUUCGAAUUCAAUUCAUUAUUUUCUAUUGAGGCAACUCUCUGCAUUAACUUCCAAUUAUCGUUUAUCCUUGAGGAGUUAUACUUUGCUACCUGAUCUUUUCGUCGCACUAUUCGCCUGCUUCAUUUUGAUCUUGGACUUUUAUGAAUACCUCUGUUGGCUUCUUAGAGUCUAUUCUUUUUACGUUCGCUGCCAUUUUAUAUUUCAUCUAGUAUAAUUUUGGCAGGGGACCUUUACUGGUGUUAAUUCAACCCCAACUUCAAGUGACAAUUUUUCUUCUAUGAUCUAAAUUUCACUGUCUGUGCGUUAGCUUUUCUUAGAUAGUUCAUUCUUUGUUUCAGAUAGUUAUUCUCUUCCCUUCCUCAUAAGUAGAUAUCUGCUUAUACUCACCUCUUGCUUGUCAAACUUUUCUAAACCUAGACGUAUCUAUUUACCCAUUUCAUAAUAAAUCCAAUACCAUGUACUUUCUCUUUUCCAGACGUAUACAUUUCUAAUCGCUAUAUCAGACAUAUAUAGUCCUAAUCCGCAUACCAAUUUAGGAGUAUUGGAGUUAUCCCUGCCAAAAACCAAGGACAUAUAUCUUGUUCAUGACUGAAGUAGUAUUAUAAGAUAUACUUAACCAUAGUUGCAAAAGCUAAUGUUCCUCUCUAGCUUCAGAUUGAUCUAUCAUUCCAUGCUCGUUGACACUUACAGUCAUCUGUUGCUAUAUCAAGGUCAUGUAUCAUUAGCAUCGCAUUACAUUAAGCUCCAUUUUAGUUGAAUAAGUCAUAAAGGACGUUACUCAUGUACUUCUCUCUUAUCAGUGAGCUUUAGGAAGACAUUUUUGCGAUCUUAGGAGACAUUUGAAGCUUUUAAGAGUUAGAAUUGCAAGUACCUAGAGUAUCGCAAAAUAUAGUUGUUUUUGGAAGUCUCCUGCUUGCAACUCUUUUUUACACCUGUCAUCAUAUGUACGACCCUACUUGCGAUAAACUACCCUAUGAGUACUAUGAAUCAUCUUAUUCUUAGUUCACUCAUUUCAUGAUCCAAACACGUAGUCCCACCCCCACAACCCGCAAAGCAAGCUUCUAUAGGUCUAUCCUAUAAACUUUACCCUAGGAUAUAAGAUCUUCUCCAAGUCUUUCUAUAAGAAAAACCUUUAGAUACCCAUAACUGACGGCGCGAUAUUAAUCAUAGUAAGUUCAUUUCCCAACUGCAAACGCAACUAGGUAAUCACACAAAAAAAUAUAGUACAUGAAUAACAUAAUAUAUACAGAUAACCAAGGAAAGCUAACUAAACAGCAACUCAAACAAUAAUCUGUAAUUAUAUAACAUCAUCAUCACGCUCUUUCUCAUUUUUGAUGAAAUUGAAAACGAUUCAAUUGCACUCACUAGUAAAAGAGUGUUUAUAGGCUCAACGAAGAAUGCUAUGCUUUACAUAUUCCAUUAAUGAUCGAUGAAGUAAAAUGUACAGACAAUCUUGCCUUAUGACCCUCUCCAUUACCAUUUGAUUUAAUGAACCCAAAGCUAUUACUUAAAUCUAGACUAGCCUGUCAAGUACUACUUAAUAUUAAGGCAAACCACAUCUUCAAAUAUCAACACUUACUUUUAACACACAGAUUCCUCAUAGCCAUACACUUUAGCAGAAGACAUACAACAAUGCAUAAGCUCCUUGAAUAAAGAAACUUAGGCAUAACGUUGAGCAUAGGUUGAAUUUAAGGUUCCUAGCUAAUAUAGUUACAACUGUGCCUUCGAGCGCUUGCACAAAGCACUAAUAUUCUGCGUACUAGCCUAGCUCUUCAAAGUAGGCUCCAUCUUACACUUGUAACCUUCCAUAAAACUAAUCUUUUCAUACAUAUAAAGACUACAUGUAUGUACAGUCAUCAAUUCAUCCUACAAAACCUUUGGAAGCUCACGAGAGGAUUAAGUAUGCAAAGAUGUCAUUAUCCGGUCAUUUAGUACAUUGAGUCCAUUUCGACUUCAAAUAGCUUAAACCAUUACGAGUCGAUGCAUCGACAUCGCUCUGGCUAAUACCAGUCUUAGAUCAUCUCUAGUCUCUUAUCUCCCAUUAGAACAUUUCUUGUUCCAAAUCCAUAAAUAGUCAUCAUAUCGAGCUGAGCAACGGAGACCCCUACUAUAUUGUUCGUGCCUCAGAGGUAAAAUGGAAACCCGUUCAAACUGCUGAAGAUACAUAAUAAUGAGAGUAUCCAAGGGUAGGCUUUGGAAUAUAUAAUCUUCUAAAGAGAGACUUAUUCUCCUCAAUCUUCUACGUUUACUAUUUCUCUUUCAUAUGCCCAGGAACCUCUCCAAUCGAGAUAAACAUAGUUCACAUUAACAAUGAAAGAAGUGAUGAGUACACAUAACACAAAUUCCCUAUCAUACUGUUUGUUGUUUUGUUUUAUACCUAUAAGUUGAUGAGAUAAAAUAAUUACCAGUUGAUUCACUUAUGGACAGUACAAUCUAAUCAUUUACCUCAAUCGAUCUACCCUUCUUAGACUGAGGCAGUGACUUUCCAUAAAACAAAAUAAGGGAUACACGACAUUAAAAAAUAUAUCUUAAGAAUAUACUGUUAGAUCAGACUACCCCCAAAAGUUUUAAAUAUGAGUAACAACUUGAAUCUCAUUACAUGAGAGCUAAAUCACGAAAAUAAUCUCAUAUUGGAAUUGGUCGGAUUAAAGUAACUUGGACAGGUCACCUAUUUAAAUAUAAUAUUAGCUGUACAAGAAUUUCGUGAACACCCCAACACUUGUAUUUAUUUAUGUAAACUACUGUAAUCUGCGAUUAUACAUGAGAUCAAUAAUAGCAAUCCUAAUUAAUAGACAUCCAUCAGAUUUUCUCGCGUAGUCUAAGAAGGACGCAGAAAUUUAUUUGUUGUCCAUUCAAUUCACAAGGCUGUUCCAGGUGGAAAAAAAGCGAUGUGAGAGUCACGAUUCAGAGCUGAGAGCAAUACCUUAUAUAAUUCCCUUGAGACGGUAGUUUGAAAUCCGUACUAAGAUAUUCCCUCCUCGAUCCAAAUAGAUCGAAGAGCCUAAUUAGGUUACCAUAGCAUAUAUACUACUUACUGUAUAGGCUAAACACUUUAAACUAUUUCAAGGCUAUGCAAAUGUGUAUUAUAAUAUCACGCAGUACCUAUAUCUUUCCAGUAUAAUCACAUGAUAAUGCAUAGGAUCUCUCAGAGUGGUCUCGCCAAGAUUCGAGUGUUUAUCAGUGUGAGCACUGUUACCUACACUUAUAUUUGAGGGUUUAAUAGUUUGUAUUACAUUGUACCAACCCAAUCCCUUGCAUGCGAGUCUAAUGAGGGUGGAAGCGCAACUGCAUACAUGUAUAAAUACAAUUAUUGGUCUAUGGUAGUAACAUUAGUAGCACUAUGGCACCAAAAAAAAUUUUCUUCAAUUGGAUUGAUUAUUCUUUUGGUCAGUGAAGGAUAACGCUUCAUCAACAAGGAAGCCUGCUGCGAGUUCAGCAAAGUCCUUUGUUAUUAUGCAGAAAACAAAGGAUCUCUUCUUUGUAUGAACCACAGAUUCGUUGAGGGCUUGUACCGUAUCCAAUAGAAAAUUGUAAUCUCGAAUUUAAGUUGAUCUUAUGAAAGUUCCAGGUAUCAGAACAUAUAAUUAGAUGAUUGAAUGAGAGAAUAAGCGCACUCUGGGAACACUUCGCGUAAACGCGCGGUACAUUCCAGUUAUCCAUUAAAGAGGCCAACAUUCCAUUAGGCAUGCCUGAGAAUAACUCACCAGCACCCGAGCCUCCGUUGCAAUUUUCCGUUUUUUGUCGAACAAAGACAACUCGAUACUUCUUAGUACAAAUAAUGGUACACUUUAUAAAAUUUUCCUCUACAGUGUAAUUAAAAAUAGCACUUUGAACCUGUAGUACCAGAGUGUUAGUAGAACUUUCACAUGGGAAUAAAUAAAGAUGAGGCAAUGUUGAUGGUCAAAAUGUUUCAAUGUUAUCAAGUUAACAGAAUAUACUGCUAUCAAGAAAAACACAUUGCAAAGGGUGGUCUAGUCAGCUGUUUUUUGUAAAGAUACACUUUACGCACACCAACGCCGUCCUUAGGCACCUCUUGAGCUAGAUCACGGCGAUGAAGAAGUAGGCGCACCCUUCCCACUAAUCUCUUUGGAUUCAUCCCUUUUAGCUUGGAUUUUGUGAUUAAACCUCUCUUUUUGCUUCUUUCUCUGUUGGAAGCUCUUUUCCACAUUGGAGCUUGAUCUUGGAGCUUGGGUGUGGGAACUUCCCUCUUGAGGAUUUUGAUCCUGCUAUUUGAGCUUCUAAAGUUAGUAGCUCAUACCUCUUCCUCUAAAUUAGAUUUCUUAUUUGGCUUCUUUGUGAUGAAACCCUAGAAUGAGUUUUAUGGGCUUAAAUUGGCAUUUGAAUCUACGGGCUUUUGAACGCUAGAUUGAGUGAUUAGAGGCCUUCCAUUGAUUGGAUUGAAGCAGCAUUAGUUUCUUUUUGGAGCUUUAGAGGAGAUUUUUGCACUAAAGAUGAGUUUUUCCUCACCUAUCAUUAUUAGCAUUAAUGAUGAGCUAAGUAUUUUCGUGUUGUCUCGUAUGACACCAGCUCUUCUAUCCUCUAGGAUACUAGGGAACUAGAGGACACCCUCGUGGAGCAAAACAGGAUUGUUGAUGCAUCAUGUCUCCUAAGACAUCUGAAGAGAGAAGUCACAUGAGCAAGAUCCUUUAUGCUUCAGCAAUAGGGAGCUUAAUGUAUGCGAUGCUAUGUACCUGACCUGAUAUAGCACAGGCUGUGAGUGUCACGAGCCGAUAUCAGUCGAACCCAGGACAGGAACAUUGGGCAACGGUAAAGAAUAUCCUUAAGUACUUGAGAAGAACAAAGGAUAUGUCCUUGGUUUUUGGAGGAGGAGAACUCAGAAUUAAUGGCUAUGCGGAUUCGGACUUUAUGUCUGAUAUAGACGAUAGAAAGUCUACGUCUGGGUAUCUGUUUAUUUGCAAUGGUGGGUCAAUAGUUUGGAAAAGUUCCAAGCAAGAGAUGAUUGCAGAUUCUACUAUGGAAGCGGAGUACAUCGCUGCAUCUGAAGCUGCCAAGGAAGCUGUUUGGAUCAAGAAAUUUGUCACUGAGCUUGGGGUGGUUCCUUCCAGUAAGGAUCCCCUGCCACUAUACUGUGAUAAUAAUGGCGCCGUAGCAUUAGCUAAGAAGCCAAGGUCUCAUCAAAAAUCCAAGCACAUUGAGCGGCGAUAUCACAAGAUCAGAGAGUACAUCAAGGAUAAACAUAUUGAAGUGCAGAAGGUUGCCUCCAUGGAUAAUGUGGCGGACCCGCUAACUAAGACAUUGACUCAGCAAAAACUUGAGAAUCAUCUUGAGAAGAUGGGCAUUAGAUACAUGGCUGAUUGGCUUUAGUGCAAGUGGGAGAUUGUUAGUUAUAUGCCCUAGAAGCCUAUCAGGCUGACUCAUUUUAUUUUCUAUGGGACAUAUAUUUGUACUUAAUCUUUAUUAUUUAUAUAAUUGGGCCUUUUAUUCCAUUCAUGUUAAAUGUGUCCAUGGAUCGUCCUUUGAAUUAAUAAGAUGAUAAUAUUUAUUCUCAAGAGUUGAGAAUUUGAGAUACAUAUUAUUGGUGAUUAAUUCAUAAAUGCUCUCAAUCGGAGGAUCAUCAUGGGGACGAUGAUUGAUCCGGUAAGAUUGAUGUGUGUGCCGCUUCCCUUUUGGGAUGACGAAUCUCGAGUCAUUAGUGUGGGGACACUGGAGCGGACAUGCAGGUGGUUGUUGGAGAACAAGGGUACUGAGCGUGACCAACUACGAACAGUUACAUGGGUGUCUACUCAUUCGUCAGUAACUGGUUCGAUGUUGCAGUGGUACAGCUGAUCCUUUGACCUGCGACACCACAGCCAUUCAAUAUGAGGCUACUGUAGUUUGACUAUGCAACAAACUCUGAUCCUAGCCAUGGGUCUUAGUAGUAUAUGUUGGCUACAGUCGUUCAUAUCAGGAAUGGGUGUGUGUUUAUAGGGGAUCUAUCGCUCUCGGUAGAGAGAUAAUUAGUUCUAUGCUAUUUGUACGGCAAAGCUCAGAAAUCCUCGGCCGGGGUAAUAUGGUGUAUGGUGUUUCCAAGAGUAACCAUAAGAGCUUCUGUCUGAUCAAAUUUGUCAUAUGACGGGUGAUGGGGUUUGACGAAUAUUCUAUGACCUCCACUCAUUUGGAACUAUGCGAUAGAAGGAUUGUAUUGUACGGUAACUGCACCUAGAGGUUCAGUCCGAUAUUCACUUCUGACUGGAUUGCCACUACAUGCUGCUAGGCGUCACUGGUGGAUUGUGGGAACCAAUAGAAAUAAUUAUUAACAAUUAAUUAUUCUAUUAGGGUAGAGUCAAAAGAGUUUGAGCCAUCGAAAGAAGUUUCGAUGAUGAUGUAGAUGGGGAUCGCAUCAUAUCUCACUACCAGACAGAAUUGAACCUAUUAGGUCACAGAUAUAAGAAAUCACGCAUGAUCGAUAUAUAGGAGACGAUAAAAGAAGUUUAUCGGAUGGAUUAAUUAUAAUUACAAUAUAGUUAAAUACUACAGUUUACUAAUUUAUUAGUAAAAGGACUAAUUUGCAAUUAUUGUAAAUUAGAGAUAUUUAUGUGUAAAAGUUGCAUGGUGUAUUUACUAAUCGUUAGUAAAUAAUAUGAGGACUUAUGUGUAAAUGUUACACACGAAUCGAAUUAGAAUUAGGAUACAGAAUUCGGUUAAUAUCAUAACCAACUUGUGGGUUAAUGGAUAAUCUAAUCGGAAUAGGAUUUCGAUUAGGAUUACGUUAGAGUUUUCUCAUUAUAAAUAUAUGUCAUCUCAUUAUAAAUAUAUGUCAUAUGACAUAUUAAAAUUAACAGAAAAUUAAGUAAAAAGAAAAAAGAAAACCCUAGCCGUCAAUCCUUUUUUCUUUCUUAAGUCCUCUACAAUAAAUCCAUCAAUUUCGAUCUUCAAAAGUUGCUAGCACAGCUAGAAGAUUGAUUCAUUUUCCUCAAGUCGAGGCAAGGGUUAAUUCGUGAUCGGAUCACGGAUUGAAGCGGUCGUCUAAAUUCGAUCAAGGGCGUGAUUUCGUGUGAACGCGAGUAGAGGCCGAGUGCGUUCGCGGCUAAGCGAGGACGAACAAAAUUUUACCAACGAUUGUCGACUUCGUGGUGAUCUCGACUCACGCGAGGUAAAAUAAAAAUAUAGAUCCUUUUUUAUUAGAUCAAUUAGAUCUAUUACUAAUGAUCUAAAACUAAACACGAGGUGAUCUUUGGUUUUCAAGAAAAUUUUUAAUUGUGUUAUUUUCUUCCGCUGCGUAUACAUGAUUUUCUUACACCGUGGCCAAUAGAGUUUUGGCGGAAACUUUUCAACAUUCUUGAGAAACGAUUAGUAGGCAUUUUAAUAAUGUACUGCGCGGCGUGGUUGAACUUAGGCAUGACUACAUCCAACUCCCACUAUCAAAUACAAGAGUACACCCUAGUAUAAAAGAUAAUCAAACAUUUCAUCCAUUCAAGGUGAGUUGCAAGUUGAAACUUUGUGGAAACAAAAUUUAUAAUCUUUGGAGUUAUGAGAUAUUUGAAGCUAACUAUUUUAUUUAAUUUUUGAAUUCAGAAUGCAAUUGGUGUAGUAGAUAGGACACACAUACCGGUAGUUGUACGGAAGCAAAAGCAACCAAGAUAUCUAUAAGGUACCGGACUUCUAAAUUAUGAAGUUACGGCGUACAUUUGGUUGGAAAGCUAUUUGAAUCGUCCUGGUGAAGUUCGGGAGCAUUCGGGUGCUUCGGUGCGCAUAGGGCACGAAAACGGAGCCCGAAAGGCUAUGUUGGACCAUCGACUAAAUCCGACAAAGGCGUGGAUGAAAAGAUGAUUUAAAUAUGCUUGAAAACAUGUUUUGAAAGUCUCGGUUCGAUUUGAAAUAAAUCGGAGGCCAAACGAGCUAAAACGAGCGAAAACAGACCAAAAGCUGAAAAUGCUGAAAAUUUGGCUAAGUCCUUGAAAAUGCUGAUUUUCUGGACCUACGGAGUCCGGACCCUAGCUUCAAGGUCCGGACCCUGAGCCCGGAAAGUGCCCUGUUUGAGUAGCAAACUUGUAAUUAUUGGUGGGGGGUUUGACCAUAAAGGGGGCUUCAUCCCCUCUCUUCUUCCUCCCUCAACCGAACACACACUGUAAGGUACUGGACUUCUAAAAUUAUGAAGUUAUGGUGCACAUUUGGUUGGAAAGCCAUUUAAAUGGUUCCAGUGAAGUUCGAAAGCAUUCGGGCGUUUUUGGAGCGCGUAGGUGCGAAAACGGUACCCGAAAGACUAUGUUGGACUAUGAACUAAAUCUGACAUUAGCGUGGAUGAGAGGAUGAUGAAAAUACGCUCGAAAACAUGUUUUGAGAGUCUCGGUUCGAUUUGAAAUGAAUCGGAGGCGAAACGAGCGAAAACGGACCAAAAGCUGAAAAUGCUGAAAAUUUGGCUUAGUCCUUGAAAAUGCUGAUUUGGGAUUAGUAGAGAGGCUUGUCUCUCUCUCUUUUCCUCUCAUUUCUUCCAACCCAACCCUAAACACUCCCUCUCUCUCUCUAGGUUAGGUCUCUCUCUCAUCAAAGAAGGCAAGAGGAGAGGGAUUUGGAGGAGAAGAAGCUUGAAGGAGGGAUCAUCAUCUUCUCCAUCUUCUUCUCGGUCCAUUGGAGCAAGCUUGAGGUAAGCUUCUUGGAGCUCUAAUGGUGAAUCUUUAGGGUUAGAUUCUUAUGCUCUAAGAAUGGAUUUUAUGGGACCCUAGGAUGCUAUAUAGAUGUUUAAUGCUUGAAUUGAGACCUAGUUUUGGGUAUUCUUGCAAUGGUUAACGUCUAGGGCUCCAAAUGGGGUUUGAUCUUAAUUGUAACAUACUACAUUUUGGUAUAAAAAUAAAAAUAAAUAAAAAUAGUGUGAGAAACUAUUUUUAUUAGAUUUAUAGAAGUAAAAUAUAAGUCAGAAGUGACUUGUGCUGAAAUCGGAAUGAAAAUAGAAUAUCUAGAAUUUUCUGUUCGAAACGGGACAGAUAAAUUAGCAGAAAAUGCACAGUUUCAGAAAAUUAUGAAAAUUGGAGGAUAAGUCAGAAAUAUUUUUAUGAUGCUAGAUUUAAUGUUUCAUAUUUUUCUGACACCCGUAGAGUGAGAAAUAAAAUCCGAUAGCUAUCUGAUAAAGAUUACAGUCCAGUGCAGUUUUCAGUGACCAAACGAGGUCGAAACUAAAAACUUAAGAUAUAUUCUUACUCAGUACAUUAAACUGAGCCUGCAUGUCAAAUUUGAGCUCAAAUGGACAUUCAGAAGGGCUCCAACUGUUCCGAACUGCUAAACAGCUGCCCGGGAGUGAAUAGUGUAAAAGUUGAGGAGCUGAUUUGUAAAAAGGGAUUUAAUCCCUUUUCUUCUUCUUCUCCUCAGCCGAAUGCACACACACACACGCCACACACACGCAAGGAGAGGGAGGAAGAGAGCUCUCCUUUCUCUCUCUAAAUCUCUCCCAAAAUUGAUGAAAUUGGAGGAGAAGCAAGCUUGGAGGUUGAUCUUCAUCUCUUUUAUCUUCUUCCUCUCCAUUAGAGCAAGCUUUGAAGAUAAGCUUCAAACCCUUUAAUGGCAUUUCUCUCUAGUUUGGUUUUUAAGCUCUAAGAAUGGAUUUAGAGGUAUUCUAGCAUGCUAAUUAGAGGUUUGAUGUUUGAAACCAAGGCUCUAAUGGUGGAUUUUUACCUAAUUGUAAUCUAGGGCUCAAAAAUGCUAAUUUGGUAAAUAUGAGGGUUUGAUCUCAUUUGACCCUUCGUAAACCUAAUUGCUAGGCAACGAAACGCGUUGGCGAAGACGGUUCGGCAAUCUGACAAGCCGUUACAAAGUUAUUAAAGAAAUGGACGUUUAGGCUUCGGGUCCGCCUGGAGGGCCGAGGCGACGUCGUAAAAUCGUGGAAAUGGAUUUGAGGCAUCGUGGCACAUAACCAAAGACCUAUAAUUUUCGGGGUUGCGAAGCGGAGCACGGUUGAGGCGCAGUUGCAGUAUCGGGCCGUACCAGAUACGAGUGCCGCGGGCGGCCGAUUGCAAGUGUCGACAAGCAAUCGGAAUGCGAAUGAGGUUGGUUGUGUUUACCGAAGCGACUAGGUCGCCCUUUAUGUCUAGGAAAUGAGAUUUCAUAUUGAUGCAUGUUAACAUAUUAUAGAAAUGCUAGAUAAAUGCAUGUGAUUAAUGCUUUGAAUGCAUAAGAUAAAGGGCAUAUGAAUGUUAACAUUAUAAGAACAUGAUAAGAGGAAUGCAUGAUGACUUAGUGUAAAUAGUGCUAGAUGAAUGCAUUGAGUAAUGUUAAAGUUUACAUGGUAAGCAUGCAUGGGGAUAAUGCUAAGUAAUGGUAUGAUAAGCAUGAUGUAGAAAUAAUAAAUGCAAGCAUGUGGCUAAUGCUAAGAUAUACUUGAUGAUCAUGUUGUAGAGAUACUAAUGUUAAGAAAUGGAAAUGUGCAUAUGGACAAUCUAUAUACAUUAGAUCGAGUGGCAUUAAACCUAGAGUCAUGGACAUAGGUUGGACAUGGAGGAUAUGAAUCUAGUGCCAAAGAACAUAGGUUGGACAUCAAGUGGCAUUAAACCUAGUGUAUUGAACAUAGGUUGAACAAGUAUAGUGUGAACCUAGUGUCAUGAACCUAGCAAACACUUGUGGCAUUGAGCAUAUAUAUUUGUAUCAUUCAUACAUAAUAGGGCUAAGUACAUGUGAACCUUGGUUACUUUCAAUGACAUGUUUCUAACGUAGUUGAACAUAGAGAAAGGUAGAACCAUAAUGGACAUGUAUGUUAGAACCCUAUUAUUGUGUGAAUGUGAGAGUUGGACUUGGACAUUAGUAAACAAAGGCGACAUUGACAAUAGAGACAUUGAUAUGCAUAGAGGAUAUAGUUGUUAAACAUAGUUUAACCAAGAGUGGCAUUGGACCAAUUGACAUAGAGUAGCAUGAUUAAAUAGGUAGAAACCUAUUGUGACAUUGGCAUUGUGACUAGUGGCUAUGAAUCCUCAAGUUGAGGAUUGAUCGAUACUCACGAUAAGUCUUGGCUUGAGGGAGGUAGCUCCCCCUCGGGCGGUGCGCUCCGGAGUUGGUCACCACUGGGCGUGGUAAAGUCCCCCCAGAAGACGGUCCCUAGGGAGGUUCGAGUCCCCCGUUAUUAAGGGAUUUUGGGUUGUGAGUCAUUGGGGUUAACAUGGUUAACCGGUAAGAUUGGGUCAAAGCCAAGUGAAUGUAUAGCAUUAUGUGUUACGGGUUUGGUAUCCCAGUUGAGAGGAUUUAGGGCUCAGGUGUAUGUGAGACGUCCAUCACCUCGAGCCUAAUUUUGGUGCGGUAUUCCGCAGUUGAUUGACUCGAGACCGAGUCGGGUGGUUAGCUUGGCUAGGGUAGAGGAAAACCUUAGAAGCAAAUAACCAAUGAUGUAAAGUGAUAAGAUGUAUAAAUUAUGAAAAAGCUAUGGAUAGCAUGAUACAAAGUAAAAUCAUUUAUUCUACUUGUAUAGUUGCAUGAUUCGCAUAUAGCAUGGCAUUAUUGUAUUCGUGAGGCAAAGCAUGGUUUUAUUAGUUGCAUAAUAAAGAUAUAUAUCUAUCUGUUUAUUGAACUAACUUGCAGUUGCCUCCCUUGGACCUAUUGGUCGAGCUUUUCCCUUGGGUGGCCGUACCCACUGGGAACCAUGGAGUUGGUUCUCACCCCACGUGGUUUUGGGGUGUUACAGGUUCCCACGUGAGCGGCGCGGCGGCGCGAGGCGAGGGCGUAGUUCCAUAGUUAGCGCCCUACCACCGAGACCAGAGAUAGCGGUACCCUGUGUCACGCCCCGCCCCGAAACCACUACCGAUUUGGCACGGUUCGGCCGCGGCGACGGACCGCCGAACGGACAGCACCUCCCCUGCCCGUUCAAGGCUCAACAACAGGAAUGUGUACAAGAAUUCACCCAGGACUUUAAAUUCUAAACAUACACAUUCAGCAAGGGCACCAACAGUGCCAACAACAAGAAGAGCAAGUAAUCCACAAGAUAAACAAGUGAAAUAAAGAGAGUAAUUUACUAACUAUUACAUUAGUUACAUUCAUUACAUCAUUUUUCAUCCAAAAUACAUAGCUCUCCAACCUCACCUACAAGAAUCUCUCUCAAUGCAUAGGUGACUAAUGCAAAAAGGAAAGCUACUAUACUACCACGGUCUCACUGGUCGGGCACGACGCCCUUGCCGCGGUCCUCUCUCUGCAGCCCUGAACCUACCACUGGAAAUAGAGUGGGGUGAGAACUAUCUUCCAUAGUUCCCAGUGGGCUCGGCCGCCGACCCUGCCGAUCUCCCCACUAGGUCCAAGUGGGCACAAGUAACACAGCAUAGAUAGAUAGAUAAUACUGUAUCUGAAAGUCUGUAAAUGCAGUGAGAGGAAAACCUAUGUCUACAUGCCAUAACAUGAAUAUGCAUGCAUCAUCCAUAUAAUAAAGGUUUGCUACCAUGCUAACAAGUUCGAUCCAUGUUCGAAUAAUAUUUUCAAUGACAUUUAUAAACCUUUAACCCUUCAUUUACCCAACUGUGGCCGUGCCUCUAGGGCUCGCCAUGACUCACCUUCAAAUCCCAAAGUGAAGGAGCUGUCCAAGGCAACCCAAACCCAGGGACCCGUCUGCGGACCUCCAUGUGGUCCGGACCUCCAAGUGGUCCUAGUCACCGACACUCCGGAGUAUCGACGACAAUCCCUCCAUGUGGGAAUCGGAUGCUAUGCCACCUGAACGCAGACUGUGAGCUAGAUCUACCUCUUCCAAGUGAGGACACUCUACAACUAGAGUCAAUACCCAAUCGAAUCCUCUCCAAGUGAGGACGCCCUACACAAAGGGUCAAAACUAUCGCGGAAUCAUUGGUUCCCGACAUUCAUGCAAUGUAUUUAGUUUUCUAAAAUUCAUUUCACAAGGCAUUCUCUAAGGAUCCACCUAUCCCUAGUCCUUCGACCCCUAGUGUUAUUUUCACUACAUUAAUGGCCACUCGUUAUCAUUCAAUAUUUGAUGCCACUCGUUUGUUCUUGACAAUAACGCUACUUUCUAUGUCACAUCAAUACCCCAAUCGGUUCAUCUCUAUCUCUAGCAUCAUAGAAUCCACAUACCCACCAAUCCUCACCUAUCUAGUUACCAGCGUUCCAAGUACACUAGUUAUUAUUUAGAAAGCAUAAGAGUUGUCUACUAGCAAUCUACACAUGUAACAUAAAGAUGAGAUUAAAUGCAAUCUAAGACAUAGAAAGGUGUUCGAAAGUUUCGGAUGACACCCCCCACCUUUUUUAUCAAUGUAGAGCUUGGAAAUUCUUGUCCGAGCUUCGCAAAAAGGCUUAGCCUUCCUCGCCCGAUCAAUGCUACCCGUGCCCAAUUUUGCCCGAGAACUCCACGUCGGAUUCGCCGAAUGCCAAAAUCGACUUCGCCCCGGCGUUUUGGACAUAUACAAUAAGGUUCCAAGGCUUCAAAUGAGAUCAAUCUCAUACAUUUACAAAACCUUCAUUUUGGAACCCUAAUUGCACUAUAGCAAAUCACCCCAUAAAUCCCUAGAUCUUGGGAUUGAUCUAUUUAAAAAGCUUGCUUAGGGUCAUUUUUACCCAUCCAAGCAUAAAACCCCAACCCUAAGUUCUAGAACUAGGGUUUAGUAGCUUACCUCAAAACACUACCCCAAUGAAAGAGGGAGAGGAAUUGGAGGUCGCUCAAAGCGCUUCCUCGAUUCAUCUCCUCCUUCUCUCCUUCCUUAUCUUCCUCUUCUUUUUCCUUCUCUCCUCUCUCUUCUUUCUUUCUAAAGAGAGAGAGAGCAAGAGAGAGAUGGAUAGAGAGUGUGAGGGAGAGAGAGGGCUCAGCCCACUCUAUAAAGGCCAUUUUGCAAUAAAAGCCCCUCAACUUUUACCCUGUGCACUCCUUUACUGGGCAGUUUUUCGCUGCGGAGGACGUCGUCCCGACUAUGGGACCGUCCCGUAGAUCUCCCUCGAGGCACCGUUCUCGGAACCGGUCUCUCCCCGGGAGACCGGUCCUCGGGAGACCGGUCCUCACCUGAGAGACCGGUCCCCGAGAGCUUGAUUUUCAGGACUUAGCCAAUUUUUUUGGCAUCUCACGCUGGGGCCACGUUCGGGAACCGGUCCCUCACCACCAGGGACCGGUUGCAUCAUGCAACCCCGCAACACCCAGCCGAGGGAACCGGUCUCUCACCUGAAGAGACCGGUCCCCGAGAGCAACUUCUGCCCAAUGAUGCCAUUUGCUUCAUUUGCUCUCGCGGACUCAACUCCAAGGCACUCUUUGUGCUUUGGACAUUCUCAACUCCCACAAAGGGUUUACUUUCGACAAUCAGUCGAUCCUGGAUGAAGUACAAUCCUCGUAUUUCGAGAAUUAACUUCCUUACACCCUGAGUCGGCCCUACUUAGGGAUGCAAGAAAAUGAAAAGGAUCAAGUUGUAAUAAUAUUGUUAAAGCUAGAUUGUAUUUGGAAGCUAAAAAGAAUGUAUUAUGUAAUUGUGAUGUAAAAUGAAUCUAAUGUGAAUGCUUGUAAUAACAUAGGAUGUGUUAUGUUGUUGAUAUCUUUCUUCUGCAAUCUUGCUUGAAUACUGUUCCUGGUUGGAACUCAUUGUACUUGUAUCGAUUGCUAUGCCUUGAACGUACAGGGGAGACUCUGUCCGCAGUACAGGGGAAACCCUGUCCGUUCGGCGGUCUGUCGGUAGCGCCGCGACCCGGCCAAAUAGGCGGGUGGUCGCGGGGCGUGACAUUAAUUAACCCUAUGUAAACCUAAUUGAUAGGUUUUCCGACGCGUUGGCGAAGUUGAUUCGGCGAUCCGACGAACGUACGCGAAGAUAUUAAAGAACGAAGCUGUUAGGGUACAGAUUGCCGCAACUCGCGGCGAAAGCUUCGUAAAAUCACAAGAACGGAACCCUAGCCUCCUGGUAACAUUAAAAGGUGGGGGGUGUCCAUCCCGAAGCAACUGGGCUUCCUUCUAUGUUUGAGUUAGAAUUGUUGAUCAUAUUUCAUAUAUUAUUCUUAUGCAUUAUACGAUGAUUGUUAUAGUUGCAUUUCUACUUCCUUGCAUGCAUGUCUAGUAGUGUAGCAUUGUGGGCUCGACACUUAAACCUAGAAUGCAUGAGGAUUAGGUCGGGUGACAUGAGAUCCUAUAGUGAUAAGAAUAUGGUGAACUUGAAUUUGGUAAUGAGAACCAAUGGAUUGUGAACUAGUGUAAUGAAAACACUUGGAACUUGGACGAGUGGCAUGUAAACAAGGUUAAUAAUAUGACGAGUGGCAUUUGGACUAGUGUAAUAGAGACACUAUAAUAUGGACGAGUGGCAUGUUGAUUUAGUGUAUUAAGACACAUACAACAUUAUGACAUAAACGAGUGGCAUCAAAUCUAGUGUAGUAGAACACUAUGGCAUUUGAACCUAGGGAUAGUAGAUUUUUUCGAUUGUCAUGUUGUGGACAUUAUGCAUUUGGCAUUAGUGCAGUUGAGGCAUUGUAGCCCUAGUAGAUAGGGUAUCCUCCAGUGUGGGGAUUGGAUCAUACUCACAUAGUCUGUGUAACCUUGGCAUGGUCGCUCCACCCAAGUAGUGAGCUCCGGAGUAGUAGUUGCGUUAGGGCAUACAUAGUUGUCCCGCAGACGGGUCUCGGGUGGGUGUAUCGCAGAUUCUCCCCACUAGCGAGAUUUGAGACGUGAGUCGGGGUAGCAACCUCCGGGUUGGCCCUGGGGUAGCAACCUUCGGGUUGGCCAUGAGAUUGGAUAUUAUCGAGGCAUAGUUGCACGACGCACUAUGUAGUAGCUCGUUCAUUCUGAUUAUCGAGACAUAGUUGCACGACGCACUAUGUAGUAGCUCGUUCAUUCAUGUGAUUACUGAGGCCUAGUAUCGUGUAGUAGAUUGUAACACACUGGACCUGUCACGACCCGCGACCACCCGCCUAUUUGGCCGAGGUCGCGGCGCCGACAGCGCCGAACGGACAGGGUUUCCCCUGUACUGCGGACAGAGUCUCCCCUGUACGUUUAAGGCAUCGCAAUCAAUACAAUACAAAGGUUCCAAACAGGAACAGUAUUCAACAAACAGAUUGCAUAAGGAAGGUAUCAACAACAUAACACAUCCUAUCUUAUUACAUACAUUCACAUUCAUACAUUUCUACAUCACAGUUCUCAUUUGAUUCCUCCAAAUACAAUCUAAGUUAUUACAUCAUUUACUUAUUACAGUUUGAUACUUGUGUUCUUUUCAUUCCCCAUACCCCUAAGCUAUAUCGACAGGGUACUGCUAGCUCUGGUCUCCGGGUAGGGCGCUAUCUAUAGAUCUACGCCCUUUCCUCGCGCCGCCGCGCCGCUCACGUGCGAACCUGUAAACCCCAAAACAACGUGGGGUGAGAACCAACUCCAUAGUUCCCAGUAGGUACGACCACCCAAAGGAAAAGCUCGACCAAAAGGUCCAAGGAGGCACUCCAAUCAUGUUAGUCCAAAAACAUCUAUAGAUAUAUAUCAUCAGUUUAUUAAGCACUAACAGAUAACAUGCCUCGCAAUAUGCAAUAUGUAUAUCAUGCAGCUCUACUGACUUUAGCUCAUGUCUCAAGUUCACAUUGCCUCUAAGGUCUCUAUUACCUUAGCUCUUACCAUUAUCACUAGAUUAUAAGGUUUCUAUUAACCUAAUCAAGCUAACCACCCGACUCGGCCACGAGUCAAUCAUCCGCGGGUAGUCCGCGCACUGGCCGCACUCUGUGACUUAACCAGCUGGCGGCGAAGUCGUCGCACACGCCGAACACUGGUUCAAGUCUCUUGACUUGGCCAUUUGGCGGCGAACGAAUCGCACCUCACCCAACAAUGGCUCAAGUCGAUCUGGCGGCAUAAUCCACAAACUGGCUUAACCAUCCGGCGGCGAAAUCGUCGCACACGCCACGUCAAUGGUUCAAGCCCUGGGCGGUGAUCUCUGCACGCUCACCUCCCAAUCCAUCCUUGGUAUCAACCUCGGCGGCGAAAUCGUCGCACACGCCCUAGCCUUGAUACCAAGGUUAGCAUAGCACAAAUCCUAGGAUUCCGGAAUCCACUUCCACAGGUCGAGGGUCCAUAGCCAACCCUAUGCUGUCGACCUAAAACAUCCUAGUGGUUGCUACCACUAUACUCAACAACCUAGUUUCAAUGCCACUCUAGAUUUACUAUUCCAUAGCCUAGGUUAUAAAACUCUAGGUUCCACAUCACUAUGUCCGACCUAUGUUUACUAACACUAGGUUGGAUGCCACUCGAUCUGUUUGAUUCUAGGUCUACUCAUGACCUAUGUUCUUUAACACUAAGUUAGAUGUCACUCGAUCUAUUCACAAGCUAGUUGUCCAACUAAGCAUUCUACUCAUUCUAGAGUUAUCAACAUGCAUUUCAUUCUUAUUCACAUACAUAUAUAAUCUUUUAUAUGCAUCUACUUAGCAUUUACAUCAUCGCAUUAUGCAUUUACAUUAACAUGCAUCAACAUGGAUUCUUAGUUUUUCUUAGACAUAAAGGCGACCUAGUCGCUUCGGUAAGCACAACCCACCUUAACACGCGUUCCGAUUGCUUGUCGACACUUGCAAUCGGCCUCCCUCGGCACUCGGCACUCGUUUGGGCCCGAUCUCAUAGUUGCUCUCCAAGAGCGCGCCGCUUCGCCGUCUCAAGUGCUAACGGUCUUCGCCUUGCUUCUACGGUGCUCGGGAUCCAAUCCCAUGAUUUUACGACGUCGCCUCGGCCCUCUCGGCGAACCCGAAGCCUAAACGUCCGUUUCUUUAAUAACUUUGUAACGGCUCGUCGGAUUGCCGAACCGUCUUCGCCAACGUGUUUCGUUACCUACCAAUUAGGUUUACAGAGGGUUAAAUGAGAUCAAACCCUCAUAUUUGCCAAAACCCCAUUUCGGAGCCCUAGAUUCCAAUUAGGUAAAAACCUACCUUUAAAUCUCUAGAUUCUAGCAUUAAACAUCUAUUAAGCUUGCUAGGAAUCCAAUUAAACCAUUUCUAGAGAUCAAAACCCUACAUCUAGGGAUUUACCAUGAGAGGGCUAAGGGCUUAAUAGAUGUUUUUGAUCUCCUUCUUGAUCUUCUUCUCCUUCUUCUCCUUCCUCUUCUUCUUCUUUUUCUUCUUCUUCUCUUCUUUCUCCCCUUCUUCUUUUUCUUUCGUUUAGAGAGAGAGAGAGAGAGAAACGUGAGGGAGAGUGAGGGAAUGAGAGAAAGAGAGAGAGAGAGUCCUCUGUUAACCCCCUCUCAUAUUGUAAUAUUUCCAAAUAAGCCCCCCAACUCUUCUAACCUCGCAGCAGCCCGAACUGGGCGUUUUUCGCGUUCGGGGACCGGUCCUUGCGGUGAGGGACCGAUCCCUGAGAGACCGGUCCGUGGUUGAGAGACCGGUCCCCGAAGGUCUAGAACUCAGCCUCAAGGACUUAGCCAAAUUUUCAGCAUUUUCACCCGUUUUCGUCCGUUUUCGCUCGUUUGACCUCUGAUUCACUUCAAAUCGAACCGAGACUCUCCAAACAUGUUUUCGAGCAUGUUUUCAUCAUCUUUUCAUCCACGCUAAUGCCGGAUUUAGCUCAUGGCCCAACAUAGCCUUUCGGGUUCUGUUUCCGCACCUAUGCGCACCGAAACGCCCGAAUGCCUCCGAACUUCACCGAACUUCACCGGAACCACUCGAAUGGCUUUCUAACCUCACAUAAACCAUAACUUCAUGAUUUUAGAAGUCCGAUACCUUACAGGACCUGUGCAAAUUGCGAGGUUCGAGUGCUUGACUUGGAUUUCGAGCUUUUCCACACUUAGUGGAGUGUCGUAGAUGGUAUUCCGACCUAAAAGUUCGAAACUCUGGAUUUUGGCUAAGUCCUGAGAGCUUUUACUCUCGGGGACCAGUCCCUAGUGGGAGAGACCAGUCCCCCCGGAACAGUGUUGUGGCAGACUUGAGGAAACCGGUCUCUGGUAGUGAGAGACUGGUUCCCGAGAGCGUGUUCUGCGGGAGGGUCCUGAAGGACCGGUCCCAGCUCGGAGAGACCGGUCCCUCUGGGCGAAAAUUGCCCAGUUCGGGCUGAUGCACAGGAUGGAUUGUUGAGGGACCUAACUAGAUUUUGUUGCUUUAGAGGGCUUUUAGAGCCAUUUCCCCUCUCUCUUUUCCUCACUUCUCACUCUCUCACACAUCUAGAAAGAGAAGAAGAAGAAGAGGAAGAAGGAGGAGGAGAGGAAGGGCUUGCUUGAGGGAGCUUGGAGUAUCAACCCUUUCUCUCUUUCUUCACCAUUGGAGGCUUGGAGCUUGGACUUGGAGCUUUGUGGAGGAUCAAACUCCAACCCUUGAGGGUUUUGAGCUUGGUUUGGAGCAUCCUAGAGGUAUGUGGCUAGUUUCUCUCCUCUAGAUCCUAGUUUUGGAGCUUUUUACUAGAUGAAACCCUAGAUUUGGAUUUUAGGGUUUAUUUUGGGGAUUUUCGAUUUGAGGGCUUUGAGACCUAAUUGAUGGGUUUAGAACCUUGGUUUAGGUUGGAUUUGAAGGACUCUAAUUCCCAUUUGGAGAUCGAGAGAGCUUCCUUCACACUUGGUGAGUUUUUCUCCACAUUAGCUUGAGAUGGUUAAUGAUUGAGCUUUGUAUUAUUCGUAAGGUCCGUUUGACUCUUGUUCCUACAUCUUUAGGGUGCUAGGAGACUAGUGGGCAUCUUCGUCGGAGCUUACGAAGAGUUGCAAGAGUUGUGGUGGGUUUGACUUCAUGAAAAUGGGGCAAAAUGGCCCCUAUGCAUUUUGCACUUGUCGUAAUCUCAAUUUGACAUCAAAUCCAUGCUAAAUAGAAUUUAUGUGAAUUUUAGAAUACUUAAAAUGCAUGCCUUAUGUAUCAUAAAAUUUUCACUCUAUGUAGUAGGGUAUUCUGGGUUUUUAGCAUGCAUGUGAGAAGUGGUUCAUUUUGCGAGUUGGGUACUUGUCUCGUACAAUGAAAAUGAUUAGAAUUAUGCAUUCAUGAACAUAAUUAUCAUGCUUAGAUAUAGAGACCAAAAGUGUCAUAAAGGGGCACUUGGACUAGCAAACUAUGAAACUGUUAUUUGAGACUUAGUGAUAGGCCAUUGACAUCUUUUAUAUUCCAUGUUCGAGACAUGAUGACAUAGAGAUAGGCCUAUGAGAGAUGUGACGUAUUCCAUGUUGUUAGACAUGAGGACUUCGUACUUGAGACGGAUCUUUUCGUUACUUGCCAUUGUGCUCAUUCGCACAUGCUUGUGAGGGUCGCUCCCUACAAGCCGGCACUCCGGAGAUAGCCAUCGCUAUACAUAUUCGCCGUGCGGGAUUGGGCGCCGAAGUGGAUUGCCGUGGGCUAGGCUCAUCCCUAGGGUGGGGAUGUUGACUACCACGGGGCCAUUAGGCUCGGCACCGGCCAGACAGCCUACGGGUGGGUCUCAAAGCCAGACAGCCUUCGGGCGGGUCUCUUCAGAUUCGACUUUGAGCAUUCAUCAUGACAUGUGGACAUUGACUAGAAUAAUAAACUGGACAUUUUACUAUCACAUUGUGGACUGUAUGUUGGUUGCAUACUCGCUCUCAUUCAUGCUAGAAUAGCCUGUUAUUACUUAUGCAAAUCAUGCUAAGUAGAGAUAUCUUGUGGUAGCAAGUAUUCAUAUUUAUUACCUGUUGUACACAUCGCUCUAUUUAUACUUGUUUACUUACCCUUUGUUUAGCGUUGGGCCUAGUGGCGCAUUUCACUAAAGUCAGUAAUUGCCCACUGGGAACUAUUAUUUAAUAGUUCUCACGCCCUAUAUUUUAUGGUUUUCUUUCAAAGCCUUCGGCACCGGCGGAGGCACGGGAUCGCGGCAAGGGUGUCGCCUAGCCUGAUAGAUAGCGGAGCUCGCUUUUGCUCCUAGGUGGUUACUCCAUUUUUGUGUUUUUGUGAGAGGGAGGUUUUGUACCAUGUAUAGAGACCACCUAUGUACCUUGUUUAGCUCUUGUUAUUCGGAAUCCUAUUGUACUACAUUAUGUUUUUGCAUAGUGGAUUUAGCCUUAUGUUCUUUUCCCUUAUGGUAGCUUAUAGACAUACUUUGCUCUGAUACUUCUAGAUAUUCUCCUUUUGUUGCUUUAUUUAUCACUUUGUUAUUUCUUUUAUCGUUUUGUUUUAGAUGUCUUAUAUGUUUUAGACAUACGGCGGGUCUGGGCACGCACCGGGCGGGCUUCCGCUGGGUCCCGGGGCGUAACAGAUUAGUUUGGUAUCAAAGCCUAGGGUUGAGUCUUAGUGGACCUAGCAAACCUUAGGCCAGUUGGACUAUAGGAAAUAGGCUCGUGAGAGACGAGGUCUAUUUAACUUGUGAGAAAAAGUAUCAUGAUUGGGUACCUUGAUAACUCUAAAAAGUUAGAGUUGAAUCGAAGUGUAUGGCUUCUAACUUCGCGGAGGGUUACGUUGGCGGCCGACAACGUAACAUCGAGAGUUAGUAGUGAAGCACACUUCCUUACUUUCGCAUGAUUUUGGGUAUUAUCUGCUUGAGCGGGGAUGCGAUAGCGUGGGUUACUAACUUACGCUUUUAUGAUGUUGUAGUGGCGAUGCUGAUUACACGCUCCCAAUCUGCCGGGGCGUAUAAUACAGCCAACUUGGAGGAGAUCGAGACCUCCGCUACCUCCUGAUCCGGCGAGGUCCGUGAGUUGAGGGGCCAGCUUACGACCCUCACUGACAUGGUGGCACAGCAGACGGAGGCAGCGCGCCGACAGGAGGCGCAGAUGAAGCACCUGGAGGAUCUUCUUCUACAGCAGGCGGCAGCUUCCAGGGAGACUCAGUGUAACAUACCACCUCGCUCGUAAAUCGUGCCGAGUUUCGUCGAAACGAGCGGAGAGCGGAGUGGAACGAGUGAGUAUAGGCCCCAAGUGCAUUGGAGCCUAUCUAUAGUGCAAAGGGACCCGAGAGAGAGAGAAAUUCCAAAAUCUGGCUAAGUCCCAGAUUUUGUGCUCUCGGAGACCGGUCCCUGAAGGAGAGACCGGUCCCCGUACGCGUAGCCUGCCAGGAAUCCUGAGGCAACCAGCCCCUGGCAGUGAGACCGGUCUCCCCUGAGGAAAAGACCGGUCCCUCGUCGCGCAAAUGUUACAACUCUUUAUAUGGCCCAUCCCCUCUAUCCCACAGCCAUUUCCCACCUCUCUCUCAUUUUCUCUCUUUCUCUCUCUAGAACCCUAGCUCUAUGGCUUGGAGAAGAAGAAGAAGAAGCAAGGGGAAGGUAGAUUUAGAGGCUUUGGAGGAUCUAGGAGCUCUCCAACAAGAAGGACUUGGAGGAGCUUUUGGCUAAGGUGAGUUUUUGGUAUAAAUGAGUCUAGGGUAUGGUUUUGAUCCCUAAGGUUUGGAGUUUUGGGUUGUUUUUAGCCUUGGGAGCCUUCUAUAGGACUUGAACUCCAUGGGACCCAUGAGAGCUCAAGUGCUCUCAUGGUGGAUGGUUAGGGUUCACCAUAGAAGCCCUAGGGUUGGUUCCAAAGGUCUAGAAACCUUGUUAGAAUGUUUCUUAGGUGAUUCUAAACUAUUAUUUGCUUAGGGUUGAGAUCAAUCCAAGUGGGAGCCCUAGAUGUUAUUGUUAGGGUUCAAAUUAGGGCUUUUGCCCUAGAAUUUUUCAGGGACAAAUUGACCCCGUAGAAAUCGAAUUGGGGGUGCCCCCGACGCGUGGGACGACUCCGUUUAACAUUACGAAAAUGUUUGAGAGUAGUUCAUGUACAAAGGGCCUAAUUUGGCACUAUUUUGGGUUGUAGGACGCGGAUCGUCGUUCGUAAGGGUCGGGAGAUUAUCGCGUACGUCUUCUACUACCUCACAAGGUAGGGGGUGCACACCGGAAUCGUUCGAUUUCCUUCUAUAUUUGUUUCCCUUUUUAUUGAGCAUAUAUAUAUAUAUCCGUACAUAGCCAUUCAUGCAUAGUAGGGUAGAUACAUGUGAAACUUUGUUCGAUUUCAUUUAUAUGUUUCUAACGUAGUUGAACAUAGAGAAUGGUAGAACCAAAAAAAGGGACAUGUGGGGUAGGACCCUCAAGUUGCGUGAAUAUGAGGUUUGGACUUGGACAAUAGAAAACAAAGGUGACAUUGACAUAGAAAUAAGAUCGGCAUUGAGAGAUGAACCGUUAAACAUAGUUUAACUAAUUAUGGCAUCAUCACAGGUAUAGCCUAGAGAGUGGCCAAAAUGAAUAGGUAGAGACCUAUCAUGACACCGGCAUUGUGACUAGUGGCUAUGAAUCCUCAAGUGAGGAUUGGAUCGAUACUCACGAUACGUCUUGGCUUGAGGGAGGUCGCUCCCCCUCGGGCAGUGCGCUCCGGAGUUGGUCACCACUGGGCGUGGUAAAGUUCCCCCAGAUGACGGUCCCUAGGGAGGUUCGAGUCCCCCGUUAUUAAGAGAUUUUGGGUUGUGAGUUGUUGGGGUUAACAAGGUUAACCGGUAAGAUUGGGUAACAGCUAAAGUAAAAUUUAUGAAAAAGGCAUGCAUGCAUUCAUCAUCCAUAUGAUUAUUCGUUUACUGACCAGUUUUCUUGCAGGCAUUGUAUUAGAAGUAGCAUUAGAUGGUUUGCUAUCCUUUCCUUCGAAAUACAUAUGCCUGAAUAGACCUAGUGGGUAAGUCGGCGAGGUCGGUUGCCGAACCCACUGAGAACUUUGUUUAGUUCUCACACCACUAACCCUACAGGUCCAAGCGCGAGCGGGAUGGCGGAGGACCGAGGCAAGGGUAUAGCGCCGUAGAUAGCGACCACCAAGACUUUAUACAUUUUGUAGUCAUUUUCCUUUUUGGUAUACAUGUAUCAACUUUACUUUGUUGAUCUAGAGCUCCAAGUUACAAACAAUCAUAUAUUUGGUGGAUGACUAAAUGUAAAACAAAGAUAUGAUGGAUGAAUGAAAAUGUAAUAGUUUUAUUUACUUGUAUUUGAUUUAAAUUUAAUCAAAUAUCAUGUAUGUUGUAUAUUUAGCUUAGAGCUUUCGCUUCCGUUGUUGCUUGCCCUCGUGCAAGCCUUAUAUUAUAUAUGCAAAUCUCUUGUUGAUUGCUUAUCUAUUCAUGCUGAUAGAGCCUUGGCCGGACAGGGAAGGCUCUGUCCGUUCGGCGUCUGUUGACGUGACCCGAAUCUGAUCAAAUUGGCGGGGAUUGGGGCGUGACAGAUAUAAUGGUAUCAGAGCGAAGUGGAAAGCAAAAGUCUAGGAAUGACCUAGGAACCAUAUGUUUGGAGACCAUAGGGACUUAGGAAAACGUUUAACGUGGACUUGGUUUAUGCGAAAGCGAAUGAUUGGGUUAACGAUAACACUUCUCUAGAAGGAAGUAGAGAUGGACUAGAAGGCUUAAUUGUUGUCUACUUAAGGGACCUUGUGGGGCGGCCGACCGCAUGACACCAAGAGUGGAAACGAUUAUGCUUGUUGCUUUCGCUUAAUUGGGUAGUUAUUGGGAACGUGUAAGAGUCCCGUGUGUCGAGUACUAAUGCGUGUGAUGCGUUUCAGGAACAAUGUCCCCCAGACGCUACACGCGUAGAGCUACUUCGGCACUGCCUGAUGAAGUGCCUGAGCAGGCGGGAUCGGAUAAAGUGCGCGAGCUGCGAGCCCAGGUAGUGGCUUUGGCCGGGGCUAUGCGGCUUCAAGGGGAGCAGAUUGGGCAGCUCCACGAGAUGAUGGCGCGACAGGCAGCGGCGGCAUCAGUGCCGAGGGAUCCGCCCGCACCUGCUGCUCCUGUAGCACCACCUCCUGCGGUGGCAGCAGCACCAGUGAUGGCUAUUCCUCCGACGGCAUCGGAUUCAUCGGCUCCUAUUCCCGAUGUACUUGAGGCCGAGCAGGAGCGCACGUUAGCGGCGCUGACGGCAUUCAAGCGAUUCAACCCUCCAACCUUCAACGGUGAUGUGAAGGACUCGUCGAUGACGGAGAGCUGGCUAGCCGCGAUGGAGGCCUUGUUCGAGGAUAUCUAUACCCUCGAGAAGGAUAGAGUUCACCUUGCAGCUCAUUGUUUUGAUAGGUCGGCUCGGCUAUGGUGGACCCAGGCAAAGAAAAAUCGUUCGUUGGAGCACGCUUCUAUUACUUGGGAGGCGUUUCGGGAGAUGCUGCUCAUGGAGUAUUUCCCCGAGAGCGACAAAAGGAAAAUCAAGGAGAAUUUUCGGAAGCUAAGGCAAGGAAGCCGAUCAGUGCGGGAGUACGAGAGGGAAUUCACGCACAUGAUUAACUGCGUGCCGGGCUUGGUUCACGAUGAUAGGGACCGAGCGGAGACAUUCGAGCGCGGGUUGCUACCCGAGAUUUUCAAGGUCGUACAUGCCUUCCAGUUGAAGACCUACGAGGAAGUGCUUGAUCGCUCGCUUUGGGUGGAGCACGGGAAUGCCAUUGCACGUGAUGAGCGCGAGACUUUUGAGAGGGACAAGGAAAGAGAUAAGUCCAACAAGCGACCGGCUUGUGGAUCUGCGGGGCAAUCGAGUUCUAAGCGACCCCCGCGACCUUAGGGAUCACAGUGGCGGGGAGGUAGGAGUCAGACACAGGGCCACACUACCUACCCGUGUGUUAUAUGCGGCGGAGAACAUAGAGCCACCACUUGCCCACAGCGGGAGGGGCGCUGUUUCCGCUGUGGCCAACCGGGGCACAUGAGCCAAGAGUGCCCGGGCGGCGCGUCCCCAGCCCCGUCAUCAGCUUCAGUUCAGUAGACUCAGUGACAGCUGGCGGGACUGCCACCCGCAACAUCUGCUGGACAAUCGUCGGCGCCUCGUCAGCUCGAGGCCUCUCUCGAGCACCUAGCGGGCGGGUAUUUGCCACUCAGGUGGAGGAGCCACCAAUUAUUGUUCCCGACGACAUCGUGGCAGGUAUUAUUCUUAUUAGAGGCACUAGGGCUAGAGCCAUAUUUGAUAUGGGUGCAUCUCAUUCAUUUAUAUUAGCAUCAUUUGCACAAGCUCAUAACAUAGAGAUCACUCAUAGUAAGGAGUAUUGGUCGGUGAAUACUCCCGAGCACUCGUUCGACGUUUACGAUGAGUGCUUGGACUGUCCAGUGCAGAUAGGUGAUUGGAUUAUUCCGAUCGACCUUCUAGUGUUAAAAGAAAUGUGGGGCUUUGAGGUAAACUUGGGGAUCAAUUGGCUCUCCAAGUAUUACGCGGUUAUAGAUUGCGAAAGAAGAGUGAUCACAUUCCGUGAGCCUAAUCAGGAGGAGUUUGUGUAUCGGGUGUGCAAAGCCAAAUGCUUCGCAGCGACCAUAUCGACGGUAAGGGCGAAGAGGAUGAUUAAGGGUGGUUGUAAGGCUUACUUGGCGACCAUCGUAGACCCUCGAAAGGAAUACCCGGAACUGGAGAGUAUUCGGUUGUGCGUGAAUAUUCGGAUGUGUUUCCGGCAGAGUUACCGAGAUUGCCUCCGGAUCGAGAAGUCGAGUUUGUCAUUGACUUGAUUCCCGGGGGGCGCCAAUUUCGAGGACUCUGUAUAGAAUGGCACCGGUGGAGCUAAGGAGUUGCAGGCCCAGUUGCAAGAUUUGCUCGAUAAAGGCUUCGUGCGGCCGAGCGUGUCCCCGUGGGGAGCUCCGGUGCUAUUUGCAAAGAAAAAAGACGGCACACUCCAACUCUGCGUUGACUAUCGCGAGUUGAAUAGCGCGACGAUCAAGAACAAAUACCCGUUGCCAAGAAUUGAUGACUUAUUCGACCAGUUGCAAGGGUCAAGGGUAUAUUCAAAGAUUGAUCUGCAGUCGGGGUAUCAUCAGUUGAAGAUACAGACCAAGGACGUGCACAAGACGGCGUACCGUAUGCGGUAUGGCCAUUAUGAGUUUACGGUCAUGCCAUUCGGGCUUACUAACGCCCCGGUGAAAGUUUUGAGGAGCCCAAGGAUCUAUCUAGAUUGUAUCUAUCACCUAGAGGGGGGGUGAAUAGGUGAACGGCCAAAAAACCACAAAUCUCGAUGCAAUAAAAAUAAAUGCGGAAUAAAAAGCACACCGAGAUUUACGUGGGAAAACUCCAACUUGGAGAAAAUCCCACCGGACAACACCCGCCAAAAUAUAUUCCUAAGAAGAAAGAUUACAAGGUUGAUUACCGACUCCCACGGACUUAACCUCUUUAACUGCCUAUAGAAUCUUCGCCGACUACCUCCCGGGUUGUCGCACCGCCCAUCACGCUGGCGACGUAAGUCCACGUACGCCUCCCCACUUCAACCAUCCACCGAAGCUUCAAUCACGCCGAAUCCACGACGCCACUCCGAACACGAGCCCCGAUCCAAAAUCCACGAACCGCCGUCAAAUACGCCGAACCACGACGCCACCAUGAAAGAAUAUCAUGAAUAUGCGUAUCUUCGCUUUGAGUAUCUGUAGAAAAAAUAGGGAAUAGAACUCCAAGCGAAGCGAGAUCAAAUCGACAUAUUUAAUAUGAUUUCAAUAUCUCCGAUUUGAUCUAAAGAGGCUUUUCUGUAGAAAAUAGGUUGUUUAUGAAAUCCGAGCCUCUUAGGGUUUCUCAAAUAUGCUAUUUCGUGAUGCUUCAAUGCAAUUAGAGAACCCACUAAUAGCUUAUUUAUAUAGAACUUUUAGAAUCAAAACAGAAGUAGGAAUAGAAGUUCUUUCCAAAAUCAGCAACCCUUGUACCGGAACAAGGAAGCUGUCCAGGGUACACCAUGACGGAAGGAUUUUCUGGCGAGCUCCUAGUACCCUCGAAAGCUUCCAGCUCUGUUCCGGAAUAGGCUUGUACCGUGGUACAGCAUGAAGUUUGUACGAACAACCAUCAACUUCGCGCGCAAACCGCUUGAUGGCUGUACCCUGGACAGAAAACCCUUGUAAUCGUACAGCAAUGCAAUUUUUCGGCUGAAAUGCAUCUGUUUCGGGUUUUACAAACUCUUAGAAAACUUUUCUAAUCAAUAUACACUUGAGGAAAAUAUGAUUCUAAGUCUAUAAAAUAAGAUGAUCACCAUAAACAGAUAUCUUAAAACUUACUACGCAUCGCUGAUUCAAGUUUUUGCGUGUUUGCGUCCUUUCCCGAUUCUUUUCCGAAAGUCCCUUGGAUUCUCUCGAUGCUUCAAUAACUCCGCUCCGAACUUCUUCAAGACUCCGACUCGACCCACGAAACUUGCCAACACAUAGGACCUAACAAUCUCCCCCUUUGGCAAUUUCGUGACAAAACACACAAACUCACAAAUUACAAUUUAAAGAAAAAAAACGAAGUUCAAUGUCAUCACCAAAACAUCGAACCCCUCGCGUGUAAUCCAAAUACAAUUUGAAAACUCAAAAUUACAUCAAAACUCCUAAAACAGACUCUAUGACUUAGACGCAACUAGGAGUCUUGAAAUCUUGAUUCCCUGCAAAACAAUUCAUUCCAAAAAGAUUUUUUAUUAAAUUCUUAUACCUUCUCCUCCUUAGUUCAUAUCUCCACCUUUGUUUUUGAACUCAUCACCCUCUGCUCUAGUUCAAAGCCUGUUCAUCCACGCUCUCCCCCUUCAUCUAUGCUCUCCCCCUUUAUGUCAAAAAUUGCCAAAAGAAAGCAAAUAGAAAGAGAAAACAUACUAGAAAAACAUGAGAGUAGUCUAGUCAUAGCUACAGGCCUAAAACGAAAGUAAAAACAUACUACAGAAAGAUAAGCAAGCAAAUCUAACACAUCGUCCUAAAUAUCAAAUGCAGUGAAAGAAAAAGACUAAGCUCGACGAAGAAAUCACUCAGUGUCCUCAUCAUCAUCAUCACCAUCUCCAACACCAGCUCCAGAAUCCCCAUCCUCAGGAGCAUCACCAGACGGUGGAAUGAGAGGAUGUCGUGAAGAUGACCGCUGAUACGAAGCAGAAGAUGGAGUAGGUUCCCAAAUAUCAUCAUGUCUACACCCCAUCUUAUCCAUCAACCUUUUGAUACUUAACUCAAACUUUUUGAUGCCAGACUCAACUUUCCUUCCAAUGUUGUUCACCUUCUUCUUUAACUUCCGCAAAUCUUUCUUAACUAAUUCCAAUGUCGUUGCUUCCCCCGAACUAGAUGAAGUAUCAUAACUUUCUCGAGAUGUAGGCGGAGGAGCAGAACUAGAAGCUGCUCUCGGUGGAGGUACUGGGCUAGACGCUUCAGGAGGUGGCCCUUUGGUCUGAUGGAACGACUUGAGAGUGCUAACCGACUUAGCCCAAGUCACUGAAUCAAUAGGCCCAAAGCCAACAUCAUACUUGUCACAAGAUGUAUCCACUCCAUUUGCUUGAAGUAUCCUUGUAAUCAAAACAGGAAAUGAUAGUAGAUCCCGUCGAGUAGCACCCUGAAUUACGUGAAUCAUCCUUUGCCAGAUUAGAAAUGGAAUGUUGAUGUUCAACCCACGAGCCUGCUCGGGAUGACCAAGUAGAUAAAGCAACACUAAUCUCUCCCGGCGGAUCCUCUUUGUGUCGAUAGUUGGUUGAACAUUGUAGCUCAUAACCAAGGAUAGCAAGUGAUACUCGGGUAAUAAGUCCUUGGAUUCAAUGUAACCAUGAGUCAUGUAAACACCGGCUUUGCAUAUAGCUCCAAGAACGAUAUCCAGGUGAGUUGCUGCUUGAAAUCCUCCUGAAGUAUAGAGAAGACCUGAAGUGUCCACAUGCAUCCCCAAGAUCUCUCCAAUAUCAUAGGGAGUAACUGGAAAUCUCCUCUGACGCACAACAGUCUCGAAGAUAAACGUGCCUGUUUCAUCAUCUUCAGCAAGCACCUUUCCAUUCAUAUAGAAUUCCCUAAUGAGUUCUACACAGAAAGGAGCCUUCGCAGGAACCCGUCCAACAGGCUCAAUAGGCGCGCGCUGUAGUAGUCGUCCAAAAUCAGGAACCUCCCGAAUCAGAUCAUGGAAGUUCACAAAGCGUUCAGCUAUGCACGACUUUGAUGCAAACAACCUUCGCCGUGCUGGAGGAACCUCUGCAGCUUGUUUUGAACGUCCCUCACGAGUACGAGAACCACCACCGUGAGAUGAUUCGCCAGCUAAACCUUUGCCUUUGUCAAGUUGCGCAAUAGGUUCUUCAGAUUCUUCAGAGGAGCUCUCCUGAUAAUCCGGAUCAGACCCGGACGCUUCUUCAGUGGUACGUGUCCUUUUAGAAACCCCAUGACGACCUCUACCACUACCACGGCUUCGUCUCCCAGCCAUGAGCACCAAAAGCACCAGUACGAGCAAAAAUGCCAUUUUCCUAUAUCAAAAAUUGCAUACAUGAACAUAAUUUCUGGAAAAAAUCUGUAAAAAUAGCGAAAAAAUUUCUAAUUACAUUAGAAUGCAUACAAAAGCUAUUUCUAACCAGAUCAUGCAAAAUAUUUCAGCAAAAAUCGAACUUUUUGAAAAAUCCCGAAAUUACAUGCACAUUAGAACAUAAAUUUUAGAUCAGCGAAAAAUAACUUGUUUUGAUGUUGUUCAAGUGUUCUACAAGCAAGGUAAUAGCCUAAGACACUGAUCUAUAGCAAAAAAUUGCAUCAAAAACGGAUUAGAACAGAGAUCAAACCCUUAUCCCGCAAAAACAGUGAAAAUAGCAAAAUCGGGAUAAAACUCACAAAUUUGAUGCUAAAAACUUACAAAUCCACAGGAAAAAUGUGUAGAACGAAUGAAGGAGAGUCUCUGGAGCUCACAGAACCAAAAAUUUUGGAAAACGAUUGAGUUUUGAGAAAGAUCGAAGCGUUAUACCCGGUUAUAUUUCGCUCGGCCGCAGACCUUGUACCGGUACACGGGUUCUUGUUCCGGUACAAGGACCAAAAUGUGAAAAAAAAAUUUUCGAAAAAUAUACUUUAAAAAUCCAUCACAUUUAAAUUAAAUUCAUAUAGUUAAGGCUUUUACUCCAAAAAUCAUUGUAAUGAAAAUAAGAUAUUAUAAAAUUUCAAAACACAUCAAAACAUCAAAAUUUCAAAAUCAAAAAUAAUUUAAUGAUUCAAAAACAUCAAGAUGUAAGUUGAUGAAAAAUGAUUUUUAGAAAUUCAACAAAAUUGACACCAAUUUGUCGCAAUACAUUCAAAAUAGAGAUUUAACUAAUAUGGCACCGGGGGUGGCUCUUUGAGCAUCUUUUUCAAACUAGCACCUUAUUACUCCGAAAAUUCUAAAAUAUUUAUAUUUUUCCAACCUUUUUCGGCUUUUUCAAUUAAAUACCAUGUGGUAGCUUCACACACUUGCCGGACGACCGGGGUGGUAGCUCUUUCCUACAUGUGGUGGUAGUUUUCACACUCCUUUUGGAUGUAACUCUUUCCACAUCUUUUAAACAUAGGAGUUUCUUUUUCUCCUUUUUUUUUUUUUUAAACAAUUUCAAACUCCCCCUAAAUUAGACAAUCUCACAGUUGAAAAUAAUUUUGACGAAUUUUAGUCAAUUAGAGAAUAUCCAUUCAUCAUAUCCAACACUCACAACCAAGAUGAAUUAAUCACCAAAAAAUCAAAUUUGAUUUCAAAAUUUUGAUGAAUUUAUGCAAUAAGAAAUCAUAUAAUAAAUUAUCGUCAAAAUAAUAAAAAGUGGAGUAAAAACGAUAAUUAAUAUGAAUUUAACUUAAUAUGAUUGUGAAGUUAAAACCCGUUUGAACAAUCUUUAAAAAAAAACUUUCUCUCCAAAAAAAAUGAUUCUCAAUCAUCUCCUUUCUCAAAGAUUUUGAAUUCCCAAAUACCUUUUCUCAAAAUAAUUUUUAACCAAACAAAAUUCAAAGCACCAAAAAUCAUGUAAACAUGUAAUGCAAUUAAUAAAAAUAUGCAAUAAGCACCUAUCAAAGCACUACACAAGAAAUCAAAAACAGCUAAGACGAGAAGCAAGGAAAGAUAUCACCUUUCCGGAUCCAAACUUGUCGGAUCUUUGGUUUUCUCGGCUUGUCGACGUUUGGUGCCGUUUGCUUAGAUUUUUGAUCAAUCGUUGGUAUUUUCUUCGCUUGAGGCUUAGGUAGAACUUGGCGUUUAGGCUUAGAAGUCCGAUUCUUUUGAGGCACUCGACUUAAAUUAUUUUGCUUUUGAUUCCGUGGGGGAUGUCGAAUAGUAGAUGACGCCGAUGGAUGUUUUGAAUUUGCCGAUUGUAACUUGCCAUUUUUGUUUGGGCAAUUCCUUUUGAUGUGUCCUUNNNNNNNNNNNNNNNNNNNNNNNNNNNNNNNNNNNNNNNNNNNNNNNNNNNNNNNNNNNNNNNNNNNNNNNNNNNNNNNNNNNNNNNNNNNNNNNNNNNNNNNNNNNNNNNNNNNNNNNNNNNNNNNNNNNNNNNNNNNNNNNNNNNNNNNNNNNNNNNNNNNNNNNNNNNNNNNNNNNNNNNNNNNNNNNNNNNNNNNNNNNNNNNNNNNNNNNNNNNNNNNNNNNNNNNNNNNNNNNNNNNNNNNNNNNNNNNNNNNNNNNNNNNNNNNNNNNNNNNNNNNNNNNNNNNNNNNNNNNNNNNNNNNNNNNNNNNNNNNNNNNNNNNNNNNNNNNNNNNNNNNNNNNNNNNNNNNNNNNNNNNNNNNNNNNNNNNNNNNNNNNNNNNNNNNNNNNNNNNNNNNNNNNNNNNNNNNNNNNNNNNNNNNNNNNNNNNNNNNNNNNNNNNNNNNNNNNNNNNNNNNNNNNNNNNNNNNNNNNNNNNNNNNNNNNNNNNNNNNNNNNNNNNNNNNNNNNNNNNNNNNNNNNNNNNNNNNNNNNNNNNNNNNNNNNNNNNNNNNNNNNNNNNNNNNNNNNNNNNNNNNNNNNNNNNNNNNNNNNNNNNNNNNNNNNNNNNNNNNNNNNNNNNNNNNNNNNNNNNNNNNNNNNNNNNNNNNNNNNNNNNNNNNNNNNNNNNNNNNNNNNNNNNNNNNNNNNNNNNNNNNNNNNNNNNNNNNNNNNNNNNNNNNNNNNNNNNNNNNNNNNNNNNNNNNNNNNNNNNNNNNNNNNNNNNNNNNNNNNNNNNNNNNNNNNNNNNNNNNNNNNNNNNNNNNNNNNNNNNNNNNNNNNNNNNNNNNNNNNNNNNNNNNNNNNNNNNNNNNNNNNNNNNNNNNNNNNNNNNNNNNNNNNNNNNNNNNNNNNNNNNNNNNNNNNNNNNNNNNNNNNNNNNNNNNNNNNNNNNNNNNNNNNNNNNNNNNNNNNNNNNNNNNNNNNNNNNNNNNNNNNNNNNNNNNNNNNNNNNNNNNNNNNNNNNNNNNNNNNNNNNNNNNNNNNNNNNNNNNNNNNNNNNNNNNNNNNNNNNNNNNNNNNNNNNNNNNNNNNNNNNNNNNNNNNNNNNNNNNNNNNNNNNNNNNNNNNNNNNNNNNNNNNNNNNNNNNNNNNNNNNNNNNNNNNNNNNNNNNNNNNNNNNNNNNNNNNNNNNNNNNNNNNNNNNNNNNNNNNNNNNNNNNNNNNNNNNNNNNNNNNNNNNNNNNNNNNNNNNNNNNNNNNNNNNNNNNNNNNNNNNNNNNNNNNNNNNNNNNNNNNNNNNNNNNNNNNNNNNNNNNNNNNNNNNNNNNNNNNNNNNNNNNNNNNNNNNNNNNNNNNNNNNNNNNNNNNNNNNNNNNNNNNNNNNNNNNNNNNNNNNNNNNNNNNNNNNNNNNNNNNNNNNNNNNNNNNNNNNNNNNNNNNNNNNNNNNNNNNNNNNNNNNNNNNNNNNNNNNNNNNNNNNNNNNNNNNNNNNNNNNNNNNNNNNNNNNNNNNNNNNNNNNNNNNNNNNNNNNNNNNNNNNNNNNNNNNNNNNNNNNNNNNNNNNNNNNNNNNNNNNNNNNNNNNNNNNNNNNNNNNNNNNNNNNNNNNNNNNNNNNNNNNNNNNNNNNNNNNNNNNNNNNNNNNNNNNNNNNNNNNNNNNNNNNNNNNNNNNNNNNNNNNNNNNNNNNNNNNNNNNNNNNNNNNNNNNNNNNNNNNNNNNNNNNNNNNNNNNNNNNNNNNNNNNNNNNNNNNNNNNNNNNNNNNNNNNNNNNNNNNNNNNNNNNNNNNNNNNNNNNNNNNNNNNNNNNNNNNNNNNNNNNNNNNNNNNNNNNNNNNNNNNNNNNNNNNNNNNNNNNNNNNNNNNNNNNNNNNNNNNNNNNNNNNNNNNNNNNNNNNNNNNNNNNNNNNNNNNNNNNNNNNNNNNNNNNNNNNNNNNNNNNNNNNNNNNNNNNNNNNNNNNNNNNNNNNNNNNNNNNNNNNNNNNNNNNNNNNNNNNNNNNNNNNNNNNNNNNNNNNNNNNNNNNNNNNNNNNNNNNNNNNNNNNNNNNNNNNNNNNNNNNNNNNNNNNNNNNNNNNNNNNNNNNNNNNNNNNNNNNNNNNNNNNNNNNNNNNNNNNNNNNNNNNNNNNNNNNNNNNNNNNNNNNNNNNNNNNNNNNNNNNNNNNNNNNNNNNNNNNNNNNNNNNNNNNNNNNNNNNNNNNNNNNNNNNNNNNNNNNNNNNNNNNNNNNNNNNNNNNNNNNNNNNNNNNNNNNNNNNNNNNNNNNNNNNNNNNNNNNNNNNNNNNNNNNNNNNNNNNNNNNNNNNNNNNNNNNNNNNNNNNNNNNNNNNNNNNNNNNNNNNNNNNNNNNNNNNNNNNNNNNNNNNNNNNNNNNNNNNNNNNNNNNNNNNNNNNNNNNNNNNNNNNNNNNNNNNNNNNNNNNNNNNNNNNNNNNNNNNNNNNNNNNNNNNNNNNNNNNNNNNNNNNNNNNNNNNNNNNNNNNNNNUGAUGGCUGUACCCUGGACAGAAAACCCUUGUACCGGUACAGCAAUGCAAUUUUCGCUGAAAAUGCAUUGUUUCGGGUUUUACAAACUCUUAGAAACCUUCUAAUCAAUUACAACUUGAAAAUAUGAUUCUAAGAUCUAUAAAUAAGUAUGAAUCACCAUAAACAAGAUUUAAAACUUACCUACGCAUCGUGAUUCAAGUUUUGCGUGUUUUGCGUCCUUUCCGAUUCUUCGAAGUCUUGGAUUCUUCGAUCUUCAAUACUCCGCUCCGAACUUCUUCAAGACUCCGACUCGACCCACGAAACUUGCCAACACAUAGGACCUAAUACCCGGCGGCAUUUAUGGACCUGAUGAAUCGAAUCUUCCGUCCGCUAUUGGACCGGUGCGUCGUGGUUUUCAUUGACGACGUAUUGGUAUAUUCUCGGACCGAAGAAGAACACGAGGAGCAACUAAGACUCGUGUUGGAGAUACUCCGAAAGGAAAAGCUUUACGCAAAACUAAAGAAAUGUGAGUUUUGGCUUUCGGAGGUUACCUUCUUAGGUCACGUUGUAUCCGAAGAUGGCAUCUCGGUGGAGCCAAAGAAGGUUGAGGCGAUUAAAGAUUGGCCUCGCCCGACAAGUGUAGCGAAAAUUCGUAGCUUCCUUGGACUGGCGGGCUAUUACCAGCGGUUCGUGGAGGAGUUUGCCAGGAUAACGACUCCACUAAUGCGCCUUACGCACAAAGGGGUGAAGUAUGUUUGGAGCCCCGAGUGUGAGCGGAGCUUUGAGGAGCUAAAGAAUAGACUGACAUCUACUCCGGAGCUUGCUUUGCCGACGCUAGGAGAGAGUUAUGUCGUAUACAGUGAUGCUUCAUACAUCGGUCUCGGGUGUGUCUUACUGCAAAACAGCCAAGUGAUAGCUUAUGCUUCGCGCCAGUUGAAGAGUUAUGAAAAGAAUUACCCGACUCACGAUCUUGAGUUAGCGGCGGUUGUUUUCGCGCUAAAAUUGUGGAGGCAUUACUUGUAUGGGGAACAUUGUGAGAUCUACACCGAUCAUAAAAAUCUCAAAUACUUGUUCACCCAGAAGGAGCUAAACUUGCGACAGCGGCGGUGGUUAGAGUUGCUCAAAGAUUACAAUGUCACGAUUCUCUAUCACCCCGGGAAAGCGAACGUCGUGGCCGAUGCUCUAAGUAGAAAGUCGGCGGAAAAUUUGGCGACAGAAAUUACACCUCAACCGGCUUUGCAAAAGGAGAUGCAGCGGUUUAAACUAGAAGUUGUGGCGCCGAGAGUGCCGGCAACACUCGCCACUCUAGUUGUGCAACCAACCUUGUUGGAGAGGAUUAAAGGAUCACAAGCAUCGGAUGAAUUCCUCCAAAAGGUGCGGGGCAAAGUUGAGAGCGGUAGCGCCGGUGAGUUUGGCAUUAGAACCGACGGCGCACUACGAUAUCGAGAUCGUUGGUGUGUGCCCAAGGAUGAUAAUCUUCGGAGGGCGAUUAUGCAAGAAGCGCAUCAAUCUCCCUAUAGCAUUCACCCGGGCGGCACCAAAAUGUAUCGAGACCUAAAAUUGCAUUAUUGAUGGUCGGGCAUGAAGAAAGAUAUAGGAGAGUUCGUGGCGCAGUGUCUCACGUGCCAACAAGUGAAAGCGGAGUGUUGAUUUCCGGCAGGAAAAUUGCAAAGUCUACCUAUACCCGUGUGGAAAUGGAAAAACAUCGCAAUGGAUUUUGUGACAGGUUUACCUAAAUCACAAGGUGGACAUGACGCGAUUUGGGUAGUUGUGGACCGGUUGACGAAAUCGGCACACUUUUUGCCGAUCCACACUACUUGGUUGGGAGACAUGUUAGCUCAAGUCUAUAUUGACGAGGUUGUGAGACUUCAUGGGGUUCCGGUAUCUAUUGUAUCGGAUCGGGACCCUAGGUUCACGUCUCAUUUUUGGAAGAGCUUACAAGAUGCGUUGGGCACGCGGCUCGACUUUAGUACGACAUUCCAUCCUCAAAGUGACGGUCAAUCGGAAAGGACUAUUCAAAUACUUGAGAACAUGCUUCGAGCAUGUGUGCUUGAUUAUAAGGGCGGAUGGUACGAUCACUUACCGAUAGCGGAAUUCGCAUACAACAACAGCUAUCAAGAAAGCAUUGCGAUGGGGCCAUUCGAGGCCCUGUAUGGAAGGAAAUGUCGCUCGCCAAUACACUGAAUCGAUGUGGGCGAGAAGAUGGUUCUUGGCCCGGAUGUGGUGCGGGAGGCGGAAGAGAAAGUCCGCCUUGCCCGACAGCGAUUAGUGACGGCGCAAUCAAGGCACAAGAGUUAUGCCGACAAGCGGCGAAAGGAUAUUGAGUUCGCGGUUGGAGACCGCGUAUUUUUAAAAGUAUCGCCGAUGCGAGGAGUCAAGCGGUUCGGCGUUCGCGGGAAGCUAAGUCCCCGCUAUAUCGGACCCUUCGAGAUUCUGGAACGAGUUGGCGCAGUCGCCUACAAGUUGGCAUUACCACCGAGGCUCACGGGAGUACAUGAUGUAUUCCAUGUAUCCCAACUCCGCAAGUAUGUGUACGAUCCAGAUCAUAUUCUCUCGUAUAUACCGAUAGAGCUUCAAGAGGAUAUGACUUAUGAGGAGUUCCCGGCGUAUAUUGUCGAUCGGGAGGUGCGAAAGCUUCGGAACCGCGAAAUCCCGUAUGUUAAAAUUCAUUGGUGCGAGCAUGAUGACCGAGAAGAAACGUGGGAGCUCGAAAACGAAAUGAGGGAGCGUUAUCCUCACCUCUUCGAGGAUCUGAAGUGAGGUAUGAAAUUUAAAUUUCAACCUUAGUAGUUUUGCGGACGAAACUAAAGUAAGGGGUGGGGAAUGUGACAUACCACCUCCCUCGUAAAUCGUGCCGAGUUCCGUCGAAACGAGCGGAGCGCGGAGUGGAACGAGUGAGUAUAGGCCCUAAGUGCAUUGGAACCUAUCUAUAGUGCAAAGGGACCCGAGAGAGAGAGAAAUUCCAUAAUCUGGCUAUGUCCCAGAUUUUGUGCUCUCGGGGACCGAUCCCUGAAGGAAAGACCAGUCCCCGUACGCGUUGCCUACCAGGAAUCCUGAGGCAACCGGCCCCUGGCAGUGAGACCGGUCCUCGGGAGACCGGUCCCUGAGGUAAAGACCGGUCCCUCGUCGCGCAGCAGCUGAGAAAGCCAAAAAUCCGGCUAAGUCCUGGAAAACCCACGUUCGGGAACCGGUCCCUGGUCGGGAAGACCGGUCCCCGACAGUGAAAAUUGCCCGGUCUGGGCUGAAACAGAAUCUUGAAGUUGAGGGGCCUAAGUGCAAAUGUUACAACUCUUUAUAUGGCCCAUCCCCUCUCUCCCACAGCCAUUUCCCACCUCUCUCUCAUUUUCUCUCUUUCUCUCUCUAGAACCCUAGCUCUAGGGCUUGGAGAAGAAGAAGAAGCAAGGGGAAGGUGGAUUUGGAGGCUUUGGAGGGUCUAGGAGCUCUCCUACAAGAAAGACUUGGAGGAGCUUUUGGCUAAGGUGAGUUUUUGGUACAAAUGAGUCUAGGGUAUGGUUUUGAUCCCUAAGGUUUGGAGUUUUGGGUUGUUUUUAGCCUUGGGAGCCUUCUAUAGGCCUUGAACUCCGUGGGACCCAUGAGAGCUUAAGUGCUCUCAUGGUGGAUGGUUAGGGUUCACCAUAAAAGCCCUAGGGUUGGUUCCAAAGGUCUAGAAACCUUGUUAGAAUGUUUCUUAGGUGAUUUGAAGCUAUUAUUUGCUUAGGGUUGAGAUCAAUCCAAGUGGGAGCCCUAGAUGUUAUUGUUAGGGCUCAAAUUGGGGCUUUUGCCCUAGGAUUUUUCGGGGAUAAAUUGACCCUGUAGAAACCGAAUUGGGGGUGCCCCCGACGCGUGGGACGACUCCGUUUAACAUUACGAAAAUGUUUGAGAGUAGUUCAUGUACAAAGGGCCUAAUUUGGCACCAUUUUGGGUUGUAGGACGCGGAUCGUCGUUCGUAAGGUUGAGGGGAUUAUCGCGUACGUCUUCUACUACCUCACAAGGUAGGGGGUGCACGCCGGAAUCGUUGGAUUCCCUUCUAUGUCUGUUUUUCUUUUUAUUGAGCAUAUAUAUAUAUAUAUAUAUAUAUAUAUAUAUAUAUAUAUAUAUAUAUAUAUAUAUAUAUACAUAUAUAUAUAUAUCCGUACAUAGCCAUUCAUGCAUAGUAAGGUAGAUACAUGUGAAACUUGGUUCGAUUUCAUUUAUAUGUUUCUAACGUAGUUGAACAUAGAGAAUGGUAGAACCAAAAAAAGGAACAUGUGGGGUAGGACCCUCAAGUUGCGUGAAUGUGAGGUUUGGACUUGGACAAUAGAAAACAAAGGUGACAUUGACAUAGAAACAAGAUCGGCAUUGAGAGAUGAACCGUUAAACAUAGUUUAACUAAUUAUGGCAUCAUCAUAGGUAUAGCCUAGAGAGUGGCCAAAAUGAAUAGGUAGAGACCUAUCAUGACAUCGGCAUUGUGACUAGUGGCUAUGAAUCCUCAAGUAAGGAUUGGAUCGAUACUCACGAUACGUCUUGGCUUAAGGGAGGUCGCUCCCCCUCGAGCGGUGCGCUCCGGAGUUGGUCACCACUGGGCGUGGUAAAGUCCCCCCAGAUGACGGUCCCUAGGGAGGUUCGAGUCCCCCGUUAUUAAGGGAUUUUGGGUUGUGAGUUGUUAGGGUUAACAAGGUUAACCGGUAAGAUUAGGUAACAGCCAAAGUAAAAUUUAUGAAAAGGGCAUGCAUGCAUUCAUCAUCCAUAUGAUUAUUCAUUUACUGACCAGUUUUCUUGCAGGCAUUGUAUUAGAAGUAGCAUUAGAUGGUUUGCUAUCCUUUCCUUUGAAAUACAUAUGCCUGAAUAAACCUAGUGGGUAAGUCGGCGAGGUCGGUUGCCGAACCCAUUGGGAACUUUGUUUAGUUCUCACACCACUAACUGUCACGCCCCGGGACCGGCAGGGGCCCUCCCAGUAGCGUGCCCAGACCCGCCAUAUGUCUACACAUAUAAGGCGUCUAGGAUAAAAGCGGAAGUAAAAGCAAGAAAUAAUCCACAAGUAGAGAUAUCAGAGCAAAUAAAGUUCUAACCUCUAAAACGAGAAUAAAGGAAACAUACUAAAGCAAUAAGGGUGAAAUAUAAAGUAAUACAACAUCUGUCCCAAAAGUACACAAAAUGGUGGUCUCUAGUACACUGCUACAGCUCUCAAUCUCUCCCAAAAUAAAAUACAUCGAGAGGUAGACCACCUAGCAACUCGUGCGCUGAAGAGCUAGCUCGAAGUAACGCCCUUCCCGCGGUCCCUAGCCUCUCCCGGCGUGGAAGGCUCUGAAAGAAAACAUAAAACAGAGGGCCUGAGAACUAUAAUUUAUAGUUCCCAGUGGGCAAUUACUGACCUCAGCUCAAUGCACCUCCAGGCCCCAACAGAAAAUGAGUAAGUACAGUAAACAACAAUAAUAAUAAUGAUAACUGCGGUAUGAAAGUAUGCAUGUUUACUAAGCUUACUAUACCAUAAGCAUUACGAUGUCAAUGUUUUACAUUUACUCUUUCAUAAUGAAGAAUGUUCAAUGCAUAAGUAAUAUGUCCCAACAUAGCCACAGGUAAAUGUCACGGUCUACUUUAUGAAGUUAUAAAGAUCAUGCUUUAAUAUGGCAAUAAUGUAUAAAUGGAUGCAAUAAGCAACAUCUCCUAGCAUACUACAUGUAUGUAUGUAUACUCAAGUGUCCAAAACUAUGCUAGAAGCAAGUCCAAGUAAUCCAACUACUACCCUCUAUCUAGUAGUGAUUAUACACACACAACACCGUGUCGAUUUCCAUUUCCAAUUAAAGACCUACUCAAGGUAGUCCAGCUUGUGCCGCCUAAGUGCCUGUGGUAGCCCGACAUUCCUACUCUUGGAAUGUGUCUAUCCCACUCGACCCCGUAGGCUUUUCAAUACCACACGAGCGAACAUAAGUCGCGUAGGCGAACUCCAAAGUGUCGGCUUGUAGGGAGCGACCCUCACAAGCAUGUGCGAAUGAGCACAAAUGGCAAGCAAGUAUAGUCAACGUCUCAAGUAUCCAAUCAUCAUGUCUCUAACAUGGUAUAGUCACUAGCAUCUCGAAGAUCUAGUUCUAAGUCACAAGUAAAGUUCCAACGUUCAUGAAGUCUAGUGCCUCUUGAUGACACUUAGACAUUUCAAUGUUUCAGCAUAUACCAAAUCCCUCAAUGGCCCUAUCCACUAGGUUCACCCAUGUCCCGAGCUCAAUGCUGUUUGAUGACAUUAGCUCUCUAAUUCACAUAGCAUUCUAGUUUGAUGCCUCUUUAAGGCAUAUUAGUUAUCUUUCAUGUCAUAAAUAAAAAUAGGUUUAAAUGCAUGAAUCAAGCUCAUUUUCAUUAUAAGGAAUAUGGCCCAACAUAAGGAUGCUAAACAAUCAAACAUAAGCUUCAUAUGCAACUCUCUACUAUAUAGGAGUCCAAAAUUGCACUAUAUGUAACAUAGGCAUUUUAAGCAUCCUAAAAUUACAAUAAAUACAUAUAACAAUAAUAUGCAUGCUUUUUCAUUUUACAAUACUUAAAUCAUCAACAAUGAGAUUUUCUCAUUGUGUGGCUAGGUCAAACCCACCGAACCGUCGCAUAGUCCCUCGUCUCGCUGACGGAGUUGUCCACGAGUCUCAAAAUACCCUAAAAGUAUUGAGCGAAGAGAUACACGGGCAUUACGAUCAACUAUAAGAUCAAACAUUAACCAACAAGGCAAAAGGACUAAAAUCUCACCUAGGGUGGAGAAAAACUCUCACAAGCUCCAAAAGAAGGCUAAGAUCCUUCCAAUCCAAUCCAAAGGAGUGCUCUAAUCCAAAUAAUUUAGCCAAAAGCCCUAGAAUCAAAAUGCCCAAAAUAAACCCUAAGUUUCCAAUCUAGGGUUCCAUCUACUAUAAGGCAUCAAAACCAAAAUCUAGAGGGAGAGAAUGGGCUACCAACCUCUUAGAAGCUUCAAUCCAAGCUUUAAACUCUCUAAGUCCAAAGAUCUCUCCUCAACAAAGCUCCAAAUUCAAGCUCCAAGCUUCAACAAUGGUGGAGAAGCCUCUAAUCAAGCAAAAAGAGAGUUUAAUCUCAAAAAAACCAAACAAAAUCAAGGAAAUCACAAGGGAGGUGAUAGGAGAGCUCCCUACCUUGCUUUCCUCAAAUUCCCAGCUCAGGAGAAGCCCUAGGGGUGUGGGGGAUACAUAUAGAAGUCUACAAUUGCGAAAAACCCCCUGUAGUUCAAACUGCUCAGAUUCUGCCAAAGUGUACCGGUACACGGGAAAGUGUACCGGUACACAUCCUACGAAAAGGCAAACCCGAGGCUCAGGUUUGAAAUUCGCCACAAGUGUACCGGUACAGCCAUCAAAAGUGCACCGGUACAAAAUGUGUACCGGUACAGCCAUCGACCUGUCACCGGUUACACCUCGUGCAGAAUGCAAUCCGAGGUAGCCUAAGUCCAACUCUUUAGUGACCUUAGCGCUACACAAAAUACUACAAUUCUCGGAAUUCGAACCAUAGGUCGGAACACUGUCAACGACCCACCAGAAAAUCUGGAAAAGCUCAAGACACAGUCCAAACACUCGAACCUCGCAAUUUGCAAAGGUCCAGUGUGUUACACUAACCCUACAGGUCCAAGCGCGAGCGGGAUGGCGGAGGACCGAGGCAAGGGUAUAGCAUCGUAGAUAGCGGCCACCAGGACUUUAUACAUUUUGUAGUCAUUUUCCUUUUUGGUAUACAUGUAUCAACUUUACUUUGUAGAUCUAGAGCUCCAAGUUACAAACAAUCAUGUAUUUAGUGGAUGACUAAAUGUAAAAAAAAGAUAUGAUGGAUGAAUGGAAAUGUAAUAUACCGAGAAUUCGGAAAAUAAAUAUCGAACUUUAGUCAAAUUGACCAAAGUGCGAGGAUGGUACACUUCGGUAAGUCCGAAGGUGUUAAAAUGAUCAAAAGUGAGUUAUGGGAGGUUUUCAAGAGCUAAAGGAUCAAAAUCUGCAUUCUGCAAUUUUGAGCUCUCGGGGACCAGUCCCUGGUGGGAGAGAUCGGUCCCCGAACGCGUAUGAAUUGAGACAGCCGAAAAAUCGGCUAAGUUCUGAGAAACUAGCUCUCGGGAACCGGUCCCUGCCUGAGAGACCGAUCCCCGAGAGACCGGUCCCCCAAAGAGAGACCGGUUGCUCUGCGCGUGCGCCCUGCUGCUCGCGGGGAGAGCCUUCGGGAACUGGUCCCUGAAGGAGAGACCGGCCCCCGCGUGCGCGAACCGCCCAGUCCAAGCAGUGUACAGAGAUAAAAGUUGAGGGGUUUAUUUGCAUUUUUGCAACCCAUGGGUUAUGUUGAGGGCUGAGAGAGACUUUUUCUCUCAUUCUCUCCCUCUUACACUCUCUUCUCUCCCUCUCUCUCUCUAGAAGACAAAAGAGGAGAAGAAGAAGACAAGAAAGAAAGGAAGGAAAAGAAGGUGAAGAAGAAGAUCAAGUAGUGAGCCUACCUCUUCUUCUUCCUCCUUGGAGCAUCUUAGGGAAAGCUUUGAGGUAAGCUUUGAUCCCUAGUAUAGUAAAACCCUAGAAUGAGUUUUGAAUGACCUAGAAAUGGGUUUUAUGGAUUAUUUGGAGUCUUUGAAGCUUUCUUUUUGCUUCUUUAGAGAUCAAAACCAUGGUUUAGCUUGAGGUAAGCUUUGGCCACCUCUAAUGGUGAAAUCCAAACUAGGGUUUGGAGUGAGAUAAGAAUGGUUCUAAUGGACUUUUUAGAGUAUAAUGAAGCUACUUUUGCUUCCCAUUGAGAUCAAACCCUAGGUUUGAUGAUGUUAUGGAGCUAAGGCACCCAAAUUGGGGCUUUUGCUCAUAGGGUUUCUAAGUGCAAUUGACUCUCUAGAAACCUAAUUGCGGGUAUUUCCGACGCAUUGGUGCGCUCGGAUUAGCGUUACGAAACGCCAAAGUAAAGAUAUGAGCAAAAUGCCCUAAUAAGGCUUCGUUUUGCCGCAGGUAGUGAACCGGGUGUCUAAAAAUCUCAAGAAAAUCGUCAGAGCACCUAAAGAGACCUACAAGGUGGGUGGUGCUUCUCAAACUCAUUGAACUUCUCUCUAUGCCUAAUGUGUCAUUCAUUUGAGCAUGUGUAUAUGUAUUGUUGCAUGCAUUUUAGGGUAAAGUAAUGAUGAAAAUGUGAUGAUGCAUGAUUGUGAGUACAACUUGCAUAAUAUGAUGAAUGAGAACUAUGUGAAUGUCGAAAACCCUAUGUGUAUGCAUGAGAGAAAAGUGAGCACCCAAAGUGAGCAAAAGAACAGAGUGACACAAUGACAUAGAUCGAGUGGCAUUCGAUAAAGUUAAAGUAAAAUGACACUAGAGAUAGUGUGAGGUAAAGAACCAAUGUAAUGUAAAGAAUGAUGAAAAUGACAAUGUUUAAAGUUAAAGUAAUGUGGGGAGUAAAGAACAUGAAGUGCUAGAGGUAGCCAAAAGUAAAGAAUGUAAAGAAUAUNNNNNNNNNNNNNNNNNNNNNNNNNNNNNNNNNNNNNNNNNNNNNNNNNNNNNNNNNNNNNNNNNNNNNNNNNNNNNNNNNNNNNNNNNNNNNNNNNNNNNNNNNNNNNNNNNNNNNNNNNNNNNNNNNNNNNNNNNNNNNNNNNNNNNNNNNNNNNNNNNNNNNNNNNNNNNNNNNNNNNNNNNNNNNNNNNNNNNNNNNNNNNNNNNNNNNNNNNNNNNNNNNNNNNNNNNNNNNNNNNNNNNNNNNNNNNNNNNNNNNNNNNNNNNNNNNNNNNNNNNNNNNNNNNNNNNNNNNNNNNNNNNNNNNNNNNNNNNNNNNNNNNNNNNNNNNNNNNNNNNNNNNNNNNNNNNNNNNNNNNNNNNNNNNNNNNNNNNNNNNNNNNNNNNNNNNNNNNNNNNNNNNNNNNNNNNNNNNNNNNNNNNNNNNNNNNNNNNNNNNNNNNNNNNNNNNNNNNNNNNNNNNNNNNNNNNNNNNNNNNNNNNNNNNNNNNNNNNNNNNNNNNNNNNNNNNNNNNNNNNNNNNNNNNNNNNNNNNNNNNNNNNNNNNNNNNNNNNNNNNNNNNNNNNNNNNNNNNNNNNNNNNNNNNNNNNNNNNNNNNNNNNNNNNNNNNNNNNNNNNNNNNNNNNNNNNNNNNNNNNNNNNNNNNNNNNNNNNNNNNNNNNNNNNNNNNNNNNNNNNNNNNNNNNNNNNNNNNNNNNNNNNNNNNNNNNNNNNNNNNNNNNNNNNNNNNNNNNNNNNNNNNNNNNNNNNNNNNNNNNNNNNNNNNNNNNNNNNNNNNNNNNNNNNNNNNNNNNNNNNNNNNNNNNNNNNNNNNNNNNNNNNNNNNNNNNNNNNNNNNNNNNNNNNNNNNNNNNNNNNNNNNNNNNNNNNNNNNNNNNNNNNNNNNNNNNNNNNNNNNNNNNNNNNNNNNNNNNNNNNNNNNNNNNNNNNNNNNNNNNNNNNNNNNNNNNUGGUAUCAGAGCCAAGAGUGAAAGAAUAGGAAUGGACCUAGAGACCCUUAGGAUUGGAAGGCCUUAAGGAUCUAGGAAACGUGAGUGACGUGGGAUGAAAGUUAGCGAAGCAUAUGUUUGGGUUAAGUUGGGACGUCUCUAAUGUGAUUAGAGGCUAAGUUUAAAUUUCGUUUAUCCUCCACUUCUGGUGUUGUGUCGGGCGGCCGACGACAUGACGCUUGAGGCAAGGAUGAAUGUGCAUGUUGCUUUCGCCUAAUUGGGUAUGGUCAAGUAAUGUUGGUCAAGUGACUAAUGCGAGUUGCUUCUUUUCAGGAAGCAAUGGCACCUCGACGUCGAUCGCAGACAAGGUCGAUGCCGGAGGAAACGAAUGCGGUGCCCGAGCAAUCCGGAGCGAGUGGCGACGGGGAGCUUAGGGAGCAAAUGGCCGCGCUUAUUGACGUAGUGCGGCAGCAAGCGGAGUCUGUUCAACGCCAAGGGGAGCAGAUUCAGCGGCUCGAGGAGGCCUUGGAGCGUCAACAGUCGGCGGCGGCCCAAGUGGGCGUGGAGCCACCUGUCCCCCCUGCGGAGGUGCCGAGGGCAGUCGAGGGAGCGGCGACAGCAACGGCUGCGCCAGUCACGCUAGUGCCGGCCGGAUCGGGAACCUCAAAUCCCGAUGGUGCGGCAGUUGAUGCAGAGCGAGAGCGCACAUUGGCGGCGCUUUUACAAUUCAAGAAGUUCGACCCACCUAUCUUCGAGGGUGGAUUGGUGGAGCCAGCGGUUGUGGAGUCGUGGAUCGACUCAAUGGAGACGCUCUUCGAGGACCUAAAUACCUCGGAGAAAGAUAAAGUGUACCUUGCCACCCAUUGUCUAGGGAAGGCGGCGAUGGUGUGGUGGAAACGAGUGAGGCGGGAUUGACCUAUCGAUCUUCCGCUUAUGUUAUAGGAGGAGUUCAAGAGAACGGUGUUCGCGAACUACUUCCCCAACACGGUGAAGCGGAAGCUACAAGAAAAGUUCCGCAAGUUGAGACAGGGCGAUCGAUCGGUGGGAGAGUAUGAGCAAGAAUUCUCUCACAUUAUUAACUGCGUUCCCGAUGUUGUUCGUGAUGAUCGAGAUCGGGCUGAUUGGUUCUUGCGAGGACUCCAGCCCCAGAUAUAUGAGAAGGUGCAGAUCUUAAAGCUGUCGACCUUUGCGGAGGUCUUUGAUAGAGCUUUCUGGGCGGAGCACGGUAGCGCCCACGUACGCGAGAAACGAGAAGCUAUUGCCGAGUCGAAAGACAAGGGCAAGAAGAGAACGGCGGGCGGUGCCGUGGGCCAGCCAAAUACUAAGAAACCCCCUCGGUAUCCCCGACAGCAGGCGAGAAAUUGGAGACCACCUCGAUGUGUUAUUUGUGGUGGUGAGCACAAGGUGUCGACUUGCCCGCAGCGCGAUGGCAAGUGUUUCAAGUGUGGCCAACCGGGACAUCUUAUCCGGGAGUGCCCGACAUGGACGUCAUCUGCGCUGACGGCGGCAUCAGCACCGUCUACCCCGAAACAGCUUGCGGGGUUACCACCAGCGAUGUCGGCUCGGCGCGUGUCAUCACUACGUCAGCCGGAGGGAUCGAGAGCGCCUAGCGGUCGAGUCUUCACCGCUUAGGUGGAGGAGCAACAACCUGCAGCACCCGACGACAUCGUGGCAGGUAUAAUUGUGAUUAAAGGCACUAGAGCUAGAGCAGUGUUUGAUACAGGCGAUUAUUUUUUUAGCACGUCAUUGGCUAAGAACAUGCUAGAUAUAGUGUUACAAUGAGAGUAUGACGUGGUGAACGCCAAUGAAAUUCAUUCAGUGUUGCACACGAUAGUGUUUGGUAGUCUCCAGAACUGCAAUAGGCGAUUGAUUAUGCGAGUAUCUGCUAGUCUAGAUCAUGAUGUGGGGAUUCGAUGUUAUCUGGAGGACCAAUUGCUCUUCAAUACUAUGCGGUCAUGAUUUUGUGAAGAAAGGUUGAUCCUUCGUAGAGCUAAUCAGAAGAGUAGUUACCAACGUGCAAAAAGUAGCGCCUUUCGGGCGAAUAGAUCAUCUGUAGGUGGAAGAGGAAUGAUCUAAGGAGGGUGUAGAGCUUAUUGGCCAACCAUGGUGGAUGCUCGAAGAAGUACAGAGUGGGAGAUAUUAGGUAGCGUUGUGAGUUUUUCGAGUCGUUCCGGCGGAUAGUUACCGGAACCACCGACGGGGAAGAUUGAGUUUGUUAUUUACUAUUCAUUCGGCGAAUGGUUUCGAAGGUGUUAUGAAUGCACGUGGAGUAAAGGAUUAGAAAGUCAUCGACUUGCUCGAUAAAGGCUUCGUGGGGCGAGCUUGUACCAUGGAGCUUCCGGUUGCAUGUGAGAAGGAAGGAUGGACACUUCGGCUCUGCGUUUAGAUUCAUCGCGAGUGACAAAGUAACGAUAAAGAACAUAGUACCGUUGCAAGCGAUUGACGAUCUAUUGAUCAGUUGCAAUGGGUCAAGUCUUAUUCGAAGAUUAUCUCCAGUCGCGGUUCAUCCAAUUAAGUCAGCGAAGUUUGUGCACAAACGGCGUAUGUACGCAGGUAUGCCAUUAUUGAGUUCCGGUAUGCGUUUGGCUUCGUAAGCCGGCACAUUUAUGGACUUGCAUGAUCGAGUUUUAGCAUUUGGAUCGAGCCGUGAUGUGUUAUAGCGGUUUGGUUACUAAAGAGUGAAGAGGAUACAUGAGACAUCUGAGAUGAAUAAACAUGUGUUGCAAAUACUCAGACAAGAGUAAGCUCUAUGCAAAAGUUCAAGAAGUGUGGUUUGGAUAAAGGAAUGGCACAUUUUGGGUAAUGUCGGUAUGGGCGACGGGUAGAUAGACCGAAAAAGUAGAGGCAUAAGGAUGGCUGUCCCGAGAAUGUACGCGGGAGUUCCGCAGUUUUCUUGACUGCCGCGCUAUAUCGGGGUUCGAGGAGGGUUCGCCCAAAUAACACUCCACUAAGCGCCUCACGCAUAAGGGCGGUAAGUAGGUUUGGACGCGAUCGAUCGGAGCUUCGAAGAUUAAAGGUAAGGUUGACGUCGACCCGGUCUUGCUUUGCCGAUCCGGAAGAAUUUUGUAGUGUUUAUAGCGAGCUUUAUGUUGUGCUCGGGGUGUACUAAUUGCAAUGGGCGAUGUAUUUGCAUAUGCAUCGCGCCAAUUAAAGAGUUAUGAGAAGAACUACCCGAUUCACGACCUCGAAUUAGCCGCGGUGAUCUUCGCGCUAAAGCUUUGGAGGCAUUACUUGUAUGGUGAACAUUGUGAAGUCUACACCGAUCACAAGAGUCUCAAGUACUUGUUCACCCAGAAGGAGUUGAAUAUGCGGCAGCGGCGGUGGUUGGAGUUGUUGAAGGACUAAGAUGUCACUAUACUAUACCACCCCGGGAAAGCCAAUGUCGUGGCCGAUGCUCUAAGUAGAAAAUCUGCGGAGAACCUAGCGACGGCGAUUACGCCUCAACCGCUGUUGCAAAAGGAAAUGCAAAGAUUUGGGUUGGAAGUGGUAGCACCGGGAGUGCCGGCUACACUUGCCGCAUUAGUUGUGCAACCGACCCUAUUUGAGAGAAUCAAAGAGUUACAGGCUUCGGAUCCUUAUCUUCAAAAGGUACGAGGCGAAGUUGAAGAAGGUAGUGCCGAGGACUUUGGCAUUGGAGCUAACGGCGCACUUCGAUUUCGAAAUCGAUGGUGCGUGCCCAAGGAUGAUGAGUUACGAAGGGCGAUUAUGCAAGAAGCGCACCAAUCCCCUUAUAGCAUACACCCCGGCAGCACUAAAAUGUACAAAGAUUUGAGAGAACAUUAUUCAAUAAUAGCUACCAAGAAAGUAUAGCGAUGGCGCCUUUUGAGGCACUAUAUGGACGUAAGUGUCGUUCUCCUAUCCAUUGGAGUGACGUGGGCGAGAGAACGGCUCUUGGCCCGGAUGUAGUGCGGGAGGCGGAAGAGAAGGUUCGCCUUGCCCGUCAACGGUUAGCGACGGCGCAAUCUCGGCAAAAGAGUUAUGCCGACAAGCGGAGAAAAGAUUUAGAGUUCGCUGUUGGAGACCGUGUAUUUUUAAGAGUAUCACCGAUGCGAGGAGUAAAUCGGUUUGGGGUCUAUGGGAAGUUAAGCCCCCGAUACGUCGGACCGUUUGAGAUAUUAGAGCGUGUGGGUGCGGUGGCAUACAAGCUCGCACUACCACCGAGACUCGCGGGAGUUCACAAUGUGUUUCAUGUGUCAAAUCUUAGAAAGUAUAUCCGAAACGCGACACAUGUAUUGGAGUAUGAGCCCGUAGAGUUACGUGAGGAUAUGUCUUAUGAGGAGUACCCGGUGUGCAUCCUCGAUCGAGAAGUGAGGAAGUUGCGAAGUCGUAAGAUUCCAUAUGUGAAAGUUCAAUGGAGCAACCAUGCAGUGCGAGAAGCCACCUGGGAGCUCGAGGAGUCAAUGCGGAGAGAGUAUCCACACUUAUUUGAGUCGACGAACUAAGGUAUACGUAAUUUCGCGGACGAAAUUAUUUUAAGGGGUGGAGAAUGUAAUAUACCGAGAAUUCGGAAAAUAAAUAUCGAACUUUAGUCAAAUUGACCAAAGUGCGAGGAUGGUACACUUCGGCGGAUUCGAAAAUUAUAGAGGAUAUUCUUCAAGAAGCGCACCGAGCACCCUAUGCUAUACAUCCGGGAGGCACCAAGAUGUACAAGGAUUUAAAGUUACUCUAUUGGUGGCCCGGAAUGAAAAAGGAUGUUGGCGAGUUUGUAGCUCGUUGUCUAACCUGCCAACAAGUAAAGGCUGAGCACCAAUUACCCGCGAAAAAACUUCAGAGUUUGCCUAUUCCCGCGUGGAAGUGGGAGAAGAUCACCAUGGACUUCGUGACUGGAUUGCCCCGCUCUCAGGCCGGGCAUGAUGCUAUAUGGGUGAUCGUGGAUAGGUUGACGAAGUCGGCGCACUUCAUACCUAUUCAUACUACUUUGACUGGAGAGAAGCUCGCACAGGUAUACCUGGAUGAGAUUGUGCGACUUACACGGAGUGCCUACCUCGAUUGUAUCAGAUCGAGACACUCGGUUUGUGUCUUACUUUUGGAGGAGCCUACAAGACGCCUUGGGCACCCGAUUGGACUUCAGCACUGCUUUCCACCCUCAGAGUGACGGGCAGUUGGAGCGCACCAUCCAGACUUUAGAGGGUAUGCUCCGAGCAUGUGUGGUAGACUUCUAAGGAGGAUGGUCGCAGCAUCUACCGAUGGUGGAGUUUGCUUAUAACAACAGUUAUCAAGCAAGCAUCAAGAUGGCGCCGUUCGAAGCACUUUAUGGACGGAAGUGUAGAUCGCCACUUCAUUCGAGCAAAGUAAGCGAGAGAUUGGCUUUAGGCCCUGAUAUGCUUCAGGAAGCUGAGGACAAGGUUCGAAUUGCUCGGGAGCGACUUUUGACGGCACAGAGUAGACAGAGGAGCUACGCCUAUCGACGACGGCGAGACUUGGAGCUCCAAGUUGGAGACCAUGUUUUCUUGAAGGUCUCGCCGACUAGAGGGAUCAAGAGAUUCGGGAUUCGGGAAAAGUUGAGCCCCCGAUUUAUUGGACCGUAUGAGAUUUUGGAGCGUGUAGGUUCGGUAGCGUAUCGACUUGCUCUACCACCAAACCUAUCGGGCGUACACAAUGUCUUUCAUGUAUCGGUCCUUCGGAAGUAUAUCUUCGACCCGACUCAUGUGUUGGAUGUUACACCUGUGGAGUUGCGAGACGACUUGAGCUUCGAGGAGCAACCCGUGAAGAUUUUGGCUCGCGAGGUGCGGAAGCUGCGGAAUCUGGAUAUUCCGUAUGUGAAGGUUCUUUGGAGCAACCACGGGAAGCGGGAGGCCACGUGGGAGCUGGAGAGUGCUUUGCAGGAGCGCUACCCCCAUCUCUUUCAGAUGGAGUCUUGAGGUAUGUUGUUGCUUUGAGUUUCGCGAACGAAACUCCUUUUUAGGAUGGGUGAAUGUAACACACUGGACCUGUGCAAAUUGCGAGGUUCGAGUGCUUGACUUGGAUUCCGAGCUUUUUCACACUUGGUGGAGGGUCGUAAAUGGUAUUCCGACCUAAAAGUUCGAAACUCUGGAUUUUGGCUAAGUCCUGAGUGUUUUUACUCUCAGGGACCGGUCCCUGGUGGGAGAGACCGGUCCCCCCGGAAUAGUGUUGCGGCAGACUUGAGGCAACCGGUCCCUGGCAGUGAGAGACCGGUUCCCGAGAGCGUGUUCUGCGGGAGGGUCCUGAAGGACCGGUCCCUCUGGGCGAAAAUUGCCCAGUUUAAGCUGAUGCACAGGAUGGAUUGUUGAGGGACCAAACUAGAUUUUGUUUCUUUAGAGGGCUUUUAGAGCCAUUUCCCCUCUCUCUUUCCCUCACUUCUCACUCUCUCACACCUCUAGAAAGAGAAGAAGAAGAAGAGGAAGAAGAAGAAUGAGAGGAAGAGCUUGCUUGAGGGAGCUUGGAGCAUCAACCCUUUCUCUCUUUUUUCACCAUUGGAGGCUUAGAGCUUGGACUUGGAGCUUUGUGGAGGAUCAAACUCCAAUCCAUUAGGGUUUUGAGCUUGGUUUGGAGCAUCCUAGAUGUAAGGGAAGUGAAUUCUCGAAAUCCGAGGAUUAGACUUCGUCUGGAAUCGACCAAUUGUUGAGGGUAUGAGCUUCGGAAAGUUCGGAGGUAAUUAAAGGCAUUAAGUGCAUUAAGGAAGAGUCCGCGAAAGCAACAGUGCAAAUCUGCACUGGAGCAGAAUUUGCUCUCGGGGACCGGUCCCUGGCAGGGAGGGACCGGUCCCAUCAGGCUGGGCUGGCGGGGACCCAUGAGGCAACCGGUCUCUGGCAGGUAAGAACCGGUCCCCGAACGUUAACCCAGCGAGACAAGCCGAAAUUUGGCUAAGUCCCAAAAAUCCAGCUCUCGGGAACCGGUCUCUCGAACAAGGACCGGUCUCCCGAGGACCAGUCUCUCGAGUAGGGACCGGUUCCCGAACGCGAAAUUCCCUCUGCCCGAAUGGGAGACCUUCGGGGACCGGUCUCCCCGAGCUGGGACCGGUCCCUCACUGCGAAAAUGCCCAGUGAGAGGCUGUUUAAUAGAUGGAAAGUUGAGGGGCUUAUUUGCAAAACUGCCUAUAUGAAGGCUUGGGGACCCCUCUCUCCCUCCCAUUGCUCUCUUCCUCUCACACUCUUUAGCUCUCUCUCUCUCUAGAAAGAAAAAGAAGGAGAAGAAGAAGGAAAGGAAGAGAAAGGAGAAGAAAGAAAGGAAGAGAAAGGAGAAGAAGUAGAAGAAGAAAAAGACAUAGGUGAAGAUUGUCUUCCUCAUCUUCUUCCUCUCUUUGGGCUGAGCUUUGAAGGUAAGCUUCUAGCCCUAUGAUGGUGGAUUUCUUGCAAUAGGGUUUUAUAGCUUAGAAAUGGUUCGAAUGGAACCUAUUGAAGCUAAGGAGAAGGUUCGAGCUCGAAAUUGAAGCUCGCACCGCGGAUUUCUCCAUUAUUGAGACCUAGGACUCCGAUUUGGGAUUUUAGCAAAUCUGGGAUUUUGAUCUAUUUUGAUGGGUCGCAAACCUAAUUGCUAGGUCCCUGAACGCGUCGGCGAAGACGGUUCGUCGAUACGUCGAGAGAGUGCGGAGUUAUCGCCAAGACGAGUACUUGAGGGUUCGUUUUGCCCCGAGGAGUUGAAGCGACGUGCGAGGGCCGCGACGUCGAGUUUUCUAGCUUCACGGCGCUACCAAAAGGUUGGGGAGUGCCAUCCCGAAGCAGUCGAGCUGCUUUCUAUGUUUGAGUAUUAUUGUCGAUCAAUUACAUAUUGCAAUAUAGCAUUAUAGGGUGUUAAAUGUGAUUGUACAUAUUCUUGCAUGCUAGCGAUAGUUCGGGUUGUGGAUACAUCGAAUGAGAACUUAGUAUGCAUGAGUUGAACACUAUGAGAUAGUUAACCCUAUAUGUGAUGAAUAUGUCUAUGAGAAUGAGAACCUAGUAUAUUGUAAACUAGUGUAAUGAGAAUGAGUGGCAUCUAGUUAACCUUAACCAUUGAACGAGCAGCAUCUAGUGUCAUUAAAGAGGACCAGAGUGGCAUGAGAACACUAGUAUAGUUGAGAUACUAUGUGAUUGACUACUAGAACACUUGAUUCUAUAUUGCUAUCACCCCUGGUUGGUUAGGGUGUUCCCAGUUCAUGAGAUUGGAUCGAGCUCACUUAGCCUGUCUGCAUCUGUGGAGGUAGCUCCUCACAGGUAGUGCACUCCGGAGUUUGGCACGCGAGGGGGCCAGUGUAGUGCCCUUGGACCAGUGUAGUGUCUGCAGGCGGUCUCAGGGUAGGUGAAUAGCUAGCCUCCUCCCCUAUGAGACUUACACACGUGAGACUAUGAGCGAGCCUUGCGUUCGCUGAGAGAUUGGGUGAUCGGAUGAAUGACUUCGUUGUUGAACAUAGUAGUAUGAUAGCUGGUCUUCUUACUAUGAGCUUCAUGCAUGCAUCACAUUGGAUUGAGGCAUUGAUAGAUUCUAGUUCAUAGCCGCUUAUUACUGCUAAUGCUUUCAAUUCUAUAUACCUAUCUAUCUGCAUAUCUAUCUGUGCCUGCUUAGACCUAGUGGGGAGAUCGGCGGAGUCGGCGGCCGAACCCACUGGGAACUAUUCGUAGUUCUCACUCCACCAUGUUGCAGGUCCGAGUUCGAGCGCCCCCGGUGAGGAUCGCGGCAAGGGCGUAGCGCCCUAGUGAUGUUAGUAGAGGUUUACUUUCCUUUAUGCAUUAGUUACACCCUGUACCUAUUCUGAGAGUAGAUUGAUGUAUAGGGUGAGGUUUUGAGAGGAUUGUAUGUGUUGUACAGGUUUGGAAGAAUGCAAGUUGUAAUAAAUGUAUUAAGUUGAAUGGAUGUAAUAGAAUAGUUAAGUAUCUCUCUUUCACUCACUUAUAUGGUUGUAUUACUUGUGAUGCUUACUCUCGUAUUGUAUAGCAUUGAUUGUGCCCUCGAUGUAUUUGUUUGAUUGUGUAUGCAUUCAAGUUGUUUCCUGGGAACUUGUUGUACACAAUCUAGUUGUUUGAGCCUUGGGCGAACAGGGAAGGUGCUGUCCGUUCGGCGGUCCGUUUGCCGCGCCCGAACCGGACCAAAAUGGUAUCGGCCUCGGGGCGGGGGCGUGACACUAGAGGUAUGUGGCUAGUUUCUCUCCUCUAGAUCCUAGUUUUGGAGCUUUUUACUAGAUGAAACCCUAGAUUUGGAUUUUAGGGUUUAUUUUGGGGAUUUUCGAUUUGAGGGCUUUGAGACCUAAUUGAUGGGUUAGGACCUUGGUUUAGGUUGGAUUUGAAGGACUCUAACUCCCAUUUGGAGAUCGAGAGAGCUUCCUUCACACUUGGUGAGUUUUUCUCCACAUUAGCUUGAGAUGGUUAAUGAUUAAGCUUUGUAUUAUUCGUAAGGUCCGUUUGACUCUUGUUCCUACAUCUUUAGGGUGCUAGGAGACUAGUGGGCAUCUUCGUCGGAGCUUACGAAGAGUUGCAAGAGUUGUGGUGGGUUUGACUUCAUGAAANAGCAAUAAUAAUAAAUAAUUUGCAAUUAAGAAAGCAUAAUUAAAAUGCUAAGAUACCACACUGUGUCAAUUAAGAUGCACCUUUAUUUUAAUAAUGAACAAGUAUGUUCCUACAUGACCACAAGUGACAAUCAUAAUUUGAUUUAUGAAAUUAUGCAAACCAAGCUCUACUAUGGUACACAAUGUUUACAUGAAUGCAAUAGCAUGCUACAUGUACAUAUGUAUACUCAAGUGCCCAACACUAUGCUAGGAGCAAGUCCAAGUACUCCAACUACUACUCUCUAUCUAGUAGUGACAAAAAUCCACUCAACACUGUGUCGAUUUCCAUUUCUAAUUAAGAACCUACCCAAGGUAGUCCAGCUUGUGCCGCCUAAGUGCCUGUGGUAGCCCAACAUUCCUGCUCUUGGAAUGUGUCUGUCCCACUCGACCCCGUAGGCUUCUCAAUACCACACGAGCGAACAUAAGUCGCGUAGGCUAACUCCGGAGUGCCGGCUUGUAGGGAGCGACCCUCACAAGCAUGUGCGAAUGAGCACAAAUGGCAAGCAAGCGUAGUCAAAGGCUCAAGUAUCCAACCCUCAUGUCUCAAAUAUGGCAAUAGCCACUAGUAACCCAACGGUCUAGCUCUAUGUCACAAUGUGAUAACCCAACACCCACUGGCUUAGUGCCUCUUAAUGACACUUAAGCGUCACAACUAAUCAAGCACAAUUCAUAUUCUAUGUUCCAAUUAAGACAUAAAUACCAAUGUUCACUAUAGCCCGGGCCCAAUGCCUUUUUAUGACAUUAGCCUAAUUUCUAAAAUAGUUUAAGUCCCCAAGCCUCUCUAGGCUUCUAAAGGCUCUAAAGUCAUAAUGGGGCAUGAAGAUCAAAUGCAUGAAAGCAAUGCUCAUUCUCGUAAUGGGAAUCAUGGUUCCAAGUCUCAACUAGAAUGCUAUAUCUCACAUGCAUGCACUCUACCACGUAGAGGUCCAAAAAUUUACUAUACAAUACAUAGGAUGUUAAGCAUUCUAAAAUUCAUAAUAAAUAUAUCUAACAUGAUUACCUAUGUUUUAUAAUUUAACAAUACUUAAAUCAUCAUAAAUGAGAUUUUCUCAUUGUGUGGCUAGGUCAAACCCACCGAACCGUCGCGUAGUCCUUCGUUUCGCCGAACGGAGUUGUCUACGAGUCUCAAAAUACCCUAAAAGUAAUGAGCGAAGAGAUACACGGGCAUUACGAUCAACUAUGAGAUCAAACAUUAACCAACAAGGCAAAAGGGCUAAAAUCUCACCUAAGGUGGAGAAAACUCUCACAAGCUCCAAAAGAAGGCUAGAAUCCUUCCAAUCCAACCCAAAGGAAGAUUCUAAUCCAAGCAAUUUAGCCCCAAAAGCCCUAGAUCAAACAUGCCCAAAAUCAACCCUAAAAUUCCAUUCUAGGGUUUCAUCUACUAAAAACCUCCAAAUCAAGAAAUCUUGGAGAAAGAACAAGUUGCUUACCUUCAAGAAACUUCAAUCUAGGUUCAAAACCCUCUAGGUUCCAAGAUCUUUCCUCAACAAUGCCCCAAAUCCAAACUCCAAGCCACCAAAAGGAAGAAGGGAGGAUGUGGGUGAAGUUCCAAACCUCCACCAAGCUCUCUCCUUCUUCUUCUUCCUCUUCUUCUUCUUCUUCUCUCUCUAGGGGCAAAGAAAAUGGUGGAAUGAGGGAGAAGAGAAGAGGAAGUAGCCAUAUAUGCCCUCUAGUGUAACAAAAUCCAAAGAGACCCCUCAAAAAUCCAAUAUUGCAUCAGCCCGGUCUGGGCAAUUUUCGCCCAGAGGGACCGGUCUCUCCCUACAUGGGACCGGUCUCUCAUGGCGAACCCGAAAAACUAUCGUUCGGGAACCGGUCUCUCCCCGCGCGGGACCGAUUGCCUCGCCGGCUGCGCAACACUGCUCACUGGGGGACCAGUCUCUCCUAUCAGGGACCGGUCCCCGAGAGUAAAAACUCUCAAGACUCGUCCAGAAUUCAGGUUUUCGAACUUUUUAGGUCGGAAAACAUUCCACGACCCUCCACCAAGUGUGGAAAAGCCCGAAACACAUCCAAUCACUCGAACCUCGCAAUUUGUAAAGGUCCAGUGUAUCACAUUCACCCCUCCUAAAAAGGAGUUUCGUCCGUGAAACUCAAAGAGUAAGUACCUCAAGCCUCCAUCUGAAAAAUAUGGGGAUAACGCUCCCGCAGCGCGCUCUCCAACUCCCAAGUGGCCUCGCGCUCGUCGUGGUUGCUCCAAAGCACCUUCACGUAGGGAAUCUCACAGUUCCGCAACCUCUUUACCUCGCGAGCCAAAAUCAUCAAAGGUUGCUCUUCAAAGCUCAGAUCAUCCCUCAGCUCCACUGGUGUAGCGUCGAACACGUGAGCCAGAUCAUGGAUGUACCUCCGAAGGAUCGAUACAUGAAACACAUUGUGCACACCCGAUAGGUUGGCGGUAGAGCAAGUCGAUACGCUAUCGAGCCUACACGCUCCAAAAUCUCAUACGGUCCAAUGUAUCGGGGGCUCAGCUUACCCCGAAUUCCAAAUCUUCUAAUCCUCCUGGUCGGCGAGACUUUCAAGAAGACGUGAUCACCGAUCUGAAACUCCAAGUCUCGUCGACGCCUGUCAGCAUAACUCUUUUGCCCACUCUGGGCUGCCAACAGUCGCUCCCGAGCAAUGCGAACCUUGUCCUCAGCUUCCUGGACCACAUCUGGGCCUAAAGGCAAUCUCUCGCCAACCUCACUCCAGUGAAUUGGCGAUCUACACUUCCGUCCAUAGAGCGCCUCGAACGGUGUCAUCUUGAUGCUUGCUUGAUAACUGUUGUUAUAAGCAAACUCUGUCAUCGGUAGAUGCUGCGACCAUCCUCCCUGGAAGUCAAUCACAAAGGCUCGAAGCAUGUCCUCAAGUGUCUGUAUAGUGCGCUCUGACUGCCCAUCACUCUGAGGGUGGAAAGCUGCACUGAAGUCCAAGCACGUGCCCAAGGCAUCCUGUAAACUCCUCCAAAAGUGAGAUACAAAACGGGGUUCUCGAUCUGAUACUAUGGAAGUAGGUACCCCGUGCAGUCGCACAAUCUCAUCUAAAUAUACUUGUGCGAGUCUCUCACCAGUCCAAGUAGUGUGGAUAGGUAUGAAAUGUGCCGAUUUCGUCAAUCUAUACACGAUCACCCAUAUAGCAUCAUGCCCGGCCUGCGAGCGGGGUAAUCUCAUCACAAAGUCCAUGGUGAUCUUCUCCCAUUUUCCUGCGGGGACUCAAUGCUCAGCUUUAACCUGUUGGCAAGUUAGACAUCUAGCAACAAACUCACCAACGUCUAUCUUCAUCCCGGGCCACCAAUAAAGCAACUUUAAGUCCUUAUACAUCUUGAUGCCUCCCGGAUGUAUAGCAUACGGUGCUCGGUGUGCCUCUUGAAGAAUUUCUUCUUUAAGUGCCGAUUCCGCCGGUACACAGAUCCGUCCACGGAAGCGCAUCAGUCCAACACCGUCCUCAGAAAAGUCACCGGUGCAACCAUCAAGCAUCUUAGCUCGAUCUUUUGCAACUCCGCAUCGGAGACUUGCUUUUCUUUAAUCCUUUCCACCAGUGUAGGUUGCACCACCAAAGUCAACAGUCUCAAAGGUGUAUCAGGAGCCACCACCUCCAACUCCAACUUGCUUCAUCUGCUCGAUCAACGGCGGUUGAGUAACCACAAGUAUCGCUAAGUUUUCCGUCGAUUUUCUGCUUAGCGCAUCCGCCACCACGUUAGCCUUGCCCGGGUGGUAAAGUAUCGUCAAAUCAUAAUCCUUGAGUAGCUCCAACCAUCUGCGCUGCCUCAGGUUCAACUCCUUCUGAGUGAAUAAAUACUUUAAACUCUUGUGAUCCGUAUAUACUUCGCAUCGCUCGCCGUAUAAGUAAUGGUGCCAUAGCUUCAAUGCAAAGACCACGGCCGCCAAUUCCAAAUCAUGAGUAGGGUAGUUUCUUUCAUAAACCUUUAACUGGCGAGAUGCAUAUGCUAUCACUUUCCCAUCCUGCAUCAAAACACAGCCCAAUCCAUUAAAGGAAGCAUCACUAUAAAUCACAUACCCUGCUCCGGCAGUUGGCCAGGUAGCAUGCGGGAGCGUGUCAAAUCCUCCUGCUUCAACUCUGGAAGCUCCUUUCCGCACGUAUAUUCCAAACAACUUGGUGCGCUUUAUGCGUGAGCCUCGUGAGGGGAGUAGACAACUUCUGCAACCCCUCGACAAACUCGUCGGUAGUAGUCGCCAAAUACCAAUGAAGCUCCGUAUCUCGUCACAGGUCUCGUAGGCCUGGGCCCAAUCCUAGAUAGCUUUCAUUUUCUAGAUCCACGAACAUAUCCUAUCCGAAAUCAUCAGUGCCCCAAAACGCCACCCUCUAAGCCAAAACGCACACUUCUUUCAAUUUGGCGUAAGACUUCUUCUUUUCCCGAAGCACAUUGAAAGUACGCAAGUCUCAGUGUGCCUCGAUCCGCAAUCACUUCGGAAUAGACCAAAAUGUCGUCGAUGAAUACUACGCACGAACUGUCUAAUAGGCCUUGAAAACACGGUUUCAUAGAUCCAUAAAAUCUGCUGGGGUAUUAAGUAAGCCCGAACGGCUAUCACAGUAUAAACUCAUAAUGUUCCAUCAGCAUGUUCUAAAAGCCCGUCUUUGACACAACCUCCGCUUGGAUCUUCAAUUUGGUGUACCGACUGCAAAGUCGAUGCUUAGGAAUACCACUCCCGAUCCGCUGGAGCUUGAUCAAAUAAAUCAUCAAUCCUAUCAGUAAUGGAUACUGCUUUCUUUAAUCAUAGACUUUGUUCCCAAGUUCACGAUAGCCACGCAUAAGGCGAAGUGAUCCAUAUUUUUCUUGACAAAGCAGACCGGGCUCCCAACGGUGCACAACUCGGCUCCAACAAAACCCUUAUCAAAAGAUCCUACAACUGUGCCUUCAGCUCUCUGAAUUCUUGCUGGUGCUAUCCUACUAGGGCGCCUUUGAGACUUGGAGCACGUCCCGGGAACGAGAUCUUACGCCACAAACUCAUCCUCCCCUAAUCAGGUGCUAUGCCUGGAAGCUCAGCUAGGAACACAUCUCCAACCUCGCCGCACUAUGGGGAUAUCCCAAUCGGGGCAUCAUACAUCACCGCCAACACCACACAGAGCCAAGUCGCCACAUAGCUCUACUAAUCAACUGUCUAGCUCGAGAGGAAUUAAUACGUCAUCGCAAACGCGAACUCUGGCAUCCUCGGUAACACAACGCUCCGCGCUGCCGCCGCUCUCUAAACGUCACGCGUUCGAUCUUCCCUCAAUUGCUGGCGUAAGUACUUAGUCACCCAAAUCCAACCCAAGAUAAUAUCAAAACUUCCCCGAGUUUACUGCAAAGCUAAAAGGUCUACGGGCAUAAUCCAAUCCCAACGCCGAACAGGGCAACAUGGGGCAUGAACUCUCGAAUAUUUAAGGAUCUAUCAGGUACAACAACUCUUCGCAGGAUGCAACAAAGAGCUCAGUGCGGAUGUCCAAUGCAACUCGGUACAAAUAGACCGGUCCUAGAAUGAAUGCGAUGCAUCCGGUAUCCAAUUAAUGCUGCGUACUCGAAACAUAGAAGUUAAAUGAUACCCGCGAUCAACAUCUUGCUGCUCGUGGUGUGUCUUCAUCAGGCGCGUACAUCCCUCGUCGGCUUCGUCGUGACCCCUCCCUCUGCCGUGCGACAGGUGCCGGCCCGCCUGGUGAGCGUACACGGAAUGUGUCCCCUGCUUGAACCUCGAAGCUCGUGCCGAUGCCGGAUGAUGGCGCUGGCGGCGAACCCUCGGGCAAGUCCGACUGAAGUGCCCUCCUGGCCACAUACAAAAUGCACUGCCCGACUCGCGUGAGCACUGCCAUGGAAAAUGGGACCAGACCCGCAGAUCACGUACGCGCGGAGGCAUUGCGCGAUCAGGGUUCCUCCUCGGGGUAACUGCCAGCAGUCCCGCAACUUGCUCCGCUCUUUGGAUGCCUGCGGCGGGCUCUCCGUGCAGUGCAUCCUGACUCGCACAUCAGCCGCUGUUGCUCUUGCCCUUGCGCCUCUUGUCACUAGGGCCUCGCGUCGCUCCCUGAAGCUGCCGCUCCAGCCUCCAACAAUGAAGUGCGCGGUGCCACAACCUUCCGGUAGGCUUUGGAGGUUGAGGAUUGGCCAAACCGAGAAGACUCGACAGGCCCACAAUCACCGCGGUCAGAGAUAAAUUUCGGCCUUGUCCCUGUCUCCCGCACCGACAAAUGUAACAUGAGAGUAGCCCGAAAAAACCCCUCUCGUACUCGCCACCAGACCGCUGCCUCCUGGGCCAAGCCCGCAAGUCUGCUCCUCUUCUCCUGCUGCGCUGUAGGGGACAGUAUGCGCGCCAGAAUCAGGCUCCUGAACCUCUCGCCCGAAGAGAUGCGCGCCCGCAAAUCUGUGUUAGGGUUCUCGGAUGCCGCAACGCACCACGGUAGGCCGUCGCCGUCCAAGAGUUGGUGGGCGAGCCCACACUCUGUCGCCCUCUCCUGCUAGCUAAAGGUACGCUACGACAAUACUUUUCCAUAUCAUCCGACGCCCUUCUCCAUUAUCACCAGUUGUCACACGUCCUCCCGUCAAGGUCCGUGUGACUGCAUCUCCUGAACUCACUUGAGACGUCUUUUCCAUAACCGUCCCUCGCUCCCUCAAACCAUCUGGCGGAAACCGCCCCCGUACAUGAUCUCGCUGCGCCGGUGUGCCCAUCGAAGCUCGCCUCCCCAGGCGCAAUACCGGUGAUGCUCCGCGAUACCGUGCCUAACACGCCCGCCGUCGGUGUCCGCUAUCAUCUGCCGAUGUCUGGUGGGGGUGUGCAUCACUAGCUGUGGUCCUUCCUGGCAUUCGCCUGCGCCUAAGCAAUAUCCUCCAGUGUCCCUCCAUCUGGCCCUCCUGCCGGCGCGCCGCGAUCCGCCUGCUGUCGUGCUGCCCGCCGCCUUGCCACGCGAGCUAGUCAUGAGGCCGCCAAGCUGGCUCCUCCAACUCACAGACCGCCGCCGGAGAUCCGGAGAUAGCAGAGGGUCUUCCACCUCACCUCAAGUUCCGCAGCGCAUUGUUCCGCCGUCGAUAGACUUAGAACGAGCCGUCGGCAUUAUCACACAAACAUCAUAAAAGCACAAUUAGUAAAACCUACGCUAGAUCGGAUCGCCACCCCGGCUCAACUUAAGUACCCUAAUAUCAUGCGAAAUAAGGAAGUGUCCUUUCACUACUCAACUUCCGAUGUUAACUUGUCGCCGCCAACGUAACGCCUGCCUCGAAUUUAGAAAGGCCAUUAACUCCGAUUCAAACUCUCACUUUUUAGAGUUACCAUCAAACCCAAAUUCGAAAUACUUUCGCUAACGAAUUAAAUUAACCUCGUCUCUCACCGAGCCUACUUCCAUAUAGUCGCAACCAGGCCUAAGCUUUGCUAGUCCUCUAAGACUCAAACCCUAGCUCUAUACCAAACUAAUCUGUCCACGCCCCGAGACUGCAUAGGCCCUCCUCCCGUAGCGUGUCAGACACGCCAUAACUGUCAGCAUCAUAAUACAGGCGUCUACAACCAGACAAGCGGAAAAUAAAACAAAAGGUAACCUACAUCAAGAGAUAUCAGACACUAGAUAGAUCUAUAGCUAUUAACAAGGUAAAAAAGGUAUACAGAAACAAAAGAGUCGAACAAUAGCAGUAACAAUACAUCUAGCGCAAAUAGUACACAACCUCUCCAAAAUAAAACAUCGAGAGUAGACCACCUAUCUCACUCGUCCCUCACAGGAGAGCUAGCUCCGAAGCAAUGCUCUUCCUUACGGUCCAUCGCCUCUCCCGCGUGGAAGGCUCUGAAAAAAAUAGAUAAACAAGGGGCGUGAGAAACUAUAAUUUUAUCAGUUCCCCCAGUGGCAUUACUAACGCUCAUCUCAAUGCACCAUCUAGGCGCCGCAGAAAGGGUAAGUCAAAAAGAGAGCAAUAAUAAUAAAUAAUUUGUCAAUAAAAAGCAUAAUUUUUCGGUCAAAAUGUCUAAGAUACACACUGUGUCAAUAAGCAUGUCACAUUUAUUUUAAUAAUGAACAAUAGUGUUCCUACAUGACACAAGUGACAAUCAUGAUUUGAUUUUAUGAAAUUAUGCAACCAAGCUCUACUUCGGUACACAUGUUUAUACAUGAAUGGCAAUCAGCAACACUCCUAGCAUGUCUACAUUACAAUAUUAUACUCUCAAGUCCCCACACUAUACAGGAGCUAAAUCCAAUGUCUCCAACUACUACCUCUAUCCUAUUAGUGACAAAUCCAACAUCAAACAGCUGUGUCGAUUUUCAUUUUCCAAUUAAUAUCCACCGCAAGUAGUCCAGCUGUGGCCCGCCUAAGUGCCUGUGAGGCCAACAAUUCCUGUCUUGGAAUGUUCUGUCCUACUCACGUAGCUUCUCAAAUACCGGCAAUGACCGAACAUAAUUCGCGUAGCGCUAACUCCGGAAGUGCCGGCUUUGAGGGCAGCGACCGCCUACAAGCAUAGUGCCGAUGAGCACAAAUGGCAAGCAAUCGCGAGUCAGAGGCUCAAGUAUCCAACCCUGCAUGUCUCAAUAGGCAAUAGCCACUAGUAAGCCAAAAUGGUCCAAAGCUCUAUUCACAAUGUAAUAACCGCAACACCACUGGCUUAGUGCCUCUUUAUUACCACUUAAGGCAUCACAUCUAACAAUGGGCCCGAAUCAAUAUCUUAUUCCACAAUUUAAGACAUAAAUACCAAUAUUGCACAGUAUAGCCAGGCCCAAUGCCUCAUUUAUGAACAUUCCGGCUCAAUUUCCUCAAUAGUUCUAAGUCCCCCAUAGCCUCUCUAGGCUUCUAAAGUCUCUAAUGUCAUCAAUGCGGGCAUGAAUAUCAAAUGCAGUGAAAACAAUGCUCAUAACUCCCACGUUUAAAAGGGGGAAUCAUGGUUCCACAAGCUCAACCUAGAUAUGCAAUAUCUCAACGCAUGCACUCGUACCACAUAGAGUCCGCAAAAAUUUUACUAUACAAUACAUAGGCAUGUUAAGCAUUCUAAAAUUCAUAAUAAAAUAAUCUAACAUUGAUACAUCGUUUAUAAUUUAACAAUACUCAAUAAUCACAAAUGAAUUUCUCAUAAUGCUAGGUCAAAACACCACCGAACUGUCGCGUAGUCCUUCAUUUUGGGAGCCGAAUCCGGAGUUGUUCCACGAGUCUCAAAAUACCUACAAAGUAAUGAGCGAAAGAGAUACACGUGGCAUUACGAUCACAUACUGAUGAUCAAACAUAAACCGAACAAGGCAAAAGGGCUAAAAUCUCACCUAGGUUAGAAAACGUCUCACUAAGCUCCAAAAGAAGGCUGAAUCCUCGUCACAAACCCAAAGCAAAUCAAUCCAAGCAAUUUAGCCCCAAAAGCCUCUAAAUCAAAAUGCCCACAAAAUCAAACCCUAAAAUCGCCAUUCUAUGGUUUCAUCUACUAAACCUCCAAAUCAAGAAAUCUUGGAGAAAAGAACAACAUUGCCUUACCUUCAGAGCUUUCAAUCUAGGUUCAACCCCUCUUAGUUCCAAGAUCUUUUCCUCAACAAUGCCCAAAUCCAAGCUCCAAGGCCACCAAAAGGAAGAAGGGAGGGUUGUGAAAGUUUCCGAAGCCUCCAACAAGCUAUCUCCUCUUCUUCUUCCUCUCCUUCUUCUUCUUGUCUCCUAGAUCAAAGGAAUAGUGGAAUGAGGCGAGAAGAGAAUAGGAAAGUAUGCCAUCAUAUCCCUCUAAGUGUAACAAAUAUAUCAAAGUGGCUCGCUCUUUGUUCACGCCCCGACGACCGCCUAUUUGGUCCCGUUCGGGCACGCCCGACAGACCGCCGAACGGACAGGGUUGUCUUCCCCUGUACCGCGACUAGCGUCUCCCCUGUAACAUUCAAGCGUGCAAGUCAAUACAGUACUAAAUUCGCAGACCAUGAACACAUUUUCAAUCAAGAUUUGUAUAAGAAGUAUCAAAAUAAGCGCUACUGGCUAUUACAAGCAUUCACAUUAAUUUAGAUACAUUUUUAGAUCACAAGUACAAUAAUACAUCUUAACUUCCAAAUACAAUAUGCUUAAUUACAACCCGAUUAUUGGGCACAUCUAAUCCCUUUCAUUUUCUAGCAUUCCUAAGUAAAGCGAACUCAGGAUACCGCUAUCUCUGGUCUUCGUGUAGGCGCACACUACGGACCUACGCCCUCGCUCGCGCCGCCGCGCCGCUCACGUUGAAACACUGAUAACACCCCAAACAACGUGGGUGAUGAACAACUGCCCUGCGUUUCUCCAGUGUGGGUACGGCCCAUCCAAGGGAAAAGCUCGAGCCAAUAGGUCCAAGGAUGGCAACUGCAAUUAGUUUCAAUAAACAAUUAGAUAUAUCUUAUUAUGCAACUAAUAAAACCAUGCCUUGCCCUCACAGAAAUGCGUAUAUCACAAACCUGUCCACUCAAUUCGCAAAAGAGUUUACUUGAUUCUACUACAUAUUAUUAUCCAUUCUUUACUGUAAGGCCUGUUCUUGUUAUUAAGUAUUCAUUCAUUAGCUAUUCUUUACAUAUUUUCCCUUGUUAAUUAUGCUCAUUUUGGCGGUUCUUUAUUACUUUGACAUUCUUGAUUUGAUAUACUUUAUGCAUUUGUCCGUUCUUUCCUAAAGUUACUCUUACCUUAAAGCCACUAUGGCCACUGCGAACUCGGUCAUUAGUAAUCAAUGCUGCUGAUAAGUCCCCGCACAUGUCAUCCCGAGGUGAAGGAACUCUCUGUCACAUCACUCAGCUAACACAGCCUGAUCCGACUCCUUGAUCCUAGCCGUCUGUCGCGGAACAGCAUCGCUACCUCACCCACAACAGCCGAGUUAUGACUUAGCCACCGCGGCACAAAUGCGUCGCCACACGGGCCCGCCCACAUCGAUGUUCAGUCAAGCAGGGCGGUAAUGAUCCACUAAGCCGGCUAACAUCCGGCGCGAAAUCGUCGCAGCCGCCACGACAAUGGUAUCUAUAGCCCCUGGGCGCGAAAUCGUCGCCACACAUCACCCCACCCCUCGGUCGGUGUUCGCAUUUAUCUUGAUUCCGGAAACCAUGGUUCACGUCACAUAAAGGGUUGGUCUUAUCCUACAGGAAUAUGACCUCAGGUCCAAGCCUUUACUGAACCUAAGUUAAUACUUUAGUUUCGCUCUCCAUACUCAAUCAGCUCAGUUUAUUUAACUCUAGUUCAUUACCUUGGCCGCAUCUAGGUUUCAUGUGAUUGCUACACGUUCCGUUAUCUUAUCUCACCACCUACUGUUCUCUAACAUUAGGUUAAAAUGCACUUGAUGUCGCAGCCUAUGUUCUUGACCUAGUUCAUACUUGCAUCCAUGUUCAACUAUGUCCAUGACUCUCGGUUUAAUGGCCACUCGACUAAUGUAUACUCGAUUUGUCCAUAAUGCACAGUAUAAUACUCGUUUGCCAUGUCGAUCUCUAAUCAACCUAGAGUUUAUGCGCACCCAAGUUUAACAUCGUACAUGUCUCAGCAUCGCAUAGUUUCAUCCACAACAUGCAUCAAUUCACUAUUCCACUCGCCAUCAUGUCAAUUUACUAGCAUCUUAAUUUAGCAUCCCUAAACAUGCUAUCAUACAUGAACUUAGCAUUACUCACCACUGCAAGAUUAUCACGUAAUCUUUAGUUAUACUCAAUGCAUUCAUAUCUAGCACUAAUUUUACACUAAAAGUCAUCAUGCAUUCCCUUUAUCAUGUUCUUCAUAAUGUUAACCAUUACAUAUCCCUUUUAAUCUUAUGCAUUCAAAGCAUUAAUACCUGCAAUUUUAUCGAUAUCUAGCAUUUCUUAAUAUGUUAACCAUGCAUUCUUUUUUACAUUCUUCACAUUAUGUCAAAUGCAUUCCUCUAGCAUUUCACAUUAUAAUGUCAUACAUGCAUCAAUAUGAAAUCUCCUUGUCUCUAGACAUCAGGCCGACCUGGUCGCUUGUAAGCACAACCACCUCAUUUCGCAUUUCCGAUUGGCUUGUGACACCUUGCAAUCGGCCGCACGUGGAACCCGCACUCGUUUGGCACCGAUCUCUGCGCGGCACCACCCGAAGGCCUCCAAUCCACGAUCCGAAAAUUAAGGUUCCUUCGUAUGCGCUCAACAAUGUUCAAAUCCGUUUCAUGGUUUACGAUUCACCCACAUCGCCCUCCCAGGCAUGAAACAAGGCCUAAAACGUCCGUUUCUUAAUUAACUCACAACGGCUCGAUCAAAUCGCCGACCGUCUCGCCACUGGCGCGCAGGGCUCUACGCGUUUCGUUUUACUCAUAGGUGAAUUAGGUAUGGAGGGUCAAAUGAUAUCAAACCCUUAUAUUUAACAAAACUACAUUUGAACUUCCUAGGGUUUUUCUACUAGGUAAAACUCCACCAUAGGGCCUUGAUUUCAAGCAUCCAAUCCCUCAAUUAGCAGCUAGAAUCAUCCUCUAAACCCAUUCUAAGAGUAUUUAAACCAACCAUUAAGGAUCUACCAUUAAAGGGUAGCAAAAGCUUACCUCUCAAUUAGCUCCAAACCAUGGAGAAGAUGAAGAAGAUGAAGGCGAUCCAUCUCCAAGCUUCAAUCUCCACCAAUUUCAUCAAUUUUGGGAGAGAAUUAGAGAGAGAAAAGAGAGGUUUCUCCUUUCCUUUCCAUGCGUGUGUUGUGUGUGUGCGUGCGGGUGUGUGUGUGCGGCUGGGAGGAAGAAGAAGAAGCAAAGCUUCUUUAUACAUUAACACCCAACACUAUUCACGCCAGGCAACUUAAAAUCUGAUAACUUUCGCCGGAGCUCCCUGAACGUCCGUUUGAGCUCAAACUUGACAAUCAUGUUCGGUUUUAUGUACUGACCAAGAAUAUAUUUUAAGUUUCCAGUUUCGACCUCAUUUGGUCACCGAAAACUGUACCGAACUGUAAUCUUUAUCAGAUAACUGUCGGAUUUUAUUUCUCACUCUACGGGUGUCAGAAAAAUAUGAAACUUUAAAUCUAGCAUCAUAAAAAUAUUUCUGACUUAUCCUCCAAUUUUCAUAAUUUUCUGAGACUGUGCAUUUUCUGCUAAUUUAUCUGUCCCGUUUCCAACAGAAAAUUUUAGAUCUUCUGUUUUCAUUCCGAUUUCAGCACAAGUCACUUCUGACUUUUGUUUUACUCCUACAAAUCCAAUAAAAAUAGUUUCUCACACUAUUUUUAUUUAUUUUUAUUUCUAUACCAAAAUCUGGUAUGUUACACCCCUCAAAAAUCCAAUAUUGCAUCAGCCCGGUUUGGACAAUUUUCACCCAGAGGGACCGGUCUCUCCCUACAUGGAACCGGUCUCUCACGGCGAACCCGAAAAACCAUCGUUCGGGAACCGGUCUCUCCCCACGCGGGACCGGUUGCCUCGUCGACUGCGCAACACUGCUCACUGGGGGAUCGGUCUCUCCUAUCAGGGACCGGUCCCCGAGAGUAAAAACUCUCAGGACUCGUCCAGAACUCAGGUUUUCGAACUUUUUAGGUCGGAAAACAUUCCACGACCCUCCACCAAGUGUGGAAAAGCCCGAAAUACAUCCAAUCACUUGAACCUCGCAAUUUGCGAAGGUCCAGUAUGUCACACCCGAGGCGUGACAUAGAUCAUAUACUAAGUAGUAGCUCAUUUAUCGUUCAUUGAGGCAUAGUAGCAUGUGUAGAGACAUUACUAUGUAGUAGCUCAUUUCUUUAUUGUUUAGGCAUAGUAUCAUGUUGUAGAUUCAUACUAUGCAGUAGCUCUUGCAUUUCAUUAAAUAUGAGGCAUAGGCAUGUUGUAGAGUACAUCCUAUGUAGUAGCUCAUUCAAUUGUAUAUUGAGACAUAGUAUCAUGAUUAAUAGAAUAUCAUUGCUAUGUUCAUGCAUUCAUGAUUACAGAGACAUAGUAGCAUGUGUAUAUUUCAUUACUAUGUAGCAGCUCUUUUCGUACCUAUCUAUCUAUCUGUUGCUUAUGCCUGCUUUGACCUAGUGGGAAGAUCGGCGGAGUCGGCGGCCGAACCCACUGGGAACUAUAUUUAUAUAGUUCUCACCCCACUUUGUUGCAGGGCCUAGCGAGAGAGCACCGGCAGAGGACCGUGGUAAGGGCAUAGCGCCCUAGCUAGCUAGUUACCUCCUAUAUGCAUUAGAAUCGGGCACCAUUUUGAGAGGUUAUGUAUUAUGGUUCGAGCGACUUAUGCACUUUGAUGGUGAGGUUGCUAGUGAUGUAUAUAUUAUGAGAAGAAUAUGUAUUCAUUUUGGGAGAAGAAAGUUGUAAAUCUCUAUGUAAAUGUUGAAUGUUAAAUGUGGUGUAAUAGUUAGAACUAUCUUGCUCUUGUUGGUAUAGCACUUGUGGUGGUUCGUUGAAUCAUGUAUGUUAUUUGAGUUUAUUCUGGGCAACUCUUGUACAUGAUUGCUUGUUGAGCCAUGGGCGGAUAGAGGAGGUGAUGUCCGUUCGGCGUCUGAUCGAAUGCCUGGAUCCGGCCAAAUUGGCGGGUCGCGGGGCGUGACACACACACGCACACACACACAUUGGUAGAGAGAGAGGCUCUCUCCUCUCUCUAAAUCUCUCCCUCAUCUCUCAAGAACUCUCUCCCAAACUUUGGGAUUUGGAGGAGAAGGAAGCGAGGAGGUGGAACUUCAUCUUCAUCUUCUUUUUCCUCGCCAUUUGAGCAAGCUGGAGAGGUAAGCCUUUGUGUCCAUUAAUGGUAGAACUCUAGGGUUUCGAUGUUAAGCUCUAGAAAUGGACUAGAAGGAAUCCUAGCAUGCUAAAUAGAUGGAAAAUACUUGAUUCAUGAAUCAAUUUGGAGUAUUUUACAAUAGUAGCAUACUAGGGCUCUGAAAGGGGGUUUUUGUAAAUAGUUGAGUUUGAUCUCAAUUGACCCUCCGUAAACCUAAUUGCUAGAUAUUCUGACGCGUUUGCGAAGUCGGUUCGACGAUUCGUCGAGCCGGUGCGAAGAUAUUAAAGAAACAGACUAUUUAGCUUUGUUUCCGCCUGGAGGGCCGAGGCGAUGACUAAAAAUCAUGGAAACGAAUCUAGAGCGCCGUGGAGGCAAAUCGUAGACCUAUAAUUUUCGGAGCUGCGAUUCGGCGCACGGUUGGUGCGCAAUUGCAAAAUUGGGCCGUGCCGGAUACGGGUGCCGUGGGAGGCCGAUUGCAAGUGACUACAAGCAAUCGGAGAGCGAAUCGAGGUGGGUUGUGCUCAUCGAAGCAACUAGGUCGCCUCUAUGUCUAGGAGAAAUGUGAAUUCAUGUUGAUGCAUAUAAAUGGUAGAUGAAUGCAAGGAUUAAAUGCUAGGUGAAUGCAUAUUAUAAUUGCUAUGCUAUGACUACCAUAGAAUGCAUGAUGAGCAUGUUAUAGAAAUGCUAGCUAAUUGCAUGAUGCUAGGAGAAGCAUAAUAACAUAGUGACUCUUAAAGAAUGCAUGUUGGCAUUGAGAUGAAUGCAUGACUAUAUAUAUGCAUAUAAACUAGAUCGAUAACUCUAGAGUGAGUAGAGAACUCGAUAUUAGAAAUAGAAACACGAGAACUAUGAAAUACUCGACUGGACAACUAGGAUGUCAAGUAGAUCGAGUGGUAUUGAACCUAAUGUUAGUAAACAUAGGUCGAACACGAGUGGCAUCUAACCUAGUGUUAUUAAACAUAGGUCGGACACGGAUGACAUUGAACCUAGUGUUAGUAAACAUAGGUUGAACAAGUGAACCUAGAGUCAAGAUCUAGGUAGAGAUAACAUGUGAACCUAGUGUUGUUGAACCUAGGAUGAAUCAUAAGCGGCAUCGAACCUAGUGUUAAAGAACAUAGGUUAUGGAUUAAACCUAGAGUUAAAGUAAACCUAGGUUAUGUGAUAGAGGCGUUGAACCUAGAGUCAGCUAGACCUAGGGUGGAAAGGAUGUCGGACCUAGAUAGGUCGAUACUAUAGGGUUUGAGAUCAACCUUUGAGUUGUGAAAUGGAUUCUGGAAUCCCUAGUGAUGGAAACUUGCAGCAGAGUGCAAGAGAUGGCAUUUAGAAUCAUAACUGCAGGUAUGUGUGGUUCUCCUCGCCCGGCAAUGAUUCAACGUGUAUGUGUGGUUCUCCUCGCCUGGUAUGCCAUAAGAAUAAUGAUCCAACGAGUAUGUGUGGUUCUCCUCGCCCGGUAAAAGCUCAAAUGGGUAUGUGCGGUUCUCCUCGCCCAUUUAGCUUAUUGGAUGAUGACGCCUAGAUUGACUUGAACCAUUGCUGGGUAAGGGCGAUGUGGUCGCUGCCAGAUGACUAAGUCACGGCUUGAGCCAUUGUUGGGUGUGAUGCGAUGAGUUCGCCGCCGGAUGGCUAAGUCAUGACUUGAGUCGUUGUAGGGUUUGAUACGAUGAGUUCGCCGCCAGAUGGCUAAGUCAAGAGGUGCAGUGGGCUGUGACGGCAGCCAGGCUGGGUGCAGCCAGUGCGCGGACUAUCCUCGGAUGAUUGACUCGAAGCCGAGUCGGGUGGAUAGCUUGAUUAAGGUAGUGAAAACCUUGAAGGCUAGUGAUAGAGGCAAGAACUAAGGUGAUAGAGACCUUAGAAGCUAGUUGGACAUGAGUUAGUUAGCGUGAUAGAAGUAGAAUCGAUAGAUUUACUUCUUUGGUUGCAUUGUUGCAUAAAUUGCAUAUGGAAUGGCAUUAUUACAUUUGUGAGGCAAAGCAUGAUAUAUGUUAGUUGCAUUUAAAUUAUGAUUUUAUAUCUAUCUAUUGCACUAAUAUGUUGUUGCCUCCCUUGGACCUACUGGUCGAGCUUUUCCCUUAGGUGGCCGUACCCACUGGGAACCAUGGAGUUGGUUCUCACCCCACGUUGUUUUGGGGUGUUACAGGUUCGCACAUGAGAGGCGCGGCGGCGCAAGACAAGGGUGUAGCUCCAUAGAUAGCGCCCUACCCCGGAGAUCAGGGAUAGCGGUACCCCGAGGAGGCAUAGUCUAGGGUUAUAGGAAAGGGAAAAGAACACAAUGUAUCAAACUUGUAAAUAAAUGAUGUAGUAACUUGAUUGUAUUUGGAAGUCAUAAAAAUGUAUUAUGCAAGUGUGAUGUAAAAAUGAAUCUAAUGGGAAUGCUUGUAAUAACAUAGGAUGUGUUAUGUUGUUUGAUACCUUCCUUAUGCAAUCAUUGUACGAAUAUUGUUCCUAUUUGAAACCUCUUGUAUUGUACUGUUUGUUGAGCCNUUCGGGAACCGGUCUCUCCCUGCGCGGGACCGGUCUCUCACUGCGAAGACGCGUUCGGGAACCGGUCUCGCCUGCCAGGGACCGGUUGCCUCAGGCUGCCUCAACACUGCUCACUGGGGGGACCGGUCUCUCCCUCCAGGGACCGGUCCCCGAGAGUAAAAACUCUCAGGACUUGUCCAAAGUUUCAGUUUUCGAACUUUUCGGGUCGGGGAACAUUUUACAACCCUCCACCAAGUGUGGAAGAGCUCGAAAUACAACCAAACACUCGAACCUCGCAAUUUGCAAAGGUCCAGUGUGUUACACGAGGACUUGAGACUUGGGCGUAGUGCUGCGACGGAGGAGCAGAUCAAGGAGCUCCAUGAGUUGUUGGCACGGCAGGCUGCGGCAGCUGCGCCGGUAGCAACACGCCAUGUACCGACAGUAGUGGCGAUGGAUUCGGGGGCAGUGGCCCCUAGUUCUGUCGAAAUGGAGGCGGAGAAAGAGCGGGCUUUGGCGGCCCUUAUGACCUUCAAGAGGUUUGAUCAGCCUGUCUUUGAUGGAGAGAAUGUCGAUCCGUGGAUCGUGGAGAUGUGGAUUGACUCUAUGAAAACGCUCUUCGAGGAGCUGUACACCUUGGAGCGGGACAAGGCGCCCCUAGCUGUGCACUAUUUGAAGUUGUCGGCAAAAGUGUGGUGGAAAGGCAUUCGACAGAAUCGAUCGCCUAGUCUCCCUCCUAUGGCAUGGUAUGAGUUUCGGGGAUUGGUGUUUUCAACUUACUUCCCCGACACUGAAAAGAGAAAGCUUCAGGACAGGUUCAGGAAGCUGCGACAAGGAAACCGCUCUAUGAGGGAAUACAAACGGGAGUUUUCCCGCAUCGUGAAUUGUGUCCCGGAUGUGGUACAGGAUGACAAGGAUAGGGCCGAUUGGUUCCUGCGUGAACUUCGACCGGAGAUUUACAAGGAGGUGCAAAUCUUCAAGCUCACAACCCUUGUGGAGGUGUUGGAUCGAGCAUUGUGGGCAGAACACGGCGAAGCUUUCGUGCGUGAGGAGCAUGAGUCUUUUGAGCAUGAGCGGGGAGGGGUGAGCCCACUGUCGAGCAGUUCGGGUGGACAAUCAAGCUCUAGACGCCACUCGAAAUAAUCCUCUACCCGGUUCUCCCUAGGAUGCGUGAUUUGUGGUGGUCCCCACUGGGCUCGGCAGUGUGUACUCCGCGAUGGAAGGUGCAUUCGUUGUGGGUAGCCGGGCCAUACACGGGACGAGUGUCCGCAAGGCGAUAGUCGAGCCUUAACAUUGGCGACAGCCUUUUCCUCUCCAGGACAGUCUGUAGGUGUGCCACCUGCGGCAUGGUCGGAAGAGCGGCCGUUGAGGAUGAUGCCACCGAGGGGUUCACGGCGGGCAUCAAGUGGCCGUGGAUACGCAACCCAGGUGGAGGAACCUACUACUACCGACGAUGUUAUGGCAGGUAUGAGUUAAUUAAGCAAGCAUAUGCUACUACCUGAUAUCAAGUUGUUGCAUAGCAUGCAUUUUAUUAAGUGGUCAGUUGCUACUAUUUAUACAUUGCAUAGUAGGCACCCAUUGGACGGGUAGGUAGAUACCCGGGCAUGCUUGCAUUAUGAGAGUGUGGUGCCUGCUGGAGCAGGUAGAGGGCCAUGUGGCACUGACAAAUUGUUAGUGAUGGUUCCUGGACAAGAAAUGGGACUCGUGGUGAACGUGAAAUGGUGAAGUGACUCUUGAGGCAGCGAAUAGUGGAUUUCGAGAGUCGAGUGGUGACAGAUAAGUGGUAAGAAUACCCGAGUAGUCCAAGGAUUCGGAUAUAGUUUUGGUAGAUCAAACAGUGAAGGCGAACCACUGUUGCGAAAUUGGUUGAUUAGCGCCGAGUUUGGCCUGUGGGCCUAGUAGUACCUCGAAUUGAGGUAGGUGAGUAGUGCUCGUAUAGUCGGUGUGUAUAGGCAAGGUUGCCUAAUGCUUGACCUAGUUGGAACGCUAUAGGGGCGUGUAGAGCGCUCGAGUGUAGAUACUCGUAGAGUGCGGAUUUGAUUCAGCCGAGAGAGUGAGGUGGUAGUAGCACUGUAGCAUUGCUAAGUGUGAAGCGGGCAAUGGAUCACUCGAAGGGCUGAUGGCUCGCACUAGGUGCAUAGGAGCCGAUAGUAGCGUAUGUGUGACUCGGUAGAGCAUGUCGUGUAGGACGACGACAGCGGGUAUUGCUUGGGGAUGACCCGUGCCUAGACCAUUUGUGUACUAUAGAGCCUGGGCCCUUUGGGCAGGCGCAGUCAGCUGUGAGUGACAGCGGCCCGGUACCUACAGGAAGGGCAGAGUUUUGGUCAGGACGAUAGUCCGAGCUUAGACCUGGGAGCGUGGAAUGUCACGUGUUGGAUCUCGAAAUCGAGGAUACACCGAGUGUGUAGUGACCUAACCUGAGGAUUUGGUGAGGUUUGGGGUCUUGGUUGCUCCUGGUUGGAGUGUGUGCGAAUUCCCAAGUGAAAAUUUCGCCCAGUGCAAAUUGGGUCUACGCCAGUGAGCGAGGGACGCUAUGCGUAGUUGUGAGAGGUUUAGGCGGUAGGCCUACGUAGUAUUGGUGACCAUUGGUCCAUCUGUGGAAGCCGACGUAAUCGGUUUAGCCGAUAACUAUGUGGAUGAGUUGGGAUUAGAUUCACGAACGGAGUGUUCAUGUGAGCUCGUUGCGACAGCGAAGUUGAGUUGGUCGUGGCUUCUGAUGGCAAAGGAUGAUGUGCUCUUGUGAGACAUUGAGCUAGUGGAAGCCACAUGAGAAUUAGAGCUUGAGGAUAAUGCUCUUUUGUGGAUUGAGAUUGGAGAUGUGCCGGAGUGUGCCAUCUCGUGAUAGAGCAGGGAUCCAGUUGGGAAUUGGAGCACUCGCGAUUGGUGUCGAAAAGGAUUUACUUCUCAGAACAUGAUGGCCGCAUGCUCGUUUCACCACCAGUUUCUAUUUGUAUGCACCGGGGGGAGGGUUCUGCAGCUGAUAUGAGGGUACUGCGAUAGUGUUGCGAGAGUGGCGGUUUCGCAGUCCCGGAAGGUAAGUAAUGAUUUGCAAAUUUAUGUGUUUCUCAGCUUUUCAUUGUUCUAAUUUUCAUAAAGUGCUCUCUGUGUAAGAAAAUAUUAUCUCGUUGAUUUUGGAUAUGCGAAUACUGAUCGCUUCCUCGCACCCUAUCGAGGGGAACGAUAUCACUUGAGCCAAUUUGAUGUAAAUGCACAACCCCGAAGGCAUCGAGGACCUCGAGAUUUAUAUAAUCAUCGUCAUGCUCAAUUGCGAAAUGUAGUUGAGAAAGCUUUUGGGAUCCUAAAGCGGCGGUUCAAGGUGCUCCGACAAGCAACACCCUUUCCCUACAAGGUGCAAUGUCACAUUGCCCUCGCAUGUUGUGUCAUACACAAUUUCAUCAAAAGGCACCAAGGGACCGAUAGGUACUUCAAUAUGCAAAUGGACUCAUUGCCGAUGGACGACGCACUUGAUGAAUCAUUAGCUCCUGUUGGGCCAGACGAGUCUCGGAGAGGAGACGCCCUUCGCACUAUGAUAACAGGCCAACUUUGGAACAAUAGAUAGGAGGAAAUAUUGAGAAUGAUGUAAAUUUGUUUUUUUACUUCAUGCUUUUUCUUUGUUGUAUCAACUUAUGUGUUGUGUCUUUAAACUGAAUUUAUUGCGUGUUGUUUUCCAAAUCUUUGUAAUUGGAAGUUAUGUUAUGUUCGCACUGAUUACUUUAAGUCAUAAAAUGCUCUGAUUUAUUUUAAUAUAGAAACUUUGUUUUAGUUAAUUGGUGUGUUUGAUCAUUGGAGUUGUUUUUUAACAUUGGUUCUCUGCAUCAGUUUUGCAAACUGAUUAUGUUAGAAUAUUUUAAAUGAGAAUUAUUCUUUGUUAUUGUCGAAUGACAUAAUUAAAAAAUUUCUUCUAGGACCCUGUAGGGUUAGUGGUGUGAGAACUACAACGAAGUUUCCAGUGGGUUUGGCAACCGACCUCGCCGACUUACUCACUAGGUCUAUUCAGGCAUAAGUAUUUCAAAGAAAUGGAAACUAUAACCAAUGCUAAUGCUAAUACUAUGCCUGCAAGAAAGAUGUCAGUGGAUAUAUAAUCGAAUAAUGAAUGCCCAUGCAUGCAUGCUUGUUCCAUACUUUACUUUGGCUUUUACCCAAUCUUGCCGGUUAACCUUGUUAACCCCAAUAACUCACAAUCCGAAAUUUCUUAAUAACUGGGGACUCGAACCACCCUAGGGACCGUCCUUUGGGGGGACUUUACUACGCCCAAUGGUGACCAACUCCGGUGUGCACCGCUCGAGGGGGAGCUACCUCCCUCAAGCCAAGACUUAUCGUGAGUAUCAAUCCAACCCUCAACUUGAGGAUACAUAGCCACUAAUCACAAUGCCAUUAUCAUAAUAGGUUUCUACCUAUUUGUUCAUGCUACUCUCCAAGCCAUACUUGUCACAAUGUCACUAUGGUUAGACUAUAUUUAACAACCAAUUUCUCAAUGCCAAUCAUGUCUCUAUUGUCAAUAUCACCUUUGUUUACUAUUGUCCAAGUCCAAGUCUCACAUUCAUACAAUUUUAGGGUUCUACCAUACAUGUCCAUUAUGGUUCCAUCAUUCUCUAUGUUCAACUACGUUAGAAGCAUGUAAAUGCAAACAAACUAAGGUUCACAUGUAAUUUAACCCUACUAUGCAUGAAUGACUAUACAUCAAUAUGCUCAACAAAAAGGUGAAAUAGACAUAAAGGGAAAUUCGAUGAUUCCGGUGUGCAGCUCCCACCUUGAGUGGUAGUAGAUGAAGAAUAUGAUGACUCCCGAACUUUACGAACGCCGAAUCCGCGUCCUAUAACCAAAAUAGUGCCAAAUUAGGCCCUAUAUACACAAACUAUACUUAGACAUUUUCGUAACGUCGAACGGAGUUAUCCAACGCAUCAGGAAUACCCCCGAUUAGGUUUCCAAGUGAUCAAUUUGCCUCGGAAAAAUUCUAGGGCAAAAGCCCCAAUUUUGAGCCCUAACAAUGCCAUAUGAAGAUUGCUCCUAGAUUGAUCUUGUUGCUAAGCAAAAGAUGGCUUAGAAUCCACUAGAAAGCAUUCUAAUAAGGUUUCCAAGCCUUUAAAACCAUCCCUAGGGCAUCUACCAUGAACCCUAGAAGUUCACCAUGAGAGCACCUCAAGAAAACCAUGCAUUUCAUGGAUUCAAGGUCUCUAGGGGUUUCCUCACUUAUAGAGAGAUCAAAAUCCAAAAAUCUAAGGUCUAAACCCAAACCCUAGACUCAUGUUUGCAUAAGGACUCACCUUUGCCCAAGCUCCUUCAAAGCCUUCUUGUUAGAGAGCUUCUAGGUCUACCAAAACCCUAAAACUCCACCUUCUCCAAGCUCUUCUCCACCUUCCUCAAGCUCUAAGGCUUGCUUCUAGAGAGAGAAAGAGAGAAAAUGUGAGAAAGAGAGAAUGGAAGUCCCUGCGGUGAAGAGAGGGAAGAUGGGCUCCUAUAUGGUGUGCAACAAUUGCAACUAGGCCCUCCAACAUUGUAUCUCUCAACCUGCCCAGACUGGGCAAUUUUCGUGCACGGGGACCGAUCUCUCUAGCAGGGGACCGAUCCCCGAGAGCACAGCUCUCAGGACUUAGCCGAUUUUUUCCACUUCUAGGAUUUUACGCGUACGGGAACCGGUCUUCCUACCAGGGACCAGUCUCAGGGGGACCGGUCUCUCAACCAGGGACCGGUUGCAUCAAGGGGAUUUCCAGCUUCGGGCUGGCUACGCGUACGGGGACCGGUCUCUCCCCACAGGGACUGGUCCCCGAGAGCUCAAAAGCUGCAGUUUGCAGAUUUUUGAUUCUCUAGCACUCGAAGAUCCCCUACAAUGCACUUUUGGUCUUUUUGACGCCUUCGGCUUUUUCGAAGCGUACCAACCUUGCACUUUGGUCAUUUAGACUAAAGUUCGAUGUUCGCUUACCGAGGUUUCGGUAUGUUACAUAUAACUAGCUAUUACAUCCAUUCAUUCACAAUUUAAGGCUCUUUUACAUUUACAUCACAUUGCCCUUUUUACAUCUUUCCCAAAAUGAAUACAUAAUCAUUUUCCAGAUACAUAGGUGGCUCUCCCAAAAUAUAAAGCAUCGAGAUACAUAAGGGUACUCUAAUGCAAAAGGGAAGCUACCAAUUUGGUCAAUUUGCUCUUAACUCGCUCUGAUACCAUCUUAUCUAUCACGCCCUGAGAUCGCUAUCAAUUUGGUCCGGCUCGGGUGCGUCGAACAGACGCCGGACGGACGGCACCUCCCCUGUCCGCCCAAGGCUAAACGACAUGAUCGAGUACAAGAAUUUGCCCAGGAAAAGAAAUUCAAUACAUACACGAUCAAUAAGGAGCACCAUAAGUGCUAACAAGUAAGAGCAAGACACAAGUAUACAAUACCAGUGAAAUAAAGAGAGAUAUAACUAGCUAUUACAUCCAUUCAUUCACAAUUUAAGGCUCUUUACAUUUACAUCACAUUGCCCUUUUUACAUCUUUCCCAAAAUGAAUACAUAAUCAUUUUCUAGAUACAUAGGUGGCUCUCCCAAAAUAUAAAGCAUCUUAGAUACAUAAGGGUCUCUAAUGCAAGAGGGAAGCUACUAUACUACCUGCGUGGCGCGCUAUGCCCUUGCCGCGGUCCUCGCCGGCCGUGCUCGUACUUAGGCCCUGCCAAAAAGUGGGGUGAAAACUAUUGUCCAUAGUUCCAGUGGGUCUCGGUCGCCGACUCUCGCGAUCUCCCCACUAGUCGAGUGGCAUAAGCAAUAGAUAGAUAGAUAGAUAAAUUCGAAGCUGUAAAUGACAUAAUAGGAAAGCUAUGCUACUAUGCCCAAUCAAUAUGUUCAUAUAUGUAUGCAUCAUAUAUGUAAAUGGUUUACAUAACAUGCCACUAUGUCCACUUCCAAGUCCAACAAGCAAAUGUUCAAAUAACAAUGCCAUUUCAUGUUCAAUCAAAUCCUUGGCGAUCCACUUGGGUUCGCCCAUGCUCACCUCAAACCUCGUAUGGUAAGGAGACACACCUCGCUCUCAAACCAGAGGCCGCCUAGCAGGCAUCAACUCUUGCCCUCUCGCAGCAAACUCCGGAGUGCACGAAGACCUGAGUGGUGCGACCACCACAAGUAUGAACAGACUGUGAGUAUGAUCAAUCCUCUCAACUCGAGGAUAUCCUAUCUGGCUAGGGCUACUAAGUCACUCGGGAAUCCACCUAUCCCAAAGUCCACAAUACGAAUGUUUGGCUACACUAUAGUCGUGUCCAACGAGUCAUUUUACAGGAAUCACCUCCCUAAGUUCACAUGCACUAGUGUCAUUUACACUAAGUUAUUAUGCACUCAUUCUUGUUUGUUCAACCGUCAAUGCCACUCAUUACGUCCGUAUUUACAUCAUCGAGUUCAUCUCUGCUUCUCGGCACUAUAGAAAUUCAAUGUCUUAAGACCCAAUCCUAUCUAACAUCAUCAUUGCAUUCAAUCUUAGAUUACUAAGGGCUACUCUAAUGCAAGAGGGAAGUACUAUACUACCUGCGUGGCGCGCUAUGCCCUUGCCGCGGUCCUCGCCGGCCGUGCUCGUACUUAGGCCCUGCAAAAAGUGGGGUGAAAACUAUGUCCAUAGUUCCAGUGGGUCUCGGUCGCCGAUCCGCGAUCUCCCCACUAGGUCGAGUGGCAUAAGCAAUAGAUAGAUAGAUAGAUAAAUUCGAAGCUGUAAAUGACAUAAUAGGAAAGCUAUGCUACUAUGCCCAAUCAAUAUGUUCAUAUAUGUAUGCAUCAUAUAUGUAAAUGGUUUACAUAACAUGCCACUAUGUCCACUAUCCAAGUCCAACAAGCAAAUGUUCAAAUAACAAUGCCAUUUCAUGUUCAAUCAAUCACUUGGCGAUCCACUUGGGUUCGCCAUGACUCACCUCAAACCUCGUAUGGUAAGGAGACACACCUCGCUCUCAAACCAGAGGCCGCCUAGCAGGCAUCAACUCUUGCCCUCUCGCAGCAAACUCCGGAGUGCACGCAAGACCUAGAGUGGUGCGACCACCACAAGUAUGAACAGACUGUGAGUAUGAUCAAUCCUCUCAACUCGAGGAUAUCCUACUGCGCUAGGGCUACUAAGUCACUGGGAAUCCACCUAUCCCAAAGUCCAAAUACGAAUGUUUGGCUACACUAUAGUCUGUCCAACGAUGUCAUUUUACAGGGAAUCACCUUCCCUAAGUUCACAUGCCACUAGUGUCAUUUACACUAAGUUAUAUGCCACUCAUUCUUGUUUGUUCAACACGUCAAUGCCACUCAUUAGUCCGUAUUUACAUCAUCGAGUUCAUCUCUGCUUCUCGGCACUAUAGAAAUUCAAUGUCUUAAGACCCAAUCCUAUCUAACAUCAUCAUUGCAUUCAAUCAGUACAGGGGAAACCAUGUCCGUUCGGCGCUGUCGGCGCCGCGACCUCGGCCAAAUAGGCGGGUGGUCGCAGGUCGUGACAACUAAGACACAGAGAGGAACCCGAUUGCUUUGGGAUGACACCACCCACCUUUCGACAAUGUCGGGGUUUUAAGAACGCUAUUCGUCACUUGCUUCAAUGUCGCUUCGACCUCCUAGGUGGAAACGAAGCUCGAUCGGUCUAGUUUUGCCGAUAACUUUUUACCAACUCGACGAAUCGUCGAACCGUCUUCGCCGACGCGUUUAGACACCUAGCAAUUAGGUUCACAACCAACCAAAUAAGAUCAAACUCAUUGAUUUCUCAAAGCCCUAAGUUGGAGCCCUAGAUUGCAAUUAGUGCAAACUACUCCAUUCAAACCCUAAAUACAUGCAAUUAGGAUACCACUAGCAUCAUAGGGUUUAACCAAAACCAUUUCUAGAGUAUACGGAUCUAACCCUAGAAAUCUACCAUGGAAGUUCAUUGAGCUCACCUCAAUAGCUAGCUACAAUAGUGCAAGAGAGGAAGAAGAAGAUGAAGAUGCCCUCCUUUGCUUCCUUCUCCACCAAAACCCUCUCCUUCUUUACCUUCUAGAGAGAGAGAAAGAGAGCUUAGAGAGAGUGGGAGAGCUCUUUUAGGGCUAACUUGAGAGAAAUGAGAGGAAAAGAGAGAAACCUCCUUCUCUUUUAACCCCCAUAAGGCAGAAUUACAUUUAGACCCCUCAACUCUCCAAACAUCACCCAGCCCAUUUUGGGCAUUCUCGUGGUACGGGGUCCGGACCCUAAAGUUAGGGUCCGAGCCCCGAGAGUUGCAAAAGUAUGCAAUUUGCACACUUGAGGUUCUCAAGCCCAAGAGGGCUUUUUUCGCAGCUACGAGGUCCAGACCCUACAGCUAGGGUCCAGACCCCGAGAGUGGUAAAACAUGCAAAUUGCAGAUUUUGCAAACUCCAACUCUCCAAGGUCCUCCCUCAAUGCACUUUUCGCAUUUUUGCCACAUUCGGACCUUCCGAAGCACGGCCAAUCGACAAUAAGUCGAUUCCAAACGAAGUUCAACUAUCGGAUUUCGAGAAUUCACUUCUUUACAUUGUAACAACUAGAAUUUAUUUUAAAAAACAUAUUAAUUAACUUAACAUUAUAACCAAUUAAAUAAAAAAGUUUAUCAAAUUAUCUAUUAUUCUAAACCAACAUGUACUUGUUUGUGUAUUAUUAACCAUAUAUAUGAAAUAGCACCCAAGGGCAAAAUAGGUAUAUAAAAAAUGUAACAGUCAUCUUUUUUUACUAUUCUCAACUAUUCCACCAAAUUAACUAAACACAAUUUCAGCUAAUCCUUGGAAUACCAACUUUACCAACCAAACGGUAUUUACAUUUAAUUCCUAACUUGUCUGGUUGGGGGUUAAGGGGUGGAAUAACCCCUUAACCCCAUGUUUAAUCCCAAAUAGCAUUUAAAUGGGGUGGGGUUGCAAACCCCACCCCAUAUCGGGUUAUCCAGGAUAACCAGAUAACCCGAUAUGGGAUGGGGUUUGUUAACCCCACCCGCCCUCCCCCCGAAUAGCCCUACUCUCCCCAAAUACCCUGCAUAACACUGUUCCCUUCUCCCCAAAUACCCUACGUAAUACUGUUCGUAAAAUAUUAAAAUAGUUCGUGAAAUGCAAAUGUUCGUGAAAUUUGAACUUAGCAAAAUUUUAAAAUAGUUGUUCAUAAAUUUUAGGUAUUUUCAAAGUCACAAAAGAGUUGUGAGAAAUAUUUUUUGGUACAAAAUAACGCUAAAAUUAAUUUAAUUUUACUCCUAAAAAAUAAUUGCAAUCAUAGAAUUUUAAAAGCCAAAAAAAAUAGUUUUUAUUUCAAUAGUUUAAUGUGAGGGUAUUUUCAUCCUUUUAUCUCUUUACCAAUCACUAUCCUUCUUAUCCCACCUACUCCAACCAAACACUAUUUUUCUUAAUUCUGGACUAACUCCAAUUCUCAACCAAACAUAAAAAUACUCUAACCCCACCUUAACCCUGAACUUAACCCUAUCCCUGAAAUAACUAGGUUUUUCUUAACCCCGAACCAAACGGUAGCUUUUUAAGUAUUCCGGAAUAACAAACUAUCCUAGGGUUAAAAAAAUUUAUACCAAAGUUUUUAAUUCCCCAACCAAAGGCAACCAUAAAAGAAGGCAUCAAGAAAAUGAUUCUUAUUCUGAACGUGGUGUGUCUGUUGGGCAACCCCUCUUUUUAUUUUUUAGAAAAACUUCAAAAACCCCCCUUAUGGUUUCAAUUUUUUUCACUUUAGUACCCUGUGGUUUAAAAUGUAUCAAGUUAGCACCAUGUGGUUUCUCACUUUAUCACUUUAGUACCCUGUGGUUUAAAGUGUAUCAAGUUAAUAUGUCACGCCCCGAGACCCGCUACCAAUUUGGUAAGGUUCGGGCGCGUCGAACAGACACCGAACGGACAAGAACUCCCCUGUCCGCCCAAGGCUAAACAAUGAGAUCAUGUAUAACAAGUUUCCAGGAAACCACUUGAAUACAUACACGAUCAUACAACAAUAGCGAGAGCACAACCAGUGCUAAACAAUCGAGAGCAAGCAUCACAAGUAAGAUACAGACAAGUGAAUAAAAGAGAGAGACUUAACUAUUACAAACAUUCAACCUUAUACAUUUGAUUACAUUUAAACUUUCAAAAUACCACAUAGAGUUUACAAUUCUUCACAUCACCUCACCCUAUACAUCAUCGACUCUCAAGUACAAAAGGGUGACUACUAAUGCAAAAAGAAUGUACUACUAUAACCUCUAGGGCGCUAAGACCUUACCGCGAUCCUCGCCGGGUGUACUCGAGCUCGGUCCUACAACAAAGUGGGGUGAGAACUACGAAUAGUUUCCAGUGGGUUCGGCCGCCAACUCCGCCGAUCUCCCCACUAGGUCUAAGCAGGCAUAGAUAGAUAAACAGAUAGAUAGAUAACUGGAAAGCGAUAACAAUAAGUAGAUAUGAAAGUAAUCUACCAUGCCUCAAUCUGUAAACAUGCAUGCAACAUAAGUAAAGGCUAACUACUAAGCUAUCAUGCUCAAUAAUGAUGUAAUUCAUUAGAUUACCCAAUCAUUCGGCUAACUCGAAGGUUCGCCGCCAUCUCACGUCUCGAAGUCUCAUAGGGGAGGAGAUUUUGAUCACUCGCUACCUCCGAGACUGCCUGCGGACAGCUAGCUACUGUCCGGGCAGCUCACGACUGCCCCUCUAGUGACCAAAACUCUGGAGUGCACAACUUGUGUGGAGCUACGACUACAAACGCAGACAGGCUAUGUGAGUCGAUCCAAUCCUCGCCAGCUGAGGAUACCCUACCAACUAGGGUUAUCACCAUCAGGGAAUCAAUGUGUUCCUGUACUCAAUCUCAUAGUGUUUCAACUACACUAAGGUUCUCAUGCCACUCGUUCAUGUAUUUAACAUUAACUAGAUGUCACUUAUUCUCGUUACAUGUUUCCAAUACACUAGAUUACACUUUACUAGGUUCUCAUCUACCUAGGUUCCAAUCCAUUACAUAUCAUCUCAUAUAGGGUUCUAAGCCACAUCACACUAAUUUCAUGCAUACUAGAUUUAAGUACGAAACCAAAGGAGCUACUACUAGCAUGCAAGAAUAAACACAAGUAUUAAAACCCUAUGUGCAUCAUGCUCAAUAUGCAACAUAAUCGACAACAACUUAGACAUAGGGAGCAGUUCAACUGCUUCGGGAUGGUCACCACCCACCUGUUGGUGAUGCUACAACUCAAGGAACGGAACUCGGCAAUCUUACGACGGCGUCUCGACCUCCUAGGUGAAAACGAAGCUAGGAAGGUUCCUUUUGCCGAUAACUUCGCACCAACUCGACAAAUCGUCGAACCGUCUUCGCCGACGCAUCCAAAUACCUAGCAAUUAGGUUUACGACCAACUAAUUUAGAUCAAAACCCUCGAUUUCCCAAAACCCCACUUUGGAGCCCUAGGUUUCAACAACGAAAAAAUACUCUGACAAAACCCUAGAUUCAUGCGAUUAGGAUACCACUAGCAUCAUAGGGUUCAACCACCACCAAUUCUAGAGUAUUUAAAUCUAACCCUAGAAAUCCACCAUUAAUGGGUUUAGAGCUUACCUCCAAGAACUCCUCCAACUUGAGGAAGAGAUGAAGAAGAUGAUCCUCCUCUUCUUUGUCUUCUUCUCCUUCUACUCCUUCUCCUCCUUCAACCUUAGAGAGAAAUAGAGCAAAAGCUUAGAGAGAGAGAAAGAGAGAGAGCUAUUAGGGCUCUUGUUGGGAGGAAAUGAGAAAAGAGAGAGAGCAAGAGCUCUCAUAUAGCUCCACUUAUGCAACAAUUGCAUAAAAACCCCUCAACUCUAUAAGUAUGUAACAGCCUAUUCUUGAGCAUUUCGAGCUACGGGGACCGGCCCCUCUAAAAGAGGACCAGUCCCCGAGAGCAAUUCUUACCAGGUGAGCUUCAGCUCAACCUUUGCACGCAUACGGGGACCGGUCCCUCUUAAGGAGGACCGGUCCCCGAGAGCACUUAGGCAGGUUGAGCAUGAGCUCAACCUCCACAUGCUUACGGGAACCGGUCCCCUCCCAGAGGGACCGGUCCCCGAGAGCACAAAAUCUGCCAUUUGUGCAGAUUUUACACAGCUUGCUCUCGCGGGUCCUCCUCAAUGCACUUUAUGCAUUUUUGAUGACUUCGACUUUUCUGAAUCACACCAAGUCGACAACAAGUCGAUCCUAAUUGAAGUCUAACUCUCGGAUUUCGAGAAUUCACUUUCUUACUUCCUCCCCACCUUAAAAGAGUUUCGUCCUCGAAACGAACUCAGCUUAACUAAACUUAAUCUAAACUCAAACUUUAAACCCAUACCUCGUCUCAAUCCUAAAACAAGUGAGGAUGAUGUGCCUUCAUCUCGGCCUCGAGCUCCCAAGUGGCUUUGCGAUCGUCGUGAUUGCUCCACCGAACCUUAACAUAGGGAAUCUCGCGGUUUCUCAACUUACGCACCUCCCGAGCAAUAAUCAUCACAGGGAACUCCUCGUAGCUCAUGUCUUCUUGAAGUUCCGGCGGCUCGUACAACAAUGCGUGGUCGGGGUCAUGAAUAUACUUACGAAGGUUGGAGACGUAGAAUACGUUAUGCACAUCUGCAAGUUUCGGCGGCAAUGCAAGCUGGUAAGCCACCGUUCUAAUCCGCUCCAAUACCUCGUAGGGUCCAAUGUAUCGGGGACUCAACUUCUCCCGCACCUCGAACCGCUUCACACAUCGCAUGGGCGACACCUUCAAAAAGACCUGGUCGCCCACCGCAAACUCCAAGUCUCGCCGGCGCCUAUCUGAAUAGCUUUUCUGUUGAGACUGCGCCGUGAGCAAUCUCUUGCGAGCAAGACGGACCUUUUCUUCCGCCUCCCGCAAAACGUCGAAACCGAAUUCCGUAUGUUCACCUAUAUCGCUCCAAUGAAUGGGAGAUCGACACUUCAGCCCAUAAAGAGCUUCGAACGGUGCCAUCUCCACGCUAGCAUGAUAACUAUUGUUGUAGGCGAACUCAGCCAUCGGCAGGUGCUUACACCAUCUCCCCUUGUAAUCAAUGACACACGCCCGCAACAUAUCCUCCAGGGUUUGAAUGGUCUUUUCCGUUUGCCCAUCUGUCUGAGGAUGAAAUGCAGUACUGAAAUCGAGCCGUGUGCCCAAAGCUUCCUGCAGGCUCAUACAAAAGUAUGAAGUAAACCGGGGGUCUCGAUCCGACACAAUUGACUUCGGUACCCUGUGCAGCCUCACUAUCUCGUCAAGGUAUACCUGUGCUAGUUUAUCACUUGCCCAUGUAGUGUGGAUCGGCAAAAAGUGUGCCGACUUCGUUAAACGAUCCACAAUAACCCAAAUUGCGUCGUGGCCACCUAUCGAGCGAGGCAAGCCAACCACGAAAUCCAUUGAGAUAUCCUCCCAUUUCCAAACGGGGAUAGGUAAACUUUGAAAUUUUUCCGCUGAGAAUCGACGCUCCGCUUUCACCUGUUGGCAUACUAAACACUUCGCCACGAAGUGCUCAAUAUUAGCCUUCAUUCCCGGCCACCAAUACUGCAUCGUUAGAUCAUGAUACAUCUUGGUGCCGCUCGGGUGAAGACUAUAAGGAGACCAACAAGCUUCUUGCUGAAUCAGCUUGCGAAGCUCCUCAUUCUCGGGUACACACCACCGGUUUCGAAACCGGAGUGCACCAUCGGCGUCUACACCAAAAUCUCCGCCACGUCCCUUUUAAGGAGGACCGGUCCCCGAGAGCACUUGGGCAGGUUGAGCAUGAGCUCAACCUCCAUAUGCUUACGGGAACCGGUCCCCUCCCAGAGGGACCAGUCCCCGAGAGCACAAAAUCUGCCAUUUGUGUAGAUUUUACACAGCUUGCUCUCGCGGGUCAUUCUCAAUGCACUUUAUCCAUUUUUGAUGACUUCGGCUUUUCUGAAGCACACCAAGUCGACAACAAGUCGAUCAUAGACGAAGUCUAACCCUGUGGUUUUGCACUUUAUCACUUUAGUACCCUGUGGUUUCACACUUUAUCAUUUUAGUACCCUGUGAUUUAAAAGCCACAGGUACUAACUUGAUACAAAUUGAAACCACAGGGUACUAAAGUGAUAAAGUGCAAAACCAAAGGGUACUAACUUGAUACACUUUAAACUAUAGGAUACAAAAGUGAUAAUGUGAGAAACUACAGGGUACUAACUUGAUACACUUUAAACCACAUGAUACUAAAAUGAAAAAGUGUGAAACCACAUGGGUUUUUUUUUGAAGUUUUCCUAUUUUUUAAGUUCCUGCGGCCUCUUCGAUGUUCGCCGACGCGUCUGUUCAUUGCCUGACAUUCAGCGCUCUAGUCUCCGUCCUCCCGUCGCCAUUUUUUUACUUAUUCCAGUCCAAAUAGCCGAAGGCCGGCGGAGCGGCAGAGCCCGUGCAUAAUAAGUAAUAAAAAUAAAUAUUAAAGGGAGAGAGAGCCGAAGGCCGGCAGAGCGGCAGAGCGAAAGAAGAUAAGAUGAAGGUGAUGCUAAAGGGCAAGUACGGGACAGACAAGUCGGCGGCGGCGUCGGCCUCCGCCACGCUCUCCGCCGCACCCGCUGGCGACCUCCGCCUCAAGGCCUCCGUCACUGACGCCACCUUCCUCCGCUGUGCCUCCUUGGACGGUCUCUCCUUCUCCCUCGAAAAGCCCGGCUCCUUAAUCCUCGACUUCAACGUCCCCAAAAGGGUAAUCCAUUCCUUCCGUCCCUCUUCCCCAGAUCUCGUUUCUCUUUUAGUCAUCAAUAUUAUUAUUGUUGUUGUGCGGAGGCCUGGAAUUACUAGUUCCGCAGGAUGUGACGUUCCAAUUCAUGAACUCCGUGUGCCUGGCGGAGAAGCUGGUGAGCCUGACCUACAGGCACGCGUGGCGGGAGAACCGCACCGCGCUGGACUGCUCCGUGGAGUUCGACCCGGCCAACAAGCUCGCUGUGAACUACGCCCUCCCAACGGGCUGCAAGGUCAAGUACGUGUACGCCCAUGGGGAGAUGCCGCGGCGGACGGUGCUAGAGCCGUCCUACGACCUUUCCAAGAACGCCUGGGACUUUGCGGUCUCGCGCAAGUUCGACGGUGGGGACUCCCUCAAGGCCACCUACCUGACCUCCACCAAGAUCCUCGGCGUCGAGUGGAGCAGGGACUCCAAGAUCAACGGAUCUUUCAAGGUGACUGAUUCACUUCUUGAAUUUCUCUCUUUGUUUUUCUGGGUCUUUUGUUAUUGUUUUUGUUUUUUUGUUGUGUUGGGGGGGUGGGAAUCGAUUGUUUUUUGCUUUUUGUUGCUUGUUUGUUGGAAAGAAGAUAUUGCAGACUGUAGGAGGUCAAAAAAUUUUGAGGAUGAUGAGAGAAAGAAUGCUAUAGGAGAUGGAUUAAUAUAAUAAGGUUAGUAUGCGAAUCCCAAAGUUUCUUUACGUUGUUUAGCUCAAAUUUGGCACAAAUUAAGACUUUAUAAAAUCCUUAUUAGUAGUGAUUGUAUGAAGGCUUGUAUUGUAAAUAAAUUUAUAUUUCAAAAACUAAUAUCAGAUCCUAUGGCUUUGGUACCCUCUGAAUCUGUGGCAUCAGGACAUUCUUUGAGUGGUCUUACUCACCUGGUAAUACCGGCUUGCCACAGCUGACUGAUGUUCCGUUCUUCUACUAGGGCUUACAUUAUCCUGCUUCUUCAUGCUAUGAUGUUAUCGUGAUGCAAUUUCAAUUUAGAAUUUGAAUUUUAAAUUUGUUUAAAUUUUGAAUUUUUAGAUAGUUUGUUAGUGUUGAAGUAAUAGGGCGGUGAAAACUUAAAACUGGAUGGUCAAUGUAUCCGGAAAUUGAAAUUGGGUUGGAUUACUUGUUUUACAAGCCUUCUUGUAUCGUUCUUGCCUUUAAUGCUUUUGGAUUUUCUAUAUAUCUCGUCUUCUCUUACGCAUUGCAGAUUAGGUGUGAAUCGGAUUGCUUGUUUUACAAUCGUUCUUGGAUCGUUCUUGCCUAUGAUGCUUUUGGAUUUUCCAUGUAUCUCAUCUCCUCUUACGCAUUGCUGAUUGCUUUGAAACUUGAAAAUAAAGAGAGGAAGAAAGAAGGAAUUUUUUAUUUUCUCUUUUCGUAUAUUUUCAUGUCUCUCCAAACAAAUCUAGUAGGUACAUAUAGAGCCGAAGGAGGUCUAUAUAGAGCCGAAUGAAUAGGCUUUUGAGUUCAAAUCUAUUUGAAUUCAAUCUUGUUUAUAUCUUCCUAAACAAAUCAAGAAGAAAUAUGAUAAACGAAGAGAUAGGUAUGAAUUUGAACUCAAUCUUAUCCACUCUUCGCUUCGCUCAACCUUAUCCGGAAUAUAGUUGAUCCCGAUAUGGACGAAGCAUAUUGGGUCAAAUCCAAAUCGAUUUGGUUUUAUCGAAUUGAUGUGGACAUACACCAGAUAGCAUUAUCUCCCACUUGGCCACAUUGGCUAUCUGUCUCUCUCAUAUUCUACUCUUCAUACAAUUAAUGUUGUGUGACUUGACGAAAAGCACCACACAACUCAGGUCAUCACCAAACUGACAUAACACAUCACUAACUUGAUCGUCUAUGCGCUAGAUGUUUUAACACGCUCCGGAUCAAGCAAUGUCCUUUUUCUGUAAUAACAGGGUUCGACCUUACAAUCAUUUCUUCGUACUCAUAAUUAUUUCAAGUAAUACAACCGAGUUAACCACCAAGAGAACGGGUCAUAAGCUUACAUGGUGUGUUAUCUAAACAUCUUUCUCAACCCUUUACAUUAAUUUGUAUCGGUACACGCACUUUAUUAGACAUGCUUCGUAAGCAGUGUUUGAAAAGGCGCAAGGCGCAAAAAAGCGCAAAGGCCUUCUGGAGCCUAGGCGCGAGGCGCACCGCGAGGCGCACCGCGAGGCGUGUGCUUCAAGAAGGCGAGGCGCACAUUUAAAAAAAAUAAAACACUCUUAACAAGACUAAUUUAAAUGGAUGUUUUAUGUUAAAAAAAUUCAAAAUAGCUAUACAAAAACCAAAUAAUCAUAAAAAGUAAUGAAAUCAUAUAUAUAUAAAUGUUCUCAAACUAAAAGGAAAAAAAUAUAUUUCAACUUUCAACUUAAAAGUGCUUGUUGCUGGUUCUUGCUUUUUGUUUCUUGCUUUUUUAUAGCGGCUGCUUAUUGCCAUUAGAGGGUGGAAGAGAGAACGACCAAGAGAAAAGGAGAAAAAAGCCGUUCAAAUUAGGAAUCUUCUUUUCAAUUCCUUAACAUUUUAAAAUAUAUUGAAAAAUCCAAAACCCCAAAACCCAAACCCUAGACACAUUAAACGUAAGUAUCAUGAGGCGCGUCUGAGGCGCGCGCUUCACUUCCUGAGGCGCUGAGACCUGUGCCUCACGCCUAGGCGCUGAGACCUGUGCCUCGCGACUAGGCGCUGAGUCGCGCCUAGGUGCUGAGGCGCGCCUUUUCAAACACUGUCCACAAGAUAGUAUUUUAUCAUGAUCUUGAGAUACAUGCUAAGUUAUACCCUCUAUUUCAUAAUGUAGUUCUAAGUCAAAGGCAAAAAGGGGUUGGUGUGCACACAGUGACAUAGAGGGAUAAACAUAUGUCACUGUACUAACUGAUCGACAAACAUAUGUCACUCUACUAACUGGUCGACAAUCACAUACAGUAUAAUAUGUAUACUAUGGCAGAGCCCGCAUUCCAUGGGUCCUGUGAUGCUCUCUAACGCCAUACAAAUCUUGGUCGCAGCACCACUAAGGUACCUAAUCCUUGCAAAACUCGGGUCAUCUCUCUAACCCAAUUACUUAGAUUCGACUACUGUACAAGCUCGAUAUGGAAUUUCAGAAAAGACUUCUCACAUCCAACUCAUAAUCUCAUCUUAAACUAACUAAGGCGACUUUAAAAUUAUGUCAAAACUUUAUUUAUAACGUACAUGAACAAAGCAAUUUAUUACAACUAUCAAGGUUUAAUAUGAUUAUCUAGCCUCAUGAUUAUGUAGUCUCAUCCUGCUCACCAUCUAGGUGCCAAGGCGGCAAACCGUCGUGAAAUUAUCGCAAUAUAUGCCUAUUAGUAUCAAUUAUGCAAUCACAUAAUGGAAAAGUAUAUUUCCAUUAAGAAACUAUAAGAUACAAAAGUAUUAAUAAUGUCCAUACAUCAAAAUUUGUGAAAAUUCAAACUCCUAAUAUAGGUUUGGAACACAUUCCUAGCUAUCGGUUUGGUCAACGGAUCAGCCACCAUCCUAGUAGAGAUGUCUAUAGGUGACCUCUCGUAGCCUAAAAUCUCUUGAGUGUAGUAAAAACGAAUAUCUAUAUGCUUGGUCCUACUAUGAUAUUUAGGAUUCUUUAAGUACUCCAGGGCAGUCAUCCUGUUGGAGAAUAUCUCAAUAGGCUCUGCUCAAGUCACAACAUCGAGGUGCUGGAGAAAUCUCCUCAGCCAAAGAGCCUCCUGAGCAGCUGCCGAACAAAUAAUGUGCUCCACNUAUCUAUAUGCUUGGUCCUACUAUGAUAUUUAGGAUUCUUUAAGUACUCCAGGGCAGUUAUCCUGUUGGAGAAUAUCUCAAUAGGCUCUGCUCAAGUCACAACAUCGAGGUGCUGGAGAAAUCUCCUCAGCCAAAGAGCCUCCUGAUCAGCUGCCGAACAAAUAAUGUGCUCCACCUCAACCAGCUCUGUUUCUUACUACACUAGGAAAUUGCCAACCUCCAAACAAAAACAUAUAACUUGAAUUGGACUUGCGCUCAUCUCUAUCACAGUCCUAAUCAGCAUCACCAUAUCCUUUUAAUCUCGUCCCUAACUUGAAAGUGGAGAACAAGAUCAUUGGUUCCCUCUAGGUAUCGAAGGAUCCUUUUGAUUGCUUGCUAAUAAGCAUGUCGUGAGUUGCUUUACUAAUGACUUACCAAGCCAACAACGAAGUAGAUGUCGGGGCGAAUAUACAUCAUAGCUUACAUCAACCUGCCAACUUUAUUUGGCGCGUAAGGAACCCUACUCAUUUGCUCUUUCUCUUUAUCCGUUUUAGAGCAUUGAUCAAGACUCAGGAGAUGAUUUUUCUCCACUGGAGUGUCAAUGGGUUUACAAUUAUGCAUCCUAUUGCUCCAGGACUUUCGUAGUACAAGUUUCUUGAGACAAAUCAAGAAAUCUCCUAGAGACCGCUUUGAUGAUCUUCACUUGGAGCACAUAGCUCGCCUUACCCAUCUUUUAUCUCAAAGUUGAGAGACGACGACUCCUUAGUGGUAUGAUCAACUUUAUGUCAUUUUUAGCAAAUAGUAUGUUGUCGACAUAUAGGGAAGAACAGAAUCCCUUUCUCUAUCUUCUUAACAUAUACGCAGUUGUCUUUCUUUAUUAUGGAUACACCAAUAAAAGUGAUGGCUUCAUGAAAUCUGAAAUACCAUUGCUUCGUCGACAGCUUGAGACCAUCAAUGGAUCUUUAGAGACGAUAAACUUGGUCUUCUUGACCUUUAAGUGCAAAACCCUUGGGAUGAUUUCUGCUAAUUCUCCAUUAAGGAAAGUUGUCUUGACAUUCAUUUGGAAUAAUUCUAAAUUCGGAUGUACUAUUAAGGUUAAAAUCAGACGUAUAGAGGCAAAUCUCAUAACUGGGGCAAAUACUUUUGUAAUUAACCUCUUGCUUUUGAGUGUAGCCUUUGGCCACAAGUCGAGCCUUAUAUGUGUCGAUUGACCCAUUCGCUUUGCGCUUAACCUUUAAAAUUCAUUUAUUUUCAAUAGACUUGCACCGAGGUGGAAGGCCAACCAACUCCAACACUUUGUUCUUCCUCAGAGUCCAUUUCAUUUCUCAUAGCAGCCAUCCAUUUACUGCAAGCUGGCAUUUACGACGUUUUUUUAAGAAGUUGACUCAUCAUCAUUGAGCGGAAUACACAUGAAAACAUCCCCUUCAAUCCCGAAAUACCGACGGGGAAUAUUUCCACAUUCACUUCUACGCAAUUGAGGGCCUAGACUGUUAGCUUUCAAGGGUAUGCUCCCGCUCAUGGAAGCGCUCCCACUAGUAGGAGAAUCGCUACCACUUUAGCAAUUUUAAGAAGUGACCGAUCGCCCUCACCAACAGAUUGGGUGGGCUCAUCAUGUAACCACUGUUUAAAAAAGCGCGCCUAGGCGCUGCGCCUAGGCGCCUAGGCUCUAGGCGCACAGGCCAGCGCCUAGAGCAGCUCUAGGUGGGCGACAUGACUCAGGCGCGCGCCUAGGCAGCCUAGGCGCGCGCCUGGGCCUAGGCGCAAGGUGCCCUCAAGGCGCGCCUAGGUAAUAUUUAUAGUAAUGGGUUUGGAUCCAGAUUUUAUUGGUCUAACGGGUUAAAAUAUUUAAAAUAAACCCAAUACCCUAAACUAAACCCUAAAUAAUCAUCAAUUAUCUCUCUAUUCCCCUCUCCCUGUCCGCUCUUCCCUCUCCCUGUCCGCUCGGCCCCUCUCCCUGUCCGCUCGCCCCCUCAGCCAUCUCUCUCUCUCCGGCGCUCCCUCUCCGGUUGUCCUUGCUUCCGGCACUUCCUCCUUGCUUCUUCAACUCAAUCGCCUCUUCUUGUAAGGUUUUUUGUCUCUCCCUUGGCCUCUCUCUAGUUUCUCUUUUAAUUUUUUGUGCGCCCGACCUCUCUUGGGCGCGCGCCUGCGCCUUGCGCCUUGCGCCUAGGCUCCAACAGGCCUUUGCGCCUAGGUGCGCCUUGGGCUUUUUUAAACACUGCAUGUAACUUACAAAAUCGGAUGUCUCUCCGCACCAAUGCUUGAAAAUUCCUUCUCAAGGAAUGUCACAUUACACUAUCUUGAAUUCUCGAUCAUCCCACCAUCUGGGUGUUCACGAUACAUCACAUUGCAAUUUGAGUUUUUAAGGUACCUGAUGAACAUAUGUUUGCUUGCUUUAGGGCCAAUUUUUUUGAAUCUAUGUGAAAAGCUGUGAACAUAUCCAACCCCAAGGAUGUAAGUAGUGUAAAUUUAGUUUCCUACUACUCCACAACUUAUAUGGGAUAGAAGGCACUGAUUUACUAGGGACUUGAUUAAGGAUGUAAGCUACAGUCAAAAAGUAUCUUCCCCAAAACUUAUGGGAAGAUGAGCCUGUGCCAUUACCGACCUAGUCAUGUCCAAUAGGCAACACCAUUUUAUUGCGGAGUAUCAGGGAUAUUGAGUUGUCUACUAAUGUUGUUUUGCGCACAGUAUGUCUUGAAAUAAUUAGACAAGUACUCACGAUCUUGAUCAGUACGAAGCGCCUCAAUAUUUCUUUUUGUUUGAUUCUUAGCCUUCGCAACAAUGUGUUUAAAGCAAUGUAAAAGCUUUAGAGCGGCGAAAAAGCAAAUGCAUAUAACUUGAGAUAAUAGCACGCAUUAUGUCGGGUCCUCACAUUCACUGACCAACAAAUGUCCAAGUGAAUAAGCUCUAGGGGAUGAGAGGUAUAAGUAGCCUUACCAAAAGGCUUUUCACAUGCCUUCCCAGCCAGACAAGGCUCACAGACAGAUAAGUCAACUUUGGUGAGAGACUCCAAGCACCGGUUUGGUUCGGGGUUAAGGGGUGGAAUAACCCUUAACCCCGAAGUUAUUCCCAAACACCCAAUUUGGGGGGUGGGGUCCCCACCCCACCCCACUACUCCAACCAAACAAAACACUAUUUUACCCACUAUCCUUCUUAUCCUAUCUACUCCAACCAAACACUAUUUUACCUAUAUCUGGACUAAACCCAAUUCUCAACCAAACACAAAAUUACUCUAACCCCGCCUUAACCCUGAACUUAACUCUAUCCCUGGAAUAACAAGUUUUUACUUAACCCCGAACCAAACGGUGGCCAAAAGGCUUUCUCGAUCCAAUCUAUUCAUUCUUUCUUUAUCUAUAUGGCAUAAUCUGACAUGCUAUUUAACGGAUUCAUCACAGAUAUUAGAAAAAAGAAGAAAUAGAAGCAAAUACAAACAAAUCAUCUUCCAAAUCCAAGUUAAGAAACCAUCCUCUGAUGUACCAUAUUCAAAUAAAAUACUAUAAAAUGAAAUGUCUAGACGGUCAUUGUAAAAAUUGAAAGGAAUAGCCUAAACGUAGUAAAGCUAAAACUGAAUAUAGAUUAUAUUGAAUUCCGGGUGCAUAUAGCGCUUUUCGAAGAAGUGUGGCCGCCACAUAACUUGAGUCGGCCCGAACCAACUCCGAGGACUUCCUCUGUCAUGCCCCGGAUCCGUUUGCUCGGAUCUGAACUACAACAACCGGCCACGAAUCCGGAGGAAGAACCCCCGAAAAUGGAAGGCCUUAAAUAGAUCCAAAGCCACCAUCUCAAUUAAAGACUAAAUAAAAUAAUUUAUUAAGUAAAAAUAAAACCGAGCGAUAACCACAACAAUUGGCCACGAAUCCGGAGGAAGAACCCCCGAAGAUGGAAGGCCGUAAAUAAAUCCAAAGCCUCUCAAUUAAAGACUAAAUAAAAUAAUUUAUUAAGUAAAAAUAAAACCGAGCAAUAACUACUAGAUGUCCAAUUAAUCAAAUCUCAAAUCAAAAUAAACUAUAUGUCCAAAAGAUAAAAUCUAUCUAAUGAGUCCUCAUUGACUAAUUGUCUCACAAGCCCCAACUCUCGGUACAUGAAACGGUAGACAACAAAAGUAAAGCGCAAUGUUUAACAAAAAAUCUAAUUCAAAGGAUAACGAUAAUUUUUAAUUUGAAAUCACAACAGUCAUAAUUUGGAGCAUCUCCGCCAAGGUUUUAAGUGCCCGUCAGCACGGGUAGUAUCCACCAUGCUGUACCGUGCCAACAAGAUAUCGACAUGAUACAGACCCCAUGCCGAUGACACAGCUCAAAACCCUCUAUUCUUUAAAUUAGUAAGUAAUUUUCUCAAUAAAGUUCAAAAGAUGUGAUAAAAAGACAUAAUAAAUAGUUAGAAUAUUUUGUUGCUAAAGAAAAUAAAUAUUUCAUGCUAUUACGUGUCGGCACACAAGAAUUUUUUUGACCGACAUCCAUCGGCACGGCUCGGCACACACCGUGCCGUACCGUGCCGGCAAGUUUCCGGCACAACCCGUGCCACGGCACUUAAAUGCUUGAUCUCUGCUCCCUCGCUGUAACCAUGAGAGCUACAAUUACUCAUCGUUCCUCCUCCCGAACAGUGUACAGAAUAAAUUCCUCUCCUCCGAGGUAUCCGACCGAAACGGUCGUGGACGGUAGAUUAUUUUAACAACAAUAAGAAUAUGCAAAUAAAUAAGCCAUACCCAACAAUAAUUAUAAAACCCACUCGGCUGUAUUGGCAACUAGUAAAUAAAAUAGAUAAUUAUGGUGCCUCGGACCCACUCGGAUUUGCACAAUUUUUACUGUUUACGAAAAAGUAGCUUAACCAUUAAGUGCUUCGGAUUCUUUGUGCUUUGCUGAAACUUCAAAUUUAAAGCCCAGAGCCUUGUAGUUGAAGUUUGCCCAAGACUAAUAUUCAGGUUGUCCUACAUGUCCUUCGUAGUUUUGUAAGUCUCAAAUUGUCCAAUAAGGUCAUCUUGCAUGGCACACAACAUAAUGUACCUAACAAUUCGAUCCUCAUUGAACCACUUAUCAUAGACCUCCCUAUCACAUCGGAGCUGUGUAGAGUGCCUAUCAAAGGCACAAUGAGGGUUUCCAUUAAUCCUUUGUUCGUUUAGCAGGUAUUGUAUUUUCCUGUGACGAAAGUCAUUGUACUUUUUGUCUAGCUUAUUUUCUCUGGUGCGAUCAAUUGUGACGUUUUUGGAAGCCAUUUCACUACAUUCAAAAGUAGGUUUGGACAUUAGGCACAUUUCAAAAAUUAGUAAGAUUGAAACAUUAUCCCAAAAACUUUGCCAGGCUCGUGAUCAUCAUCCAUUGUUGGUUUAAAAAUUACAUUCUUGUUAAUUUUUCUAUUAAUUGCGAAACUUAUCCAAUAUGUAUAUGUAAUUUUUAAAAAUAGGAACAUGUCCAUUUUAAAGGAACACAUCUUUAAUCAUGUAUAAGAAUUUAUCCUGAUAAAACCAUCACGCAGAUAAAAAAAAGGUACUCGUGCCAAAAUUUAAUUCGAAUAACAUUGAUGAUGCGCGAAAACAUUUUCUCUUAUAUAACUUUAAUUAUUAUUAUGUCACUUUUUGCAGAAUAAAAUCUACUACACCAUUACAAAAGAUGCACAAAUAAAAAAGAACAAGAAAAUACCGUACACGUUGAAUCCGUUUUUCCAAAAUUAAAUUUUGUUAAAAAAUGCCGAAAGAACACAAGUACUUAAGUGCCAUACAACACAUAAAAAAAACGAACUUUUUUUUAAAAAAGUAGGAAGCAGCCCACUGUCCGGUCCAGCGCAUGAGCUAGGCCGCCGUACGGGCAUGACCUGCCUACUUGCUCGCCUUACUUUAUUUUUGGGAUUGUAAGAGGCGAAAAGCCACAACAGAUGUAAAAAAAGAGUAAAAAAUAUAUUUGCUGGCGAUAUUUGUAUUUGGGAAGUUCCUAAGAUGACCUCGCUUUCUCUUUCUUUCUUUCUUUCUCUCUCUUUUUCUCACUCAUUCUUUUUUUUUCUUUUCUUAUCUUGUGCUGCAAUACCAUGGUGCUGGAAUAUUGUUGCAGGAAUUGUGCUACAUACCUGCACUACAGUACUGCAACAAUAUUGCUAUAUCACUACUUGCAUCAAUUUAGUAUCAGAGCAAGUUAGAAACCUAGGACUUCUGCCGCCAUGAUUUUAAUCCUGAAUUAAAUAGUCGAUUUGGAAGUUUUCCCCAAUAUUAGAGAAACACUGGACAUGCUGUCCAAAAAUUGAAUGAAUGUGUGUAACUUUUGGAGAAGCCAACUCUAUUCUCUAUACAAGCUAUGUGAUUCAGGAUGACCGAAAUUCUGGAUAAGAUGGUUUUAGUUCCAACUGUUGCAGAUAGGAUGGAGGUGGUUCCAACUACUUCGGUUUUGGAUAAGGAUCAAGAAGAUGGUUUCAGCUGAUCGGAAGAAGGAUCAAACUGUUUAAUCAAUUUGGAUAAAGAUAAAACCAAACUUGACCGAAAUCAAAGGAUAAUGUUUGUAUCAAACCGAACUCUUGAAACUUGACUGGGUCAAGCUGUUGACUGAGUCAAAAGUGCCCUUGAAGUUGUGUCUCGGCUCUCGAACGACCCUCGAAUGCGCCACAAUCAAGCGAUUUGGUUGAGGGGUCAGCUCAACUGGGUUCUUCCUCAACUAUUAAACUUAGAAAACUUAAACAAACAGACUCGGCUGAAUGCUCGAGCCGAAUUGAUUAUGUUUGAUUAUGUUUCACUAAUAAAAUAGGAUCUCCAGGGAUUAAAGAAAACUAAAGUUUGGAUUACCAGAAAUUAAAAACUACACCACAAGCUGAGGGCUAACAACUACUCCUAGAAAGCUAUUAAAUGCUGGAAAUGGAAAGACAAAAUAAAGGCAGUGGUCUUUUAUGUGGGAAAAGACUUAUUGUGGGCAACCUUUCACUAUUUAUAGUGGUUUUCAGUUAGCCUACGGUUUUCGAAUGGCUAACGUUGUGGAGAGUGCUCUAGCUACAUUCCUGUUGGUUACGGCACUGUUCCCACAUUCUCAACCGUUCCCGCUCAAAGCUCAUUCAUCUUUGGGUGUUUCUUUAUCAGCUCCUAGUGCACCAUCUGUUAUCUUUUCAUUCGCCCAUGAGAGCAAGUCAUGUGAGCCGAGCCGUCUAUCAGUUGGCGCUAUUUCUCCUGCGCCAACUAUGACUCCCCAGUAGUUUUUCUAAUAGACGUUCGGAUGACUAGCGAUGUCAAAUCCACGGCUAUGAUCAAACUGUGUCUUCUUACCUAGUCAUUUCACAAUUAAUACUGCCGUCAUUAUUAAAACCCUUUCGACGGCAAAACCCUUCGUCUUCUCAAAACACUUCGUCUCCUCUGUUACUUUUAAAUUUUCGAGUUCUCUUUUAUUCCAUUAGAAUUCUCCGGCCUAUUGCUUUUUUCCUUCUAAUGGCCCCUACUCGGAUUCCCCUUUUUUAUUAAACCUCUAAGAUCGCCUUCCGUCUUCUUAAACGUUGGAGGCAGACUCUUCUUGCUUCAUCUUAGGUCCUUCCAUAGAAAAUUCGGAUAAAGACAUUUUCCCUUUUUUAGUCGAUGGCAUUCCCCUGACAGCAGAUAUCUUCUUUUUACAGUCUUGAUCCUCUUCCAAGUCCUCAAGAAAGAGCCUUCACACCUGGCCCACAAUUUCAGAUGCAUACAUUACUUGGCUCGACUGGUUCCAAGAGGUUUAUGAUGUCGUAUGGAAGAAGAUUAGGAUUUUCGAGGUGAUACAACUUUUCAGGACGCCUCUUCAAGCUAAUAACCUUUUUUUUUUCUCCGCCUUAAGCUUUUGGUCUUCUUCAGCUUCGAACACCUUCCUCUUCAAAUCAAGGCCCUUUACUUCGAUACUGUUUGAUAUUUGCUGUGAUUAUCGGACUUUGCUCUCAUGGCACUAUUAUCUCUUUGGCUCUCAGCUUGGCCGUGUAGUCGAUUUUGACCUAAUCCUAGACCCGAAAGUGGAUCUCGCAUUGGUAAUUCAUGAAAAGCUUUGUGCGCAAGGGUCGAACACUAUAGAAUAUGGUGCGUAAAUAGGAGCACAUUGCCUUUCUGCUUUAUUGGCUAUACUGCAGUUUUUUCUACAUGGUCCCAAAAGAUCAAUUGAGACUUUGUGCUAAUUGCCCUUGCUCUGGCUAACGACGAAAAACUCUCUCUCGAUCCUUACUUUCCUUUUUAUAUCAGGAGAAUUUUUAAUUGAUCAAGUCGUUGCACAAGAAGGUAAGCGACGUGGUCAUUAGUGCUAGUUGCAGGAUAUUUUGGUUUCUCCAGAUUUGCCUCUAGCUAUGCUACCCUAUCUUUACCGAGCGCUCCCCCUUUCGAGUCCGCUUCAACGAUUCAAUACCUACGGGCUCGCCCUCUGUUGUUAAGACCGUUCACCCAAGGUCAACCCUCACACUUCCCCACAUACUUCCAAGUCUUCUACUCCGAGGAGAGCCGACCUUUAGACUGCUGGGCGCUCCCCGAAAACCGAUCAGUUGGUCCUGACUCGUUCAAGGAACACUUUGAAUAUAUCCGGAAUCAGAUUGACUCGUUGGAGGUUUCCAAACACAUUGAGAUGUGGUGUUUCUUUCUGGCCACCUGAAAUAUUCACAUCGGCUUGAAGAGCCAAUCGAAACUUGCGUUGAGCACAGAGGUUUAUUGCCCGUAUUUGUAGCUCGGCAAUUCGUUUUGAUAAAAGCGCUACCGGCCUUGCGAAAAUUGUUCACCGCUAACACCUCUCGGUCUCGCCCAACUACUAAAAGGGUGGCCAAGGUUUAUUGGAUAACGGCUAUGGGGAGCUUGAAGUGCGAUUUCAUCCCGUCAUGUUUCAACCCACUAGACGGGGAUUGUCUCAUAACUUUUACAAACGGUCAUGGAGGGAUCUCUAUAAUAUUCUAUUUAUGUUGAUCCCGAGGAGGUGCCUUUGUAAGCUCGACUUCGAUUCAAAUCCCAUUCUUAAGAAAGGCAAAUCUGAAGGUACCACUUAGGUUUCUUUCUUUCGGCUUCUCAUACUCAUGUAUAACUCGCAUUUCAUUUUAUCUCAGCCGAACCGUACAAAGGAAAAAAGGCUGAUGCACUCAAGAGUGAGGCCUUAGGUGAAUGCUCAGAUGAAAAGGCGACUCCUUCGCCCAAAUCUUUACCAAUAAGCUUCUCAUAUUUUUCAUUUUUUUAAGCAUACAAAGCUUUUAUUAUUAUGUUUGUAUACCAACCGACUCGUAUCUAUGACCAGUUGGUUUGGAUUUUCCAUGGCAGGCUGCCAAACGAGCUGAGGAAAUUGCUCUAUCCCCACCAACCUCCAAGAAGCAACAAAUUACAACUGCCGAUCCUUCUUGGCAAGCUUCAAAAUAGAAAAUUCAUGCCUGAGAGCGGUGAGAAGCCCAAGCUUUAGUCGAUCGGCUCCUACCAGAGAGCCCAAAGCAAAGGGAAAAAAACUCCCUCUCAAGUUUUGACUAGGGAUAGCCCAAGGUUAACUCUGACAGAAAUGGUGGCUCAACAACAAAGGCUAGAAGCCGAGCGGUACCAAGUCAAGAAGGAGGUUGAAACAUCCAGCAAAACCCAGGAGGAGAUUACUGAGGCUGAGCUUGGCAUGAAAACUCGAGAAAAACUCCACAUAAAGGAGUAGUGGGCUCGACAAGAAGCUCAAAAACUGGAAAAGAAAAAAAAAGAAACGUUAAAGAAAAGGAGGAACAAGCGGAGGCUAGAAAGAAGGAAGAAAAAAAAAGAAAAGAAAAAUGAAGGAAGAGGAAGCUAAGAUGAGAAAAGAGGAGGAAAAAACAAAAAAAGAAGAAGAGAAGAAGUAAAGGAAGAAGAGCAGAGAAGGAUGAUGGAAUAAGAAGACAGAAGAAAAACAGAAGAGAAAGAGAGAAGGAAAGAAGUAGAAGAGGCCUUGGCUGCAGCACCUUCAGCCAAGGUUUUAAGCAAGCAAUUAACUGCCGCCCCGUGCCGUACGGGACGAGUUGUGCCGUAUCGUGCCCCCAAGAAAGGGGCACGGUACAGGGGGGGUUUCGCACCCCCUAGAGUCUCGCGGCACGCUGGUGCAUGCUGCUCGAGACAAAGUGGCACGUAUCGGCGUGCUGCCUUUGUUUUUUUGGCGUUUUUUUGGUUCUCUUUUUUUUUUUUGUGGCUCUGGGAUACAGAAGCGCCUCCGCCCCCCUCCCCGCCCGCCGCCCCCGCCCCCCGCCCGCCGGCCUCAUGCUAUUUCGCAUUUUUUUUUUUCACUUCUUCUCUUAUUUCUAUUGACAUCCGUGUAGUCUUUUUUGUGUCAACUUUUUUUUUUUUUUGGCUUUUUGGCUGAUGCUUUGAUGCCUUUUUAUUUUGCCUUUUGGCUUUUUCUUUUGUCGAAUUAAAAAUUUAUAAUUUAACUUCUUAUUUAUUAAUAUAAAAGCAAAUUUUUAGUUGACAUAUCCAAUCCAUUCCGCGGGGGGCGAAGCCCCCCGCACCCCUCUCGGAUGUUAGUGGUGGGCUACGGGCUCGGGGCCCUAUCGACCCGAGCCCUUCGCUUCCACCACAGACAUCUAUUUUUUUUUUCGCAAAUUAUUUUGUCAAAAUUUGUCGCACCGCGAAGCUUUCAGUGAAUCAAGGAAGAUCAAAUAUUUUUUAAAAGAAUAAAAAAAAAUAUGGAUGUAAUUGCGGUACUAUUCUGGUUGUUCUAGUCAUUAUAUGCUUCUUAAUCGAGUCAAUAUAUAGAUCUUGAAAUAUUUUUAGAAAAAAUAAAAUUUUCUAUCAUUUUAUCUGUUAUAAUUUUUUUGAUUCUAAAAAAAAAUAAAAACAAAAGAAUUUUCAAAUGUUACAACAUGGAUAGUUGUAUUUUUCAAAUAAAAACAAAAAAUAAAACAAAAGAAUUUUAAUUUCUAUUCUACAUCAGAUAUAGUUGUACUUUAUAUCAAGGAUUUAAGUGCCGUGGCAUGGGGUGGUGCUGGAAACUUGUCGGCACGGUACUGCACGGUGCGUGCCGAGUCGUGCGGAUGUGUGCCGGUCAAAAAAAUUCUUGUGUGCCGACACAUAAUAACAUGAAAUACUUAUUUUCUUUCGCAACAAAAUAUUCUAACUAUUUAUUAUAUCUUUUUAUCACAUCUUUUGAAUUUUAUUGAGGAAAUUACUUACUAAUUUAAAGAAUAUUGGGUUUUGAGCUGUGCCAUCGGCACGGGGUCUAUAUCGUGCCAGUAUCUUGUUGGCACAGUACGACACGGUGGAUACGGCCCGUGCCGACGGGCACAUAAAAGGCUUCAGCCGAAGCAGUAGAGACCGCACCUACUGUUGAAGUACCUUCGCAUUGUCGUUCGGCCCAAGUGGUCAUUGGUUCGAGGUCUUCUUCAGAGGAGACUUCUUCUACUUUUGAACCAGAAGAGUGUCCAAUAGCGGCUCUACAAGAACUAGUCGCUCGAAGCCCUUUGACUGAUGACUCGAUCUCCUAUUGUUGAAGUAUCAGCCUAGAUGAAGGGGAAAAUGGAGGCUCAAAUAUGCCAUGGGCCUUCCUGUAGAAUAGGCUUAAAAGGUUGGAAAACCUUUUAUGAUCCUGCGGCUUCAUCUGAUCGGCUAUCUUUCCCUCUAGAGUGAUGCUUCGUGGUUGACUUUCAGUUCGCCUAUUGGCAUUCAUUUCUUGGCAACAAACUCUUCUAGCUGAGAGCAACAAUUUGGACAUGCAUUUUUGUUGAUCAGUUCUUACAAGACGAAGGCCACCAAAUUGAUCGACCCUUUCGCUGACCUCCAAAAACAAAGCGAUGUCCUGAAGCAACAAGAGACAACCUUUCGGUAGAGAGUUAACUUUCUUCGACAGUAAUUGGCUGAAGUAGACUAAGCCUUCGCCAAUACUUCCGAUCAGCUUAAAGUUGUUCGAAGCCAAUAUAAGGCUAUGGCAAAUGAAGGGGAGGAAAUUUAUAUUGAACUUUCUAAUCUCUUGAAAGCCCAUUCCAUAGAAUGAAGUAAGUUGUUUGCCAAGCAAGCCCAAGCUGCGUUGGAAACCGAAUGGCGACAACUUAAAGAUCUUCUAUCUUAGUCAUUCGGAUUAUGUAUAUUCGGCUUUGUAACAUAACUGUCACGAUCUGACGCCUCCAAUUUGGAUAGCUCGGGCCCCAAAACAGACCUGCCGAACGGACAGAGUUUCCCUUGUCUGCCCGAUGCGUAACAAAGUCUAUCCAUACAUAUCCAAGUAAUAGAUAUAAGAAUCAAACAUUAAGAGAGGCAAUCACAGAUACAAGAGAAUUUAAACUAUCUAUUACAUUUCUUUUACAUAUGAAACAUUGCAUUCUUUUUAACAUGUUACAACUCCUUUAUGCACAAAAGGGUAAUCUCACAUUUCAUACAAAAUGACCACCUCACAUAUAUAUACAUCACAUAUCCCAAAAUGGCUUUACAUUUCAUUAACAAAAGGGUUUUACAUUCUUUUCUUGCUAUAUACGAGGGUAGUGAGCUAAUGCCGGUGGUCCAGUCUAUCUAGGGCUCGAUGCCCUUGCCGCGAUCCUCGACGUAAGCGCUCGUGCUGGGCUCUACAAAACAGGGUGUGAGAACUAAACAAAGUUUCCAGUAGGUUCGACCGCCGACCCCGCUGAUUUUUCCACUAGGUCUAAAAAGAGAUAGAAACAAUAGAUAGGUCAAUAUGACAACGAAAUGAUAGAUAGAACAAUAAGCCUAACAUGCUUCAAAUGAUAGAUAGGCAUAUACUUCUAUAUCAUGCUUCAAAUGUGUAGCUAUUUCUUUACCAAACAUAUUAACAAGUAUAAGUUUUACUAUGUCUUUAACAAUGUCAUCUAUCAAUGUUCUACUAUGUAUGCAUAUAUAUGAAAUGCCAUGCUCAUGCCUUGAUCCAAAUCCAAUCGGUUCGCCCAAAGGUCGAACCACAACUCGCUACACACACUGUCACGCCACCGUGACCGUACCUCCCGUCACUAUCUCACUGUGAUACAACCCCGGAGCUCACAACAUGGCAUGGGAGGCGCGACCUCCACAACCACAACAGACGACGCGAGUAUGAUCAUAGUCCUCCCGCCCGAGGACCGCAGGAAUCCCACAUCCCUAUCCAUCACAAGGCAUGUAAUGCUCACCAUAGGCUACAUAUGUAAUAUGCUCAAGUCCUCCCGCCCGAGGACCGCGGGAAUCCCACUCCCUAAUUCUCAUAAUGCCAUAAGUUCACAAUUCUCAUGAGUGAGGAUAUGCUACAUAUGCAAUAAUUUUCAAUUAUCAUAAUAGGUCCACAUACAUAUGCCUUCUAGCAUCUCAUGCACAUAUCUAGCAUAUUCUCACAACAUGUCCACAUGCACAUAUCCAAGUGGCCAUAAGCCCACAUAUCUAGUUAACAUGAAUCUAGCAUAUUCUCACAAUAUGUCAACAUGUAUAUAUCCUCUAGCAUUUCAUGCAUACACAUAUAUACAUCUAUCUCAACAUCAUGCAAUAAUGCACCUACAAGUAUCAUGCAACAUGGAUCAUCAUCCCUCUCACUAAGCAUGAAUUUACCAAGACUCAUAGGUGUCCCACAUAACUCAAUGCAUGAUGAUAUAUGAUCAUAUAAGUAGAACUUAGACAUAGAAUGACAUCCGGCUAUUUCGGAUAACAUGGAUUAAUAAUCGUCGUGGCGUCGUCACGAAGCGGGUAGCCAAGCAGCGCGAUUUAUAAUCGUCGAUUUUACCCGACUAUGGCAAACGAAGAUAAAACGACAACUUCUUGCAAUUGACCACCACCGGCUCAACGAAAUCUCAAUCCAAGCGAUCCUCCGCGUCGGUUUCACCUUCAAUUGCAGAAACAUAGGAUCAAUUGAGAUCAAAACCUAUCAUGAUAAAAAAUCCUCUUCUGAAACCCUAAAAUCCCUUAUAUUGCAAUAAAUCCAAAUCUCAUGAUAGUUUAUGCAAUAACAUGGAUUAAACUCAUCUAGGGUUCCAUUUAUAGUCAUUUCUAAGGGAUUUAUACACAACCCUAACCAUAAGCCCUCAAAUCUCUUGAAGCUUACCUCUAAACCAAGCUUCUCCUCAAGCCAAUGGUGAAGAAGAAGGAAGCUUUACCUCCAAGCAAGUUUCUCUCCACCAAACUCCACUUCUUGGAGCAACCCUAAGAGAGAGAGAGGUUUCUCUUUGUUGGUUCAAGUGGAGAGGAAUGAGGGAAAUGACAUAACACCCUCAUUAUAUACACUUCCAUUUGCAACAUUUACACUUUAGCCCCUCACAUAACAGGGUUUAGCUGAACCUACGCUUUCACGCGUACGGGGUUCGGACCCUACAUGCAGGGUCCGGACCCUGAGAGCAUUUCUAACGCGACAAUUUUCGAAAAUCUCACAUCUUGCUCUCCAAGGUCCUUUGUACCCCUAUAAGCCAUUCCGAUCACUCGGAACACUCAACGGACCUCUCUAAAGCGUCCAAUACCACACUUUGGUCAAUUUCGACUAAAGUUUGGUUUAGCGCACCGAGGACUCGGUACACUACAUCCUCCCCUCCUUUAAAGAAGUUUCGUCCUCGAAAUUUGAAAUCAUACCUUAAUUAGAUUCCGGGAAGAGGUAAUGAUACUUGUCACGCAUCUUGCUCUCGAGCUCCCAAGUAGCCUCUCAUUCGUCAUGAUUACUCUAUUGGACUUUGACAUACGGAAUCGAACGAUUCCGUAGCUCUUUUUCCUCACGAGCUAGUAGGCACACCGGGAACUCGUACGUCAUAUCCUCCCGAAGUUCGGGUGGCUCGUAUUGGAGCACAUGCGUGGAAUUGGAAACAUACUUGCGGAGUGUCUACGCAUAGAACACAUUGUGCACUCUCGCAAGUCGAGGUGGCAACGCUAACCGAUAAGCCACGGGGCCAACCCGAUCCAAAAUCUCAUACGGUCCAACAUAGCGAGGACUUAACUUUCCUCGCAUUUCGAACCGCUUAACGCCUCGCAUAGGGGAGGCCUUUAAGAAUACCUUGUCUCCAAUUGCAAACUCGAGGCUGCGACGACGCUUGUCGGCAUAACUCUUUUGCUGAGACUGUGCCGUCAACAUCCUCUGUCGAGCAAUGCGAACUUUGUCCUCGGCUUCGCGUAGCACAUCCGAACCCAACUCAAGUCGUUCUCCGACCUCACCCUAAUGUAUCGGGGACACUUUCGUCCAUACAAGGCCUCGAACAGAGCCAUUCCGAUGCUCACUUGAUAACUAUUAUUGUAGGCGAACUCCGCCAUAGGCAAAUAACUAUGCCAACCUCCCUUGAAGUCAAGAACACACGCUUGCAACAUAUCCUCAAGGAUUUGAAUUGUCCUCUCCGACUGACUAUCGCUUUGAGGAUGAAACGCGGUACUGAACUUGAGUCAUGUGCCAAGAGCACUUUGCAAGUUCUUCCAAAACUGGGAAGUAAAUCGAGGGUCCGGAUCUGACACAAUUAAUACCGGAACUCCAUGUAGUUGGACGACCUUAUCCAAAUAAACUUGCGCUAGUUUGUCACCUGACUAUGUGAUGUGAAUUGGCAUGAAAUGCGCAGAGUUUGUAAGGUGAUCCACCACUACCCAUAUUGCUUGCAUCGUGACUACCUUGGGAACGGGGUAACCCCAUGACCAAGUCCAUAGUCACGUCCUCCCAUUUCCACACGGGGACUCGUAAACUUUGCAACUUUCCCACUGGGAGUUGAUGUUCAGCCUUAACUUGUUGGCACACUAAACAUUGCGCUACAAAGCGACCAAUGUCUCUCUUCACCCCGGGCCACCAAUAAUGGAUCCUCAAAUCCUUAUACAUCUUGGUGCCACCCGGAUGUAUGCUAUAAGGGGAUUGAUGCGCUUCUUGCAUGAUCUCGCUCCGCAUUCCCUCAUCACUAGGAACACAUAAUCGGCCUCGAAACCGGAUUGUGCCAUCGGAGCCAAUGCUGAAAUCACUCGCACGUCCACCCUCAACGUCACGUCGCACCUUUUGGAGAUAAGGAUUUUGUAACUGUUGAGUCUUAAUUCUCUCCAACAAGGUCGGUUGCACUACUAGGCUUGCAAGAACAAUUGGGACGUCCGGAGCUACCACCUCCAAAUCAAAACGCCGUAAUUCUUCAAGCAAUGGCGGUUGGUUAGUAACCAACAUCGCAAGAUUUUUUGCCGACUUCCAACUUAGUGCAUCGGCAACCACAUUAGCUUUUUUCGAAUGGCAAAGAAUUGUGACAUUAUAGUCUUUCAACAGUUCUAACCAUCGGCAAUGCCUCAGAUUCAACUCUUUCUGUGUAAACAGAUACUUGAGGCUCUUGUGGUCGGUGUAGACUUCGCAACGCUCGCCAUACAAAUAAUGUCUACACAACUUGAGUGCGAAGACCACAGCAGCUAACUCUAGGUCAUGAGUGGGAUAAUUUUUCUCAUAGCUUUUCAAUUGCCGGGAAGCAUACGCAAUGACUCGCCCGCGUUGCAUUAAUACACACCCAAGACCCAGUCGUGAAGCAUCACUAUACACCACAAAACUCUCACCGGGAGUGGGUAAAGCAAGGACCGGAGUUGUAGUCAAUCUCUUCUUUAAUUCUUCAAAGCCCCGAGCACAAUCCUCGCUCCACGCAAACUUAACUCCUUUCUGAGUAAGGCUCGUGAGUGGAAGAGAGAUCUUAGCAAAUCCUUCCACAAACCGUCGAUAAUAGCCGGUAAGGCCCAAAAAGCUUCUGACCUCGGUCACAUUCGUCGGGUGAGGCCAAUUCCUUAUUGCCUCCACUUUUCCCGAAUCAACCGAAACUCCAUCAGCCGAGAUCACAUGCCCUAAGAAAGCAACUUUCCAAAGCCAAAAGUCACAUUUCUUUAACAUGGCAUAAAGCUUCUCCUGAAGUAGCUGUAGCACAACUCUCAAGUGCUCUAUAUACUCAUCGUCGCUCCGAGAGUAGACCAAGAUGUCGUCUAUAAAGAUUACGACAAAUCGGUCCAAAUACGACUUGAAAACACGGUUCAUUAAGUCCAUUAAAGCCGCCGGGGCAUUCGUAAGUCCAAAUGGCAUAACCGUGAAUUCAGUGCCCAUACCGUGUUCGAAACGCGGUCUUAUGCACAUCCUCCGGUUUGAUCUUCAAUUGAUGAUAGCCCGAUUGGAGAUCAAUCUUGGAAUACACCUGCGACCCUUGCAACUGAUCAAACAAGUCGUCGAUACGGGGCAACAGGUACUUGUUCUUAAUUGUGACCUUGUUCAACUCGCGAUAAUCUACGCAGAGUCGAAACGAUCCGUCUUUCUUCUUCACAAACAACACCGGGGUUCCCCACGGGGAUACACUUGGCUUAACAAAGCCCUUAUCGAGAAGGUCUUGCAACUGUGCCUUCAAUUCUCUCAAUUCCGCUGGUGCCAUAUGGUAUGGAGCUUUAGAAAUCGGUGCCGUUCCGGGAACUAAGUCUAUCACAAACUCGAUCUCCCGGUCCGGUGGAAAUCCCGGUAAUUCCGCGGGAAAUACAUCCGAAAAUUCACAUACUACCGAAAUGUCCCUAAGAGCUGGGAGCUCCUUCUGAGUCUCCACCACCGAUGCCAAAUAAGCUACACAUCCACUCUUGAUCAACCUUCUCGCUCUUGACGUCGACACCGUCAUAGCAAAGAGCGAACUCUUGCAUGCACGAUAAACCACUUCUUUCUGACCAGGCUCACGAAAAGUGAUCACCUUGCUUUUGCAAUCUAUGGUGGCAUAAUACUUCGAGAGCCAAUCAAUUCCAAGGACUAUGUCGAAGCCUUUCAUCCGGCUCAACACAAGCAAGUUCAUUGGCAAAAUCCAAUCGCCAAUUUGCACUGGAUAAGCUAUACACGCUCAUCCUUGAUACUAAAGGUGUGCUCAGGUGUAUCCACCCACUAAGAAUCUGCACACAACGAAAUCUCAAUGUCAUGAGCUUUAGCGAAAGACAUGCUAACAAACGAGUUUGGUGCGCCAAUGUCAAAUAAUGCUCUAGCUCUAGUACUAUUAACUAGGACAAUACUUGCCACGACAUUGUCGGCUAUGGCAGGCUCCUCCACUUGAGCAGCAAAAACUUGUCCACUUGGCGCCGCACGAGAUCCCUCGGCCUGACGCGGCACCAUGGCGCGUCGAGUAGACAUCGCGGGCGGAUGUCCCUCAAACUGUCCUGCUUGCCCACAUUGGAAACAUUUAUCACGCUGACCACAUUCGUGGGGUGGAUGAUUUCCCCCACAAAUGUAGCAGUGAGGAGGUCCACGAUCCUUCCACGGCUUCCGCGGAUACUUCGGAGGCUUCUUGAACUUCGAUGGCCCACCGGGGCCACUAGCCGUUCGCUUCUUCUUCGCACCCUUAUCACUUGGCUCGCACUCCGCGUGCAUCUUAACAAUUCCUUGCUCCACCCAAAGAGCUCUAUCAAACACCUUGGUAAAAGUCUUUAACUUUAAGGGUUGCAUCGCCGCAGACUUACCGCCGAAGUCCACGCUCGAUGCAUCCCGCCUUGUCCUCAUCAUUCCGAACCACAUGCGGAACGCAAUUCAUGAUAUGAGAGAACUCCCUCUCGUAUUCUCGAACAGUGCAAUUCCCUUGCUUAAGACCUCGAAAUUGCUCUUCCAUCUUUUUCUUAUCAUUGUCCGGGAAAUUAACGCCAUAAAGCAACCCUCGGAACUCCUUCCACAUCAUCGGGGGUAAUGUAGGGGAGUGAUUCCGAAGAGUCGCCUUCCACCACACAUGGGCGGACUUCUCAAGGCAAUGCACAUCUACCUUGCACCUUAUCUUGCUCAAGGGUGUAAAGAUCCUCGAACAAUUUCUCCAUAGUAUCCACUCACGACUCCAUUUCCCACGGGUCACCCGACUCCCCGUUUAUGAUGGGCGGAUUGAACUUCUUGAAGGCGGUGAGGCAAGCGAGAGCUCGAUCCUUCUCGGCCUCCAAUGUCAGAUCAAUAGGAGUCGAAGUACUUGACAUCGCUGGACAAGUGCCCGCCGCAACACCUGGCAGCGCGGGAUAUGUCGUCGGCGGUGCUGCCGUCGCACCCUCCCUCUCUGCUCCAGAAAGGGCGCGCACAGGUAAGGCGGGCGGCUGCUGGGUGACAGGUGUCGCCGCUACCUGUCGGGAUACCAACUCCCGAAGUAGCGCCACCUGUCUUUCUGUCGCUGGGAGACCUCAGCCAACUACUGAGAAGCUUCAGCUUGCCUCCGCACCACUCCAACAAAAGCGGCAACUUGAUCCCGCAAGUCCUGAAUCUCGACGGACAUCGACGACUCAGGCACCUCAGGAGGCGGUGCCGGAUCAGGAGUAGGUACCAUUGGAGGUGGCCUUCCACGUCUCAUAACGUCCUGAAAGAAAAUAACAACCCCUGGUUACACUCCACGAAUUCGCAACUAACAUAAGUUAGCAACACAAACAGGACAACCCAAUUAGGCGAAAAUAAGACAAGGGUGCUUAUUCUCAUCUCUCGGCAUCAUGUUGUCCGACGCCAACAUUACCUCCUCAAGUUUAAGAAUAAAUCACACUUGAAUCCGUCUCUAAGGCCCAUUAGAGACACAACACCACUUGACCUAAUUAUUUCACUUCCGCCAAUACCAUAAGUCAUCGUCUCUCACGUCCCUAAAUCCUUAAGGCCACAAGUCCUAAGGUUUCCUAGGUCCUCCUAGACCGUUCUCCGCUCUAAUACCACCUCAAUCUGUCACGACCCGAUGCCCGCCAAUUUGGACAGCUCGGGCCCCAAAACAGACCCGCCGAACGGACAGAGUUUCCCCUGCCCGCCCGAAGCGUAACAAAGUCUAUGCAUACAUAUCCAAGCAAUAGAUAUAAGCAUCAACAUUGAGAGAGGCAAUCACAGACACAAGAGAAUUUAAAUUAUCUAUUACAUUUCUUUUACAUAUGAAAUAUUGCAUUCUUUUUAACAUGUUACAACUCCUUUAUGCACAAAAGGGUAAUCUCACAUUUUCAUACAAAAUGAUCACCUCACAUAUAUAUACAUCACAUAUCCCAAAAUGGCUUUACAUUUCAUUCACGAAAGGGAUUUACAUUCUUUUAUUGCUAUAUACGAGGGUAGUGAGCUAAUGCCGGUGGUACACUCUAUCUAGGGCUCGAUGCCCUUGCCGCGAUCCUCGACGUAAGCGCUCGUGCUUGGCUCUACAAAACAGUGUGUGAGAACUAAACAGAGUUUUCAGUGGGUUCGGCCGCAGACCUCGCCGAUUUUUCCUCUAGGUCUAAAAAGGCAUAGAAACAAUAGAUAGGUUAAUAUGACAACGAAAUGAUAGAUAGAACAAUAAGCCUAACAUGCUCAUAUACUUCUAUAUCAUGCUUCAAAUGUGUAGCUAUGUCUUUACCAAAUAUAUUAACAAGUAUAAGUUUUACUAUGUCUUUAACAAUGUUAUCUAUCAAUGUUCUACUAUGUAUGCAUCUAUAUGAAAUGCCAUGCUCAUGCCUUGAUCCAAAUCCAAUCGGUUCGCCCAAAGGUCGAACCACAACUCGCCACACACACUGUCACGCCACCAUGACCGUCUGCCGGGGAUGCACUGUCGCGCCUUACCCCCCGUCACUAUCUCACUGUGAUACAACCCCGGAGCUUGCCGGGGAUGCACCGUCGCGCCUUACCCCCCGUCACUAUCUCACUGUGAUACAACCCCGGAGCUCACAACAUGGCAUGGGAGGCGCGACCUCCACAACUACAAUAGACGACGCGAGUAUGAUCAUAGUCCUCCCGCUCGAGGACUGCGGGAAUCCCACAUCCUUAUCCAUCACAAUGCAUGUAAUGCUCACCAUAGGCCACAUAUACAAUAUGUGUCACGCCCCGCCCCGAGACCGCUACCAAUUUGGCACGGUUCGGGCGCAUUGGACGGACGCCGAACGGGCAGCAACUCCCCUGCCCGCCCAAGGCUCACAACCUGAUCAUGUACAAGAAUUUACCCAGGAACAUUAAAUUCAUACAUACACGAUCAACGGGGCACAAAUAGUGCCAACAACGAAGAGCAAGUAAUCCACAAGAUACACGAGUGAAAUAAAGAGAGAACUAUUAACUAUUACAUCACAUUUGCAUUCUUUAUACAAUUACAUUUUUCAUGAAACGAAAACAUGUCUUCUAAUUUCAUCAAAUACAUAGCUCUCCGAAUCCUCACCUAUAUAAAUCUCUCUCAAAUACAUAGGUGUGCUAAUGCAAAAGGAAAGCUACUACAUACUACUGCUCGGGCGCGAUGCCCUUGCCGCGGUCCUCGCCCGGCGAACUGGUACUAGGCUCUGAAAUAAAGUGGGGUGAGAACUAUCUUCCAUAGUUCCCAGUGGGUUCGGCCACCGACUCCGCCGAUCUCCCCACUAGGUCCGAGUGGGCAAAAGCAGAUAGAUAGAUAGAUAUUAAAGCUGUAAAUGCAAUAGUAGGAAAGCUAUGCUACUAUGCCCAAUCAUAUGUCAUAUAUGCAUGCAUGAAUCAUAUAGUGAAAUGUCAACUACUAUGCUACCAUGUCCAACCAUAAUGUCCAAUAAGCAAUGUUCAAUUAACGAUGCUAUACUCUUGUUCAAUCAAUCCUUGGCCAUCCACUUGGGUUCGCCCAUGACUCGCCUCAAACCUCGUAUGAUAAGGAGACGCACCUCGCUCUCAAACCCGGGGCCGUCUGCAGGACAUCAACUCGUCCCUCUCGUACCAAACUCCGGAGUGCACGAAGACUCGGGUGGAGCGACCACCACAAGUAAAAAUAGACUGUGAGUAUGAUCAAUCCUCUCAACUCGAGGAUACCCUAUCAACUCUAGGUUUACAAGUCACUCGGGAAUCCACCUAUCCCAAUGUCCAAAUACUAUGUUUGGCCUCAUCAUGUGUUUAUGCAACAAGUCAUUUUCUAGAGAAUCCAUCUAUCCCUAAGUUCACAUGUCUCUAGUGUUAUUUACACUAAGCCAUAUACUAUUUUUCAUGUCUUUACAUUCAUCGAGUUCAUCUCUUUUCCUUGGCACUAUAGGAUUCAAAUGUCAAGACCCAAUCCUCAUCUAGCCAUAAUCAUGCACUUCUACUCAUACAUCGAUAUCAAUAGUAAGCAUAAGAAAUGGAAACUACAAUGCAAUCCUACAAUGCAACAAUGCAAGAGAUGCAAUCAUAAAUGCUAUGACAUAGAAAGGAGUCCGGUUGCUUAGGGAUGACACCAUCUACCUUUUGAGGGUACGAAGGUUCUAGAAAUGCUUCUCGCCGAACGUUACGACGAGGUCUCAACCUCCUUGGUCCAAAACGGUGCUCAAUCGGCUAUAUUUCACCGAUAGCUCUUCACCCGCUCGACGAAUCGAAAAUCCAACUUCGCCCCCGCGUUUAGACACCUAUCAAUUAGGUUUACAAGCCACUAAAUGAGAUCAAUCUCAUCAUUUAUCAAAAACCUCCAUUUGGGUGCCCUAAGGUUCACAUCUUGCAAUUUGCACCAUGAAACCCUAGCCUCUAGCUCUAAUCCACCAUUAAUGGUGCUAGAGGUCUAUUUGACCUCAUUUCCAAAGCUCAAAACCCAAAACCCUAGGUUCUACCAUUGUUAGGGCUCAAGAGCUUACCUCUAGGUUAGCUCCAAUGAAGAGGAAGAGGGAGAGGAAGAUGCUCCAAGCCUUCUCUAGCUUGCUCUUCUCCUUCUUCUUCUUCUCAUUCCUUUCUUCUUCUUCUUCUCCUUCUUCUUCUCCUUCUAGAGAGAGAGGGAGAGAGAAAUGAGAGAGUGUGAGAGUGAGGGGUGACAGAGAGGAAAGGGGUCAGUCCCUCUAUACCCCUCUAACUAAUGGCAUUUUUGCAAAAAACUCCACUUUAUUUCUCUCAACCCAGGCUGCCUGGGCAAAUUUCGCACGGAGGGACCGGUCCCUGGUCGGGAGGACUGGUCCCCGAGACAAUUCCUCCAAUUCUCACGUACGGGAACCGGUCCCUGCCCGAGAGACCGGUCCCUGGGAGACCGGUCCUUGCCUGAGAGACCGGUUCCCGAAAGUGGGAUUUUCAGGACUUAGCCAAAUUUUCCUCUGCUCGUUGAUUUCACCUACGGGGACCGGUCCUUCAGCCCUGGGGACCGGUUGCAUCAAGCAUUUCCGCAACCACCAGCUACGGGGACCGGUCCUUCCCUGCCAGGGACCGGUCCCCGAGAGCAGAAUCUGCCAAGUGCCAGAUUUUGCACUAUUUGCUCUCGUAGACUCGACUCCAAAGCACUUUUUGUGUUUUGGACAUCUUUAGCUUCUCCAAAGCAUACCCACUCGACAAUUAGUCGAUUCUGGACGAAGUACAACUCGGGUUUCGAGAAUUCACUUCCUUACAAUAUGCUCCAGUCCUCUCGCCAGAGGACCGCGGGAAUCCCAUAUCCCUAAUUCUCAUAAUGCCAUAAGUUCAUAAUUAUCAUGAGUGAGGAUAUGUUACAUAUGCAAUAAUUUCCAAUUAUCAUUAUAGGUCCACAUACAUAUGCCUUCUAGCAUCUCAUGCACAUAUCUAGCAUAUUCUCACAACAUGUCCACAUGCACAUAUCCAAAUGCCAUAAGUCCACAUCUAGUUCACAUGAAUCUAGCUAUUCUCACAAUAUGUCAACAUGCAUAUAUCCUCUAGCAUUUUAUGCAUUCACAUAUAUACAUCUAUCUCAACAUCAUGCAAUAAUGCACUUACAAGUAUCAUGCAACAUGGAUCAUCAUCCCUCUCACUAAGCAUGAAUUUACCAAGACUCAUAGGUUUCCCACAUAACUCAAUGCAUGAUGAUAUAUGAUCAAUAUAAGUAGAACUUAGACAUAGAAUGAAAUCCGGCUAUUUCGGAUAGUACCCCCCACCUUUUGGCGUCGUCACGAAGUGGGUAGCCAAGCAGCGCGAUUUAUAAUCGUCGAUUUCACUCGACUGCGGCAAACGAAACUAAAACGGCAACUUCUUGCAAUUGACCACCACCGGCUCAACGGAAUCUCAAUCCAAGUGAUCCUCCGCGUCGGUUUCACCUUCAAUUGCGGAAACAUAGGAUCAAUUGAGAUCAAAACCUAUCAUGAUCAAAAACCUUCUUCUGAAACCCUAAAAUCCCUUAUAUUGCAAUAAAUCCAAAUCUCAUGAUAAUUUAUGCAAUAACAUGGAUUAAACUCAUCUAGGGUUCCAUUUAUAGUCAUUUUUAAGGGAUUUAUACACAACCCUAACCAUAAACCCUCAAAUCUCUUGGCUAGUGUUUGGUUGGGGGUUAAGGGGUGGAAUAACCCCUUAACCCCCAACUUAUUUCCAAACACAUCAAAUAAGGGGUGGGGUUAGCAAACCCCAUCCCAAAUAGGCUAUCCCGGAAUAGCCCAUUUUGGGGGGUGGGGUUAGCUAACCCCACCCUAUCCCUAUCACGCCCCAAGACCGCUACCAAUUUGGUCCCGUCCGUGUGCGUCGAACAGACGCCGAACGGACAGGACCUCCCCUGUCCGGCCAAGGCCAAGCAAACUGAUCAUGUAUAAGAAUUUAUCCAGGAGUCCAUUCAUAAAUACACGAUCACAAGGAGCACCACCAGUGCUGACCAAUAAGAGCAAGAUACAAGUAUGAAGCAUACUAGUAAAUCAAGAGAGAAAGUUCUAUCUAUUACAUUCAUUCAACCUCUUUGAUACAUCGAUUACUUCAAGCAUAAACAUAAAUAAAACAUGCUUUUACAUCCUUCAAAAAGCCUCACACCUAUACAUCAUCUACUCUCAAAUACAAAGGGUGACAGCUAAUGCAAAAGGAAGUAAAGCUAGCUAUGUACAUAUACCAAUAGGGUGCUAUGCCCUUGCCACGAUCCUCGCACUCGCCGGGGACACUCGAACUGAGACCUGAAAAGAGUGGGGUGAGAACUAUCUUCCAUAGUUCCCAGUGGGUUCGACUGCCGACUCCGCCGGUCUCCCAACUAGGUCCAAGUGGGCACAAGUAGAUAAACAGAUAGAUAGAUAUGGAAAGCUGUAAUGACAGAAUAGUAAAGCUACACUACUGUGCUCGAAUCAUGAAUAUGGAGAAUGCAUGCACAAUGAAGUAGAUAAUCAACUAGCUCGUCAUAUGUCCAAGAAGUAAGGCUAUUUACUUGUUCAUUAACCCCGUGGCUCACUCAAGGAUUCGCCUACUACUCACAUAGCCAUCUCGACGCGUAGGGAGACUAGACUCAAACUACGAAUCCGAGACCGUCUGCGGGACCCCACAUAGGCCAUCCCUCGAGACCCCAAAUAGGCCAUCCCCAUCCCACGGGACCCCAAAUAGGCCAUCCCUCGUGACCGACUCCGGAGCGCACUACUUGUGUGGAGCGACCAUCACAAGUCGAGAACAGACAAUGAGUAUGAUCCAAUUCUCCCACAUCAAGGGUACCCUGUCCUCUAGGGUUACUAUCACCAUAGUCAAUGGGUUUCAUAUACGCUACGACUCACAUAUGCCACUCGUUCUUUGUUUAAUUAACAACUAGAUGCCACUCGUUCUUUUGUUUCAACCAUUGCGUCAUUCUUUUACCGCUGCACUAUAGGAUUACAAGUCUCGACCCAAUCCUCAUCAAUCCCCUAUAUCCAGCAACUAAUACAUAAUAUGAUAUCAGCUAGGAAAACAUAAGGAAAGGCAAUGCACAAUUAUCCUACAAUGCAUGUGAACACAAGAUGCAAGGUCUCAAAAUACUAAGACAUAAGAGGGAGCCCGAUUGCUUCGGGAUGGUCACCACCCACCUUUGGUGAUGCCGCAAUGGUAGAAACUCGACUUCGUAGUCCUUGGUCGACGCUUUGGCUCCUCGGGCUGAUUCGAACCCUUAAGCGCUUGAUUCGGCGAUAUCUUCACACCCGCUCGUCGUAUCAACGAACCGUCUUCACCGACGCGUUCCGAGACCUAGCAAUUAGGUUUACAACCCGUCGAAAUAGAUCAAGACCUCACAUAUCCAAAAAUCCCAAAAUGUGCCCUAAAAUGGCAACGAGGGAGAAAUCCGUGGUGCGAGCUUCAAAUGCGAGCUCGAACCAUCACCCUAGCCUCCAUAGGUUCCAUUCGAACCACCUCUAAGCAAUAAAACCCAAUCUCAAGAAAUCCACCAUGGAUGGGUUUGAAGCUUACCUCUAUACCAAGCUCCAAGCUUGUUCUAGCUUGAAGGAGAGAGGGAAGAAGAUGAUCCUCUUCUUCUUCUUGGUCUUCUCCUUCCUCUUUCUCUUCUUUUCCUUCUUUCCCUUCUCUUCUUCUUUUCCUUUCGUUCUAGAGAGAGAGAGGGAAAGAGUGUGAGAGGGAUAGAGAGCAAAUGAGAGGGAGAGAGAGGUCCCCCACCUCUCAUAUAGGCCAUUUUAUAGAUAGCCCCCUCAACUUUCCAUCCUCUGCAGCAGCCCUCACUGGGCAUUUUCGCAGUGAGGGACCGGUCCCAGAUCGGGGAGACCGGUCCCCGAGAGCCUUCCAUCUCGGGCAGAGGGGAUUUCGCGUUCGGGAACCGGUCCCUGCCUGAGAGACCGGUCCCCGGGAGACCGGUCCUUGUCCUGAGAGACCGGUUCCCGAGAGUUAGAUUUUCGGGACUUAGCCAAAUUUCGGCCAUUUCUCGCUGGGCUAACGUUCGGGGACCGGUCCUCCCCUGCCAGGGACCGGUUGCAUCAAGGAUCCCCGCAAGCCCAGCCUGAUGGGACCGGUCCCUCCCUGCAAGGGACCGGUCCCAGAGAGCAAAUCUGCUCCAGUGCAGAUUUUGCAAUGCUGCUCUCGCAGACCCUUCCUUAAUGCACUUCAUGCAUUUUAAUCACCUCCGGACUUUCCGAAGCCUACACACUCGACAAUUAGUCGAUUCUAAACGAAGUCAAAUCCUCGGAUUUCGAGAAUUCACUUCCUAACAAUCCCACUACUCCAACCAAACAAAACACUAUUUUACCCACUAUCCUUCUUAUCCCACCUACUUCAACCAAACACUAUUUUCCUUAAUCCUGGACUAACUCUAAUUCUCAACCAAACACAAAAAAUACUCUAACCCCACCUUAACCCUGAACUUAACCCUAUCCUUGGAAUAACUAGUUUUUUUUUAACCCCGAACCAAAAGCUUACCUCUAAACCAAGCUCCUUCUCAAGCCAAUGGUGAAGAAGAAGGAAGCUUCACCUCCAAGCAAGCUUCUCUCCACAAAACUCCACUUCUUGAAGCAACCCUAGGAGAGAAAGAGAGGUUUAGAGAGAGAGAGAGGUUUCUCUUUGUUGGUUCAAGUGGAGAGGAAUGAGGGAAAUGACAUAACACCCUCAUAUAUACACUUCCACUUGCAACAUUUACACUUUAGCCCCUCACAUAAUAGGGUUAAGCUGAACCCACGCUUUCACGCGUACGGGGUCCGGACCCCGAGAGCAUUUUUAACACGAAAAUUUUUGGAAAUCUCACAUCGUGCUCUCCAAGGUCCCUCCCUUGUACCCCUAUAAGCCCUUCCGAUCACUCGGAACACUCAACGGACCUCUCUAAAGUGUCCAAUACCACACUUUGGUCAAUUUCGACUGAAGUUCGGUUUUGCGCACCGAGGACUCGGUACACGACAAUAACUUUUGUAUAUAAAGUAUUCAUUUUAUGCAUUUUUCCAUAUAGUGGGAUAGUACAUUUUUAAAUAUGUUUCAUUGAUUGACUUGUCAUUUUUCAAUUCUUCUAAUGUCUUUGGAUAAUACACAUUUCCUCUCAUGACUCUAGUUACUUGAAAUGGUCCUUCCCGAUUUGGAGACCACUUUCCAUGCAUUCGGCUCUUUUUUUCAAUUGGCAAUAUUAGUCUUAGUAGUAAGUCCCCAACCCAAAGUCUUAGAUUUCACUCUUUUGUUGUAUGCUCUCACGACUUGGUUUUGAUCAGCACUUAGAUGAUCAAGUGUCUCUAACAGAGUUUCAUUUACUUAAUCAAGCCCAUCAUAUAUUAAGAGUUUGUAUUUUUCGGGUGAUAGCUUUUCUUAAUUUUCCACUCUUAAGGAUGUGAUAAUGAUUUCGGCCGGUAAUACCGCCCUUAUGCCCAUAAACCAACCAAAAGGAGUCGUUCAAGUCGCAGUCUUAAUAGACGUACGACAUACCCAUAAUACCUCCGACAGCUUGUCAUCCCAUUUUCUCUGAUGUUUCUCAAUGUGCUGCUUUAUCAUGUAUUAAUAAUAAUCUUGUUUAUCGCCUCGGCCUGUCCAUUGGCCUGAGCAUAGUAGGUGUAAUAGUUUUCGGAAUUAUGAAGCGAUGUAUAAGGGAAUCCUCAACAAAGUUAAUUAUAUCUUUUUUAGUGUCCUAUCUUGUUGGUUUGGCUUCCACCAUUUACUAAAAUAGUCAACGACCAAACCCUCUAUUUAAUAUUUAUGACCUGCCGAUGAAUUCAGUUGAAUCUCUUCAAUUAAAUCUAUGGCCCAAAUCCUAAAAGGCCAAGUUUGAGUAUUGUAGGCAUUUUGGACGUUGGAGCCCUCUGAACCAGCCCAUGGAGUUGACAUUCUUGACAACCCUUCAUAUAUUUUAUAUAAUCCUCAUGCAUGGUCAGCCAAUAAUAUCCUAGGUGCUGAACUGUCCACCUCAACUUUCUUUGGCCAAGUGUGCUCCACACAACCCCUCAUGAAUCUCUCACAUAACUAACAGAGAUUCUUCAGGUCCUAGACACUUUAGAAGUACUUCUUCAGUAGUCUUUUUAUAUAAUUGUUUCAUCUAAUGGACAGUAAUCAACUGCCUUCUUUUGAAUCUGAUAGUUAACUCGGCUGUUUGGAUUAUUUAAAUAAUCAAUUAAAGUUUUCCUCCAAUCGCUUUCUGCUAUUACUGGCGCAACCAUCAUUGGUUCCGCAAGUGAACUGAUGGUAGUAAUUUUCUCUGAAUUUCAACUUGGCUUUUUCUCAUCGGAUCCUUGUACCCCGAAGCCACUUGAGCCAACUCAUUAGACAUCUUCUCUCCACAGGUGCGCUAGUUACACAUCUUUAAACCUACUAAGCAAAUAUAUCGUUUAUGUAGAUAACUCCGAAGAUUAGGACUUUCACAUCGGUAUUCUCCUGUCACUUGUUUUAUCACCACUUGUGAAUCACUGAUUGCCUUUAUGUAGUUUGUGCUCCUAAUUCAUUCAAGAUUUCAAGGCCGAUUAUCAAAGCCUCAAACUCGGCCUAAUUGUUUGAACACUCGAAAUCCAAUUCAAAAGAGAAUUGUAAACUCCUAGCUUCAGGCAAUUUUACCACAAUCCUAGCUCCCGUCGAAUUGGAUGUUCUAGACCCAUCAAAAUAUAAUGUCCACCACGGUUGAAGACUGACAAAACUCAAAGUCGGUUCCUCGACCUCGACCUCGACGCAUGGGUAAUCGGCUAGAAAGUUGAGUAUAGCCUGACCCUUAACAGCUCUAGCUGGAACAUAGUUGAGAGAGAGCAUGGAUAACGCCAAAACCCAUUGCCCUAUUCUUCUGCUUAAAAUUGGUUUUGACAACAUAUGUUUGAUAAGAUCGGUCUUGCAAACAACUAAUACUUCAACCAUUAACAUGUAAUAUCUUAACUUGACAGCUCUUGCUGGAACAUAGUUGAGAGAGAGCAUGGACAAUGCCAAAACCCUUUGCCCUAUUCUUCCGCUUAAAAUUGGUUUUGACAACAUAUGUUUUGAUAAGAUCGGUCUUGCAAACAACUAAUACUUCAACCAUUAACAUGUAAUAUCUUAACUUAGUGCAGGCGUAGAACAAUGCUAAACAAUUUUUCUAUUGCCGAGUAACGUUUCUAGGUGUCAAGUAAACGCCAAUUUAAAUAAUAAAUUGUUUGCUUUUCUUUAUGCUCAUUCUUCUGAGUCAGCAAACACCCCAAAUUCUAUUUUGCGGGCGAAACGUAUAAUUUUAAUGGCUGACUGCGUCGACGUGGGAUAAAAACUGGAGGCUUUACCAAAUGUUCCUUGAUGUUUGAGGAUUCAUUUUAAGAUUAUACUUCCUCAUCCAUUUGAAGGCUAAUUCUAAAUUAGUCCAAUGAUCGACUUUAGACUUAGAUUUGACUACGAUAUCGUCUAUGUAUACUUCUAAGAUUCUACCGAUCAAAUCAUGAAAAAUAAAAUUCAUUGCCCUCUGGUAGGUGGCCCUGACAUUCUUUAAGCUGAAGGGCAUCACUACCCAUUUGAAGGUUCCAAUCGAACUUGGGCAUCUAAAAGCUGUUUUGAUAUAUCUUCUUCGGCUAUGAAAAUCUAGUUAUAAUCAGUAUGCCCAUUUGGGAAAGAUAGGAUUUCAUGACGGACUGCGGCAUCUAUUAACAUAUUGGCUGUCGGUAUAAGAUAUUUAUCCUUCGACAUAGCUGUAUCUAAGUUUCUAAAAUCAAUGCAAAUUCCUAGUUAUUCAUUUUUCUUAUGUACAGGAACUACAUUAGUAAUCCAAUCAACAUAACGAGCCACUCUAACAAAUCCGGUUCUUAAAUGAUUUUUAAUUUUUAUUCUUAAUUUGCAUUACAAUAUCUGGCUUAAACAUAUGAGUCGGUUCUUUAUAAGGCCUAAUUCCUUUUGCCCAUAAGAAUUUCGUGGGUUAGAAACUUUUAAACCUUUCCAAUACACAAAAAUCCUAAUUUUAUCUGGGAUUCCCAAAAACUAUGGCAAAAUCCAAAUCCAAUAGCCAAUCUUUAUAAUUUGUGGUCUAGAUUAGCUUAGGACUUGAUAAAAAUUCAUUUGUAAGGGUUAAAUCCAAAACCCUAACUCAAAACCCUAAAAAUUCACCAAUGCCCUGGCUUCCUCUAACUUUUUCUUGCUCCAAGAAGCUUACCACCUCCAAAGCUCUCUCAAGCUUGAUUUCCACAAAUCUCCUCGUGUUGGAGAUGAUCUAGAGUGAGAGAGGAGCAAAGAGUGAGAGGGAGAGAACGGUGUGUUUUCCUCUUGUGCACAAGUGAGGGGAAAUGGCUGAGGUUUCCCCAAUAUAAAGGGGUUGCAACAAUUGCAAGAAACUCUCCUACAUUUUUCUAUUUGCGACCGGUCAAAAUUGGACUUUCACAGCAUUGAGUACCGGUACUCGAACUUUAGUACCGGUAUAUGGGUUUUUAGUUCCGGUAUCACAAGCCUAGUUCUGCAAAACCUGAACGAUAGUUUUUUGAGUUUUCUACUGCGUACCAGUAUUCACCCAAAUCAGUACCGGUACUCAAAUGAAUCAAUGCCGGUACUCGAGAAGAGUUCCGCAAAACCCGAAUGUUAGUUUUCUGUCCUUUCAACAGAGUUCCAGUACUCAAUUUUAGUGCUGAUAUUCAAUAUAAAAUUUGUUGUUUCCAGCAGAUUAACUUCCCGAAGUCUGUUUUUGCACUGAGUUCGCAUCGAAAACACUCGACUUGUCCCCAAAUCUCGCUGAAACUAUUCAAAUAGCCUUCUAAGCUACUUUCCACUAAAACUCCAUAAUUUGCAGAAUUCAAUGCACUACAAAUUAGAUUUAAUAUACAAGCAUUGCAUGUUGUUAGAUUUUUUGGCUUGCUUGUAUGAAAGUUAAAGUCCCUUACAUUACUAAUUGCUUGUGAAAAGUCUUAUUUUGUGAAUAUACUCUUUCUUUUCAUCAACAAAUUGUGGGACCCUCAUCUUUUUGUUGCUUUGUUCUUGUGGUAUCGAAUAGAUAAUAACUUUGAUACUCCUGCACAUACACUUAUAUUUGGGUUUGCUUGGUCUAGUUGUUGUUCUUACACUGCUAAAAUUGUAUACUUAUAGAAAUAUCAUUAGUAUCAUGUAUCUCGAACAACUCCAGCUAUUUGGUCGUAAUUUUUGGAAACUCCGGUGGACUUCCCAUUUGUCAUUGCUGCAGUUUUUAACAUUAAUUAUGAUGACUGAAUUUGGGCCUUCACAAGCUUUUAUUACUGAUUAUCUUACGAAAAUCACUGAUCUAAGCAAGUUUUUCUAUUUAUUUUGAAUUAUAGGAUGGCUCGUAAUAUUGUCUAUAUUUUGUUAAUCUUUUUAAGUUGCUUGGUUGAUUUUACUUAUUUUUUUCAGCGUAUGAAGAUGGAUAAACUUUUCUAAAUGAGAAUCUGGCUUGAUUAGUAAACCAUCGUUUUCUAAUAUGAACAACAUGACAUUGAAAUGAGCUUAAGUGCUUUUAUAAAUUGUUUGUUCUUAAUGUCUUUUUUCAAUGUUCAUUUCCUUUCAAUCCGAAGCAAAUGUGAUAGGUAGGGAAGGAGUUACUUUUUGAGACAAUAUUUUGGUAAAAUGAGUGUAGCAAGAUUGAAGAUCAUCAUUUGCACUUUGAUAACAUUUAUAUCUAGGUUUGAAUUAAGUGGACAGCUAAGUUUCAUCAUUUAUAGAUGCCAUCUUUAUACUACUUCGCACUGUAUUGAUUACUUUAUACAUAAGUCAACCUUGUUAUUAGUUUUUUUUUUUAUUCAAAAUCAUAUGCAUUUUCUAUAAGAAACAUAAAUAUAUUAAGUAGUUUUUUGUGAAACUUGCUAUGGGUUUAUAUCGCCCUCUAUGGCAUCGCUGUCCACUUUCUGCUAUGAGACACCUCAAAUGCUAUGUACUCGCUAUCCGCUAUUUAUAACCGUACUCAUUUGUAUUCUGAAUGACUGCCAUUGCUUAUUUAGGUUUCUUUUAUCCAUAUAUUGUUUUCUUUGGGCAAAUUGCACCACUAUGAAGUUUCAGUCAAUUUUGAUUUUGGUCCUCGAAUUUGUAAGUUUGACAUUAGAGACCUUAAACUGUUAAAUAACUUUCACUUUAGUGUUUGUACAUAUUUACUAUUGCGGGGCAAAUCAUUGCCACGCUUAGUGAAUUUGUGCACCAGUGCCUACACACUGCAUUUUUACACUACGUUAUAUGUAUUUAUUUACUUCCUAUUCCAUCUUGUAAUUGACCCUCUCAUGUAGUAAGUUACACUCUUUUCUCUAGUUAGAAAUUGGGCCAUUGGGUUAAAAAUGUGACAUGGUUGAAAGACUAGUGUACUUGUCAUGUACUGAUUUAUAAAUGAACAAGGUACUCAAAUUUCAGGGAGUAGUACUGCAAUUUGCCCUAUAUUAUCUAAAACGCCAUUUGGGCAUUGUGCAUUACCUGUGUUUAAAUCACCUUAAAUGAAAACGUGGUAUUGAAAAGAGUAGUGAAAUCCUUGCACUUAAGAAUCCGAAGAGAAUGGUCGCUAACCACAGAAAACAGAAACUUCAAUUACACAGAAAAUGUACUAAAUUGUAUUUCUAACUAUUGGAAAUCGAAGGUGCCCGAGGAGUAUAUACUGUGAACUCUGGGGAAAGAGUUGAAGAACGUUUAGAACAAUCCACUAAGACAAACAUCCCUCGCUGGAGGAAGGAUUUUUUUUUUUAAUUUUUAUUUUUUAUUAUUACUCUUAUAGUCAUCUCAAAAGCUCUUGUGGUCUUACCAUCUUGUUUUACUCUUUCUAUGUCUGGACAAAGUUUGUCCUACUUUUUGGCUGCUUCCAUAAUGUUUUUGUUUUUUCUGUAAAAUUGCUGCAUUUGAUAUCCUGGGAAAUUGUGUAUGAAACUUGAAUGACAGCUAUAAUGGGGCAUUUGUUUUGGCAUAACUAAAUAGCAGAGGUGGUAAUUUAAUGUUAGUCCUCUGUUUCAGUUGAAAUUUAGUGUUGAGUCCUCUGUUUCGGCUGUUUUGUUUAACAGCAGUGCGUCAAGUUGGCAUAAUCCGGUGCUGUUAGCCCCUCAAGGUAGUGUAACUUACUUUGUCUGUUCAUAGAUCUGAAUUCAUUUACACCAAAUUUAGGUAUGAAUAACUAACAUAAUAUUGAACAGAUUAAAUAAAGCGAGUCUAUGAUUUUCUUUUUAUUUUAUUUUUUUAUUUUUUCAGUAUGUGAACUUUCUUUCAAAUAAGCUAAGCUGAAAGAGAUACUGCUUUUUUACUUCCUCUAAGAUAACCUCUUCUGGUGAUUGGUGACUUCACCCACUUACAUUGUGUUGGUUCCUCACUCUACUACUCUUCUCAGCGUAGUGUUGUGAACGUGGUGCUUCACCAUUUGUAUUAGGAUGAUGUAUUUACAGGUUCUGCUGCCUAGUUCUUCUCACCUUAUCUCAUCAUCCACUGGUGGAGAGAUUAGGAACAUCUUUCACCUUUUAUUCCGCACCUCAGCCCCCACAUAAUAAUGUGUGUAAAAUGAUAUUAUCUGCCGGUGGUGCUUGAGGUUAAGAAAGGUGGAAUAUCUCAUUUGAGAAGUGUCAUUUGUGAAAAACUUUUGAAAUCUCUUUCCUUUAAUAUUAUCCUCACAUUUUUAGCUAUUUUAAAUACAAAAAGUGUGAGGUGGUACUGACAUGUCAAUUUUGUACAAAGAUUCUUAAAUUCUCAAAAAUGUUAAAUUGCUAGCCAAUGCAUAGAAGUACAUUAAAUAUAUAUUAGGAGUAUGUCUCAUGUGGAAUGUGCAUAUAUCAGUUGUAAAUACAGUGUUGCUGUAUAACUGGACUAAGGAAAUGUGAUCAGUGCUAUGAUAAUUUAAUUUCUUAUCUAGCUAGUGAUAGAACGUAAUGAGCGCUUGUGAACUGUGAAUUAAGAGUAUUGUCUUGUGAACUUUGAAUUAAGAGUAUUGUCCACUUUACCUCUGUUUGAAGAGCUACCUUAUGAAAUAGACAAAACUUGUGGGUUUUUUAGUAUUUAAAAAAAUAGGGGUAUGAUAAGACUCGCAUGGAAAUAUUGACCUUGGAUGGGUAGUAAGGUGGACGAUUACGCCCACUUUUAGAUGUAUAGGUGGCACUGCUAUGUGAAAUAAUAAAGAGCAUAAUCAUGCAAAUCUUUCAUAUUAAUUUUACUAUUUAGCUAAUCAUGGUAAAUCUUUUGUAUCUUACGGUUCAAUGUUUUCUACAGGUUUCUGCUUCACUUAAUCUGGCAGAACAAAAGAAAAAUCCAAAAUUAAUAGCUGAGAGUACCUGGAAUUUUGAAAUAUGAGACAGGUGAACAGGUGAGCAAAUACCGCUUGCAAUAUGAGAUGUUGCUUUAAACAUCAAUUGUUGUUUUAAUUUGCUAUAUUGCAUUCUUGGCCAUGAGAGGCUGUUCCGAACAAACUAAGUCUAUUGUCCAAAAUGUUCAUCUUGUAACAGAAUUGCCGCGUAUAAUUUAAUGAGGUUAUAACAAGGCAACUGGCAUUUGAUCAUUUAGUUUUCAAUAUUUGAAUACUCAAAACACUUUCGUUUUGCGUCUCCUUUCAAUUACUUUCUUGCUCAGUAUGGAUUUCCAGGAUAAUUGCCUCCUGAGCGAGACCUCUGUACUGGCAGGGAAAUUGCCCCCUUCUUUUUAUCUUUUCAGUUUUAGGUAAAGUGAGCUUUCACGAGAAGAUUAUGAUUUUCUUAUUUUUAUAUGAAUAGAAAAUUGGAUGUGUAAGUUGACAAAACUGAAAUAUGAUUAUGAUUUUCUUCUUCUAGCUUUUGCUUUUGGCAUGCGGAGUACUUUGUUCUUAACGAUUCAUUUUGUGGCAUUUUGAUGCACUCAAUGAUAAUUUUCGAAAAUUAUCAUAUUUAAUUUUUAGAUGUUUCAAAUAUUACGGAUUGUGUUUAACAUUAUAUUUCAUGGUGUCGAUCUCGAUCCAAAAUUUUUCAUUGUCAAAAAAUAUGUUUUAGAAUGGAGGGCUUCGUCCUAUUUGUGGCUAUAUAAUGUGCGUUGUAGAUUGUUUGUCUGAUAGAUGAACAAUGUCACGCUCCAGGCUAUAGCGGAAGCUUCGGGUGCUAGGGAUGUCAAUAGAUUGGAUUCGGGGUGGAUUUUCAAAAUUCGAACCCAAACAUGACUGCCAAAGCCGAUCUCAAAUCCAAAUCCGAUAGAUUUUAAAAAUUCUUUUCCGAACCUGAACCAACCAAAAUUUCGAAACUUGAUCCUGAAAUAAUUAUUUCUCUUUACCAUAUUGUACAAUAUAUUAUAUUAAAUUUAAAUUUUUAAAAUACAAAUUCAAAUAAAACAUCGCACAUUUAUAUAUAGAAUAGAGCUCCUAUGUUUUUAAAAGUAUCAACUUGUAAGUUUUAGGCUCAGAUUAAGGGAUGUGCGGUUAUGAUGAUAGUGGUUUCUUAGGGUUGAGUGGGUGGUUGAACAGUAUGAUCUAAUAAGUGUAUGAUCUAAUAAGUGAAAAUGAUCAAAUGGUAGAUAUAACGGUGAAAAACUUAAAAGCGUCAAGUGCUUGGUGCUUUUAAAAGCACCAUAGCCGAACUCUUUAUAUAUAUUAUAUGAUGUAAAAUCUAUAUUAUAUGAUGUAAAAUCAAUACGUGUUUGGAUUUUGGUUGGGUUCGGGUUGGGUACAAAUAAAUCCAUACUCGAAGCCAAAUCCGUCGGUAUUUUCAUUUUUUAUAUUUAUAUAUGAAACUAUAUCCGUUUGGUAUUGGGUAAAUUCGCUCUGUUGGAGUUCAGAUUCGGAAAAAUUUUUUUGGGUGUCCGUAUACAUUGACAUCCCUGCUGGGUGCACCAACGGACCCGUCUUAGGCACGAAGUGUCUAAACAAAUCCAUAACAAAACAACAUGAAACAAGAGUGUUGAACUAAAACAAGUAUCAGAAUCUACGAAUAAUAAUAUAACAGGUUUAGUAAACAUGUACAUACAACAUUCUCACAACUCCAAAAUAAAAUAUUCAUACAACUUCUAACAACUCCAAAAUAAAAUAUUCAUAUACAACUUCUAUUAGUCUCGCCGGUUCAUACUUCAUACAUGUACAAGCUGCUGUACAAAAAUAAACAUAUACUGGUGGUGGUCCUCCUCUAGCCCGAAUACCACAGGAAGGAGAUGGUAACAUAGUAUAAACUGAGUUGAAAUAAAGAAUAACAACCAUGCAUCUAUACUAACUAAUGAAAUCAAAACUAGAUAUCUGCAUCAACUAGCAUACUAGAAAAAGGAAUGCUGCAUAACCCAAUCAUAACAACUAAUUCAUAAGUCCAGUCAAGCUUGCAUUCGCCAAGUGCCCGGUGUAACGACCCGACCCCUAGCAAUAAUAACUCGUCGGACCCAAAACUACUAGCUGAAAACGCUUAAGCUUAGUUAUUAUUACUACUGUGUUCGUCAUUUAUAAAUCUCUCUUCCGUAUUAUCCGAUGUAGGACUAUUGUGAUGUUUCCCCUCGUUUAGGCCUUGACGUCCUCGUCAUCCCGACCCAAUCAUACACAGUCCUAGAUUCACCAGGCGAUGUGAGAUCCAUCUCACACUUCCGACUGGUUAUCAGGCUCUGAUACCAAAUGGGAGAAAGAUUUAUAAGUAACAGACACUAGUAAUAAUAACUAGGUUAAAGCAUUUUGGGCUAGUGAUUUGGGCCCAACGAGUUAUUCUUACUAGGGGAUUGGGUCGUUACAUUAGGUAUCAGAGCCUCAUAACUAGCCAGAAGUGUGAGAUGGAUUUCACAUUGCCUGACGAAUUUGGGACUGUGUAUGAUUGGGCAGGACUGACAAGGAUGUUAGGGCCUAAACGAGGGGAGUAUGUGACAUCCAAUAGUCCUACAUCGGAUAAUAUGAGAGAGAGAUUUAUAAGUGAUAGACACUGUAGUAAAUUGAACUUUGGCAAAUUGCGAAGUUUGAGUGUGGGAAUAUCAAUUGAAACUAUUCCACAUUUUUUGAGGGGUUGUAGAGAGGUUUUCGGCAAGUUAGUGGAGUGAUCAAAUGGCCGAAAGCGCAAAAGUGCAUUGCAAAAUACAAUUUCAGCACUUUGCAUUGAGUACCAGUACCAGCGCGGGUACCGGUACCCAGCACAGCAGCAGCUGCAUAGCAGUAAGGCUGUUUUGGUCACUUGGCAUUCAAUACUUAUCUCUUAAGGGUUAGCACGACUCCUGCAUCUGGUUAGGAGGUGUUGGAGCAUAGAGAACCAGGUUUGAGCCUUUCCCUUUCUCUCUCUAGGGUUUUGGAGAUUUGAGAAGUAGGAAGUUGUGGAUUUGAGUUCAUUUUCUUCCCCUCUCUUGUAGCUAGCUGAUUUGGAGGGCUUGGGGGCUGUUGUUUGUUGUUGGAGAGAGAGAUUUGGAAGUAUUUUGCAGACUAAACUGUGAGGAAGUGAAUUCUCGAAAUGCGAGAGUUAGACUUCAUGCAAAAUCGACCAAGGGUCAUGUUGGUGAGCUUUAGAAAAGCCAAAGAUGUCAAAAUCACCAAAAGUGCAUUGGAAAUGAGUCCAUGCGAGCAAACAGUGCAAAACAUGCACUGGAGCAAAAUUGCUCUCGGGGACUGGUCCCUGGCAGGGAGGGACCGGUCCCAUCGGCUGGGGUUGCGGGGAUCUUUGAUGCAACCGGUCCCUGGCAGGGAGAGACCGAUCCCCGAGCGUGAUCCCAGCGAGAAAAGCCAAAAAUUUGGCUAAGUUUCGAAAAUCCUACUCUUGGGAACCGGUCUCUCAGGAAGGAACCGGUCUCCCGAGGACCGGUCUCUCUGGGAGAGACCGGUACCCGAACGCGUGACCCGAGCUGAAGCUCUCGGGGACCGGUCCCAAGUCGGGGAGACCGGUCCCUCUGGGUGCAGAAUGCCCAGUGAGGGGCAGUGCACAGAGUGAAAAGGUGAGGAGCCUACUGGGAUAUUGUUACAAUAUGAGGCAUAUGGGACCCCUCCUCUCUCUCAUCCCCUCAUUUCCCUCUCUCCCUCUCUCACACUCCCUUGCUCUCUCUCUCUCUAGAAGAGAAGAAGAAAAAGAAGAAGAAGAAGAAGAAGAAAAGAGAAGGAAAAGAAGGAAGAAAAGGAAGGAGAAGAAGAAGGAGAUCAAGGAAAAGAAGCUUUUGGAUUUCUCCCUCUUCCUCUCUUCUCUCUAUUAAGCUAACCUAGAGGUAAGCUUUUAAUCCUAGCUUAUGAAAUUUAGGGUUUUUGGGUUUUAGCUCUUUGGAUGGGAUCAAAUGAAUCCCUAGCACCAUGAAUGGUAAGAUUAGAGCUAGAAUCUAGGGUUUUGAGAUGGGUUUAACUUGGUGCUAAUCCUAGGGCUCCAAAAUAGGGUUUUUGGUAAAGUAUGAGAUUGAUCUCAUUUGAGACCAUGUAAACCUGAUUGCUAGGUAACGAAACGCGGGGGCGAAGUCGGAAUUUCGAUUCGUCGAGCGGAUCAAGAGCUAUCGGCAAAAUAAGGCCGAUUGAGCAUCAUUUGGACCAAGAAGACCGAGGCUUCGUCGUAAAGAACGCCGAAGCACAUUUCUAGAGCCUCCGUAUACACAAAAGGUGGGGGGUGUCGUCCCGAAACAUCCGGGGUUCUUUUUAUGUCUAAGUUAAUUAUGUUGAUCAUAUUGCGUUAUAGGAGUAGUAGUUGUACAUUUCCAUUUCCUUGCAUGCUUUCUUGGUAGUGUAGCGGGGUGAGCUUGACACGUGGACUAGGAUAGUAUGAGGAUUGGGUUUUGUGACAUAGAAUCCUAUAGCGGCAUAAAGAGCCGAACUUGGACAUAGCCUAGUAGAGUGGCAUUGAACUAGUGUGGUAGAAGCACUAUGACAUGAACGAGUGACAUGUAGAAUAACCGAGACAUUUACUACAGUGACUGAAUGAGUGGCAUCGAGUCUAGUGUAGUAAACUUGACCUGAACCUAGGGAUAGUUGUAAGGAGGUGAAUUCUCGAAAAUCGAGGAUUGUACUUCGCCCAGGAUCGACUAACUGUCGAGAGUGUACCCUUUGUGGGAGUUGGAGAUGUCCAAAACACAAAAAGUGCUUUGGAGUUGAGUCCGCGAGAGCAAAUAGGCAAAUCUGGACUCAGCAGAUUUUUGCUCUCGGGGACCGGUCCCUGGAGGGAAGGACCGGUCCCCGUAGCUGAUGGUCGCGGGGGAGGUCGAUCGACCGGUCCCUGGCUGAGGGGACCGGUCCCCGUGCGCGACACCCGCAGGAGAAAGCCAAAAUUUGGCUAAGUCCUGAAGGUUCCCCGUUGGGGAACCGGUCUCUUAGGAGAGACCGGUCUCCCAGGGACGGGUCCCUCAGGUGAGGACCGGUUCUCGAAUGCGAAAAGUCCCCAGACUGCAGGGAGAGCUCUCGGGGACCGGUCUCCCCGACCAGGGACCGGUUCCUCUGGGCGAAAACUGCCCAGUGACAGCUGCGUGAGAGAUGAAAAGCUGAGGGGUCUAAAUGCAAAAUGGCCUUUAUUAGAGUGGGCUGGGCCCUCUCUCUCCCUCACACCCUCUCAUUCUCUCUCUUUCUUACACUCUCUCUUUCUCACACUCUCUCUUGCUCCCCCUCUCUCUCUCUAGGAAAGAAAGAAUAAAAGAGAGGGGGAAGAAGAAAGAGAAGAAGAAGAAGGAGGAGUAGAGGAAGAAGAAGGAGGAGAACAAGAUAGAGAAGGCUUGGACCAUCUUCCUCUCUUUCUUUCCUCUCUGUUGGUGUAGCUCAAGGGGUAAGCUACAAACCCUAGCUUGUAGAACUUAGGGUUUUGGGUUUUUAUGCUUUGGANUGUUUACUAUUCUAGUCAAAGUCCAAGUAAUAUUCUAAGUCAGUAUCUGUCCACAUGUCAUGAUGAAUGCUCAAGUCAAAUCUAAAGAGACCCACCCGAAGGCUGUCUAUGGCCCUGAGACCCACCCGAAGGCUGUCUGGCCGGUGCCGAGCCUAAUGGCCCCGUGGUAGUCAACAUCCCCACCCUAGGAAUGAGCCUGGCCCACGGCAAUCCACUUCGGCGCCCAAUCCCGCACGGCGAAUAUGUAUCGCGAUGGCUAUCUCCGGAGUGCCGGCUUUUAGGGAGCGGCCCUCACAAGCAUGUGCGAAUGAGCACAAUGGCAAGUAGUCAAACGAGCUGUCGCAAGUACCAAGUCCUCAUGUCUAAUAACAUGGAACGUAUCGAAUGUCUCAAAGGCCUAUCUCUACGUCAUCAUGUCUCUAACAUGGAAUAUAUAUAGUAGAUGUACAAUGGCCUAUCAUCAUGUCUCUAAGUUGCAUUUUAUAGUUUACUAAUUCCAAGUGCCUCUUUAUGACACUUUUGUUCAACGAGUCCCAAGCAUGGCAUUAACAUGUUCAUAAUGCAUAGUUCUCUCAAUUCUAGCAUGGAGACAUGUUCUCAACUUGCGAAACCAAGUACUGUCCACAAUGCAUGCAAUCUACACAUAUAGCUCUACUAUAUGGAGUACAAAUUUUUUUACGAUACAUGAGGCAUGCAUGUUAAGUGUUCUAAAAUUCAUAUAAAUCAUGUUUAGCAUGAAUUUGCAUUCAAAAAUACUUUACAAACGUUUAGAAGGCAUAGGGGCCAUUUUGCCCCAUUUUCAUGAAGUCAAACCCACCAAAAGAAUCGACUUAUUCGUUUCGCCGAACGAAGAUAUCCAUAAGCUCCCUAGUACCCUAGAAACAUCAAAAAUAGGGUCACCCAAACGAAACGAAGAGCGAAUAGCUCAAACAUUAACCAACUCAAGCUAAGGUUGGGGAAGACUCACCUCAAGUGGAAAACCCUCUCUAAAUCCUCAAAUGGAAGGUAGAGGUCUUCCAAUCUAACUUAUAUAACGGUUCCAAACCCAUCAAAAGAGAUCAAGAAGCCUCAAAUCCAAAACCCCCAAAAUAAAUCCUAAAUUCCAAAAUCUAGGGUUUCAUCUAGUAAAACCUAGAGAAUUAAGUAUGCAACAAAUGGGGAUUACAAGCUACCAACCUCAAGAGAAACCCCAAUCCAAGCUCAAAACCAAGUAGGGUUGAAGUUUGAUCCUUCACAAUACUCCAACCGCAAGUUCAAAGCCACCGAAGGUGAGAAAUGAGGAAGAAGAUGAUGCUCCAAGGCCUCUAUGCAAGCUCCUUCUCCUCUUCUUUUCCUUCUUCUCCUUCCCUUUCUCUCUCUAGAAGUGUAGGAAGAGUGUGAGGGAGAGAAAAUGAGAGUGAGAGGGGAGGAGAGGCUGCUUAUAGCCUCUAAAGUAACAAAAUCCACAUAAGCCCCUCAAAAACUCAAAUUUACAUCAGCCCGGACUUGGCAGUUUUCGCCCAGAGGGACCGGUCUCCCCGACCUGGGACCGGUCUCUCAGCCUGCCCCCGAAAAUCCAACGUUCGGGAACCGGUCUCUCCCUGCGCGGGACCGGUCUCUCCCCGCGCAGACGCGCUCGGGGACCGGUCUCAACUGCUAGGGACCGGUUGCCUCGCCUGCUACGCAGCACUGUUCAUUGGGGGACCUGUAAUAUACUGAAUCUGGGCCUAUUGACAAGUUCGAGGGUUGGAAUAGUGAUUGGAACUUUUCUACAACUUUUGUAGGAUUCUUGAGAGGCUUCAACAAAUUACUGGAGCAAGCAGAUAACUGGAAAUGGAAAAGUGCAUUGAAAUUGCAUUAUUCUAUUGCAAUGUUCUGAAAUUGGUCAAUUACGAAUUUCGAUUGUGGGAAAUGGUAAAUGAAACUACCCUACACAUUCUAAAGGGUUUGGACAAAUUUCUGGAUAAGUUAGAGGGUGAUUGGAAGGUAAAAAGCAAGAAAGUGCAUUGAAUGGCGAAAUUCAGCAUUUUUGCAUUGUGUACCGGUACAGACAUUACCCUGUACCGGUACAGCAAGCAGCAGCAGCAGCAGCUGCGUGGCAGCAGGCCUAUUUUAGUCUUUUGACACUCAGCCUUAUCUCCAAAUGACCCAGCUCGACUCCUGAAGCUGCUGGAGGGUCCAUGGAGCUCAGAGGAAGGGUUUUGCACCUUCCCCACUUUCUCUCUCUAGGUUUUCUCUCUCUUCGAGUAGAAAUUGUUGAUUUGCGCCUAUUUCUCGCCGUUCGUCGCGCUAGCUGGUUUGUGGACUUCGGAGCAGCUACGAGUGGGUGGAAAGGACUCGCAUGAGAGGUAUUUUCGCAGCUCCAACUUUCAGGGAACCUGAAUUGAAGUCUAGUGAGGUAAACAAGCUAGUUUCUCUCUUUAGGUUGAGAUUAGUGAUAGUUUUUGAUGUUGGUUCUCAAUUCUUGCUACCAGCUGGUUUGAGAUGGUUUAAAGCACCAAUUGAGGAGUGGUUUUGCUGUAAUUCUUCACCCCAAAGUCAGAGUUAAAGCCUUCGAGGUAAUUAAUGAGUUUUUCUCUAUUUCGAUGAUGAAAACGAUGAUAUUAGCGAAGUCAUGAUGCGAUUUUGGGAUGUUUGCUCACAGCAGGUUUCCAAAUUAAUUUGAGCUGAAUUUGUGACCUUGGGGACUGGUUUAGAAGGUGUUUCAACCUGGGGUAAGUUGAAAUUUCAGUUAGAAAUUGGAUUAUGUAAGAUUCCGACAAUACUACCUAGUAUACGAGUAUGUUGAUGUCGUUUUGAUGAAUGUUCACAGCGAGGCUGCGAUUGACUUUCAGAUUAUCUUUGGCUGAUAUGUGAGGGCAAUUAGAGGCUUAACUUGAGGUACUAAACUAGCCCAAAACAGGGAUUCAAACUAUUAUUUUGUACUAAGUGCAAUUUGUGCCGAAAUUGGACAUUUCGGUCGUAGUUUUGAUACGCUUUUCGUGUUUCGGUUUCAGCAGAGUGGGGCACCGUUGAGUUGAGUUUCGGGACUUCUUGUGGCUGGAUUGAGCUUAGGGAUAGGUGGGUUUGACCUUCUCGAAAUGGGCGAAUUUCCUCUAUGUUUCCUUUGACAUCUGAGUUGAAGUUAUUCCAUAUUCAUGUGAAUAUAUGUAUAGUUCAAGGCAUUGAGAUGUGCAUUAAUGUGUAGGUCAUAUUGGAUAUGGCUAUGCAAUGUUAUAUAGCAAGUAUAGUUGCUAUACUUUGAAAGAUCAGGUAAAGGCCUUUGUUUGGCAUAUGCAAUUCUAAUUGUGGAAUGAAUGGCAUAGAGAUCAUGUGAAGAGUGUUUUAUCGCUUGUUUUACUUGCUUGCAUUACCCUGUUAGUUUCUACUUUCACAUGGUAGACUUGUAUUAUGGUAUAUGUUCUAGUAAGUAACUAGAAUUUCAUAUGAUGGCAUAAUUUGAAUGAUUAUUCAACUGAAGAUAAUCUAGCAAAUAACUAGAUUUGGAUAUGAUAACAUACUUGUAUAGUCAAGUAGAGAUUUAUAUUGGACUAAAGGAUAUGUGCCAUGAGUUUAUGAACAGAACCUUAGUAAACCACUUUCUUUAUGUGUAAGGAGUAGUGAGAGAUUGUGAGUGACUGACCAGGUAUAGCCUGAUAGAAUCACUAGUGUGGUGUAAAGCUUUAACUUGUUAAGUUAUAUUGAAUCUUGUCAACAAGUUGUUGAUAGUGAUUUGUGAUUGGGUACUACAAUGUCGACUUUGGGUCGAGUUGAGAUUCCAUGUCAGAGACAUGAUGCUGUUUAGAUAUUUGUACCCUGGACUAUAGCUAGCAUGCCAUUAUGCUCUUUCGUACAUGCUUGCGGGGGUCGCGCCCUCCCAAGCCCCGCGUUCCGGAGUGGCUUGAGUUAAGAUCCCAUGUCAGGGACAUGAUGUUGUUGUGAGAUUGGUACUGUGGACUACGGCUUGCAUGCCAUUGUGUGCGUUUGCACACACUUGCGGGGUCGCUUCCCCCAAGCCAGAACUCCCGAACAGCUUAGCGACAGAUGCUCGCAAAUGUACGAAGUGAGCGCCGAAAUGGAAUGCCGUGGGGGAGGCUCAUCCCUAGAGUGGGGAUGUUGACUACCACGGGGCCAUUAGGCACGGUGCGGCUUGAAUUUUCCUUGUGUAAAUCCAUUGGAAAUUGGGUUAUGUCAAGUACUUUAACCUUAGCUGGACAGAGUAGUAAAGUUACUAUAUGUCUUGGGUUAAGUGAACUGAUUGAUGAACAGACUAGAAAGUUGACAUCUAAAGUGAGCUUAGUGCGGAAUAACCUAGAAGUUGACAUCAUGUUUGACUAGCGACAAAAAGAACGUUUCAUUCUUGCUAAUGUAGAAGGUAAUUAGAUGAUAGUACAUGCUAUUAUCUGUAAUUCCGGUAAGAAUGAAUUAUCUUGCUUGCAAUCUGCUAUAUGUUUGGUUAAAUUGCCAAGAAUAUGAUUGAUAGAAUUCAUCGUGAUAAUUGAUACCUGCAGUCUAUUGACAUUUAUUGAUUGUUGAGCAAAUAGCAUGAGCAGUUUACUUUUACAUUUGCUUAUUGCAUUGACUAGCUUAUUGCACUUACUUGCUUAUUGCAUUUACUUGCUUACUUAUUACUAUCUACUCAUGCCACAGUUGACCUAGUGGUGUACUUCGCCACUCUUGGCGGCUUACCUACUGGGAACUAUUGUUUAAUAGUUCUCACGCCCUCUUUGUUGUUGUUUUUACAGAGCCUUCCACAGCGGGAAAGGCUAGGGUUCCUGGCGAGGGGUCAGCGGCUAGCUAGAGCCUUUUUGGACGUGUACUACAUCACCUUCAACAGUUUAUAUAGUUUAGCACAGAGAUGUAUAUUAAGUUUUUUGUUAAUUGUACGCUCUUCUUAUUUCUUGUAUUAAGGUUUGGUUUGUAUAAGUUUAACUUAAAGACUUGCUCUGAUUACCUGGUUAGAAUUGAAUGUUUUCACUAUAUGGUUUGUAGACGCCUUGUGUAUACUUGAGUUGUGGUAUACACGGCGGGUCUGUGCACAAGCCCGGAUAUGCUUCCGCUGGUACCCGGGCGUGACAGGACCGGUCUCUCCUAUCAGGGACCGGUCCCCGAGAGUAAAACUCUCAGGACUCUGCCAAAACUCUCGAGAUCGAACUUUUAGACCGGUAUACCAUCGACGGCCCUCCACCAAGUGUGGAAAAGUUCGGAAUACAAAUCGAACACUCGAACCUCGCAAUUUACAAAGGUCCAGUGUGCUACAGAAGAAGAAAAAGAAGAAGAAGAAGAAAAGAGAAGGAAAAGAAGGAAGAAAAGGAAGGAGAAGAAGAAGGAGAUCAAGGAAAAGAAGCUUUUGGAUUUCUCUCUCUUCCUCUCUUCUCUCUAUUAAGCUAACCUAGAGGUAAGCUUUUAACCCUAGCUUAUGAAAUUUAGGAUUUUUGGGUUUUAGCUCUUUGGAUGGGAUCAAAUGAAUCCCUAGCACCAUAAAUGGUAAGAUUAGAGCUAGAAUAUAGGGUUUUGAGAUGGGUUUAACUUGGUGCUAAUCCUAGGGCUCCAAAAUAGGAUUUUUGGUAAAGUAUGAGAUUGAUCUCAUUUGAGACCAUGUAAACCUGAUUGCUAGGUAACGAAACGCGGGGGCGAAGUCGGAAUUUUGAUUCGUCUAGCGGAUCAAGAGCUAUCGGCAAAAUAAGGCCGAUUGAGCAUCAUUUGGACCAAGAAGACCGAUGCUUCAUCGUAAAGAACGCCGAAACACAUUUCUAGAGCCUCCGUAUACACAAAAGGUGGGGGGUGUCAUCCCGAAGCAUCCGGGGUUCUUUUUAUGUCUAAGUUAAUUAUGUUGAUCAUAUUGCGCUAUAGGAGUAGUAGUUGUACAUUUCCAUUUCCUUGCAUGCUUUUUUGGUAGUGUCACGCCCCGGGACCCAGCGGAAGCCCGCCCGGCGCGUGCCCAGACCCGCCAUAUGUCUACAACAUAUAAGGCGUCUAAAAACAACAAUAAUAAAAGCAAUAAUAAAAGACAUCUAGGAGUAUCAGAGCAUAGUAAAUGUCUAAUUGCUACAACAAGGGAUAAAGUUAAAACUGUAAAUCCUCUAAAUAAAAUAUAAAGUAAGUACAAUAGGGAUCCCAAAUACAAGUGCUAUAAGUAGGUACACAGGUGGUCUCUAUACAAGGAUACAAAAGCCUCACACUCUCUCAAAAGAUAAAAUGGAGAAGAAGCAACCACCUAGCGCAAAAGAAACUCUCCCGGGCUAGCUACGCGACACCCUUGCCGCGAUCCCGUGCCUCCGCCGGUGCCGAAGGCUCUGAAAAGGAAAUAAGAAACAGGGGCGUGAGAACUAUUAAAUCUAGUUCCCAGUGGGCAAAUUUCUGACUCAGUGAAAGUGCACCACAAGCCCAAAAAGUACAAAAGAUGUCCGUGACUAUAAUAUGAUAAAAGCGAAAGUAAGUAAAAUGUAACUUACUACAGACAUGAUAUCUCUACUUAACCUAAAUAACAUAAGUAGAAAAACAACUAUUGCAAUGAAGUAAAAGUCUCAACUAAUCAUAAUUUAAACAAUGCGAAUACGUAUAAGUUCCGUUGUUUUACUAUUCUAGUCAAUGUCCCAAAUAAUACUCUAGUCAUUAUCUGUCCACCUAUGGUCAUAAUGAAAUACUCCCAGUUCAAAUCUGAAGAGAUCCACCCGAAGGCUGUCUAUGGCCCUGAGACCCACCCGAAGUGUCUGGGCCGGUGCCCGGAGAUAAUGGCCCCGUGGUAGUCACAGCCCCCCUAGAAGUGAAGCCUGGCGCCACGGCAAAUCGCACUUGGCGGCGCCCAACCGCACGGCGAAUAUGUUAUCGGCGAUGGACCAAUCUCGUGAGUGCCGGCUUUAGGGAGGCGUACCCUGCACAAGCAUGUGCGAAUGAAGCACAAUUGGCAAGUAAUCAAACGAUAGUCGCACAGUACCAAAUUCUCAUGUUCAUAAUCAUGUAUUAUAGCAAUGUCCUGCGUGGCGCAAUCACUAUUUCAUCAUAUCUCAAAUAUGGAAUAUAGUGUGUCAAUGGCCUAUUAUCAUAGUCUCUAUGUUGCAUUUAAUAAUCUGCUAGGUCCAAGUGCCUCUUUAUGACACGUAUGGCUUCAUUUGUCCCAACAUGGAUACUUAAGUUCAAGAACUUAUAAAUUUCUAGUCAAAAUCGAGGCAUGAAACUUUAUUUCUAUCAUUCUUCAUAGAAUAUUCGUUCAUACUAGCAUUAUUAACAAGUCACAUUUGUCUCUCUACUUAUAUAAGUAACUUUCUGAUGCAUAAUAUAAUGAGUUUCAAGCAAUUCAAAAUUCCCAUAGAUCUACUAAACAUUGAAAUAUGCCUGAAUUUGCACAAAUAAAGCAUUUAACACACUAGGAGGAAUUUCCUCGCGAUUUCGAAGAGCCCAACCCACUCGUCGUCAACGAAAGGCUCAUCGUUUUGUCACGCGAAGGGCGUCCACCACACUCCUAGUCCCGAUUGCGAAGGCAGCUCUCGACCAAUCUCCAAUGAGCUAGAGUCCUCCAAAAUCUAACCUAAACAAAGGUUCAAACCCAUCAAUAUUGGUACAUAAACCCUCAAAACGAAAUCCCCAAAUUUAACUCAAAAAAUUCCAAAUCUAGGGUUUGAAUCUAGUAAAAUUCAACAAAAAUUAGAUCCUAGAGGAAAGGAUCUAGUUACUAACCUCUAUAGAACUCCAAACUAGGCCCCAAUACCAAAUGGGGUUUGAAGAUUUUCGCCUCCCACAAAGCUGCCCAAUCCCAGACUCAAAGACUUCUCUCAUGAGAAACCAAAAAGAACAAGAAAAGCAAGGAGGAGCAAGAUCAAAAAACUCACCAAAAAAUCCCAUCAAAAAUGGAAGAGAACUCAAGAAAGGGAGUUUUACCUUGUCUCCUCAGGUUAGGGCUCAAAGGACUCUCAAAGGGCUGGGUUGUUAGAAAGGGUUGUAACAAGUUCUGCAAAAAACAGCACGUAGGCUAGCCCUCCACGAAAACAGCACCGCUCUGCACUGUGUAGCCGGUACACGGGUUUGUGUACCGGUACACCACCCACGAAAGAGCCCAAACCCGAGCCUCGGUUUGCUGAAAAUGUCUGGUGUACCGUACACUACCACGUACGCGUACAGCAAUCGAUCAACCUACGGUACAUGCAAGCUGAUAACGCCGUACGGUUACGAACAGCCGCAGCUGAAGGCAAACCCGAGAGCUAUACAAUAAAUCCAACUUUUUGAUUUUGGUAACCGUUCAAACCACAAUUCUCGACUUUGUCGAACCCAUGGGUCGGAAACACGUUUACGACCGCUGGUCAGAAAGUCUGACGAAAAUGGCUCGUCACACCAGAUCAACAACUCGAACCUCGCAAUUUGGCAAAAGGUCGCAGUUGGGCGGCCCCCCGCCCGUCACAUUCACGCCCUCCUAAAAAGGAGUUUUCGUGCCGCGAAACUCGAAAGCAACGUCAUAGCCCCAGAACUCGCAUCUGAAAAAAGAUGGGGAUAACGUGUCUCUGCCAAGCGCUCUCCAGCUGUCCCACGUGGCCUCCGCUCCCCGUUGGUUGCUCCAAAGGAUCGCUUACAUACGGAAUAUCCGCGAUUCCGCAUGCUUCUUCACCUCCGCGUAGCCAAAAUCUUCACGGGUUGCUCCUCGAAGCUCAAAUCCGUCGCCGCAGUUCCACUGUAACAGCUUUUCCAAAACAUGAGCUGGAUCAAUGAAAAUGUACCUCCGAAGGAAAACUCGAUACCUGAAGACGUUUGUGCAGCGCCAGAUAGAGGUUUCGUGUAGAGCCAAUCGAUAACGCUACCCGACUACACGCUCCAAGAAAAUCUCAUACGGUCUCAAUGAAACGGGGGCUCAACUUUCCCCGAAUCACCCUGAAUCCUUGAUUCUCUCUAGUCCGGGCGAGACUAUCGAAAGAAAACAUGUCCCCAACUGGAACUCCAAGUCUCGGCCCGUCUGUCGACUUCGGCGUAGCUGCUCUGUAUACUCUGCGGCCGUCAAAAGUCGCAUCCUAAGGAGCAUUCGAACCUUGUCCUCAAGCUCCUGGAGAACAUCGGGGGCUAAAGCCAAACUCUCGGCCAACUCGCUCCAGAUGAAGUGGCGAUCUACACUUCCGUCCAUCAGAGUGCUUGCGAAGGCGCCAUCUUGAUGCUUGCUUGAUAACGUUGUUAUAAAGCAAACUUCUGGCCAUAGGUAGGUCUGGCGAGCCAUCCUCCCUGGACAGUCUAUCACACAUGCCCGGAGGCAUAUCCUCCAAGUCUGGAUAGUACCUCCGACUGCCAUCACUUCUGCGGGUGAAUGCUGUAACUGAAAUCCAAUCGGGUGCUAAGGCGUCCCUGCAGACUCCUCCAAAAUGAGACGACGAAGAAAACGUGUCGCGAUCCAGAUAAAAUGAGGUAGGCACUCCAUGAAUUCGCAUCCCAAUCCAUCAAAGGAUACACUUGUGCGAGCUUCUCGUCCGGCCAAUCGAUGAAUAGGUAUGAAAGCUGCCGCGCGACUUCGUCAACCUAUCCACAAUCACCCAAAUACGUCAUGCCCACGCCUGUGACUUGUAAUCCUGUUCACAAAAUCCAUGGUGAUCUUCUCCACUUCCACACGGGAAUAGUACCAGUGAAGUUUUCACGGCGGAAACUCGGGUGAGCUCGCUUUCACAUCGUUGCAAGUUAAGCAUUAGCGACCAACUCGCCACAUUCCUUUUUCAUAACCCGGCCACCAAUAAGCAACUUCCAAGUUCUUGUAGCAUCUUGGUGCCUCCGGAUGUAUAGCAUACGGUGGUCUCGUGUGCUUCGUUUGAAGAAUAUUUCUUUAAUUCCCAGAAUCCAGCCGGAACACAGAGUCGUCCUCCGGAAAGCGCAUCAAACCGCUCGGUCGUCCACAAGGAAAUCCGCCGGUGCAACAUCAAUCGUCAUUUUUCUCGAAUCUUUUGGCAAACAUGCCACAUCGGAAGCUUGCUUUUCUGUGAAUUCAUCCAAAGAGUGGGUGGCACUACCAAAGUCUCAAACGGCUCAUAGGCGUGUCAGGAGUCACUUCCCAACUCCAAGGAACCGCUUCAUCUGCUCGAAGUCAACUGCGGUUGAGCUCCACUAAUAUGUCAUCGCUAUAGGGUUCGCCUACGGGGCUUUUCCAUCGAUUUCGCUACUUAGCACGUCAUCGCGGCCACCACGUUAGCCUUGCCUGGUGGUAAUAUGAAAUCGUCAGAUCAUAAUUCCUUGAGCUAGACUCCAAACCAUCCUGCGCUGCAUCAAGUUCAACUCCCUGAUCUGAGUAAACAGGUACUUUAAGCUCUUGUGACCGUGUAUACUUCACAAAUUACGCUCGCCAUAGAGGUAGUGCGGCCAUAGCUUCAAUGCGAAACUACAAGCCGCCAAUUCCAAAUCAUGCGGUCGGGUAUUCUUCUGCAUAAUUCAUUUAGUUGGCGAGCAGCAUACGCGAUCACCUUGCCAUCGCUGCAUCAAUACAACCCCAAACCAUUAAGUAAAGCCAAUCACUAAUAGAACCACAUAACGCCAGAUGCCAGCUACUGGUAGGCGGUCAAGAUGCGGGUGGUAGUCAAUCGCUGCUUCAACUCUGAAAGCUUCGCUCGGCUAUCACGCGUCAUUCCAAAUGAACUUGACUCCCUUGUCGUGAGCCUCGUGAGGGGAGUAGACAAGUUUAGCAAACCCCUUCUACAAAUCUCCGGUAGUAACCGGCCAAUCGCAGGAAGCUACCUAUCUCCGUGACGCUCGUCGGUCUCGCCAAGAUCCUUGAUUGCUUCAAUCUUCUUAAGGAUCCACCGUGGCUAUACCCGAUCCGGAAUAAAUGUCCGCAAGGAAAGCUACCUCUCGAGCCUAAUAACUCACGUUAUUCUUCAACUUGGGCAUAAGCUUCCUUUCCCGAAGUACAUGAGCCACAAUCCCUCAAUGCUCCGCUCGUGAUCUGCAUCCUUCGCAGAGUAAGACCAAAAAAUCGUCGAUGAACACCACGACGAACCUGUCUAGAUAAGGCUUAAAGACACGGUUCAUCAGAUCCAUAAAAGCUGCCGGGCAUUAGUGAGGCAGAACGGCAUAAUGUGAAACUCAUAAAUGUCCAUACCGUUCCUGAAAACGUCUUUGAUACAUCCUCGAUCUUAUCUUUAACUGUGUAUCCCGACUGCAAGUCAAUUCUUUGGAAUACCACACGAUCCCUGAAGCUGAUCAAAACAAGUCGUUCGAUCCUCGCGAACGGAUACUUGUUCUUGAUCGUGACUUUAAUUAAGUUCAUGAUAUCCAUCAGCAAAGGCAAGUGAUCGCUCUUCUUGUCUGACGAACAAAACUGUGCCCCAAGGCAGAAACGCUCGUCGAAUGAAGCCCUUGUCCUAACAAAAUCCUGCAGCUGUGCCCAUCCUCCCUCAGCUCUGUCACGUGCCAUUCUAUAGGGCGCCUUUGAAUUGGUAUCCCAGGGACGAGAUCUUACCACAGUAACUCAAUCUCCCUAUCAAAAGGAGCAUACGCGUAAUAGCUGUCGAGGCUGGAAAGCACAUGGCCUGGAAUUCCCCGCACGCCGGGAUAUCCCGAGUCCUAGGCAAUGUCAUCCUCACCCCCAGCACAAACACUAUGGCCAAAUAGGCUACGCACCUCUGCUAUCAGUACCUACUCCGAGACGAGCUGAUCGUCAUCGCAGCAACUACGAACCUCGCGCAUGCCACUAAAUACCACUCAGUCUGCCACAGGUUUUCUCUAAAUAACCGUGCGAUCUAUACCAAUCAAUCGUGGCAUAAUAAAUGUUCAACCAAUCCAGGCCAAACCACAUCAAAAUCCCAGCUUGCGCAAAGCUAGCAAAUCUACGCCUACCAAUCUCCUACCCGAACAGGGCAACUGGGCCUAUACUCCUCUUAAUGUCCCAAGACGUGUCGGGUACUAAACAUGUCGCCGUAUGCAAGCAAAGGAACAAGCAAGGAGCCAUGCACACCCGGCAAACAGCCGAUCUAAAAAUGAAUCGAUGUCACCCCGGUAUCAAAAUAAAGCACGAACUCUAAUGCCAUUCAAAAUAAACAUGAACCUGCAAACACAUCCUCGCUGCGGCCGCCUCCUCGGUCUGAGCGGCGUACAAUGCGCACUCGGGCCUGUCGAGAGUCACCUCGCUUCUGGCGGCUGGACGGGUGGCCGCCCAGGCUGUACGUGGCGGACGGAGUCCCGUGGUGACGCUGGUAGAGCCGGCUGCCGAAUGAGUUCCGACGGUGCCAGUGAAGAACCUCUCGAGACAAACCGGUAGCGACGGGCCCUCACUGGCCACACUGGACACAACUGCCCGCUAUCCCUGUUGGACACACUGGCGUGGAAGUAAUGGUGACCACCGCAGAUCACACAACGGGAAGGCCGCGCGAUCCGGAUCCUCCUCGAGCGCGCUGUGCCGCAGUCCACGCUGCUGGCUCCUCGAUGCUUCGGCGGCUACCUCCUAGAGUUGCGUCCUCGCACCCUCAGCCGCAGGCCUCCUUGCCUUACCGCUUGUCCCAACCUCUGCUGGCUCCUGCUCAGGCUCCCCUCUUCCGUGCUUAAACACAGAUGCGCGCGAUCCACAGCACCGUCGAGUUUGGAGGUUAGAGGAUUGCACAAACACGGUAAAAUCGACGGUCGCCAACGCCUCGCUCGAAGAGCGCGCCUUGUCCUCGUCGUCCUCGCACGGACGAAGGCACCGCAAUGACAGAAGGCGAGAAAAAACUCCCUCUCGUACUCAGGCUACAGGUCCGGUCUGGCCCUGGCGCAAGUUGCGGCAGAUCCUGCCCAUUCUUCCUCUUGACGCUGGUCGGAAGUAGUGCGCUAGAAAUAAGCUGCCUGAGCCUCGUCCAAGUGAUAGAUGCCAAGAUUCAGUGCUGGGUGCUCUGAAAAUCCAACGCCAGCGGUAGGCCCUCUGCCGUGCCAAAGUGGUGAGUGGCGAGCAAAAUCUGUCCCUCUCCUCCACGAAGGUCGCGGAAGCUUCUCAAAUAUCACAACCACUUCUCCACGAAUCAGUGUCGACCAUUUCUCGCCUGUCGAAGACUUCGGGCGACUUGCACCCUCCUGAACUGCUUGAGGCCUCCAUACAUGUAACACACUGACCUUUGCAAAUUGCGAGUUCUGAGUGUUUCAGCUGUGUGCUAGUCAAUUCCAGAUUUCUGGUGGUCGUUGACAGUGUCCGACUAAUGGCUCGCAUCCGAAGAAGUGAGUUUAAAGCCGAGCACUGAAAACGGCGCGAGAAAAUGGAUUUUUGGUUAGUCUCUUCGGUUGCCUUCAGAGGGCUGUGUAAAGCCGGUACGCGGAGUGAUGGCUUGUACCGGGUACAGCAUCGACCUUGGCCGCUGUUCAGCCAAGCUCGAGCUCGGCUGGGCGUUUUCGCAGAUGGCUGUAUAUCCGUACCGGGCCGCGUGUACCGUACCAGUGCAGAUUUUCGAACUGUCGAAGCUGCAGGGUUUUUCCGGCAAUUUGUAGGACUCUUAUAUUGUCCCUACGCCUGCAUGAGCCUCUCCCUGAGCUGGAAAACCCGUGGAAGAAGUGCAAGGUAGGAAGGACCUCUUCUCUUCCCUUGGUUUUGAGCACGCUUGUGUUGCUUGUUUUGAUGGGUUUUCCCCCUCUGUUUUUCCCUUUUGGAGCUAUUUCUCGCAUUUUGUGAAGCUUGGAGGCUUAGGUUUGUGUGUUGAUUGAGGAAGAUACUAGAAGUUUGAGAAACUUUGAGCUGAUUUUGAGCUUCUAAGAGUAAGGUGGGCAAGACGCCGUUUCCUCUAAAUACUUGUUUUUAAAGGUUUCCAUUGAGAUGAAACCUAGAUUUGGGAUUCUAUGGUUUACUUUGGGCAAUGUUUCGCUUUUAGGGUUUUUUGACGUCAAAUUGGUUGAUUAGAACCUUUCCUCUAGCGUAGAUUUGAAGGGUUCUAGCUCUCUUUUGGAGCAUAGGAAGAGAUUUUUCCUCUUGAGGUGAGUUUUGGCCCAUAUUUUUGCUAGAUGCUUAAUGUUUGAGCUUUUCGCUCUCACGUUUCGGUUUGGAUGACACUCCUUUUGAUGUUGCCUAAGGGUGCUAGAAAGCUUGUAGAAACCUUCGCGGUUGAGCAAACGAAAACGCUUCGUUGUCUGUCGUGGUUGACCUAAGCCUAUAAUAAUGAGAAAAUCUCAUAAUUUGGUGAUCAAGUGCUUUGUAUUACUUAAUAAUCAUGUAUUUUCAUAUUAAAUACAUUUAUAUGAGGAUUUAGAAUGCUUAAAUGCCAUAAGUUAUUUAUGAUGAACCUUUCUGGGACCUCUAUGAUAGUAGAUGUUGCUUGAGAAUUUUGGUUGCAUUUACAUUCUAUAUUAGGCUUGAUUUCAUGAUUCUAGAAGAGUAUUAUGAGCCUAUGACAUCAUGCGUUUAAAAACAUAAACGUGAAUUGGGGCAUGAGANNNNNNNNNNNNNNNNNNNNNNNNNUAGACACACUGCUCGGUAGAGUCUGAAAGACUUCCCAGCAUCUGUCACAAGGCUGGGUACCAAGCUCAGGGCUCUUAACACCAAACUUUGCCACAUGGUUUUAGGUUUUUCAACCUAAAAACCAAUCGAGAGCCCAACGGAAGUCGCCCGACGCAUGGCCAUGCCCAAGCGAACGACAUGGCCAUGCACUAGCUACCGACAUGGCCAUGCACCACCACAUGGCCAUGUGUCUGGUAAAGGGGUCGUUUGGGCUCCGAGCCCAAACCCAAAAGCACCCGACACAUGGCCAUGCGCUAGGGUAUGGCCAUGUCGGUAGCUAGUGCAUAGCCAUGUCGUUCGCUUCGGCAUGGCCAUGUGUCUGUCAGACGUGCGGUUGGGCUCCGAGCUCAAACCGAAAAGCACCCACCACAUGGCCAUAUGUUUGGGCACAUGGCCAUGUGUUACGUCUCACCCGACAAAAGCACCUCCCCACAAAAACGUUAACAACGUUGGAGAAAUAUUUGUUGGGGUCGGGGAAACUCUCGAGGAAACUCGGGAUUUGGACUCCUCUGUUCCAUUCUUGAGGGAGAGAACUCAAGAGAAGGUAAAAACUACCUAAAACCACCCAAAACUAGAAGAGGAGGAACGAAAAGAACGAAGAAAAACCCAAAGGAGGUACUCUCUUCGGAACUCGAGCCCUAACCUCGAAACACCUCCCUCUUAGAAGUUGGGGUCAACCUAACCCCGGAUCAAACCUCGAAGAUUCUCCAAUCAUUGAUCUAGGAAAGGAGAUCUAGAUCAAAAACAACCUAAAAUGAUCUAGUUUGGGAUCUAAAACCUAAAAUCCUAAUUUAAACCUCUAAAAGCAAAACUCCCGAAAACAUAGUUUAACUACCCUAAUCUUGGAAACAAAUCCAAUCUAAUCUUCCUGAGAUCGAGGGUAAACCUCUAAUCCUCUCGAAGGAAGCGUUAGCCACUCGAAAAGCAGUUGGGAUCGGGAUAUACGAAUUUCUAACUUACAAACACUCGAACCUCGCAAUUUGCAAAGGUCCAGUGCGUCACAGGUAGUGUAGCGGGGUGAGCUUGACACGUGGACUAGGAUAGCAUGAGGAUUGGGUCUUGUGACAUAGAAUCCUAUAGCGGCAUAAAAGGCCGAACUUGGACAUAGCCUAGUAGAGUGGCAAUGAACUAGUGUGGUAGAAGCAUUAUGACAUGAACGAGUGACAUGUAGAAUAACCGAGACAUUUACUACAGUGACUGAACGAGUGGCAUCGAGUCUAGUGUAGUAAACUUGACCUGAACCUAGGGAUAGUUGUAAGGAGGUGAAUUCUCGAAAAUCGAGGAUUGUACUUCGCCCAGGAUCGACUAACUGUUGAGAGUGUACCCUUUGUGGGAGUUGGAGAUGUCCAAAACACAAAAACCGCUUUGGAGUUGAGUCCGCGAGAGCAAAUAGGCAAAAUCUGGACUCAGCAGAUUUUUGCUCUCGGGGACCGGUCCCUGGAGGGAAGGACCGGUCCCCGUAGCUGAUGGUCGCGGGGGAGGUCGAUGCGACUGGUCCCUGGCUGAGGGGACCGGUCCCCGUGCACGACACCCGCAGGAGAAAGCCAAAAUUUGGCUAAGUCCUGAAGGUUCCCCGUUCGGGAACCGGUCUCUUAGGAGAGACCAGUCUCCGAGGGACCGGUCCCUCAGGUGAGGAUCGGUUCUCGAACGCGAAAAGUCCCCAGACUGCAGGGAGAGCUCUCGGGGACCGGUCUCCCCGACCAGGGACCGGUCCCUCUGGGCGAAAACUGCCCAGUGAGGGCUGUGCAAUGGAGGAAAAGUUGAGGGGUCUAAAUGCAAAAUGGCCUUUAUUAGAGUGGGCUGGGCCCUCUCUCUCCCUCACACCCUCUCAUUCUCUCUCUUUCUCACACUCUCUCUUGCUCCCCCUCUCUCUCUCUAGGAAAGAAAGAACAAAAGAGAAGGGGAAGAAGAAAGAGAAGAAGAAGAAGGAGGAGUAGAAGAAGAAUAAGGAGGAGAACAAGAUAGAGAAGGCUUGUACCAUCUUCCUCUCUUUCUCUCCUCUCUGUUGGUGUAGCUCAAGGGGUAAGCUACAAACCCUAGCUUGUAGAACUUAGGGUUUUGGGUUUUUAUGCUUUGGAUUGGGUCAAAUGGACCCUAAGCAUACUUCUAAAUAGAUCAAUCCCAAGAAUCUAGGGAUUUAUUGGGUGGUUUGCUAUAUGUGCAAAUCUAGGGCUCUAAAAUGGGGUUUUUGUAAAAGUAUGAGAUUGAUCUCAUUUGAAGCCUUGGAAACCCUAUUGUUAGGUCACAAAACGUGGGGGCGAAGUCGGUUUUAGCAUUCGGCGAGCCGGCGUGAAGUGUUUGGCAAAAUAGGACCGGGAUAGUGUGGAAUUGGGCAAGGAAGGCUAAAGCCUUUUCGUAAAGUUCGCCGAGAAGCUUUUCCCAAGCCUCUACAUCGAUUAAAGGUGGGGGGUGCCAUCCCGAAGCUUUCGGACUCCUUUCUAUGUCUUAGAUUGCAUUUUAACCUCAUCUCUUCAUGUUGCAUUGUAGGAUUGCAUAGUAGCUCCAUUCCUUAUGCUUUCUAAUUGAUAACCUAGUGUACUUGGAACGCUUGGUAAAAUAGAUAGGUGAGGAUUGGGUCGGAACGUGGAUCCUAUGAUGCGAAAGAUAGAGAUGAACCCGAUGGGGGUGUUGAUGACAUAGAAAGUAGUGUUAUUGUUAAAGAACAAACGAGUGGCAUCCAAACAUUGAAUGAUGACGAGUGGCAUUAAUGUAGUGUAAAUGACACUAGAGGUCGAUGGACCUAGGGAUAGGCGGAUCCCUUAGAAAAUGCCUUGUGAACAAUGAAUUUAGAAAAGCUAAAUAGCAUUGCAUGAAUGUCGGGAACAAAUGAUCCCGCGAGAGAUGUUGACUCUAGUUGUAGAGCAUCCUCACUUGGAGAGAACUUGAUUGAGUUGUUGACCCUAGAUGUAGGGCAUCCUCACUUGGAGAGGAUAGAUCUAGCUCACAGUCUGCGUUUGGGAUGGUAUAGCCAUCCAAUCCCCACAUGGAGGGGAUUGUCGUCGAGUACUCCGGAGUGUCGCGCGACUAGGACCACUUGGAGGUCCGGACCACAUGGAGGUCCGCAGACGGUCCCGGGCUUGGGUGCACUUGGAGCUCCCUCCCCACUUUGGGAUUGAAAGGUGAGUCAUGGGCGAGCCCUAGGGCCUCGCCACAGAUUGGGUAAAUGGAAAGGUUAAAGGUUUAUUAAUGUCAUUGAACAUUGCUAUUCGAACAUGGAUCGAAUUUGUUAGCAUGAUAGCAAACCUUUAUUAUAUGAUGCAUGCAUUCAUAUUCAUGAUUAUGGGCAUAGUAGCAUAACUUUCCUACUAUCGCAUUUACAGCUUUCAGAUACAUAUCUAUCUAUCUAUCUAUCUGUUGUUACUUGUGCCCACUUGGACCUAGUGGGGAGAUCGGCAGAGUCGGCGGCCGAGCCCACUGGGAACUAUGGAAGAUAGUUCUCACCCCACUCUAUUUCCAGUGGUAGGUUCAGGGCUGCAGAGAGAGGACCGCGGCAAGAGCAUCGCGCCCGACCAGUGAGACAGUGGUAGUAUAGUAGCUUUCCUUUUUGCAUUAGUCACCUAUGUAUUGAGAGAGAGAUUUAUUGUAGGUGAGGAUCUAGAGAGCUAUGUAUUUUGGAGAUGAAAAAUGUACUCAUUUAAAGAAAAUGAUGUAAAUGAAAAUGAUGGAACUAAUGUAUUAGUUAGCAAGGUACUCUCUUUAUUUCACAUGCCUUAUCUUGUGGAUCGCUUGCUCUUUGUAUUGUUGGCACUGUUUGUGCCAUUGUGAAUGUGUACGUUUAGAAUUUGAUUUCCUGGGUAAAUUCUUGUACACAUUCUUGUUGUUGAGCCUUGGGCGGACAGGGGAGGUGCUGUCCGUUCGGAGGCCCGCCGCCGCGGCCGAACCAUGCCAAAUUGCUAGUGGUUUCGGGGCGGGGCGUGACAGCCUUUGUGGUAUCAGAGCCAUAAAAGCAAGUAAAGAGAGAGUCUAGGAUGUCCUAGGAGACCGUAGGUUGGUCAGCCCUAAGGUUAUAGGUGCGUGAGCGGAACGUGAACCUAUAGCGAUGGCGGAAGUUAAUUCGAUUGGGUCGAAGUUGGUAACAUGUCUCUAGUUGUGAUUAGAGACGGAUUCAAGUUGUAUGAGUUCUUGUCUUGAGGUGGUUGUGUCGGCGGCCGACGACAUGAUACCAAGAGCCUAGAACAAGUGCACUUGUGUGCUUCCGCCCGAUUUUGUGGUUGAGUUGUCAUGUGUCGUAAUUGCGACGAGGUAAAUGGUUAAGAUGACUGACCAAGUAGUUGCAUUUCAGGGGCUAACGAAUGUAGUAUCUUGAACUUUGCAAAAUUAUAGAAGUUGGAAGUGGGGCUGAGGAUUGGUAUGUGACCAUAGGUCCUAAUAUUUGUAAAGGUGUGUGGGUCAAUUUUGAGAGUUAUUAAACUUUUGGAUGUAAGAAAGUGCGUCGUUGAAGCGACUCCUAAACUUAUUGUAUAUUAGUAGACUGAACUUCAAUAAAUUGCAAAGUUCGAGCGAGGAAUGACAUUUGGAACCUUCCCACAUGUUCUAAAGGGUUUAAAGAUGUUUACAAAUAAGUUUGAGAGUGAUUGGAAAGCUAGAAGUGAGAAAGUGCAUUGCUAGUGCGAAAUCUGCAAAUUUUGUAUUGGUGUACCGGUACAAGCCUAAUGCUGUACCGGUACAGCAAGCAGCAGCAGCUGCAGCUGCGUGGCAAUAAGGCUGUUUUGGUCUUUUCACCUCCUGUACUUAUCCCUAUCCUUCCAGCUCGACCCCUGGACCUCUUCAGAUGGUGCUGGUGAUCAGAGGGAGCUUCUCCCACCUCUUCCGCACUCUCUCUCUAGGGUUUUUCUCUCUCUACGAGAAAACCGUCGAUUCGAGCCGAUUUCGCGCCGGGUUCGUCGCUUGCUGUUUAAGUAGACUUGGGGCCAGCUUCUAAAAGGUAAAAUGGAUUGUUUUGACAGUAUAAUUCGUAUCUCAUGCUGGGAAUCACUGAAAGAGAGUUUUAGAAAGCUAUUUAACUUGAUCUCUCUCUAAUUCAUAGUUUAGCGUCGGAUUUUGACGCGUUUUGGUUUCGUUGCUUCCAUCUGUGUGUAAUAGGGAUUCCAGCAGCUAGAGGAGAGAUUUUUAGCUGUGAAUUGACCCCCUUAGACCAGGGAUGAUCUAAUUUGAAGCUUGCUUGAGGUAGUUAGCUACUUACAAAGCUAAUUUGGAACUAAAUGCGAAUUGUUGAAACAACUUGAUGCAGUUUUGUAUGAUCUCUUCGCAGCAGGUCUUUGAGUCUUGUUGAGCUGAAUUUGUACUCUUAGAAACUGGUUUAGAAGCUAUUCUAACCUGAGGUAAGCAGGAGUUUCCAUUCUAAAACUGAUUUCGCAAGAAUUUGGCUAGAUUUACUAGUAAACAUGAGCGUUGACGUCGUGUAAUGAUUGUUCGCAGCGCGAGUGCAAUCGACCCUUGGAUCAAUUUCAGCUGAUUAGUGAAAGCUUCUGAAGGCUUAAUUUGAGGUAUUAAGCUGGCCUAAAACAGGGAAUUACCUUACUACCUUGUAUGAAGUGCGAAUUGUGCCGAGUUCGAACAUUCCGACUGUAGUAAUGAUGCCACUUUCGUGCUUUGUUUUUCAGCAGAAUUGAGACCUUGGGAAGCUGAUUUUGGGACUUCCUUUGAACUGAUUAGAGCAUUAGUUCGAGGUGGAUUUGACCUAACCAGAACAAGUGAAACUCUCCUAUGUUCUAUAUGUAUUAUAGAAAUGGUCUUAUUGUGUGCUUAUGUGAUUAAUAAAGGGCUUGAAAUUCGUCAUUAUAAUGUUGAACAUAUUCGAAAUGAAAUCUCUAUGACAUGGAGAACACUCAUGCCUAAAGUAUUUAUCCUCAUUUUGACUAGUAUAUUUCUAGCAAGAAGGAAACAAUGAUAUGCCUGGUGACUAUAGUGAUAGUACCAUGAUAAGUGCUUGAUAGUGGAAAGCUGUUAAUAUCAGUGUAAAGUAGCAUUACUUUCACAUAUUUAUUAAUCUAGUGGAUACUAGUUGUUGUCACUAUUCAUUAUAUUAAAAUGCUGAUCUGAUAGUAAGCUAAAACAUGAUAGUUGAGACAUGUUGGGCUGUGAAUCAUGCUUGUUUGCCAUCGUGCUCAUUCGCACACGCUUGUGAGGGUCGCUCCCUAUAAGCUGGCACUCCGGAGUUGGCCUACGCGACAGUUGCUCGCCCGUGCGGGAUUGGGUGCCGACGUGGAUUGCCGUGGGGAGUGUUUACUACCACGGGGCCACUAGGCGCGGCGCAAGCUGGACUACCUUGGGUAGGUCCCUGUGAAUGAAAGGAAAACUCUAUUGAGGUGAAUGUACUAAAUGACAAAGGACAGUAAUGAAUGCUAUUAAUUUAAGUGUACAGUAGUCACUUUCAUGCUCGUGCUUAUAUUCAUGUCCAUAUUCAUGAUUACAGAAAUUGCUAUAUCUCUUGUAUGCAAGUGAUUCAUUACUGUAGAAAGCUAUUACAUGUUGAUUACAUGCUUAUUACUUAUUAGCAUCAUGUUUAUAAAUUAUGCAAUUAUCGUUAUUGCUUUCAAUUAGUACAUCAUGAGCCUAGUGGUGUCAUUCGCCGAGGCUGGCGGCUUACCCACUGGGAACUAUUGUUUAUAGUUCUCACGCCCUUUUGGUGGUUGUUUUUACAGAGCCUGUUACAGGAGAGGCUAGGGAUCGUGGCAAGGGAGUCGCGCCUAGCUAGGGACUACUAGGAGCGUGCUAGUCGAUCACCUUGCUACUCGGGCUACGGCCGAGGGUGAUGUCCCUACAUAUAGAGAGACCACCAUUGUACCUAUUUUUUUGUUUACCCCAUGAUGUAUAUUUACUCUUUGGACAGACUCUAUAGUUGUGAUACUCUCUCUUUAGUUGAGAUUUUGGAUUGUAUACUCUUUAUUCCUUUACUGAUAGUAUAUCGACUUGUAUUUUGCUCUGAUAUCAGAAUAGGAUCUUACUAUACUUUCCUCCUAUCGACUUGUUUUCUUGUAGACGCCUUAUAUACUGCAGGUGUAUGGCGGGUCUGCGCACGUGUCGGAUAUGCUUCCGCUGGUACCCGGGCGUGACAGUCUCCAAGACGCUACACGCGUAGGACUGCCCCAGCACCGACUCCUGAGGUGCCCGAGCAGGAGGAACCGAGCGUGAUCGAUCGGUUGCAAGCGCAAAUGACCGCGCUGACCAGCGUGGUGCAGCGCCAGGAGACCAGAUUCGAGCGGCUCCAGGAUCUAUUGGAGCAGCAGAUCGCGGCGGCGGCUGCGACGGCAAAUGAAGGCGGUGGUCCGCCCGCACCCCCGACUCACGUACCUAGAGUGGCAGAGGGUGAGGGCAUAGCGGUGGUUCCGGUGACGGCACGCCCACCGCCAGCGAUCGCACCACAGGCGGCAUCGGGAUUGGCUACACCCGAUGUGACGGCCGAAGACGUGGAGGGAGAGCGCGCAUUGGCGGCUCUUAUCAAGUUCAACAAGUUCCAUCCGCCAACUUUUGAGGGCGAGAAGGUGGAACCGGAGAUGGUCGAGUCUUGGAUCGACUCGAUGGAAACCCUCUUCGACGACUUGCGUACCUUGGAGAGGGACAAGGUGUAUCUCGCCACCCAUUGCUUGGAAAAGGCGGUGAAGGUUUGGUGGAAGCGCGUUAGACGGGAUCGGCUUCCUGGUCUUCCGCCGAUGCUGUGGGAAGAAUUCAAGCGGGAGAUGUUCGCCAACUAUUUCCCCGACACACUGAAGCGGAAGCUCAAGGAGAAAUUCCGCAAGCUAGAGCAAGGGGACCGCUCAGUGGCGGAGUAUGAACAAGAAUUCUCCCAUAUUAUCGACUGUGUCCCGGAUGUUGUGAAGGAUGACCGGGACCGGGCCGAGUGGCGAGGACUUCGGCCAGGGAUCUACAAGGCCGUGUAGAUACUCAAGCUUACGACCUUUGCGGAGGUCUUCGAUCGAGCCCUAUGGGCAGAGCACGGAGAUGCCCACGUGCAGGAGAAGCGUGAGGCGUUGGCCGAGUCUAAGGACAAGGGCAAGAAACGCCAAGGCGGCGGUAGUUCGGGAGGACAGACACGUUACAAGAAACCCCCGAAGUAUCCGCGCACUCAACAGAAGGGUGGUGGAGUGCAGCGAUGCAUGAUAUGCGGUAGAGACCAUCCGGUCUCGCGCUGUGAACAAGGUUGAGGCAAGUGCUACAAGUGUGGGCAACCGGGGCACUUCAUUCGAGAAUGCCCGGGAGGAGGAGCCUCACCUGCCCCCUCAACUGCAUCGGCGCCGGCGAUUCCGGCUCACUAUGGAGGAGCUCCACCGACGGCCGCGUCGACUGGACGCACGUUGACGCCGCGUCAACCUGAAGUGGCGCGAUCAGCCCCGAGCGGAUGGGUGUUCGCCGCUCAGGUCCAAGCUUAGGAACCUGCGGAGGCGGAGGAGCAUCACCUUGUGGCAGGUAUGGUUUUGAUUAACGGAGUUUGCUCCAGGGCCUUAUUUGAUACAGGAGCCACACAUUCAUUCAUAAGUAGAUCAUUUGCACGCAUGCAUGGCAUACAUAUAGAGGCGAGUGACAAGUGGCGAGUGGAGGGCCCUGGGUCGACGUUUAACACUUACUCGGAGUGUGCGUCGUGUCCCGUACAAAUAGGCGACUGGAUUAUGCCUAUCCGGACACUGGAACUCACAAAGCUUGAGGCUUACGAUGUCAUUCUGGGUAUGGACUUGCUCUCGAAGUAUCACGCAACGAUCGACUGCAAGAGCAGGGUGAUCACAUUCCGUGAGCCAGGACAAGAGGAGUUUACAUAUCGAGCUUCCCAAAGCUCGUGCUUCGUCGCGACGGUGUCGGCGACAAGAGCAAGGAAAUUAGUAAACAGCGGUUGCACGGCAUUCUUGGCAACUGUUGUGGAAGUGGAGCGAGUAGCUCCAACGUUAGAGGAGCUAUCGGUUGUGCGGGAGUUCCCGGAUGUAUUUUCCACGGAGUUGCCAGGGAUACCACCUGAUCGGGAGAUCGAGUUCGUUAUAGACUUGGUUCCCGGUACCGCACCGAUUUCGAAGGCUCCGUACCGAAUGGUACCGGCGGAAUUGAAGGAGUUGAGGAGUCAAUUGCAAGACCUUCUUGACAAGAAAUUUAUCCGGCCAAGUGUGUCUCCGUGGGGAGCCCCGGUGUUGUUUGUGCGGAAGAAGGAUGGAUCGUUCUGACUCUGCGUGGACUAUCGAGAAUUGAACAGAGUCACGAUCAAGAACAAGUACGCACUACCCCAAAUCGACGACUUGUUCGAUCAGUUGCAGGGGUCGUGUGUGUACUCAAAGAUAGAUUUGCAAUCUGGCUAUCACCAACUGAGAAUCAAGCCGGAGGAUGUGCAGAAAACUGCGUUUCGCACACGGUAUGGACACUACGAAUUCACCGUCAUGCCGUUUGGACUCACGAAUGCUCCAGCGGCGUUCAUGGAUUUAAUGAACCGUGUCUUCAGGAGGUUUUUGGAUCGAUUUGUCGUGGUCUUCAUAGACGACAUAUUGGUCUAUUCUCGUAGUGACGAGGAACAUGCUGAGCAUUUAAGGAUAGUGCUUCAAGUCCUUCAGGAGGAGAAGCUAUAUGCUAAGCUGAAGAAGUGUGACUUCUGGCUCCGCGAGGUUGCCUUCUUAGGGCAUGUGAUUUCCGCAGGUGGAGUUUCUGUAGACCCGAGGAAAGUUGACGCAAUCAAGGAUUGGCCGCGCCCGACGAAUGUCACGGAGGUUCAAAGCUUCGUGGGCUUGGCGGGCUACUAUAGGCGGUUUGUGGAAGGCUUUUCCAAAAUAGUGAUUCCACUUACCCGCCUGACUCAGAAAGGCACCAAGUUUGUUUGGAGCGAAGAAUGUGACCGGAGUUUCAAAGAGUUGAAGCAAAGACUGACUUCGACUCCGGUGCUCACUCUACCGGUGCAGGGCGAAGACUUCGUGGUCUACAGUGAUGCCUCCUAUCUUGGGUUGGGGUGUGUAUUGAUGCAAAGCGGGAAGGUGAUCGCUUAUGCAUCCCGUCAGCUGAAGAGCUAUGAAAGGAACUACCCCAUCCAUGAUUUGGAGCUAGUAGCGGUGAUUUUCGCCUUGAAGCUGUGGGGGCACUAUUUAUAUGGUGCCCAUUGCGAGAUCUAUACCGACCACAAGAGCUUGAAGUACCUGUUUACACAGAAGGAGCUCAAUAUGCGGCAACGGCGGUGGUUGGAGCUGUUAAAGGACUAUGAUGUUGAUAUCCUCUACCACCCCGGAAAGGCAAAUGUGGUUGCGGAUGCACUAAGUAGGAAGUCGGCGAAAAAUCUCGCCUUUGAUGUUACCCAGCAAACACCUCUGUGGCUGGAUAUGGAGCGAUUGGACCUUGAAGUGGUCGCUCCCGAGGUCCCGACUCAGUUGAUGGCACUCGUUGUCCAACCGACCUUGUUGGAGAGGAUUAAAGAUCUGCAACCCGCAGACCCAGAACUCCAAAAGGUGCGGCGAAACAUCGAGAAAAGGCGUGGCGGCGAUUUCAAGGUGGACGCCAAUGGUACGCUUCGGUUUCGAAACCGAUGGUGUGUGCUGAAAGAUGGAGAGCUUCGUGAAUUAAUUCUGCAAGAAGCACACCGAUCUCCAUAUGCCGAUCACCCGGGCGGAACCAAGAUGUAUCAAGGACUAAGAAUCCAUUAUUGGUGGCCGGAAAUGAAAGGUGAUAUUGGACGCUUUGUGGCAAAGUGCCUAACAUGCCAAUAGGUAAAGGCCGAGCGUCGAUUUCCAGCAGGAAAGCUUCAAAGCCUACCAAUCCCCGUAUGGAAGUGGGAGGACAUAUCGAUGGACUUCGUGGUCGGUUUGCCUCGCUCAACGGGUAGCCACGAUGCAAUUUGGGUAAUUGUGGACCGAUUGACAAAGUUGGCUCACUUCUUGCCGGUCCACACCACGUGGUCGGGCGACAAGUUAGCGCAGGUAUACCUUGAUGAGAUAGUGAGACUGCAUGGGGUGCCGAAAUCGAUCGUGUCGGAUCGUGACCCCCGGUUCACUUCACAUUUCUGGAAGAGCCUGCAGGAAGCCCUUGGCACACGACUCGAUUUUAGCACCGCAUUUCAUCCUCAGACCGAUGGGCAAACAGAAAGAACUAUUCAAACUCUGGAGGACAUGUUGCGAGCGUGUGUCAUUGACUAUAAGGGAAGUUGGUGUGACCAUCUAUCUAUGGCCGAGUUCGCCUACAACAACAGUUAUCAUGCUAGUGUGGAGAUGGCACCGUUCGAGGCUCUCUAUGGGCGGACGUGUCAAUCUCCUAUACACUGGAGCGAUGUUGGCGAGCAUGCUGAGUUCGGCCCAGAUGUGUUGCGAGAAGCGGAAGAGAAAGUCCGCCUUGCUCGCAAGAGAUUGCUCACGGCGCAGUCGAGACAGCAAAGUUAUGCAGAUAGGCGCCGUCGAGAUAUAGAGUUCGCGGUAGGUGACCGCGUAUUCUUGAAGGUUUCACCAAUGCGGGGUGUGAAGCGGUUUGGAGUACGGGGAAAGCUGAGUCCCCGGUACAUUGGGCCAUAUGAGAUAUUGGAGCGAGUCGGCACGGUGGCGUAUCGACUUGCUUUGCCGCCGAAACUUGCGGAUGUGCACAAUGUGUUUCAUGUCUCCAAUCUCCGCAAGUACAUUCACGACCCCGAGCACGCAAUGCUAUAUGAACCGCCGGAACUUCAAGAAGACUUGAGCUAUGAAGAGUUUCCGGUAGGGAUUAUCGCCCGAGAGGUGCGAAAGUUGAGGAAUCGAGAAAUCCCCUAUGUGAAGGUUAGGUGGAGCAAUCAUGAUGAUCGCGAAGCCACCUGGGAACUCGAGGAUCUGAUGAGAAAACACCAUCCUCAUCUAUUUGAGGAGUAAGGUAUGAGUUUAAAUAAAAGUUAGGAAAAUUGUUCGUUUCGAGGACGAAACUCCUUUUAAGGAGGGGAGGAUGUAAGGAGGUGAAUUCUCGAAAACCGAGGAUUGUACUUCGCCCAGGAUCGACUACCUGUCGAGAGUGUACCCUUUGUGGAAGUUGGAGAUGUCCAAAACACAAAAAGCGCUUUGGAGUUGAGUCCGCGAGAACAAAUAGGCAAAAUCUGGACUCAGCAGAUUUUUGCUCUCGGGGACCGGUCCCUGGAGGGAAGGACCGGUCCCCGUAUCUGAUGGUCGCGGGGGAGGUCGAUGCGUAGGUCCCUGGCUGAGGGGAACGGUCCCCGUGCGCGACACCCGCGGGAAAAAGCCAAAAUUUGGCUAAGUCCUGAAGGUUCCCCGUUCAGGAACCGGUCUCUUAGGAGAGACCGGUCUCCCAGGGACCGGUCCCUCAGGUGAGGACCGGUUCUCGAACGUGAAAAGUCCCCAGACUGCAGGGAGAGCUCUCGGGGACCGGUCUCCCUGACCAGGGACCGGUCCCUCUGGGCGAAAACUGCCCAGUGAGGGCUGUGCAAUGGAGGAAAAGUUGAGGGGUCUAAAUGCAAAAUGGCCUUUAUUAGAGUGGGCUGGGCCCUCUCUCUCCCUCACACCCUCUCAUUCUCUCUCUUUCUCACACUCUCUCUUGCUCCUUCUCUCUCUCUCUAGGAAAGAAAGAACAAAAGAGAAGGGGAAGAAGAAAGAGAAGAAGAAGAAGGAGGAGAACAAGAUAGAGAAGGCUUGGACCAUCUUCCUCUCUUUCUCUCCUCUCUGUUGGUGUAGCUCAAGAGGUAAGCUACAAACCCUAGCUUGUAGAACUUAGGGUUUUGGGUUUUUAUGCUUUGGAAUGGGUCAAAUGGACCCUAAGCAUGCUUCUAAAUAGAUCAAUCCCAAGAAUCUAGGGAUUUAUUGGGUGGUUUGCUAUAUGUGCAAACCUAGGGCUCCAAAAUGGGGUUUUUGUGAAAGUAUGGGAUUGAUCUCAUUUGAAGCCUUGGAAACCCUAUUGUUAGGUCACAAAACGUGGGGGCGAAGUCGGUUUUAGCAUUCGGCGAGCCGGCGUGAAGUUCUCGGCAAAAUAGGGCCGGGAUAGUGUGGAAUUAGGCAAGGAAGGCUAAAGCCUUUUCGUAAAGUUCGCCGAGAAGCUUUUCCCAAGCCUCUACAUCGAUUAAAGAUGGGGGGUGCCAUCCCGAAGCUUUCGGACUCCUUUCUAUAUCUUAGAUUGUAUUUUAACCUCAUCUCUUCAUGUUGCAUUAUAGGAUUGCAUAGUAGCUCCAUUCCUUAUGCUUUCUAAUUGAUAACCUAGUGUACUUGGAACGCUUGGUAAAAUAGAUAGGUGAGGAUUGGGUCGGAACGUGGAUCCUAUGAUGCGAAAGAUAGAGAUGAACCCGAUGGGGGUGUUGAUGACAUAGAAAGUAGUGUUAUUGUUGCAGAACAAACGAGUGGCAUCCAAACAUUGAAUGAUGACGAGUGGCAUUAAUGUAGUGUAAAUAACACUAGAGGUCGAUGGACCUAGGGAUAGGCAGAUCCCUUAGAAAAUGCCUUGUGAACAAUGAAUUUUGAAAAGCUAAAUAGCAUUGCAUGAAUGUCGGGAACAAAUGAUUCCGCGAGAGAUGUUGACCCUAGUUGUAGGGCAUCCUCACUUGGAGAGGAUUUGAUUGGGUUGUUGACCCUAGUUGUAGGGCAUCCUCACUUGGAGAGGAUUUGAUUGGGUUGUUGACCCUAGUUGUAGGGUAUCCUCACUUGGAGAGGAUAGAUCUAGCUCACAGUCUGCUUUUGGGGUGGUAUAGCCAUCCAAUCCCCACAUGGAGGGGAUUGUCGUCGAGUACUCCGGAGUGUCGCGCGACUAGGACCACUUGGAGGUCCGGACCACAUGGAGGUCCGCAGACGGUCCCGGGCUUGGGUGCACUUGGAGCUCCCUCCCCACUUUGGGAUUGAAAGGUGAGUUAUUGGCGAGCCCUAGGGCCUCGCCACAGAUUGGGUAAAUGGAAAGGUUAAAGGUUUAUUAAUGUCAUUGAACAUUGCUAUUCGAACAUGGAUCGAAUUUGUUAGCAUGAUAGCAAACCUUUAUUAUAUGAUGCAUGCAUUCAUAUUCAUGAUUAUGGGCAUAGUAGCAUAGUUUUCCUACUACUGCAUUUACAGCUUUCAGAUACAUAUCUAUCUAUCUAUCUGUUGUUACUUGUGCCCACUUGGACCUAGUGGGGAGAUCGGCAGAGUCGGCGGCCGAGCCCACUGGGAACUAUGGAAGAUAGUUCUCACCCCACUCUAUUUCCAGUGGUAGGUUCAGGGCUGCAGAGAGAGGACCGCGGCAUAAGCAUCGUGCCCGACCAGUGAGACCGUGGUUGUCACGCCCCGGGACCGAUACCAAUUUGGGCCGGUCUGAGCACGUCAAACAGACGCCGAACGGACAGAGUUUUCCCUGUCCGCCCAAGGCUCAUCAUAUGUAAAUUUUCAAACAAGAAGUGCACUAGCAGAAACAUACGAAUACGGCUUACACGAGGGUAAGCAAUAGCCACGAGUGAAAGAUAAGAAAACUAGCAUUCAUUUGUACUAUGAUUCAAUUUAGAUCAUAUACAUUGCAUUCAUCUUGUACACUUUCGAAUUCCUUACAUUUCAUUGCAUCAUUUCAUCAUUUCUUUCUUAUAUCACAUUUACCUCAAAAGAGUGCUUUACAUUCUCUUCUUUCUUUGCUUAAUACAUCAACAUUCUAAAUUAUCAAAUACAAAAGAUGAUAAAAGGGAAUGCUACUACAAAAUGUAGACCCAACUUUGGUGGCCUCUCACUAAGGCGCGAUACCUUUACCUCGGUCGCUCGCCGGCUCGCUCGGUCCCGGCUCUGUGGAAAUAGUGGGGUGAGAACUACAACAAAGUUCCCAGUGGGUUCGGCCUCAACUUCACCGACUUUCCCACUAGGACUAACUCAGGCAUAAUAGAAGGGAAAAGCUACAUAUAGUAACCAAUGUAUAACAUGAUGCUAAUAUGCCUGAACAAUAAGCAGGAAAUAUGCUCAACAUUAACAUAUGCAGAUUAUGCAAGUUCUUUUGUUCUUUACACUUUACACUUUGUCUUUAUUCUUUGUUCUUUGGUUUUUUGUUCUUUGCUCUUGUUCAUUAAUCUCAAGCUAACGCUGUGGGGUUUCGCCACAAUUAACUGCUUCACCAUUACAGUCCAUCAUUCCCGCGAGCCCCUCAGCUUCCUCCGCGCUAAGACCGUCCUCGGGUUACUCCAACCCGGGAUGCAAAAACUCCGAGUCGCAUCGCCCGAAGGGACGAUAUUCGCUCGAGCACGAACUCAUAGCAGUAUGAUUCGAAUCCUUAACUCAAAAGGAUUGUAUGUUCAAUCUGAACUUUACAGCCUAACUUAGUGUUCUUUACAAUCACUGUUAUGUUGGCCAACAACCUAGCAAUCAUCAUGUUCUCUAGCUUUUCUUUUACGUUUUGCUAACUCUAGCAAUCAUUGUUUCUUAACUAUUUCUUACCUUUUGGCUAUCUUAGCAUUCAUGAUCUUACCCCCCACUUUGUUUUUCUUUAGUCACUUACGAAUUAUUUUUACAUCACAUUAAUCUUUGGCCUCACACAUACCUCUAGGUGUCCACUUUAGUUUACAUUAUCCUAAUGCCUAGCUGCGAUCUGAAUGUCUUAUUGUGUCUACCUGUUUUUUCGGCUCUCGCUUUUGGUACUUACACAUUUCUCUCAUAACCAUACAUAAUAGGCGUUUAGACACUUCAUUAAGGUUCUAACCAUCUCAUCAUGGCAUUGUACUCACAAUCCAUGCCUAACACAAUUUUUUCUCAUUACAUUACCCUAAAAUGCAUGCAACAAUGUAUAAACAUAUGCUCAAUUGAAUGACACAUUAGGCAUAGAGGGAAGUUCAACGAGUUUGAAAAGCACCACCCACCUCGUAGGCUCUCAAAGGUGCUUCGAUUAUUUUCUUGAGAUUUUUAGGCUUUUCGUUCCUUACCUGCGGCAAAACGAAGCCCUAUUAGGCCAUUUUGCCCAUAACUUUACUUUGGCUUUUCGUAACGCUAAUCCGAGCGCACCCACGUGUCGAAAAUACCCCCAAUUAGGUUUCUAGAGGGUCAAUUUCACUUAGAAAUCUCCUUGAGCAAAAGCCCCAAUUUGGGUGCCCUAGCUCCAUUGCAUACAUCAAACCUAGGGUUUGAUCUCAUUGGGAAGCAAAAGAAGCUUCAUGGUACUCUAAAAAGUCCAUUCUAACCAUUACUAGCUCAAUCAAAACCCUAGUUUGGGUUUCACCAUGAGAGGUGUUGAAGCUCACUUUCAAGCUUCACCUCUAUACCAAACCAUAGUUUUGAUCUCAAAAGAAGCAAAAAGAAAGCUUCAAAGACUCUAAAUACUCCAUUAAAACUAUUUCUAGAUUAAUCCAAACCCUAGUUUGGAAUUUAGCAUGAGAAGGGGCAAAGCUUACCUCUAAGCUUGCUCCUUUUCCAAGCUAGAGAAGGAGAGGAGAGGUUUUCUUCUUCUCCUUGUCUUCUUUUUCACUUUCUUCUUCUUCUUUUUCCUUCUUUUCCUUCUCUUCUUCUCCUCCUUCUUGUCUUCUAGAGAGAGAAAGAGAUAUGAGAAUGUGAGAGGGAGUGGAAUGAGAGAAACAUCUCAUUUUCCCCCAUACUAUACUCUAUAGGUUGCAAAAUUGCUAUUAAACCCCUCAACUUUUACUCUUUGAUGCUGCAUGGACUGGGCAGUUCGCGCACGCGAGGACCGGUCUCUCCAUCAGGGACCGGUUCCCGAAGCUCGUCCCAGCGCAGCCAGAGCUGCCUCGCGCGAUGCGACCGGUCUCUCUCUGGGGGGACCGGUCUCUUGGGGACCGGUCUCUCAGGGAGGGACCGGUUCCCGAGAGCUAGUUCUCAGGGACUUAGCCGAUUUUUGGCUUUUCUCAAUUCUUGCACGUUCGGGGACCGGUCUCUCCCACCAGGGAUCGGUCCCCGAGAGCUCAAAAACUGCAGUUUGCAGGUUUUUGAUUCCUUAGCUCUCGAAAACCUUUCACAACGCACUUUUACUCAUUUUAACACCUUCGGACUUUUCGAAGUGUACCGUCCUCGCACUUUGGUCAAUUUGACUAAAGUUCGAUAUUUACUUUCCGAAUUUUCGGUAUAUUACAGUGGUAGUAUAGUAGCUUUCCUUUUUGCAUUAGUCACCUAUGUAUUGAGAGAGAGAUUUAUUGUAGGUGAGGAUCUGGAGAGCUAUGUAUUUUGGAGAUGAAAAAUGUACUCAUUUAAAGAAAAUGAUGUAAAUGAAAAUGAUGGAACUAAUGUAUUAGUUAGCAAGGUACUUUCUUUAUUUCACAUGCCUUAUCUUGUGGAUCGCUUGCUCUUUGUAUUGUUGGCACUGUUUGUGCCCUUGUGAAUGUGUACGUUUAGAAUUUGAUUUCCUGGGUAAAUUCUUGUACACAUUCUUGUUGUUGAGCCUUGGGCGGACAGGGGAGGUGCUGUCCGUUCGGCGGCCCGCCGCCGCGGCCGAACCGUGCCAAAUUGGUAGUGGUUUCGGGGCGGGGCGUGACAAUAGUAGAGGUCCCAACGUUGAUUAUAUAUCAUGAUUGUGCAGCAGAGGCACAUUGACCCUAGUAGACAGGGUAUCCUCUUGAGAGGAUUGGAUCAUACUCACUAGUCUAUUUUGCUUGUCGGUGGUCGCUCCACCGAGGCACGAGUCUCCUGAGUACUUCACUAGGGGCAGAUGUAGUUGUCCCGCAAACGGUCUCGGUGUGCGAGUGCAGCUUCUCCUCACCUAUGAGAUUGAGAGUAAGUCGAUGGUUUAACUUUCGGGUUAACCAAGUGGAUUGGGUAAUAAACAUGAAAUGCAUAGUAGACUUGCAUUAUUACCUUGAGUAGAUAUAGUGUAUAUUGUAGAUUACAUUGCUAUAUAUCUUUAUAUACUCAUGACAUGAUACUAGCAUGAUAGUAGUUGUUGCAUACAUGAUUAUCAUUGAUGGCAUGAUAGAGUAGUUGCAGUUCAUUUUAUAUAUAUCUAUCUAUCUCUCUAUUCGUGCCAGCUUAGACCUAGUGGGAAAACCGGCGGCGUCGAUGGCCGAACCCACUGGAAACUAUAUUUAUAUAGUUCUCACCCUAUGUGGUUUUGAGGUACAGGUACACACAGGGGGGAGCCGAGCGAGGAUCGCGGCAAGGGCAUAGCGCCCUAAGUGAGCCUAGUUAGUAGCUUUUCCUUUAUGCAUUAGAGUACCCUCGUGUACUAGAUGAUGUUUUGGAUAGUCAUUGGAGAGCUACUUGUAUUUUGAGGAAAACAUGUAUUUACAUUUUGGAAGAUGAAAAUGUAAUAUAUUCAAAUGAUGUAAAGGUUGAAUGGUUGUAAUAGUUAGACUAUCUCUCUUUAUACACUUGUACAUUCACUUGUGGUUCUUCCUCUUAGUUAUAGUGCACUUGUGUGCAUCGUAUCGAUCAUGUAUGUUAUUUAAGCAUUCCCUGGGCGCUUAACUGUACAUGAUCUGGUUGCUUGGCCUUGGGCGGACAGGAGAGGUGCUGUCCGUUCGGCGGUCCGUCCGGCGCGCCCGAACCGUGCCAAUUGGUAGUGGAUUCGGGGUGGGGCGUGAAAUAAACUCAGCAAACAACUGAGUUGUAUCUUAGUAAGGUGAGUAAUACCAUUUCUCUCUCUAGUUUGGUACUAGUAGUGGAUUUAAGCUUGGUUUCUUGCUUCCUUGUUACCAGCUGAUGUGAGGGAAGUUAUAGCAGCUAUAGAAGCAGAGUUUUGUGGUGGUUCUUCAACUCUAAUCCAGGGGAAAAGCUGGAUUGAAGCUUUGAGAAGGUGAUUAGCUAACUACUUGUCUUAUGUUGAUGCUAUAAUAGGUGUAUUCGUGAAGUUGUCACGCCCCGUGCCCCACCUAUUUGGUUGAGUUCGGGUACGCCGAAAGACUGCCGAACGAAUAGAGUUUUUCCUGUACGUCCUAGGUGUCGCAAUCAAUACAAUACAAGGGUUCCAACCAUGAACAGUAUUCAACAUACAGAUUGCAUAAGGAAGUAUCAAAAACAUAAACAACUAACUAUUACAAGCAUUCACAUACAUGCUUUUACACUUCAAUUACAUAUUUCAUUUAACUUCCAAAAUACAAUCUAAGUUAUUACAAGUUUAUUACAACUUUUACUUCUUCCUCCCCUCUAACCCUAGGCUAUGCCGACUCGGGGUAUCUUUAUCUCUGGUCUCUGGGUAGGGCGCUAUCUACGGAGCUAUGCCCUUGCCUCGCGCCACCGCGUUGCUCACGUGUAAACCUGUAACACCCCAAAACAACGUGGGGUGAGAACCAACUCCAUGAUUCCCAGUGGGUACGGCCACCCAAGGAAAAAAGCUCGACCAAUAAGUCCAAGGAGGCACUGCAAUCAUGUUAGUCCAAAAACAUCUAUAGAUAUAUAUAUCAUCAUGUUAUUAUGCAACUAACAGAUAACAUGCCUCGCAAUAUGCAAUAUGAAUAUAUGCAAUCAACUAGUAAAUCUAUUAAUUCUACGUUCAACUUUGCUAUCUUUAGCUCAUAUCAUUCAUCUCUAAGGUUUCUACUACCUUAGGUUCACGAUUCAAGUUUCACUUGCUCCUAAGGUUUCUAUUCCCUUAGCUCAUGCCAUCUAUCUCUAGCUUUCAAGGUUUCCACUACCUCAUCUAAGCUAUCCACCCAACUCGGCCUCGAAGUCAAUCAUCCACAGAUAAUCCACGCAUUGGCUGCACCUCAGCCUACCGCCCUCCAUGACUUAGCCUUAUAGUGGCGAAAUCGUCGCACACGCUGAAUAGGCUCAAGUCACCUGGCGGCCUAAUUCACAAUCGGCUUAACCAUCUGGCGGCGAAAUCGUCGCACACGCCCAACCAUGGUUCAAGCCUCCGGGUGGCGAACACUGUACACACACCCAAUCCACCUUGGUAUCAAUCUCGGCGGCGAAUCGUCGCACACGCCCUAUGUAACAUACCGAAAUCUCGGUAAUUAAAUUCGAAUCUUGGUCAAAUGGACCAAAGUACGAGGUGGUACACUGUAAUGCACUGGAUCUUGCAAAUCGCAAGAUUCGAGUGUUUGAUCUGUGUUUGGAGCUUUUUCACAGUUUUUGGAGGGUCGUUGAUAGUGUUCCGACCCCUGGCACGCAUCCCGAGGAUGUUGGAGUGAGACUUGGCACCAAAAUUCUAAAAUCGAAAUUUUUGGACAGUUCUCGGGUAGCCUGCAGCAGAGCUUGUACCGGAACAAGACUGAUCUUGUACCGGUACAAGGUUGAUGGUUGUACCGGUACAGCCAUCGGGCUUAUACCGGUACAGAGCUGCAGACCCCGCGACCCGAGCCUCGGGUUUGCACUUUCGUGGGCCUUGUACCGGUACAAGAGCCCGUGUACCGGUACAAGAAGGCAGUUUUCGUGCAGUUUGGUCUGCAGGGGGUUUUUCGCGUUUGUAGCCUUCUAUUAGUGCACCCCACGCCCCUUAGGGCCUCCCAUGUGCAGAGACCAGCAGGAGUUGAGGUAGGAGGAGCUCUCUCUCCCUUCCUUUGCAUUUUUUUUUACUCAUUUUCUUGGUUUUUAUUGGGUUUUCUCUCCUCUAUUUGCAUCUUGGUGGCUUCUCCACCAUUGUUGAUGGCUUAGAGCUUGGAGAGGAGCUAGUGGCUGCGGAGAUCUUCAACAUCGCUUGGAUUGGAGCUAAGUUUGGAGCUUCUUGAGAAGUUAGAGACUUGAUUUCUCCCUUUGAUCCUUGAUUUGAGGUUUUUGUAAGAUGAAACCCUAGAAUGAGGUUUUAGGGCUUAAAUUGGGCAUUUUGAAUCUAGGGCUCUUGGAGCUAGUUUGAGUGGAUUAGAGGCUUUCAUUUGGUUGGAUUGGAAGGAUUCUAACUCCCUUUUGAAGCCUUAGAGGGGAUUUUUGCACUAGAGGUGAGUUUUCCUCACCUAUGCUUGAUUAGCUUAAUGAUUGAGCUAGGUAUUGUUCGUUUGGCUCGUAUGACACAUGUUUCUAUACCUCUAGGGUACUAGGAGACUAGAGGACACCCUCGUGGGAGCGAACGAGGAGUUUCGUUGUCAUCGGUGGGUUUGACUUCGUGGAAAUGGGGCGAAAUGGCCCCUAUGCUCUUUGCACUUGUUGUAAAAUAUUUUUAAAUUCAUUUCUAUGCUAAAUAUGAUUUAUGUGAGUUUUAGAACACUUAACAUGCAUGCCUCAUAUAUCGUAAAAUUUGUACUCCAUAUAGUAGAGCUAUAUGUGUAGAUUGCAUGCAUUGUGGAUAGUGCUUGGUUUUGCAAGUUGAGAACAUGUCUCCAUGCUAGAGUUGAGUGAAUUAUGCAUCAUGAACAUAUUAAUGCCAUGCUUGGAACUCGUUGAACAAAAGUGUCAUUAAGGGGCACUUGGAACUAGCAAACUGUUAAACUGCAACAUAGAGACAUAUUGAUAGGCCACUACGUAUCUGCUAUAUUCCAUGUUAGAGACAUGAUGACAUAGAGAUAGGCCAUUGAGAUACUUGAUAUAUUCCAUGUUGUUAGACAUGAGGACUUGGUUCUUGAGACGGAUCAUUGCUUGCUUGCCAUUGUGCUCAUUCGCACAUGCUUGUGAGGGUCGCUCCCUACAAGCCGGCACUCCGGAGAUAGCCAUCGCGACAUAUGCUCGCCCGUGCGGGAUUGGGCGCCGAAGUGGAUUGCCGUGGGGGAGGCUCAUCCCUAGAGUGGGGAUGUUGACUACCACGGGGCCAUUAGGCACGGCGCAGGCCAGACAGCCUUCGGGUGGGUCUUAUAUGAUUGGGACUUGGUGACAGAACAUGCUAUGUGAACUUUAUAACUGUUAAAGUGGACUUGGACUAGAAUAGUAAACAAUGACAUCUUUACUAUUACAUUGUGGACUUUGGGUAGUUGCAUAAUCAUGCUUUAUAUGUUGGGUGUUCAUGUGCAUAUAGCUAGUAGUUGCUUCCUUACUUAUGUAAAUUAUGCUAAGUAGAGGUAUCAUGAUUAUUGGGUACUCGUUUAUUUAUUUACUUACAGUGCAUUUAUCGCUUUUGUUAUAAUGUACACUGACCCUUUUUCUAUAGUUUCGGGCCUAGUGGUGCAUUUCACUGAAGUCAGUAAUUGCCCACUGGGAACUAUUAUUUAAUAGUUCUCACGCCCCUGUUUCUAUGUUUCCUUUUCAGAGCUUUCGGCACCGGCGGAGGCACGGGAUCGCAGCAAGGGUGUCGCGUAGCUAGCUCGCGGAGAGUUCUUUUGCGCUAGGUGGUUACUCCUCCAUUUUAUAUUUUGAGAGGGAGAGGUUUUGUACCAUGUAUAGAGAGACCACCUUGUACUCCUUUUAGCACUUGUUAUGGGAUCCCUAUUGUACUUACUUUAUGUUUUUAUUUAGUGGACUUUCAGCUUUAUGUCCUUUCCUUGUUAUAGAACUAGUUAUACAAUGCUCUGAUAUCACUAGAUCUCUUGUAUUAUCGUUUUAUCUAUCGAAAUUUUGUAGACGCCUUAUAUGUUUUAGACGUAUGGCGGGUCUGGACACGCGCCGGGUAGGCUUCCGCUGAGCCCCGGGGCGUGACAUACACUUCGGAAAGGCCGAAAAGGCCGAAGGCGUCAAACAAUGCAAAAAUGCAUUACUAGGGAUCUUCGAGAGCUCUGGAAUCAAAAUCUGCAAAACUGCAAGUUUUGUGCUUCGGGUACCGGUCCCUGGUGGGAGAGACCGGUCCCCGAACGCGUAGGCAGCGAAUGGCCGAAAAAUCGGCUAAGUCCUGGAAAACCAGCUCUCGGGAACCGGUCCUUGCGAGGAGAGACCGGUCCCCAGAGACCGGUUCUAUUGAGGGAGUGUAAUACACUGAAUUUUUACAAAUUACGAAAUUCGAGUGUGAGGAACGAUAUGUGGAUCUAUCCUACAUGUUCUAAAUGGCUUGGACAAGUUUUUGGACGAGUUAGAGUGUGAUUGGAGGGUUAAAAAUAAGAAAGUGCAUUGAACUGGCGAAAUCAGCCUUUUUCUACUUGCUGUACCGGUACAGCCAUCACCUUGUACUAGUACAGACUGGCAGAAACGUGGCAGCAAGGGUAUUUCUGUAAUUUCACACUUGAUACCUAUCCACUUGACCCCAGCUCGACCAGGAAUGCUCAGUGGAGGAUGCUAGAGCUCUGGAGCUUGUUCUUCCACCUUCUCCACUCUCUCUCUCUAGGAUCUUUCUCUCUCUACAAGGGUUCGACGAAUUUGUUCGUUUUCGUCGCAUCGCGCGUUCUUCGCUGGUGGCGAGCGUCGCAGAGCCUACGUGGACGUGUGGGGGAGUGUUUUGGAAGAAUUUUCGCAGCCCUGGACCAGUGAGGUGCUGGUUGGAAGCUUGAGAAGGUAAACGACUCGAUUUUUUCGUUAUCGGCGCUCUAUUAGUCGAUUUGGGUAUUGAUUUCAGGUUUUUGCUUCCAACUGCUUUAAACUGAGAUUUCAGCAAUUAAAGAUGAAUUAAUUAGCUGUGAAUUAAUCUCCUUAGACCAGGGAUAAGCUUCUUUGAAGGUUAAUAGAGAUAAUUAGUUCAUUAUGAAGCUAGUUGGAGCUAUAUGAAGUUUAAUUGGAUAACUAAUGCAGUUUGGAAAUUGUUCUCUUCGCAGCAGGUUGUUGAACCAAAUUAAGCUUAAUUGGUGACUUUGGGGACUGAUUUAGAAGGUGUUCUAACCAAGGGUAAGCAGGAAUUUCAGCUAGAAAUUUAAUUCCGCAAGAAUUCGAUUGUAAUAGCUUAUAAUCGACUAUAUUGAUGCCGUUUCGAUGUUGUUCGCAGCGAGAGUGCGAUCGAGCCUUGGAUCGUUUUAGUUGACUUGGGAGAGCUCUUGGAGACUCUUCUUGAGGUAUUACACUAGCCAAAACAGGGAAUUAAGCUUCCAUUUUGUAUUAAUUGAGAAUUUUGCCGAACUUAGAAUCGAAGUGAUCGCUUCGGUGCGACUUUCGUGUUUUGUUUUCAGCUAGAUUGGGGCCUAGUGGAGCUGAGUUUUGGGACUUCUUACAAUUGGGUUGCGCUUAGUAAUAGGUGGGUUUGACCUAACCAGAGCAAGUGGAGCUCCCCUAUGUUCUAUAUGUAUUAUAGAAUUGAUACAGUUGUAUGCUUUUGUGAUUGAUAUAGAACUUGAGACGAGUCACUAUAUUAUAGUGUUGAUAUAUAAUUGAAUUGAAAUCUCUAUGAAGUAGAGAACCCUCAUGCAUAUAAGUCUUUAUAUACAUGUUUAAUUUAGUUGAGUGAUUAAUGGACAAGUUAUCAUGUUUCUAGAAAAUAGAAAACCGUGACAUCCUUAUGACACUUUCUUGACUCUAAAGUAGAGAAUGAUGACAUGCUUAUGAUUAUGUUUAUAGUGCCAUGAUCGUGAAAAGAUUCUAAUGCCAUAUGGAAAUUAGCAUUACUCUUGCAUGUUUAUUAAUCUAGUGGAUACUAGCUGUUAUCAAUACUUGUUAUAUUGAGAUUCCGAUCAAAGGAUCGAGAGCAAGAACAAUGCAAGUUGGAAAGUGAUGAUUGAGACAUAUUGAGCUUUAGAUUUGCUUGCUGCCAUUGUGCUCAUUCGCACACGCUUGUGAGGGUCGCUCCCUACAAGCCGGCACUCCGGAGUUGGCCUACGCGACAGUUGCUCGCCCGUGCGGGAUUGGGUGCCGAAGUGGAUUGCCGUGGGGAGUGUACACUACCACAGGGCCAUUAGGCAUGGCGCAAGUUGGACUACCUUGAGUAGAUCCCUGUGAAUGAAAGGAAAGUGCUAAAGAAAAUUGGACAGUAAUGAAUGAUUACCAGUUACAGUGUACAAUAGUUACUUACACAUUUAUGCUUAUGUUCAUGCUUAUAAUAGUUGCUAUGCUUCUAUUAUUCAGUUGAUUCAUUACUGUUGAGACUAUGAUUACAUGUUGCUUACAUGCUCAUUACCUGUUAGUAUUGCAUAAUUAUAUAUCAUGCAAUUACUGCUUUCGCUUUCAUUUAGUACAUCAUGAGCCUAGUGGUGUAAUUCGCCGAGGCUGGCGUCUUACCCACUGGGAACUAUUGUUUAUAGUUCUCACGCCCUUUUGGUGGUUGUUUUUACAGAGCCAUUUACAGGAGAGGCUAGGGAUCGUGGCAAGGGAGUCGCGUCUAGCUAGACAUUGCUAGGAGCAUACUAGUCGAUCACCUUGCUACUCGGGCUAUGACCGAGGGUGAUGUCCCUAUGUAUAGAGAGACCACCAUUGUACCUAUUCUUUUUGUAUUCCCUGUGAUGUAUAUUUACUGCUGAACCAGAUACUAUAGUUAUGAUACUUGCUCUUUUAGUCAAGAUUUUGGAUUGUACACUCUUUGUUCUUUUGCUGAUAGUAUAUCGACUUGUACUUUGCUCUGAUAUCAGGAUAGGACUUUCUUUGUUUUACUUCCUAUCGACUUACUUUCUUCGUAGACGCCUUAUAUACUACAGGUGUAUGGCGGGUCUGUGAACGAACCGGAUAUGCUUCCGCUGGUACCCGGGCGUGACAGAUUAUAGUGGUAUCAGAGACUAGGGUUCAGUCUUAGUAGACCUAGAAACCUUAGGCUGGUUGGACUAUAAGAAUAGGCUCGUGAGAGACGAGGUCUAGUCGAGGUUGUUGUUAGCGAAAGUACUUUGAUUGUGUAUUUAUAAACUCCGAAUAGUAGGAGUUUGAUCGGGAUGUGCAAUUACUAACUUUGCAGAGGGUCACGUUGGCGGCCGACAACGUGACAUCGGAAGUUAGUACGCGUUACAUUUCAUUACUUUCGCUUCAUUAGCUGGUUUAUAUCCUCAAUGAGGGUUCAGUAGUAUAGGUUUUAUUAACCUAUGUUUGUUUUUGUGUUGCAGCUUAAGAUGCCUACGACUCGUUCGAGAGCCGCCGGGGCGGCUGAGGCAGCUGAUGCGGAGGAAGUGGAGACCUCCGUUACUUCCGGAUCUAGGGGGAUCCACGAGUUACAGGAUCAGCUUGCGAUGCUGAGGGAUCUAGUGACUCAGCAGGCUGUAGCAGCGCGACAGCAGAUGGUCGCUGCACGUCGACAGGAGGACAGGAUGAAGAGGUUAGAGGAUCUGUUACUGCGGCGGACGACCGACAGAGAGAUUCCAGAUUCUGUACUUCCAGAUUCUGUACCUACAGCACCAGAGAGGGGCACCACUGCGAGAGCACCGUCACCGGUACCUGAUACACCCCCAAUAGCCCCGAGGGUAGAGCCCCGACUGCAGACAGUAGCACCACCACCAGUACCUUUAGCGGCAUCAGGGACAGUGUUACCUGAGAUGGUGGGGGUUGAGGAGCGAGAGCGGAUGAUGGAACGACUGAAUGAAUUCCGUCACUGCAACCCUCGUAUCUUUGANNNNNNNNNNNNNNNNNNNNNNNNNUCGAUUUGAGUGUUGCUUUUGAGUUUGUUGCUUCCAACUGACUUAAACUGAGAAUUCAGCCAUUAAAGAUGAGCUAAUUAGAUGUGAAUUAACCUCCUUAGACCUGGGAUAAGCUACUUUAAAGCUUAAUUGGAAUUAUUAGCCAUUUAUGAAGCUAAAUUGGAACGAAAUGCAAAUUGUUGAGCGGAUUGAUGCAAUUUGGAAUUAUUUCUUCGCAGCAGGUCUUCGAGUCUCGUUGAGCUGAACUUGUACUCUUAGAAGCUGGUUUGGAAGGUAUUCUAACCCGAGGUAAGCAGGAAUUUCAGUUAGAAAACUGAAUUCGCAAGAUUCCGACUAUAUUUGCUAAUAUAUGAUGAUUUUGAUGUCGUGUUGAUGUUGAUCGCAGCGGGAGUUCAACCGACCUUUGGGUCAUCCUUGGUUGGCUUUGAGAAGCCUUUAGAGACUUAAUUGGAGGUACUAAAGGGAACCAAAACAGCGAUUUAUGUUACUACUUGAUACGAGAUGUGAAUUGAGCCGAAAUUGGACAUUUCGGCCAUAGAUUUAAUCCGAUCUUGAUGUUUGUUUUUCAGCGGGAUUGAGACCUAGUGGAGCUGAUCUUUGGGACUUGCCUUGGACUGAUUGGAGCCUAGUACUAGGUGGGUUUGACCUAACCAGAGCAAGUGAAGCUCCCCUAUGUUCUAUAUGUAUUCUAGAGAUGGCCUAAUUAUAUGCUUAUGUGAUUGUUAAAGGGCUCGGAAUUCGUCAUUAUGACGUUUAUCAUAUUUGAAAUAGAGCGAGAGAGCGUUCAUGCAUAAAAGUGUUCUUGCAUAAAAGUAUUCUUGUUUAGUUCAGUAGAACAACCAAGAGAUCAGUUUAUUAUGUUUCUAUGAUAGAGAAAGCAUAUAUACAUGAACGUAUUUAUAUUCAAUUCAGUUGAAUAACUUAUGAACAAGUGUAGGAUGCACUUAUAAAAUAGAAAACGAUGACAUUCUCUUGACUCUAAAGUAGAGAACUAUAACAUGCUUAUGCCCAUGUUGAUAGUGCCAUAAUAGUGGAAAGAUUAUAAUGCCAUGUGAUUUAGCAUUAUUUUUACAUGUUUACAAUCUAGUGGAUACUAGUUUUGGUUAUUAUUUGUGUAUUGAAUUUUCGAUCGGAGGAUCGAGAGUAAGAACAUUGCAAAUGAAAACAUGAUAAUUGAGACAUGUGGACAGUGAAAUAUGCUUGCUUGCCAUUGUGCACAUUCGCACACCCUUGUGAGGGUCGCUCCCUACAAGCCGGCACUCCGGAGUUGGCCUACGCGACAGUUGCUCGCCCGUGCGGGAUUGAGUGCCGAAGUGGAUUGCCGUGGGGAGUGUUAGUACCACGGGGCCAUUAGGCGCGGCGCAAGCCGGACUACCUUGGGUAGGUCCUGAUGAAUGAAAGGAAAACGCUAUGAGGUGAAAUGUAACUAAAUGACAAAGGACAGUAAUGAAGCUAUUAAUUCCAGUGAUACCAUAGUCACUUUCAUGCUCGUGGCUUACAUGUACUGUCCUAUAUUCAUGAUUACAGAAAUUGCCAAUCUAUUCUUUUAUGCAGAUGGAUCAUUAUGUAAAAGUUAUUACUAUGUUGCAUUACAUGCCUAUAUUACUUAUUAGCAUCAUGCUUAUAAUUAUGCAAUUAUCGUUAUUGCUUCAUAUUAGAUUACAUCAUGACCUAGUGGUUAAUUCGCGAGGCUGGCGGAACUACCACUGGAACUAGUUGUUAUAGUUCUCACGCCCUUGUUGGGUUGUUUUAACAAGAGCCUGCUUACAAGGAGAGGCUAGGAUCGUGGCAAGGGAGUCGCGGCUAGCUAAGGGACUACCUAGGCAGGUGUAGUCGAUACACCUUGCUACUCGGCUGACGAGAGGUGAUGUCCCUAUGUAUAGAAGACCACGUCUAUACCUAAUCCUUUGUAUUAUCCUGCGGCAUAUAUGUAUUGUUUGAGAUAAGAACUCUAUAGUUGUAUACUUUCUCCUUUUGCUGAGAUUUUUGGAUUUGUAUACUCUUUGUCGCUUACUGAUAGUAAUAUCGCUUGAUAUUUGCUCUUGAUAUCAGGCAUAGGUUCUACUAUACUUCCCUCUAUCGACUUGUGUUCUUGUAGACCGCUAUAUACCGCACUGGUUGCGGGUCUGUGCACGUGCCGGAUAUAGAUUGCCGCUAGUACGCCGGCGUGACAAUGGUCAGCAAUCUUUCAGGAGCAAGCAAAGACCAAGGCAGUCAGUGUCAGUCGAGGGCAUGGUUCUUCAGAGCCCUAGUGGAGCACCCGGCGUCGUCGGACACCCGCGUUGUGUUACUGUGGUGCGGCCUCAUGUCCGCCACAGUGUCCACAGCGUGGGGGCAGGUGCUUUCUUUGCGGCCAGGAGGGCCACUUUCGUUCAGAGUGCCCGAGAGGUUCUUUGCCUGCACCCUCGUCAGCGUCUGCACCUGCAUCUUCAGCUCCGAGCCAGGGGACCCCGACAGCACCCUAUCAGUGUAGGCGACCACCAGGACAGCGGCAGUCGGAGAGUUCGCAGCAGGGUUCGAGUGGGCGGAUGUAUGCCGCCCAGACUGAGGGCGCUGCAGCAGCACAGGAGGUCGUAGUAGGUAUUAUUUUGAUUCAUGAUGUGCGUGUUCGUGCAUUAUUUGAUACUGGUGCAUUACAUUCCUUUAUUGAUCGGCUAUUUGCCGAGUUGCAUAGCAUACAGUUAGUACCUACCCUGCAUUCGGGACGAGUGAUCGUGCCCGACCAUACCCUGGAUAUUUGUGAGUAUUGCCCUCGCUGCCCAGUUAGGAUAGGCGACUGGAUUAUGCUAGUAGAUUUACUAGCACUACACAAACUAGGUGAGUUUGAUGUAGUAUUGGGUAUGGAUUGGUUGACACAGUACUAUGCCACUAUUGAUUGCACGAACAGAACGGUGACCUUUAGGGAACCGGGUCAACAAGAGUUUGUUUAUAAAGGGUGUGUUCUAAUGCAGAAUGGCAGAGUAAUUGCUUAUGCUUCUCGCCAAUUAAAGGAUUAUGAAAAGAAUUACCCUACACAUGAUCUUGAGUUAGCAGCUGUGGUAUUUGCUUUAAAGCUUUGGCGCCACUAUCUCUACGGCGAGCGUUGCGAAGUGUACACAGAUCAUAAAAGCUUAAAGUAUCUGUUUACUCAGAAGGAAUUAAACUUGAGACAACAUAGAUGGUUGGAGUUACUCAAGGAUUAUGAUUUGACCAUCCUCUAUCAUCCUGGAAAAGCUAAUGUCGUAGCAGAUGCUUUAAGUCGAAAAUUGACGAAAAAUUUGGCAAUGUCGAUAACUAUGCAACCCCUAUUGGUAAAGGAAAUGGAGCAAUUGAAUUUGGAAGUUGUAGCUCCCGAUACGCCUUGGAGACUUAUGUCAUUAGUGGUGCAACCUACCCUGAUUGGUCGAAUUAAAGAAAAGCAAGCUCAAGAUGAGUUCUUGCAAAAGAUUCGAGCAAAGAUCACUGUUGAUCCAAUUGGCGAUUUUCGAGUGGAUGAUCAGGGAUUGCUAAAAUUCGAUGAUAGAAUUUGUGUGCCUGCCGAUCCAGAUAUUAAAGAGGAGGUUUUAAAGGAAGCACAUCGGGCACCGUAUACUUUACACCGUGGGAGUACAAAAAUGUAUAUAGACCUGAAGUCAAUUUACUGGUGGCCUAGAAUGAAAAAGGAAGUUGCUGAUUUUGUGGCCAGAUGCUUAACCUAUCAGCAGGUUAAGGCUGAACAUCGACUUCCUUCAGGGAAACUACAAAGUUUACCCAUACCAGUGUCGAAGUGGGAAAGGAUCACUAUGGAUUUCAUUGUUGGAUUACCUCGCUCAUAAGUAGGUCACGAUGCCAUUUGGGUAAUUGUGGAUAGAUUAACAAAAUCUGCCCACUUUAUCCCAAUCCAUACAGUCUGGUCAGGGGAGAGACUCGCACAAGUGUAUCUUGAUGAAAUUGUGCGAUUACACGGAGUACCUACUUCUAUUGUUUCAGAUCGAGACACCCGAUUUGUUUCACAUUUCUGGAGAAGUUUACAAGGGGCCAUGGGUACCCGAUUGGAUUUUAGUACUGCUUUCCACCCCCAGAGUGAUGGGCAGUCCGAGCGUACUAUCCAGACCCUUGAGGAUAUGUUGAGGGCCUGUGUGAUUGAUUACCAGGGCAGUUGGCCACAGUUCCUGCCGAUGGCUGAAUUUGCUUAUAACAAUAGUUAUCAAGCAAGCAUUCAAUGGCACCUUUUGAAGCCCUUUAUGGUAGAAAGUGCAGAUCACCACUUCAUUGGAGCGAAGUGGGAGAAAGAUUAGUUUUGGGUCCAGAUGUACUGCAAGAAGCUGAAGCUAAAGUUCGACUGGCACGAGAACGUCUACUGAUAGCACAAAGUCGACAAAAGAGCUAUGCGGAUAAACGUCGGCGAGAACUGGAAUUUCAAGUUGGCGAUCAUAUAUUCCUAAAGGUUUCCCCGACGAAAGGAGUUAAGAGAUUUGGCAUUCGAGGAAAGUUGAGUCCUCAGUUCAUUGGACCCUACGAAGUGUUGGAGCGGAUAGGCCCCGUAGCAUAUCGGCUUGAUGCUCCAAAGCCUCAAGAUCUUGCUCUCUUCCUACUCCUUCUUCUUCUCUCCUUCUUCUUCUCUCUCUAGAGUGAGUGUGAGGGAGAGAAAUGAGGGAGUGAGAGAGUGGAAGGACCAUAAAAGCCCUCUCAAGUAACAAUAUGUAAUAAGCCCUCCAACAAUCCAACCAAAGCAUCAGCACGGACUGGGCAAAAUUCGCCCAGAGGGACCGGUCUCUCCUUGCCUGGGACCGGUCUCUCGGUUCGUCCCGCAAAACCAGCGUACGGGAACCGGUCUCCCCAACCGGGGACCGGUCGCAUUGCCAUGGGGGACCGGUCUCCUCAACCAAGGACCGGUCCCCGAGAGUGAAAACUCUCAGGACCGCCCAAAACUCAGAUUUUUCGAGCUCUUUAAGUCGGAACACCUUCCACGGCAUUCCACCAAGUGUGGAAAAGCUCGGAACCCAAGUCAAACACUCGAACCUCGCAAUUUGCAAAGAUCUAGUUUGCUACAUUCACCCCUCCUAAAAAGGAGUUUUGUCCGUGUGACGCACUAGACCUUUGCAAAUUGCAAGGUUCGAGUGUUUGUUUCAUGUUUUGAGCUUUUCCACACUUCGUGGAGGGUCGUUGAUAGUGUUCCGACCCAUGGUUCGAACCCCGAGAUUGGAGGUUUAAAACCUAGCACCAAAUCCGAAAAGUCGGAUUUUUGGUCAGCUCUCGGGUAGCCUCAGCAGGGCUGUGUACCGGUACAGGGUUGAUGGCUGUACCGGUACGCGUUGAUGGCUAUACCGGUACGGGGCAGGUGUACCGGUACACAGACGGAUUUCGUGCGAACCCAAGGCUCGGGUUGGGCUGUUUCGCAAGUGUUGUACCGGUACGCGAGCCCGUGUACCGGUACACAGUGCAGUGCGAGCAGUUUUCUGGCAGGGGUGUUUUUGCAAUUAUUACAACACCUAUAUAUGUUACCCCAGCCCCCUUAGACAGGGUUUUGAGCCCUAGAUCAGUGGAGAACAAGGUGAGAACUCCCCCUCUUGAGUUCUUUUUUAUUUUUUUGAUGAAUUUUUGUGGGUUUUGAUCUCCUCCCCUUUGCUCUUCUUUGCUUCUUGUUGGAUUCCUCCAUGGGAGAAGCUUGGAUUUUGGAAUUGGAGCUUGUUUGAGGAUCAACCUUCAACCCUAGAGGACUCUAGGCUUGGUUUGGAGCUUUCAAGAGGUAAGCAACAAGUUUCCUUCCUCUAGAUUUGUGUUUUGUUGAUUUAUGCUAGUUGGAACCCUAUGUUUUGAGAUUUAGGGUUAGAAAUGGAGAUUCUUGAGUUGAGGCUUUUUGAUCAUGAUUGAUCUUAUUAGAACCUUCCUUUAGAUUGGUUUUGAAGGAUUCUUACUCCCUUUUGGAGAUCAAGAGAGAUUUUCACCAUUUUCGGUGAGUUUUUAGCCUUUUCCUUGAGUUUCUUAAUGUUUGAACUCAUGAAUUGUCGUUUUGAUGUUCUAACUCCCCUAGCCUAUCUCUUAGGGUGCUAGGAGUGAUUAUCGAAACUUCGUUAACGUUUCGGACGCCCGCGCGGAGCUUUUGGUGGGUUUGGCUUCAUUGAAAUGGGAGGAAAUGCCUUCUAUAUAGUUAAAUAUUUUCGUAUACUAUAAUUACAUGCAUAUUCAUAUUAAAUAAAAUUUAUGUGAAUUGUAGAAUGCUUAAAACCAACCUAUGUUAUGCAUCAUGAAAAAUUGACUCUAUAUUGUAGAAAGAAGCAUAUGCAUUGUUAGUAUGCAUGAGUUUAAUGUUCUAUUGAAUGAUGUAAGAUCAUGUUUCUUGUGUGGAAAAUGAUUUGAAUGACAAGCUUUUAAACUUAUUAUUCAUAUUGGAACAUAAUAAGCAAAAGUGUCAUAAAGGGACACUUGAACUAGAAAAUUGUUGAACUACAACUUAGAGACAUGAUGAUAGGCUACUGGAAAUCUACUAUAUUCUAUGUUUUAGACAUGAUGACAUAGAGAUAGGCCAUUGAAACUGUAAUAUACCGAAAAUUCGGAAAAUAAAUAUUGAACUUUAGUCAAAUUGACCAAAGUGCGAGGAUGGUACACUUCGGAAAGUCCGAAGGUGUUAAAAUGAGUAAAAGUGAGUUACGGGAGGUUUUCGAGAGCUAUAGAAUCAAAUUUGCAAAGCUGCAGAUUUUGAGCUCUCGGGGACCGGUCCCUAGUGGGAGAGACCGGUCCCCGAACGCGUGCAGAAUGAGACAGCCGAAAAAUCGGCUAAGUCCUGGAAGGAUAGCUCUCGGGAACCGGUCUCUGCCUGAGAGACCGGUCCCCCAGAGACCGGUCCCACAAGGAGAGACCGGUUGCACUGCGCGCAGCAGCUCUGGCUGCGCAGGGUGGACGUUCGGGAACCGGUCCCUGCUCGGGGAGACCGGUCUCUGCCUGCGCGGAAUGCCCAGUUCGGGCAGUGUAUUAAAGUGAAAGUUGAGGGGUUUAGCUGCAAUUUUGNNNNNNNNNNNNNNNNNNNNNNNNNNNNNNNNNNNNNNNNNNNNNNNNNNNNNNNNNNNNNNNNNNNNNNNNNNNNNNNNNNNNNNNNNNNNNNNNNNNNNNNNNNNNNNNNNNNNNNNNNNNNNNNNNNNNNNNNNNNNNNNNNNNNNNNNNNNNNNNNNNNNNNNNNNNNNNNNNNNNNNNNNNNNNNNNNNNNNNNNNNNNNNNNNNNNNNNNNNNNNNNNNNNNNNNNNNNNNNNNNNNNNNNNNNNNNNNNNNNNNNNNNNNNNNNNNNNNNNNNNNNNNNNNNNNNNNNNNNNNNNNNNNNNNNNNNNNNNNNNNNNNNNNNNNNNNNNNNNNNNNNNNNNNNNNNNNNNNNNNNNNNNNNNNNNNNNNNNNNNNNNNNNNNNNNNNNNNNNNNNNNNNNNNNNNNNNNNNNNNNNNNNNNNNNNNNNNNNNNNNNNNNNNNNNNNNNNNNNNNNNNNNNNNNNNNNNNNNNNNNNNNNNNNNNNNNNNNNNNNNNNNNNNNNNNNNNNNNNNNNNNNNNNNNNNNNNNNNNNNNNNNNNNNNNNNNNNNNNNNNNNNNNNNNNNNNNNNNNNNNNNNNNNNNNNNNNNNNNNNNNNNNNNNNNNNNNNNNNNNNNNNNNNNNNNNNNNNNNNNNNNNNNNNNNNNNNNNNNNNNNNNNNNNNNNNNNNNNNNNNNNNNNNNNNNNNNNNNNNNNNNNNNNNNNNNNNNNNNNNNNNNNNNNNNNNNNNNNNNNNNNNNNNNNNNNNNNNNNNNNNNNNNNNNNNNNNNNNNNNNNNNNNNNNNNNNNNNNNNNNNNNNNNNNNNNNNNNNNNNNNNNNNNNNNNNNNNNNNNNNNNNNNNNNNNNNNNNNNNNNNNNNNNNNNNNNNNNNNNNNNNNNNNNNNNNNNNNNNNNNNNNNNNNNNNNNNNNNNNNNNNNNNNNNNNNNNNNNNNNNNNNNNNNNNNNNNNNNNNNNNNNNNNNNNNNNNNNNNNNNNNNNNNNNNNNNNNNNNNNNNNNNNNNNNNNNNNNNNNNNNNNNNNNNNNNNNNNNNNNNNNNNNNNNNNNNNNNNNNNNNNNNNNNNNNNNNNNNNNNNNNNNNNNNNNNNNNNNNNNNNNNNNNNNNNNNNNNNNNNNNNNNNNNNNNNNNNNNNNNNNNNNNNNNNNNNNNNNNNNNNNNNNNNNNNNNNNNNNNNNNNNNNNNNNNNNNNNNNNNNNNNNNNNNNNNNNNNNNNNNNNNNNNNNNNNNNNNNNNNNNNNNNNNNNNNNNNNNNNNNNNNNNNNNNNNNNNNNNNNNNNNNNNNNNNNNNNNNNNNNNNNNNNNNNNNNNNNNNNNNNNNNNNNNNNNNNNNNNNNNNNNNNNNNNNNNNNNNNNNNNNNNNNNNNNNNNNNNNNNNNNNNNNNNNNNNNNNNNNNNNNNNNNNNNNNNNNNNNNNNNNNNNNNNNNNNNNNNNNNNNNNNNNNNNNNNNNNNNNNNNNNNNNNNNNNNNNNNNNNNNNNNNNNNNNNNNNNNNNNNNNNNNNNNNNNNNNNNNNNNNNNNNNNNNNNNNNNNNNNNNNNNNNNNNNNNNNNNNNNNNNNNNNNNNNNNNNNNNNNNNNNNNNNNNNNNNNNNNNNNNNNNNNNNNNNNNNNNNNNNNNNNNNNNNNNNNNNNNNNNNNNNNNNNNNNNNNNNNNNNNNNNNNNNNNNNNNNNNNNNNNNNNNNNNNNNNNNNNNNNNNNNNNNNNNNNNNNNNNNNNNNNNNNNNNNNNNNNNNNNNNNNNNNNNNNNNNNNNNNNNNNNNNNNNNNNNNNNNNNNNNNNNNNNNNNNNNNNNNNNNNNNNNAUCACCAAGUAGUGACAAAGUAGCUUAGAUUUUGGGCCUUAUGUCGUGUACAGUGUUUCCGGACGGAGAUACAGUAGCACAGAUUUUGUGCUUUAUAUCAUUGACAAAGACAGUGCGGGGCCCUGGCUACGGUUAAACCGGGCUGGGCUCGUGCAGUUUGUCUGCGGCUUGCCUGUCUCAAAGGGGAUAGGCGGGUUCCGAGUAGUGUGGACCUGAGACGGACUUAUUCGCUUGCAUGCCAUUGUGCUCAUUCGCACAUACUUGUGAGGGUCGCUCUCUACAAGUCGGCACUCCGGAGAUAGCGAUCGCGACAUAUGCUCGCCCGUGCGGGAUUGAGCGCCAAAGUAGGAUGCCGUGGGGGAGGCUCAUUCCUAGAGUGGGGAUGUUGUCUACCACGGGGCCAUUGUUCGCACGGCGCAGGCCGAACUACCUACGGGUAGCUUCCACAGGAUUGGGUUACUGGUGACAUAUUGUACCUUUUUGGACAAUCACUAGAAUAGUAAACAAUGACAUCUUUAUUAUUUACAUUGUGGAUAUUGGGUUAGUUUCAUACUUAUGCGUUUACAUGUUGGAUACUCUUGUGCACAUACUUGUAGUAGUUGCUUUCUUAUGCAAAUUCAUGCUAAGUAGAGAUCAUGUGAUAGAUUAUUACUCAUGCAAAUCCAUGCUAAGUAGAGAUCACGUGGUAGAUUAUUACUGAUGAAAAUAGUGACUUCAUGCUAUAUUGAGCUUCCAUUUCAGUGAGUUAUUUGUUCAUAUUAUUCUUACCUGCCUGACUUACCUUACUUGCUUAGUUUUGGGCCUAGUGGUGCAUUUCACUGAAGUCAGUAAUUGUCCACUGGGAACUAUUAUUUAAUAGUUCUCACGUCCUCUGUUUUAUGUUUUUCUUUCAGAGCCCUCUGCAUCGGCGGAGGCACGGGACUGAAGCAAGGGGAUCGCUAGCUAGAUAGCGAGGACUUACUGUUACUCUUAAGUAGUUUUCCCUCUUUUUAUGUUUUGGGAGAGCGAGAGAUUUUGUUUACCAUGUAUAGAGACCACCUAUGUACUCUUUUAGUUCUUGUAUUUGGAUCUUUGGUUGUACUACUUUAUGGUUUAUUUAGUGAUUUUAGCUCUCUACUCUUCACAUUGCUUUAGUUUCUAGAUGAUGUAUAUUGCUCUGAUACUUCUAGUUGUUUUUUUUUAUUUUCUCAUUUAUCGUUUUGUUUUAGACGCCUUAUAUGUUUUAGACGUAUGGCGGGUCUGUGCACGUGCCGGGCGGGCUUCCGCUGAGCCCCAGGGCAUGACAGAUUAAUUUGGUAUCAGAGUCUAGGGUUGAGUCUUAGAGGACCUAGCAAACCUUAGGCCGGUUGGACUAUAGGAAAUAGGCUUGUGAGAGACAAUGUCUAUUUGACUUGUGAGCGAAAGUAUCAUGAUUGGGUAUCUUGAAAACUCUAAAAGGUUGGAGUUGAUCGAAGUGUAUGGCCUCUAACUUCGCGGAGGGUUACGUUGGCGGCCGACAACGUAACAUCGGGAGUUAGUGGUGAAAAACACUUCCUUACUUUCGCAUGAUUUGGGCAUUGUCGAUUUGAGCGGGGAUGCGAUAGCGUAGGUUUUACUAACUUGCGCUCUUAUGAUGUUGUAGUGACGAUGCCGAUUACACGCUCUCAAUCUGCUGGAGCGGAUAAUGCGGCAAACUUGGAGGAGGUCGAGACCUCCGCUACCUCCGGAUCCGGCGAGGUCCGUGAGUUGAGGAGCUAGCUUGCGACCCUUACUGAUCUCGUGGCUCAGCAGGCGGCGGCAGCCCAACAGCAGGCCGAUGCAGCGCGCCGACAAGAUACCCGGAUAAAGCGCCUGGAGGACCUUCUUCUACAGCAGGCGGCAGCUUCCAGGGAGACCCAGGCCCCUACACUGCCAGCACCAGUUGUGGACGUCGCGCCGAGAGCGCCGUCCCCUGCGCCCAGUUCGUCGCGUGCGGCGCCCGUGGCCGCACCUCAGGAGGAGGGUUUGGCGGCGCCACCUGUUCAGGCACCCCCGAUUGGAGCUGUUUUCCCCGUGAUGGUUGAGAGGGCGGAGCGGGACCGACUGAUGGAGCGCCUCAACGAGUUUAGGAGGUGCGGUCCCCGGAUCUUCGAUGGCUAGACGGUCGACCACUGGAUCGUGGAAAAGUGGUUGAUGCAUAUGAAGAAGCUCUUCAGCGACACCUUCGUGGAGGAGAGAGAUCGAGUUUGGCUAGCUACUCACCAUCUGGACGGCGAGGCCUAUCGCUGGUGGUUGGAUCUUCAGGAGAAUCCUAGCACCGACUUGGCGGCUAUUACAUGGAAGAAGUUCAAGGAGCUUCUGUUGGCGCACUACUUCCCGACCAGCGUCAAGAGGAAGAUGGAGCAGGACCUGUGCAGCUUGCGCCAGGGAGACCGCACUGUGGUCGUGUACAAGAGGGAGUUUUCUCGACUUCUCCACUGCGUGCCUUUCAUCGUGCAGGACGACGAGGACAAGGCCCGCAUCUUCGAGCGAGGGUUGCGACCGUCGAUCUUCCGGUUCAUGUAAUCCUCUAACCUCCAAACCUACCGGGAGGUGGUGGAUCGCGCGCUUAUCGUGGAGAGCGGCGCGGCAGAGAUGGAGGAGCGGCGAGAGGGCUUGGACAGGGGUAAGGCCAAGAGGCCUGCGGCAGAGGGUGCGAGCCAGAUGCACUCUAGGAGGCCGCCGAAACACCCUAGGAGCCAGCAGCGUGGGCGCGGCCCAGCAGUGUGGGCGCGGCCCAGCAGUGUGGGCGCGGCCCAGCAGCGCAGCGAGGAGGUCCUGAUCGACGCCGACCUCCCCAGUGCGUGAUCUGUGGUGGUCCUCACACUCCACCGUAAUGUCCACAGCGGGGAGUUCCGUCGAAACGAGCGGAACGCGGAAUUGAACGAGUUACAGUGGACCCUAAGUGCAUUGGACGUUCAAAAGGAGCAAAAGGGACCCGUAAGAGAGAGCAAAUCUGGAAAUCUGGCUAAGUCCCAGAUUUUGAGCUCUCGGGGACCGGUCCCUGAAGGAGAGACCGGUCCCCGUGCGCGUAGCCUGCCAGGAAAUCCUGAGGCAUCCGGUCCCUGGUGGUGAGACCGGUCCUCGGGAGACCGGUCCCUGACGGGCAGACCGGUCCCUCGCUGCGUAACAGCCGAAAAUUCGAAAAUUUGGCUAAGUCCUGGAAAACCCCCGUUCGGGAACCGGUCCCUGGUCGGGGAGACCGGUCCCCGAAGGCGAAAAUUGCCCAGUCUGGGCAGAUCAAGUAGAAACAAGUAGAGGGGCUUAAGUGCAAUUGUUACAACACUAUAUAUGACUCACCCCCUCUAUUCCACAGCCAUUUCCACCCUCUAACCCAUUUUCCUCUCUUUCUCUCUCUAGAACCCAUACUCUAGGACUUGGAGAAGAAGAAGAAGAAGAGAAGAGAAGGAGGAUUUGGAGGCUUUGGAGGUUCUAGGCGCUCUCCAACAAGGAGAAUCUUGGUGAGGCUUGGACUAGAGGUAAGUUUUGUAAGGUUUUCCUCUAGGGUUUGGAUUUUGGCUUAGAAAAUUGGAGCUUUGUGCUCCCUAGAGGCAUUGAUGGCUCUUUUGAGCUAUGUACACCAUGGUCCCCAUGAGAGCUUAAAGUGCUCUCAUGGUGAAUCCUUGGAAGUGAUGUUUGGAGCCUUAGGGUUGGUACCAAAGGUCUAGAAACCUUACUAGGAUGCUUCUUAAUUGAUCCUAAGCUAUUCUUUGCUUAGGGUUGGGAUCGAUUCAUGGGAAAACCCUAAAUGGCAACAUUAGGGCUUGAAUUUGGGGUUUUUGCCCUAGGAUUUUUCGGGGACAAAUUGACCCCGUAGAAACCCAAUUGGGGGUGCCCUAAACACGUUGGACAACUUCGUUUAAUAUUUCGAAAAUGUUAGAGUAUGGUUCAUGUACAAAAAGGCCUAAUAUGGCACUAUUGUGAUUAUAGGGCGCGGAGUCGGCUUCCGUAAAGUGCGGGGGCCUUCAUAUUCUACACCCACACGACCAAUAGAGGUGGGGGGUGCACGNNNNNNNNNNNNNNNNNNNNNNNNNNNNNNNNNNNNNNNNNNNNNNNNNNNNNNNNNNNNNNNNNNNNNNNNNNNNNNNNNNNNNNNNNNNNNNNNNNNNGUAUACCAUCGACGGCCCUCCACCAAGUGUGGAAAAGUUCGGAAUACAAAUCGAACACUCGAACCUCGCAAUUUGCAAAGGUCCAAUGUGCUACAACUACACUGCCUGGACUGGGCAGAUUUCGCAUGCGGGGACCGGUCUCCCCGACCAGGGACCGGUUCUCGAAGCUCCUCCCUGCGACAGCCAGGGCUCCCGCGCGAUGCGACCGGUCUCACUUUGGGGGACCGGUCUCUCGGGGAUCAGUCUCUCCAGCAGGGACCGGUUCCCGAGAGCCUAAUCUCAGGGACUUAGUCGAUUUUUCAGCUUUCUCAGUUUUCAUGCGUUCGGGGACCGGUAUCUCCUACCAGAGACCGGUCCCCGAGAGCUCAAAAUCUGCAGUUUGCAGAUUUUUCAUUUUCAAGCUCUCGAAAACCUCCCAUAACGCACUUUUGAUUAUUUUAACACCUUCGGAUUUUUCGAAGUGUACCAUCCUCGCACUUUGAUCAAUUUGACUAAAGUUCGAUAUUUAUUUUCCGAAUUUUCGGUAUAUUACAAUCGUAGAACCCAAACUAGGGAUUUGAUUAACCUAGGAAUGGUUUUAAUGGAGUCUCUAGAGUGGAUUGAAGCUUCUUUGCUUCCGAAGGAGAUCAAACCCUAGGUUUGAUAUAUGCUAUGGAGCUAGGGCACCCAAAUUUGGGGCUUUUGCUCGGGAGGAUUUCAAAGUGAAAUAAACCCUCUAGAAACCUAAUUGGGGACCAAACGAAUGCGUUGGUGCGCUCGGUUUAACGUUACGAAAAGACUAUGCGAAGUUAUGAGCAAAAUGGCCUAAUAUGGCUUUGUUUUGCCGCAGGUAGCGAACUAGGCGGCUAAAAAUCUCGAGAAAUUCACCGUAGCACCUAAGUAAGCCUACAAGGUAGGUGGUGCUAUCCAAACUUGUUGAAAUUCCUCUAUGCCUAAUGUGUCAUUCAAUUGAGCAUAUAUUUAUAUUGUUGCAUGCAUUAUAGGGUAGAUGUGAUGUUAUAUAUGUGAAUGUUGCAUGAUGUGAGACACGUGCUAUUCGAAAUGUUUGAGAACCUAUUAAACCCUAUAUGUAUGCAUGAGAUAUAAUGUGAGCGCCCAAUGAGAUGAAAGAACAAAGUGACACAAUAAAACAUAGAUCAAGUGGCAUCCGACAAUGUAAAGUAAUGUGACACUAGAGUUAGGGUGUGGCAUCAAGGAGAAAUAUGACGCAAAGAACAAUGAUAAUGAUUAGAGACAAGUAAAGAAAAUGAAAGUGGCAUAAAGAACGAGUAAAGUUAAAGAACAAUGAUUGCUAGAGUUAGCAAAAUGAAGUGAUGUAAAGAACACUAGAGUUAGUGUAAAGACAAUGAUUGAACUAUAUAUCCUUAGAGUUAAGGAUCGAUCAUACUUGCUAUGAGUUCCGUGCUCGAGGGCGGUAGCUCCCCCUCGAGCGAUGCGUUCCGAAGUUUUGCAUCACGGGUUGGAGUAAACCCGAGGACAGUCUUAGCGGGAGGCAGCUGAGGGCCCGCGAUGAUGGACUUAAUGUGGGCAAGUUAAUGUGGCGAAACCCCCGGGUUAGUCGUGAGAUUAAAGAACAAAGAACAAAGAUUAAAGAAUAAAGAGUAAGCAACAAAGAACUUGCAUACUUGCAUGAUUUACGUUGAGCAUAUUUCUUGCUUUGUUGUUCAGGCAUAUUAGCAUCAUGAUUAUAGUUUGGUUACUAUUCUACUUAUCCUUUCUAUUAUGCCUUAGUUAGUCCUAGUGGAAAAGUCGAUGAGAUUGGGGCCGAACCCACUGGGAACUUCGUUGUAGUUCUCACCCCACUAUUUCCACAGAGCCGGGACCGAGCGAGCCGACGAGCGACCGCGGUAAAGGUAUCGCGCCAUAGACAGUGACUACCCGAGUCGGGUUUGCAUUUUGUUAGUAGCCUACCAUGUAUCUUCUUUUGUAUUUGAAGAUGUUUAUGUAUAAUGCAAAUGAGAGAAAAGAAUGUAAAGCUUCAUUUUGAGUAAAUGUGAUGUAAAAAGAAAUGAUGAAAAGACUAUGUAAGAAAUUGUGAAUGAAAAUGUUGGUGACAAUGUAUAUGAUCCAAAAUGAAUCAUAGUACUUGUGUAGUUGUUCAGUUUCCUAUCUUUCACUCAUGGCUAUUGCUUACUCUCAUGUAAGCCGUUUUUGUAUAUUUCCGCUAGUGCUUUUCUCUACUUGAAAAUGUACAGGUGAUGAGCCUUUGGCGAAUAGGGGAAACUCUAUUCGUUCGGCGUCUGUUUGACGUGCUCGGGUCGGCCCAAAUUGGUAUCGGUCCCGGGGCGUGACAGAUCGAGAAGGCAGGGAUAGUGUAUCGGCAAGGAGGAGGCCCGCGGUGGAUCUUGCGUCGUAGAGAAGAAGGCACGGAGGGCAUACUUGCGAAACACAUUAACUUAAUUAUUACUACUCACUCUCCGAAAGCUCACUAAUUAAUUAAUUAAUCGAUAAGAUUCAAGUUGGGAGCCACCGGCUUAGUUAGCUCUUUAAUUAAUUAGCUCGUAUGUAUGCUGAGGAUCCGACUGGUGGCGGAGAAGGAUGCGGAUGAGGAUGAGAGGAAGGAGGAGGUGGAAGAAGAAGAGGAAAAAAAUAGUGUAAAGUUCACCUAAAGAGUACAAUUUUGGCCUAAAGAGUGUAACUCUCAUCCUAAAAAGUGUAAUUUUUGAAUGAAAGAGUGCAAUUUCCCUUAAAAUAGUGCAAAAUUUUUUUUAAACAGUGUAAAUUAAUUUUAACAAUGUAAUUUCAUCAUCUUCUUCCUUAUAUGAUUUUUGGUCUUUUCUGUAGGAAAAAAAAAAUUUUAUUUUUAUAUUUUAUUAUUCUUAUUUUUAUUCUUAUUUUUUUCUCUAUAGUUUUUUUUUGUGUCACGACCUCUCCCUUGUCCUCUAUCGCAACCAUCGCUAUCACACCCUGAGACCCGCCUAUUUGGUCGGAUUCGAGCGUGCCGACAGACCGUCGAAUGGACAGAGUUUUUCUUACAUGUCCAAGGCAUCGCAACAGUACAAGUCAAGUGGUUCCAAACAGGAACAGAUUUCACAUACUGAAUACAUAACAAAAAGUAUCGAAAAAAUAAAGUACAAACUAUUACAAGCAUUCAGUUCACUUAACAUUCAAUUUACAUUUUCGAUUCUUUUACUUACAAAUACAGUCGACUAUUACAAAUUAUUACAACUUGGUUCUCUCUCUCCAUUCUCAUACCCCUAUGCUAGACCAACUCAGGGUACUACUAUCUCUGAUCACAGUGGUAGGGCGCUAUCUACGGAGCUAUGCUCUUUCCUCGCGCCGUCGUGCCGCUCUCGCGUGGACCUGGAAAAACAUGGGGUGAGAACUAUUGUCCAUAGUUCCCAGUGGGACGGCCACCUAAGGGAAGAGCUCGACCCACUAGGUCGAAAAGGGGCAAAAUAACAUGUUAGUCCAACAGAUAUAUAUCAUCAUAUAAUUUAUGCAACUAACAGCUAUCAUGCUUUUGCCUCACAACAUGCAACAUGCAAAUCAUGCAACAAUGCAAGUAGAUCUACUUAUUCUACUUUCUACCUCGCUAUCCACAGCUCAUACAACUAGCUUCUAAGGUUUCCUCUACCUUAGAUCCAUAUCAUUUACCAUUUGCUCCUAAGAUUUCUUCUACGUUAACCAAGCUAACCACCCGACUUGGUCUCGAGUUAAUCAUCCGUGGAUAACAGCGCACAGCCAGGCUCGAAGUGAAGACGUCUCACAUGCACCUCAGCCUGACCUCCCAACUAUGGGUCAUCCAGCGAGGGAGGAAAUACCGUAAACCCCGUGACCACCUGUCGCAUGGCAUACCGGGCAAGGAGAACCACACAUACUCGUUAAAUCAUUGUCGGGCAAGGAGAACCACACAUACCCGCAGUUAUGAUUCCAUUUGCCAUUCCACUUGCCAACACAAUUGCCGUGCGAGGAGAACCACACAUACCCACAAGCAAACAAUCCUAGGAAUUCCGGAAUCCACUUUCCACAUUUCAAGGGUUAGCCUCAUACCCUAUAAAAUCGACCUCUCUAGAUUCGACUCAUACACGUCCUAGUGGCCCUUUUACCACUAUAAUUCACGACCUAGGUUCAACCACGCUAGGUGUCACUACAUGUCAUAACCUAGGUUCAACCACGCUAGGUUUUAUGUCAUUUCCACCUAGAUCUCGACUCUAGGUUCACUGUUCAACCUAUGUUCAAUAACACUAGGUUCAAUGCCACUCAAUCUACUAGUUAUUCUAGUUGUCCACACCUAGGAUUCGUAAUCUACAUGUCCUUGUUUUCCAACUAUCGAGUUCUCUAAUCAGCCUAGUGUCACGCCUCGGGACCCAGCGGAAGCCCGCCCGGCACGUGCCCAGACCCGCCAUACGUCUAAAACAUAUAAGGCGUCUAAAUACAACAAUGAUAAAGGCAAUAAUAAUAAAGGACAUCUAGGAGUAUCAGAGCAUAAUAAAUGUUUAAAUGCUACAACAAGGGGUAAGGAUAAAACUGUAAAUUCACUAAAUAAAACAUAAAGUGAUACAAGAAAAUCCCAAAUACAAGUGCUAUAGGUAGAAACAUAGGUGGUCUCUAUACGUGGAUACAAAAACCUCUCACUCUCUCAACUACAAAAAGAAAGAGUAAACCACUUAGGCAAAGUACCGCUCCUCGCUAGCUAGCUAAGCGAUCCCCAUGCCGCGAUCCCGUGCCUCCGCCGGUGCCGAAGGCUCUGAAAAGUAAACCAUAAAACAGGAGCGUGAGAACUAUUAAAAAUAGUUUCCAGUGGGCAAUUACUGACUUCAGUGAAUGCACCACGAGGCCCAAAGCUACAAAAGGUGUCAGUGACUAUAAAAGUAGAAAAGCGAAAGGUAAGAAAAAAUGUAACUUACUACAACAUGAUAUCUCUACUUAGCAUAAUCAGCAUAAGUAUGAAGCAACUAUGCACGAAGUAAAAAUCUCCAACUACCAUAAUAUUCACAAUGCGAAAUAGUAAAGUUCCGUUGUUUACUAUUCUAGUCAAUGUCCAAGUAGUACACUAAGUCAUCAUCUGUCCACAUGUCAUAAUGAAUACUCAAAGUAAAAUCUGAAGAGACCCACCCGAAGGCUGUCUAUGGCCCUGAGACCCACCCGUAGGCUGUCUGGCCGGUGCCGAGCCUAAUGGCCCCGUGGUAGUCAUCAUCCCCACCCUAGGAAUGAGCCUGUCCCACGGCAAUCCACUUCGGCGCCCAAUCCCGCACGGCGAAUAUGAAUCGCGAUGGCCAUCUCCGGAGUGCCGGCUUGUAGGGAGCGACCCUCACAAGCAUGUGCGAAUGAGCACAAUGGCAAGUAGUCAAACGAUCUGUCGCAAGUACCAAGUCCUCAUGUCUAAUAACAUGGAAUGUGUCAAGUAUCCCAAUGGCCUAUCCCUAUGUCAUCAUGUCUCUAACAUGGAAUAUAGUGCAGAUAUCGUAAGUGGCCUAAUCAAUAUUCUGUUAUGUUUGCAAGUUUCAUAUUUUACUAAUCCCAAGUCGCCCCUUUAUGACACUUUUGUCAACCGAGUCCAAGCAUGGCAUGCAAAUGUUCAUGAUGCAGAGUCACUCAAUUCUAGCAUGGAGACAUGUCUCAUCCUUGCAAAACCAGAGCACUAACAUCCACAAUGCAUGCCAAUCCUACACAUAUAGCCCUACCAUAUGGAGUACAAAUUUUUACAUAGCAGAGCAUGCAUUUAAUGUUCUAAAUUCAUAUAAAUUCAUGUUUAGCAUGAAUUUACAUUCAAAAUACUUACAAAAAAGUCUAUGAACAUAAGGACGGCAUUUUGCCCGCCGCAAUUUUCAUGAAGUCAAACGCCACAAAAAUCGUGACUCUUCAGUUUCCUGCCGAACGAUAGGUAUCCCACAAGCUUCCUAGUACCCUAGAACAUCAAAAAAUAGGGUCACCGCCAAACGAACGAAGAGCAAAUAGUCUCAAAGCAUUUAACGCUUCUUAAUCUAGGUUGGGAAAAACUCCACCUCAGUAAAACCGCUCUCUAAUCUUCAAAUGAAAGGUAGGGUAGUCUUCCCAAUCUAACCCUAAUAUACAGUUCCAAACCAUUGCAAAAAUGAGAUCAAGAACGCCUCAAUCCAAAAAAAACCACCCAAAAUAAAUCCUACAUUCCAAAAAUCUAGGUUUCAUUGCUAGUAAAACUAAAAGAAAACAUGUAUCAAAUGGGGAUUACAAGCUACCAACCCCAAAGAGAAGCUCCAAUCCAACUCACAAAGCCCAAGUAGUAGUUUGAAGUUGAAUCCACACAAAAGCUCCAAAGAGCAAGCUCAAGCCUUCAAAGGUGAGAAAAUGCAGGGAAGAAGAUGUGCUCUAAGGCCUCCAAGCAAGCUCCUUCUCCCUUCUUCCCUCUUUUCUCGCUUCCCUUCUCUUCGCUCUCUGCUCUAGAAUAUAAAGGGUUAAAAGAAUGAAAAGGAAGAGACGAGAAGAAAGCUCUCUAUAUGCUCUAAAAGUAAGCAAAUCCUAGAUAACCCUCAAAAUCCAAAAUCACAUCAAGCCCGGUCUGGGCCAGUUUCGGCACAGCAGGAUCCAUGUUCUCCCGACCUGGAGCCGGUCCCUCUCACCGCCCCCGAAAAUCCAACAUUCGGGAAACCGGUCUCUCCCUGCGCGGACCGAUCUCUCCCCGCGCAGCACACGCGCCUCGGGGGACGCGGUCUCUGACUGCCAGGGCACCGCUUGCACUCGCCCGACUGCGCAGCACUUGUUCACCGGUUUAGGACGCGAUCCAUCCUAUCAGGGACCCGGUCCCGAGAGUAUAACAUCUCAAGGACUCAACCAAAACUGCUCGGUCCGAGAUCUGAACUUUUGGCCGGUAUAAUCUCCAUCGACGUGCCCUCCACCAACGUGUGGAAAGAGGUUGGAAAUACAAAUCGAACACUCGAACCAUCCGCAAUUGCAAAGUCAUGUGCUAUCAUCUCACUCCUCUAAAAAGAGUUUUGUCCGCGAAACUCGAAAGCAAAAAGCAUACACUCAAGGCUGCCAUCGAAAAAGAUGGAUAUGCGCUCCUCUGCAGGCGCUACUCUCCGAAGCUCCCACGGUGCCUCGCGCUCCUCGCGUGGGUUGCUCCAAAGAACCUCAACAUACGGAAUAUCCCGAUCGCACUUUAUUCACGCUAGCAGCCAAAAUCUUCACGGUUGCUCCCUCACGCGAUCUUCAGAUCCUCCAGCGCAGGCUGCCAACUGUAUAAGUUCCCAAAAGCAUGAGGCGGAAUCAUGAAUGUACUUACUUCCGAAGGACUGAUACAUAAAGACGUUGGCACGCGGAUGUUCGGUGGUGAAACGCAUCCGUACCUACCGGAGCUAACACGCUCCAAUGAUCUCAUACGGUCACAAUUAAACAGGGAACUCAACUUUCCUCGAACCCCAAACUCUUGAUCCUCUAGUCGCGAGACGCUUCAAGAAAACAUCGGUCCCAACUUGAGAACUCCAAGUCUCGCCGUCGUCGAUCGGCGUAGCUCCUCUGUCUACUCUGCGCCCAAGUCGCUCCCGGGCAAUCGAACCUGUCCUCAGGCUUCCUGGAGCACCAUCGGGGCUAAAGGCCAAAACUCCUCGCCACUCGCUCGGCAAUGAAGUGCGAUCUACAAACUUCCUUGUCCAUAUAAAGUGCUUCGAAGGGCGCCCAUCUUGAUCUUACUUGAUAACAUGUUGUUAUAAGCAAUCUUCCGCCAUUAGGUAAUGCAGCGACCAAAUCCUCCUUGGAGUCUAUCAACGCAUCUUCAGAGCAUAAUCCUCUCAGGUCUGAAUAGUCGGCUCCCGACUCGUUCCAUCAACUCUGGCGCCUGUGGAAUGCUAUACUGAAAUCCAAAUCGGUGCCUAAAGUGUCCUGUAAGAGCCUCCUCCAAAAGUGGGACACGAAGCGCGUGUCGCGAUCAGAUACAUCGAUGCUAGGCCACUUCCAUGAAAGUCGCACAUCUCAUCCAAGUACACUUGUGCGGAUCUUCUCCUCAGCAGGUCCAAGUCGUAUGAAUAGUAUAAGUGCUGCCGACUUCGUCAACCAUAUCCAGCGGACACGCAAUAGCGUCAUGCGCCCCACCUGUGAGCGUGCAAUCAAUGUCACAAAGUCCAUGGUGAUCUUCUCCCAUUUUCACACACCCGGAAAUCAGGCUCAAACUCUAAAGUUUUCCCCGCGAAAACUCGCUGCCUGCAGCCUUUUACUUGUUGACAUGGUUAGAGCAACGAGCACACUCGCCAACGUCUCUUUCAUCCGGGCUACCACAUAAAGCACUUUAGAUCCUUAUACAUCUGCGUGCCUCCGAUGUAUAGCUAGCGGCGCUCGUGCGCUUCUUGAAGAACAUCCUCUUAAUCCCGAAUUCGCGGGUAUACACAAUCCGCCACGGAAACGCAUCAAUGCCCUGAUCGCCAAAAGGAAUCCGCGCGUCGCAACAUCAAAACCCGUUUUACAAUCGAAUCUUUUGCAACUCCACAUACGGAAUCUUGCUUUCUUUAAUUCUAUUUCCAAAAGAUAGAUGCACUACCAAAGUCAUCAAUCUCAAGGGUGUGGUCAGGAGUCACCACCUCCAAACUCCAUCGAUUUCAUCCUGCUCGAGUCACUGCGGUUGAGUCACAAACAAUGCAUCGUAAGUUUCUAUCGAUUUCCUACUUAAGCGCAUCCGCACACCAGAAUCAACUUAGCCUUGCCCGCCGGUGGCAAAGAACUCUCAUAAAUUAUCCAAGGGAAAGAAAAAAAGAUCAUCACAGUCCUGAGGGCAGCUCCAAACUAUCUGCGCUGCCUCGAAGUUCAACCCGUUCUGAUAAUAGGUACUUUACGAGUCUCCUUGUGAUCCGCCCGUUAUACUCACGACUGACGUUCGCCCAUAAAAGAUAGUGCGGCCAUAGCUUCAUUAUGCGAACACUAUCGGCCGCGCAACUCCGAAAUCAUGGCGUACGGGUUAGUUCUUCUCAUAUUCCUUUAGUUCUGCGAGAAGCUCAUACGUCCGAUCUACCCUGCCCUUCACUGCAUCCAAUACAGCAACGUGCCUCAACUCACACUUAAAGUGAAGCAUCACUAGAGAACCCAUACCCUGCUUGGGACCACUACUGGUAGGGCGUCAGAUCGGGCGGUCGUCAUUAUCUCGUCUUCAACUCUUGGACAGCUUCGCUCGCACAGCUGCAUCCAAAUGAACUCCUGAACUACCUUUGUGCGUGAGCCUCGCUAGGGAGGGAGAGAGAGCGCGUUGCCAAACAGUGCCGAGCUGAGCAACGAAUCCUCCGACGUCAACCGCCCCAAACUCAAGGAAGACUCCGUAUUUCCGUGACGCUCCGUCGUCCCUCGCAACUCCUUGAUUGCUUCAAAUCCUCCUUGGGAUCCACCGCUAUACCCCGGAAAGCGGAGCAUCCGCAGAAUCAAGUGCCAACGGAAAGCUACUCUCCAAAAGCCAAAAUUCACAUUUCUUCAACUUGGGCAUAAAGCUCCUUUUCCCAGAGUACUUGAGGUACAAACCACUCAAAUGCUCCUCGUGAUCUGGCAUCACUUCGAGAGUAAGACCAAAAUAUCGUCGAUGACACCUACGACGAACUGUCUAGAUAAGGUCUUGAAAUACGAGCUGAUUUAUCAAUCCAUAAAAGCUGCCCGGGCAUUAGUGAGCCCAAAGCGCAUAAAACCGGUGGAUCGAUAAAUCCCAUAACUCGUGUGUGCUAAAAGCCGUCUUCGUGAUAGCAAUCCUCCGGGUUGAUCUUCCAAUUCGGGUAUCCGACCGACUAAAGUCUAUCUUGAAACGACACAAAAUAAGAUGCCACCGAGCAUCCCUGACAGCUGAUCAAAAAGUUCGUCGAUGCCUACAAAAACGGAUACUCUGUUCUGAGAUGUGGACUAAUUCAUAAAGUUCACGACAUCAAUUACCACCGCAAAGCAGAAUGAUCCGCCUUUUCUGAAAGAAGCCUAAAACUGUGCUUGGCCCCACAAAGGCGAAGCUCGUCGAAGAAGCCCUCGUGUCCAAUAUUUCCAUCUUACUUGCAGGCUGUGCCCGUCAGCUCCCUCAGUUCUGCCGGUGCGCCAAUCCUAAGGUGCCUUUGAGAUUGGUGUAGUCCCAGGACGAGAUUCUACCACAAACUCAUCCCCUAUCAGGAAGGCAUACGCCGGAGCUCAAGCUGAAACCAACAUCCUCGAAACUCUCAGCACGGGCCACGGCGGGAUGUCCUCGAUCCACUAGGGUGUCAUCCUUCACCUGAGUCAGCACAAACACUACCAAAUAGGCUAAAGCAACCUACCCCUCUGCUAAUCGCUAGCUGCCUAGCUCAAACGAGCGAUCGUCCACGUCGCAAACCAGCGAACUACCGGCAUCUCAACCUAAAUACCUACCUCAUCUGCUCAGGUUCUCCUAAAAUAACCGGGGCGAUUCGUUGCAACUCAAUCCGUCAUAUAUCUUGGUCAAACCAAAUCCAUGCCCAAGACCACGUCAUAAAUCCCACAGCUUUGCGCAAAGCGUACGGUAAAUCUACAGGAAAUAACCCAUAUCCAACUCCCUACCCGAAAUAGGCAACGGGCUAUAGUUCUCUAUACUAAUAUCGCAGAGAAUAGGUCGGCUAUCAACAACAUGUCCGUAGCAACAAAAGAAAUUCCAAGCGGGCGAUGCCAUGGUCAACUCGCAAACCCCAGCCGAUUCUAUGAAAUGAAAUGCGAGCUCCGGUAUUAAAUGAAAGGCAAUGAACUCUAAUCCAUCAAGUAAAAUGAUACCUGCGCAAUACCACAUCCCCUCGCUGCCGCCAGCACUCCUCGAGUCUGAAAGCGCGUAAGCAUACCCAAAGUCGGACCGCUGUCGAGAAUACCUCGCUCUUGGGCGCUGUACGGGUGCCCGCAACUCAAAGCUGGUACUGUGUCGACGGAGUCCCGUGGCUGACGGCUGGUAGAGCCCGUGCCGAUGCAAUCGACGGUGCCGGUGAAGAACCCCUCGAGCACUCGGUACGGACGUGGCCCUCCUGGCCACACUGGAAGCACCUGCCCGGCUGCUGUGGACACUACGGUGGGUAAUGGGGACCACCGCAGAUCACGCACGGGGAAGGCCGGCGCCGAUCGGAUCCUCCUCGAUGCACUGCUAAGCCGCGUCCACGCUGCUGGCUCCUCGGGUGCUUCGGCGGCCUCCUAGAGUGCGUCUGGCUCGCACCCUCAGCCGCAGGCCUCUUGGCCUUACCCUUGUCCCUAGACUCUCGCUGCUCCUGAACCUCUGCCGUGCCGCCCUCCACGAUGAGCGCGCGAUCCACCACCUCCCGGUAGGUUUGGAGGUUAGAGGACUGCAAAAACCGAAAAAUCGACGGUCGUAACCCUCGCUCGAAGAUGCGGGCCUUAUCCUCGUCGUCCCGCACGACGAAGAGCACGCAAUGCAGAAGCCGAGAAAACUCCCUCUCGUACUCGGCUACAGUCCUGUCACCCUGGCGCAAGCUGCACAAAUUCUGCUCCAUCUUCCUCUUGACGCUGGUCGGGAAGUAGUGCGCCAGAAGGAGCUUCUUGAACCUCGUCCAUGUGAUAGAUGCCAAGUCAGUGCUGGGGUGCUCCUGAAAAUACAACCACCAGCGGUAGGCCUCGCCGUCCAAGUGGUGAGUGGUGAGCCAAACUCUAUCCCUCUCCUCCAUGAAGGUGUCGCGGAAGAGCUUCUCCAUAUGCAUCAACCACUUUUCCACGAUCCAGUGGUCGACUUUCUCGCCGUCGAAGACUCGGGGGCUGCACCUCCUGAACUCAUUGAGGCGCUCCAUCAGUCUGUCUCGUUCCGCCCCCUCCACCAAAGUAGGGAAUGCAGCUCCAACCGGGGGCCUCUGCACAGGCGGUGCUACCAAAACCUCCUCCUGGGGUGCGGCCGCAGGCGCCGUACGUAAAGAACUGGGCGCGGGGGACGGCGCUCUCGGUGCAACGUCCACAACUGGUGCUGGCGGUGUAGGGGCCUAAGUCUCUCUAGAAGCUGCCGCCUGCUGUAGGAGCAAGUCCUCCAGACGCUUCAUCCGUGCCUCCUGCUGGCGCGCCGCCUCAGUCUGCUGUCGGGCCGCCUCUGCCUGCUGAGUGACCAAAUAAGUGAGGGCCGCAAGCUAGCCCCUCAACUCACGGACCUCGCUGGAUCCGGAGGUAGCGGAGGUCUCGACCUCCUCGAAGUUUGCCGCAUUGUCCGCCCCGGCAGAUUGGGAGCGAGUAAUCGGCAUCGUCACUACAACAUCAUAAAAGCGCAAGUUAGGAAUACUCACGCUAUCGCAUCCCCGCUCAAAAGACAAACCCCGAAUAAUGCGAAAGUAAAGAAGUGUUCUACACUACUAACUCCCAGCCCGAAAAACUGCAUUUCAUCGAAAUGCUUCAUUUCGCUUCUUGAGCCUCUAAUCCAUUUUUAAACAUUUCAAAACCCUCAAAAUACAUUUUUGAGCGGGUUUAGAUCAUCUUCUCACUUGUACUUUGCCUGAUCUAGGCCAAAGUCGAAUAUAGCUUGUCGAGUUUCGUUUUCGUGCCUAACUUGCACCGAAAACACUCGAAUGCUCCUGAACUUCACCGGAACUAUUUUACAAGCUAGUUCCCACCGAAAUUCAUAACUAUAGAAGUUUGGUAUAUUACAAUCGCAACAUCAUCGGAGGCGAGCUCGCCACCUCCGACGAUGUCGCGAUGUUACGGCGAAAGAUGGAGGAGGAGUGCCUGCGCCUAGACGUCGCCGUGCCCUAGUGGAGAAGGAGAGUCACGGCGCGGCCUCAGCGGGGUCGAAGGCGAGGAAGGUGGGGGGGAGGGGGGGUGCGUGGGUGAGGGUGAGAGCAGAGGCGAGGCGGCUAGUUUUCGCCUCUGCCUCCGUCGCCUUCGGAGAGCAAAAAAAAGAACGAGAGAAAAAAAAGAGAGAAAAAGGAAUAUAGGUAUUUUGAUCAGUUUGCUGAAAAUCUGGACCGAAUCUACAAAAUCAAAAAAAGACGGCGAAGUUUUGCAAAAACUCUAAACUUGUGAAUUUUUUUAUGCAAAUUGGCCUUAUUCAAAGCCAAACUAUUGGGAGAUUUUAUUGCUUUGUUUUUUAUUUCGACUGCUUUUUAUUUCCACUCCAGUUUCGGUUCUUAUUUUGAACCAAAUGCGCUGUCAGUGCUCGGAUCUGACGCUCCAAAUGACAUAUUUGAAAUUAUUGAAGUCAGGUAGUCAACCCACUUAUCAGAUUACGUCCAAGUACAGCCAACUGGUUAAUGACUUGCCGUAAUGCACACUGCAAAGUCGGCGAAGUGGAAAAAGUCAUUUUUAUAAAAGUGACUUUUCAGUUCUAUUGUUUCGUUGCUAUAAAGUAAAAAAUUAAAACUAUAAAUUUAUUAUUUUUUAUUAUUAAAUUAUAUAUAAAGAGGUGAAAAUAUAAAUAAACGACUUAUACUUGCAAUUUAAAUUAAAAUUUAAAUUUAAAUUAAUAUUUAGAAUUCAAAGUUAUAUUUUAAAAUUUAAAUUUAAACUUAAAUCUGAGUUGAAUUUAUAAUUAAAAUUUAAGACAUAAAUUUUAUUUACAAUUUGAAUUUAAAAUUUUAGUUAUAACUUAUAACUGAAAUUAAAUUUUAAAAUAAAAAUUAGAACAUUUAUUCAAAUUUGAAUUUAUAAUUUGAAUCAUAUAUUAAUUUACUCUUUGAUCUUAAAUUUUGAAUUCAAAUAUGAAUUCACAAUUUAAAUUAAUAUUUAAAUUUAAAUUAAAAUAUGAGUUUAAAUCACAAUUCAAAUCGAAAACAUUUGAAUUCAUAAUUCGAAUUCAAAUUCAGACUGAAACUCAUUAUUGAAAUUGAAUGUAAAUAGCAAAUUUGAAUUUUGAAUUUGAAUUUGAACUUGAAAAUUUAAAUUUUAAAUUCAAAUUUCAGUCAAUAAUUUGAAUUUAUAGUUGGAACAAUUCGAAGUCAAAUUUCAAAUUGAAGUUCUUAACUAAAAAUAAUUUGAUUAAAAUUUAAAAUUUAAAAUUUAAAUUUAAAUUCUAGAAUUAAAAUUUAAAUUAAAAUAAUUUUAAAUUUUAAAUUUAAAUAUAAAGUCAUAAAAUUGAAUUUAAAAUUUCAUGUUGAAUUUUAAUUUACAAAUAAAAUUCAAAAUGUGAUAAUAAUUUUAAUUCAAAUUUAAAAUAAAAUUGAACUUUAAAAAUAAAUUUACGUAUUAAAGUUAAUACUAAAUAUAACCUCUUAGCUAAGCUCUCUACUUCCGGUGACUUUCGAAUUUUUUGAGCCGAAGUCAAAAAAGUGAGAUUUAGUUAUAACUAAACUUUAUCGGCCUAUUUUCAUGAAGUGAUUUUUAUAUUCACUUUCGAAAAUAAAAAAAUCGGUAAAACGUAAUUUUAUAAAAAUACCACUUUUGAUGCUCGGUGAACCAAACUUGCUAAUAUAUAGAGUAUAUUAAUAUUAAUUAAUCUGUUUGCAAGCAUGAUUUACAGUAUUUUAAUUGGUUUGUGCCUGCAAGAGCUAAUAAACAACCGCAAUUUUCACCUUACAGGAACCGCUGGCGGUGGGCCGGCGGACAUGGUCAAGCGUGGACUUGCGGGGUCGCUGUCGACUGUCUUUUGACGACGUGGCGUCCCUUUGGCCGGAUCGCCCUUCUGCGUUUCCUGGGGUCCCCUUCGCGACUCGCACGUCAGCCAUGGAUACAAAUCGGCAGAUACACGAGCGAGUGGAGCACCGGCGGAGACAGUGUUACAUCUAAACAGGCGGAGUCUUGGAAAGGUACGAGCAGCACUUAGUCGGAGUCUCGGAGAGAGGCGAUCGAUCGGAAUUAAUGGGUGUGGAGGUGUCGGACGUGGAGUUCGUGAAAGCACGCACGGACAAGCGGGAGUAUCGGGGGAUCGUCCUCCCCAACGCUCUCGAGGUCCUCCUCAUCAGCGACCCCGAAACCGAUAAGGUCUUCUCCUUCUACUUUGACCUUCUCCCGCACACUGAUUCUUCGCUACUAUGCUUUCCAUUUUUGGUACAGUGCCCUGCUAUCUAUUACCUCGCCUUUCUAUGGUCAAUUUUUCUUUUCGGUCGAGUUUCAUUUUAGUUCCUCCGACUGUAAAAUUUUAAAAAUGUUUUACUUAAUUGCGUUUUCUCCUAAUUUGCCUUUAAAAGAGAUAUUGUGGUAUCCCAUACGUCUAUCCUACCAAGUAUUGAACUGAAAUCUUUUCUAUAUUUAUAUUGUUGAUCAUCGAACUAAAAAUAUCAGAUGAGCGUACGAAUGAGCUAGUUCAGGGUCUCGAAUGAUAUAUCUCUCCUCCGUAAGGAACAUUUUUUUUUUUUUUGCAAGGAAUAAGGAACUAUUUUUAUUAAUAGGCUUGUAAAAUAUUACAACCAUAAACAUAAUAGUUCUUUGAAAAAUUUAUUUAUAAAAUUAGGAUAAGCGGUGAAUAAAUUACCACUCUCUAAAUGCAGCAGGUCGUUCACUACUUGUUCAAAAUAUUAAAAUUGUUUGUUGUGCUUAUAAAAGUGGUAAGCCAUUUACCACUUUUUAAAAAUGGUAAAUUAUUCACCACUCUCUAAAAACGGUAAAUUAUUCACUGCUCCAGCUUGGCUGCCUAUAUUUGCAUUAAAAAUUGUUAUAGGAUUACUUACGGAAAACUCCCCUCUACAAGGGCUAUAGUGAAAUCAGUUUAAUAGCUUGGGGUCUCGAAUGUCAAACUAAAAGUUUGAGGACCGAAUGAAACUCUGAAGUUAGGAGGUACUAGAACAAUUUACUCUGGACAUUCUAAGUAAACAUUUAAGGUUCAAAUUAUUUGUAGCGCUUUACUUUAGUCCCAGAAGAAGAAUCAUUUCCACACCUAGUGCAUCUGUAUAUAUGGAUGGCUGGUGCACAAAAUUUGAAACCAAGAAAGUUUAAAUACUCUUAGAUCAUAUGGAUGUUCCAUAAAGAAAGUUUAAAAAGUCUUUAGCAUGAAGAGCUGCAUGCUAUUAACAGCAUUCUAGCUUAACUGUCAUUGUUAUCUUUUCUUAAUUAACUCAAUUUCAACAUAUAAUAUAUAGGCUGCUGCUUCCAUGGAUGUUCGUGUGGGUUCCUUCUGUGAUCCAGAGGGGCUUGAGGGCUUGGCUCAUUUUCUCGGUGAGUGUUUUGUUCUGCUCCUGUGUGUUGUUCAAUCAUUUAGUGAGGAAUAGAUUUGGUUUAUAUACUUGUAUUCGUUCAUGCUUUUAGACCAAAUUCAAAUAUGAAUGCAUACUAGUGACAAGAUAUCUUACAUUGUCUCACCUAAUAAAUUGAAGAAAAGAGAGCUUUUAAAAUUAGUUGGAGAGAAUACAUUGGGACAAUAAGGUCCUUUCCGGUUGAAUUAUUCAAUUCUACUUGUUCUCUCUCUUCCUCACCUAAAUAUCUUUCAGAAAACUAGAGAUUGCUAAAUGGCGAAAUUUAUCGAGAGUUUCAAAAGAUUCUAAUUAUAAAUUUAUAUCGCUAGAUUUCUAUCCUCUCAGUUGCGUUUGCGGUUUCUUGCAGAGCAUAUGCUGUUUUAUGCUAGUGAAAAAUAUCCAGAAGAAGAGAGUUACGGAAAGUACAUCACAGAGGUAUUAUACAGUUAUUGUGACUUAAAAUAAAUUAUUUUAGUUUGUGAAAAUUAUUGGUCAAUAUUUUUAAAGGUCCGUUUGGCCUAGAUUAUGAAAAAGUGAUUCUUGAAGAAUAAAUUUUGGUCUGGAGAAUAAAUUUUGGUUUGGAGAAUUGAUUUUGGUUAAAAGCUGUCUAGUAUUUGGCUAAGCGGGUGUUUGGCCUGACUUUUGAAAAGUGAUUUUCAGUCCAAAAGUGAUUUUUGGCUCAAUAGAGCGUAUGACAACCUCAUUUUCAAAAUUUGAUUCUAAUUUGUAGAAUUAGUUUUCUAAUUUUGAGGCCCAAAAUCAGAAGAGCUAAAACCUGCUUCUUGAAAUCUGAUUCUGAUUUUGGACUCAAAUUUUAAAUUUUAGUUUUGAUUUUAGGUUCAAAUUUUAAAUUUAAAUUCACCUAGAUCUUUCUCCCUCUUUGUCAUCAUGAUUAAGAAAUAAAUCAAAGUAAUGCAUAAAGAAGAAAGAAACAUAGCCAUUAACUAAAGAUAAAGUAGCAAUACCAAAGGUUAAAAAUAGUAAAAGCAACAAACAUAAGCAAACAAAAAAGUGUCAAUAGGCCACAACUAAUCCUAAGAAAAGCAUAAAACACAUUAGAUCCUAAUCUUCACCAUUCGUCUUGAUUAUCCUUUGGGCCCAUUGUAGCUUCGGGUGGUGGCGCAAUCAAUGAAGAUGGUUGAUUGUUCGGGGCCCAAAAGGAAUAUAGAAGUGUUAAGAAAUAUAUGCCUUUUUUUGUUAUUAUUGGUUUGGUGCAUAUAGAACUGGUUCAUGAAAAUUUAUUUAGCAAAUUAAAGUUAGAUCCUAUUUGCUGAGUCCUUCAAGAGAUCUAAGUAGACUCGGUUCAGUUUUCCAUGCAUAACUCUAAUUCAUGUUAAUUAUGAAUUGGAGUAGGAUAAGGAAUUAGCAUUAUACCUAUAUAUACAUGCCUGUAUGGACACAAAUAGUGUGCAUAUGUGGGAAAACUAAUUAGCGUACAUAGGCUAAUUAAUUCACGAUGCUGGGUAGCCAUACGAUGGCAGAAGAGAGGCGGCCUCGCAUGCAACGUUUGGAUCAGAGUGGACGGCAAAAUGGCCGUUCUCGACCAAUUGCCUAAGUAGUUUGGAUUCUUCGAUGAAAGAAGGGCAAAAGAUCAUACCCUAUUGGAUUGUAUUGAUGCAAAUAUAUAAUACAAGAGAUAUAUCAAGUAUAGUAACAAAGCGUAGUAUAGUAAGAAUUUAAACGGGAUUAGAUACUAUAUAAUCCUACUCUGUAUAUAAUUGUAAUAUACAGUUUCCUAAUAUAAAGAAUAAUGCUAAAUAUGUCGUAACAUCCUCCCGCAAGCUAAGCAUCCAUCGGACGGAUGCGAAGAUUGAGCCGCAAUAUGGAAAAACGAGAUGGUGGUAAAGGCUUGGUGAAAAUAUCAGCAAGCUGCUUAUCGGAAGAGAUAUGAACCAACUCCAAAUCACCAGUCUGAACUUUUUCGCGCAAGAAUUGAUGGUCAAGUUCAAUGUGCUUUGUGCGAGCAUGAAGAACAGGAUUGGCCGCAAGAUAAGUAGUGCUAAGGUUAUCACAAUAAAUACUGAUGGGUAGCCAAAGGAAAACACCAAGGUCGUGAAGUAGACGACGGAUCCAUAUUGUCUCAGCAAGCGCGUAGGCGACAGCAUGAUACUCCGCUUCAGAAUUAGAGCCAGAAAUGGUGGGAUGCUUCUUAGUGGACAAGGAGAUAAGAUUGGGCCCCAAAAAUAUGCAAUAUCCGGAGGUAGACCGUCGGGUAUCCGGACAACCAACCCAAUCAGCAUCGACAAAUGCUACAAGAGAAAGAUUAAUGCAGCGAGAUAUAGGCAGGCCAUAAGUCAAUGUGCCCCGAAUAUACUAUAGAAUACGCUUAACCGCUUGCAUGUGAAGUUCACGAGGAGCAUGUAGAUACUGGACAACGGAGUUGACGGCAUACGAUAUAUCUGAACGGGUGAAGGUAAGAUACUGAAGAGCACCAACAAGCCGACGAUAACUAUAGAGAUCCUCAAGGGGACGUCCUUCAUGAGAAGAGAGACGAGAAGUCGGAGAGAGAGGAGUAGAGACGAGCUUACUAUCAAGAAAACCAUGUCGCUCAAGCAACUGAUACGCAUAUUUGUGCUGAGUCAGAUGAAAACCAGAAGAUGAGCUAUUUACCUCAAUGCCCAAGAAAUAAUGUAACGACCCGAGAUCUUUCAUGGCGAAUUCCCGCUGUAAGGUGGUAAUAAAAGCAUCUAAAAGAGAGGAGGAGCUGCCGGUGAUAAUAAUAUCAUUAACAUAUAAUAGAAGAACAAGAGUGCCAAAAAAAGAGCGACAAAUGAACAUUGAAGGAUCAGUAGAGCCUCCAACAAAACCUAUUUUAGAGAGAAAAUAAGUAAACUGCUGAAACCAAGCCCGAGGUGCCUGUUUUAGACCGUAGAUUGCUUUGCGGAGACGACAAACAUGAUGAGGAAAAGAAGGAUGCACAAAACCAGGUAGUUGUUGCAUAUAAACCUCUUCAGAGGGAGUGCCAUGAAAAAAAGCAUUCUUCACAUCUAGUUGUCGAAGGGACCACCCGGAGGAAACAGCCACCGAAAGAACAGUAUGAAUAGUGGUCGACUUGACAACGGGAGAAAAGUUCUCAUCAAAAUCAAUGCUUUGUUGCUGUUUACUGAGCCACAAGCCGAGCUUUGAGACGCUUGAGAGAACCAUCCGCCUUUUGCUUUGCUUUGUAGACCCAUUUACAAAUAAUGAGAUUAAUGGGAAAGGGAGGAAGAACAAGAUCCCAAGUAGCAUUGGUCAGUUGGGCAUCAAACUCUUCAGCCAUGGCAGCACGCCAACCUGCAUCUUGAAAAACUUCAUGAAAAGAGUAAGGUUCAAUAGGCAGAGGAGAACACGCAGAGGCCAGUAAGGAAGUAGACUCAGCUAAACCCUUAGUCAUGGAUCGAGUGAGUAUAGAGUGUUUGCGUGGAGGUAAAAAAGGUUCAGUAGGAGAAGAAGAAGGCACUACAACAGGCUGAGGGGAAGGUGGACGAUCAGAGGCCGGUGGUGGCAGUGCAACAUGAACAGAGGAAAUAGCAGUAGGCCGGAGGUUGUGUCGUUUGGUAUAGACCUAGAGUUUUGAUGGACCAGCGGCAGUGGCAUCAUUCCCAUUCCUAACCUGUGAGGCAUCAGAAUUCGAGGUGGAAGGAAAUGUUGAUGAAUCCUCAGACGGUGAAACAGGUGUAUGUGCAUCGGAACCAGUAUCAAGAGAGAAGCGUGUGAAGGAGAAGCCAAAAAUAGCGUCAAUGGUAAAAGGACUCACCAGGAAAGGAGGAUUAGAUAGAAAUUGUUGAAACAUAUGAAAGUUUGAAAAAGUGGAGAACUUAGAGAGACAAGAAAAUAGAAAAACAGUUUCAACAAAGGUAACAUGCCAAGAGAUAAAAACUUUACCAGUGCUUGGAUGGAGACAGCGAAAACCUUUAUAUUUAUCAAAGAGUCCUAAGAAGACCCAAGGAAGUAAUCGAGGAGAAAGCUUGUGAGCUGCAAUGUCCUAUAUAUCGGGAUAACACAAACAUCCAAAAACUCUGACAAGUUGCAAGUCGGAGGAUGAACAACCAUGCAGAAUUUCAUAUGGCGAUUGUUCUUUUAAAAUAGUAAGAGAAGGAAUUCGAUUCACGAGAAAUACAAUAGUUUGGACGGCAUCAGCCCAGAAACGAGGAGGCAUGCAGGCUUGAAACAACAAACUUCUAACAAUGUUAGUUAAAUGUCUAUGCUUCCUUUCGGCGAGAUCAUUUUGUUGUGGAGUAUAAGGACAAGAAAAGCGGUGAAGAAUUCCAUUUUGUGAACAAAUGGUAGAAAACUUAUCAUUUACAAACUCCGUACCAUUGUCAGAUUGCAAAAUUUUGAUUGCGCUAUGAAAUCUGUUUUCUACCAUUACUUUAAAUUCGAGAAAUUUGUCAAAACCUCAUGUUUAAAUUUCAAAAGAUAAAGGCAAGAAAAUCGAGAGUAAUCAUCUAUGAAUAUAACAUAAUAUUUGUAGCUAGAAACCGAUGGAACAGGUGAUUGCCAUACAUCAUAAUGCACAAUAUGAAAGGGAAACGUAGAUUUGGAUUCAGAAUCAUGAAACGAGAGUUUAACAUAAUUUUUCAUAUUACAAGCAAUGGAAAUAGAUAAUGUCAAAGUAGAAUUAUCAUAAAAAAUAAUAUUAUUGUUUUUAAUAAAUGCAGAAAGAACGGAAAGAUUAGGAUGACCUAACCGUCUCUACCAAACAUCACCACUAAACCUAGAUGCAACAAGACCUAUCUGUUGCUUAUUCUGUCACGCCCCGCGACCGCAACCAAUUUGGCCGGUCCGGGGACGUCGAACAGACGCCGAACGGACAGCACCUCCCUUGUCUGCCCAAGGCUAAGCAUCAACAAUCAUGUACAAGAGUUGUCUAAGAAAACUCAAUACAUACAUGAUCAUAAGCGAAGCACCACAAGUGCUAUGCAAGUAAGAGCAAGAGUCACAAGUACAUACAAGUGAAUAAAAGAGAGAACAUUCAAUCUAUUACAUCACAUUUGAUUUACAUUUACAACUUCCAAAAUAGGGAUACAAGUUCAUCUCAUCAUGAUAUAAAUAUGAAUACAACUCUCCAAAAGCAUCUCACUACCUAUACAUCAUCUACACUCAUGUACAAAGGGUGUCACUAAUGCAAAAGGAAAGCCUCUACUACUAGGGCGCUAUGCCCUUACCACGAUCCUCGCCCGGUGCGCUCGCACUCGGCCCUGCAACAAAGUGGGGUGAGAACUAUAUAAAUAUAGUUCCCAGUGGGUUCGGCCGCCGACUCUGCCGAUCUCCCCACUAGGUCUAAGUGGGCAAAAGCAGAUAGAUAGGUAGAUAGAUAUGAAAGCAAUAACGACAUAGUAAGAAAAGCUAAACUACUAUGCCCAAUCAAGUACAAUGAAUGCAUGCACUACAUAGUAAGAGAUCAACUAACAUGCUACUAUGUCCAAUAAGCAAAUGUCCAAUAAGUAAUGCUAUUCUCUUGUUUACCCAAUCAUUGGCUAACCCGAAGGUUCGCCUACGACUCACAAUGCCAUCUCGUAUGGUAAGGAGACGCACAUCGCUCACAAACCCGAGAUCGUCUGCGGGACAUCAACUCUGCCCCUCGUGUGACAAAACCUCCGGAGUGCACGCUUGUGUGGAGCGACCACCACAAGCUCAAACAGACUGUGAGUAUGAUCUAAUCCUCUCAACUCGAGGAUACCCUACUAACUAGGGCUAACAAUCACUCGGGAAUCCACCUAUCCUAAGGUUCAUAUGCAAGUGUUUGACCAUACUAAGUUCUUGUUCAAUGAUUCAUCACUAGGGAAUCCGCCUAUCCCUAAGUUCAUAUGCCAUAAGUGUCACUCUACACUAAGUUGUAUGCCACUCGUCCUGUUAUUAUUUAUUGUUUUCAUGCCACUCAUUAUGUCACUAUGAACCAUCAAGUUCAUCUCUUACCUCGGCACUAUAGGAUUCAAUGUCACGACCCAAUCCUUAUCUAUCCACUAUAUCAAGCAUUCGACUCACACUAUGAUAUCAACUAGAACGCAUAAGGAAUGGAAAUGCACAUUAACACCCUACAAUGCAAGCUAUAUAAGAGAUGCAAGGUUCCCAACGCGCUAAGACAUAAAGAGGAGCCCGGUUGCUUCGGGAUGACACCACCCACCUUCUAGCGAUGUUGCGACCCAAGGUAUGCGAUUCGGCGAUUUUAGGACGUCGCCUCGGCCUUCCAGGCAGAAACGAAGCUACGACCGUCCCCUUUGCCAAUAACUUCGCACAGGCUCGACGGAUUGCCGAACCGACUUCGCCAACGCGUUUAAACACCUAGCAAUUAGGUUUACACAUGCUUAAUUUAGAUCAAACCCCUUAUUUCUCAAAAACCCACUUUUGAAGCCCUAGAUUGCAACUAUGCAAGAAUCUAUCAUUUAGCCUCUAGAUUCAAGCAUUAUUCACCUAUUAGGCAUGCUAGGGUUCCAACUAAUCCACUUCUAGAGCAUAUAAAGCUAACCCUAGAGAUCUACCAUGAAUGGACCACAAGCUUACCUCCAAAAGCUUGCUCCUUGGCGAAGAAGAAGAAGAAGAAGAUGCUAAUCCUUCUCCUUGACUCAAUCUCCACCAAAUCCUCCUCCUUCCCCACCUUGAAGAGAGAGAGAAAGCUUUAGAGAGAGAGAGGGAGAGUUUUAGGGUUAGGUUAGAAGAAAAGUGAGAGAUGAGAGAAAGGCCACCCUCCACUUAACCCCACACAUGCACAAUUGCUCAAAACCCCCUCAACAAUGCAAGUUAUGCACAGCCCAUACAGGGCAUUUUCGGGUACGGGGACCGGUCUUUCCCUAGAGGGACCGGUCCCCGAAAGCAAACUUUGCGGGCAGAGCUAUUCUGCCCAUUCUACGCGUACGGGGACCGGUCCCCUCCUCCUGAGGGACCGGACCCCGAGAGCAAUUUUCGUACGCAGCAUUUUUCUGCCACACACCAUACGUACGGGAACCGGUCCCUCCCGUCAGGGACCGGUGUUACGAUAUAUUUUAUCUAUAUUAGGAUGUUACGAUAUAUUAGGAUAUUGUGUUUUAUUGCCUUAUAUAGAGUAGUAUCAUUGCCUUCUAUAGAGUAGGAUUAUAUAGUAUGUAAUCCUAGUUAUACUCUUACUAUAGUAGUCAUUGUUACUAUAGUAAGACAAUCUCUUGUACUAUAUAUAUUCAUUAAUACAACUCAAGAGGGUAUGCACUUUAGCCCUUCUUUCAUGGUAUCAGAGCGGGAACCCUAAUGUGGGGAUAUCGAUCCAUAGCCACCAUCCACCAUUAAUCUCACCUUUUUCUAUAGGUGUCUUUUCUUUUGGUUUUCUAUCUUCCCAAUACUGCUACAGUACUGCUACAGUAUCAUCGCUACAGUACUGGCGCUACAGUAACAGCGCUACAGUAACAGCGCUACAGUAUUUCUGCUACAGUAUUUUCAGCCUUUCUGUGAUUUCUCUUUGCUCCUCUGGUGCCGCUCGGACUGUCCUACUGUUGGUUGCUCGUAUCACUCGGUUCUUUCCUUGGUGCGGUCGAUCUUAUUUGGUGAUAAGUGGUUCCUCUCAUGUGAUAGAAUUCAGGUUUUUUUUUUAUUCACAUCCGCUACAUUCCGAUUUAUCUUUCUUUCUUAUCUAGUGGUGGAUCCUUAUCUUAAGGUAGUAAACAUGUCUUCUUCUACCUCAAAUUUGCCAAUUGUUAAUAUCAAAACUCUCAUACCACUAGAACUCACCGAUUCUACAUAUCUUGUGUGGAAACAAGUCUUUCUUAAUGUUCUAGAAAGUUUUGAUGUUACAAAACAUGUGGACGGAACUAGUGUUGUGCCUUCUCAGACUAUCGAUACUGCUGAUAAGAAGGAGGUUAUAAAUCCUGAAUAUGUGAGUUGGAAAAAGAACGAUACUACUAUACUUUCAUGGAUUAAUGCCACUUUAUCUCUUAGCAUAUUACAUAUGGUUGUUUCUAGCUCACCUAAAACUGCAUAUGAUGCUUGGAGAAUUAUUGAGGCAUAUUUUCUUGAUAAGACUGCUUCCACGGCUUUUUCUCUAAAAUCUGAAUUGCGGAGCAUCAAGAAAGGCUCAAUGAGCAUGAGUGAUUACAUGCAAAAGAUCAAGACGAUUGGUAAUGCUCUUCAGGCGAUUGGUGAAAUCGAGUCAGACCAUAAUUUGGUCAUGACUGUUCUUCUAGGGCUACCUGAGGAAUAUCGAGGUUUUGUUAGUGCUCUAAACACACACAGAAAUAAGCCAACUUUUGAACAACUUCGUCCACUCUUGAUGCAAGAAGAAACAGAAGUUCAGCGUCGCACUAGUGUGACUACGUCCUCUGCUAUUCCCACUAUUGACAGUGAAGCUCUUUAUGCCAAUCGUGGACGUGGUAAUCGUGGAGGCCGUGGAGGUAGAUAUCGUGGAGGCCGAGGACAACGUGGUAGACACUAUUCUGGUCGUGGAUCUCCUGAAAUCUACCCACAGUCUCAACCUAAUUAUCCUCAACAAUCUUACACUCCAAAUCAACAACCAUAUAUUCCGAAGUCCGGCAUACAAUGUCAGAUAUGUGGAAAGUUCAAUCAUUCUGCUCUUCAGUGCAGACAACGCUUCAAUCAUUCUUUCGCUGCUGAUGAAGUUCCUCAGACCUUUGCUGCUAUGAACCUUCACGAACCCGGUGAGGAAGUCUGGUAUCCGGAUACCGGAGCAUCAAAUCAUAUAACCGCAAACUCUGGUAUUCUCUCAUCUUCUAAACCUUAUAGUGGGCAUGAAAAAAUUCUUGUUGGUAAUGGAAAUUUACUUGAUAUUACUCAGACAGGUGAAACUCAAUUGAAUACAUCUUCUAACUCUUUUGCUCUAAAAAAUGUUCUUGUUGUUCCUACUAUUAAGAGAAAUUUACUUUCAGUGCGUAAAUUCUGUCAAGAUAAUAAUUCUCUUUUUGAAUUUGACUCUACUGGUUUCUCUGUGAAGGACAAGGAAACAGGGAAGGAGCUUCUUCGAUGUCCUAGCUCGGGAACAUCACUUUAUCCAAUUUCUUCUAGACUUGCAAGUGUAGGGAAUAAGCAACAACUAGCUCUUAUUGCAUCUAGAUUUAGUGGAGAUGUCUGGCAUAGACGGUUAGGUCAUCCUAGUCUUCCUGUUCUUUCUACAUUUAUUAAAAAUAAUAAAAUUGUUUCUGAUUCUGCACUGAAAUUAUCUGUCUGCAAUGCUUGUAAUAUGGGAAAACAUGUUAAACUCUCAUUUCAUGAUUCAGAAUCUCAAUCUGCUUUUCCUUUUCAUAUUGUUCAUUCUGAUGUUUGGCAAUCACCUGUGCCCUCGGUUUCUGGAUACAAAUAUUAUGUUAUUUUUAUCGACGAUUAUUCUAGAUUUUCCUGGCUUUAUCUUUUAAAAUUUAAACAUGAAGUUUUUGACAAAUUUUUCGAGUUCAAGAAGAUGGUUGAAAAUAUAUUUCAUAGCUCAAUAAAAAUUUUUCAAUCUGACAAUGGUACGGAAUUUGUAAAUGACAAGUUUUCUAGUUUUUGCUCACAAAAUGGAAUUAUUCACCGAUUUUCUUGUCCUUACACUCCUCAACAAAAUGGCCUUGCUGAGAGAAAACAUAGGCAUUUAUCUAACAUUGUUAGAAGUCUACUAUUCCAAGCUGGCUUGCCUCCUCGUUUUUGGGCUGAGGCCAUUCAAACUGCUGUUUUUCUUGUAAAUCGACUUCCGUCUCUUACUGUUUUAAAUGGGCGGUCACCAUAUGACAUUCUCCAUGGUUGUGCUUCUCCUGACUUGCAACUUAUCAGAGUCUUUGGAUGUUUGUGUUAUCCCGAUGUUCAGGACAUUGCAGAUCACAAGCUCUCUCCCCGAUCACUUCCUUGUAUUUUCUUGGGUCUUUCUGACAAACAUAAGGGCUUUCGCUGCCUCUAUCCGAGCACUGGUAAAGUUUUUAUUUCUCGCCAUGUUACUUUUGUUGAAACUGUUUUUCCUUACUCUUGUCUGUCCAAAUUUUCUUCCUCAUCUUCCCCCACUACCUCAAAUUUUCAAAUGUUUCAACAUUUUCUUUCUAAUCCUCCCUUAUUGGGCGAAAGUCCUUCCUCUCUUGAUGCCAUCUCUGGUUUUUCCUUCACACGCCUUUCUCCGGAUGUUAGUUCAAAUGCAUCUGUUUCACCAUCUGAGACUGUAUCGACUUUUCCUUCCACCUUGAAUCAUGAUGCCACACAGGUUAGUGAUGAACAUGCUGCCACUGUUGCUGGUCCACCUGAACUCCGAGUCUAUACCAGACGACACACCCUCCGACCUUCUGCUGCUACAGCUUUACCUUCUCCUGUUGAGUUGACGCCUUCCACAUCGGACAGGCCACCUUCACCUCAGCCUGCAGAGCCUUCCUUACCAAUCCGGACACACUCUAUGCUUACUCGAUCUAUGGCUAAGAAUUUUGCUGGGUCUACCUCCUUCCUAGCUUCUACACAUACUACUCUUCCUACUGAGCCUAUCACUUUUCAUGAAGCUUUUCAGGAUGCAGAUUGGCGUGCUGCCAUGGCUGAAGAAUUUGAUGCAUUACUCACCAAUGAUACUUGGGAGCUUGUUCCUGCUCCUCCUUCUGUCAAUCUUAUUGGCUGUAAAUGGGUCUACAAAGUCAAACAGAAGGCGGAUGGCUCUCUUGAGCGUCUCAAAGCUCGACUAGUGGCUCAGGGUUACAAACAACAACAAGGCAUUGAUUUUGAUGAGACUUUUUCUCCGGUUGUCAAGUCGACCACUAUUCGUACUGUUCUUUCAGUCGCUCUCUCCUCUGGAUGGUCUCUCCGACAACUUGAUGUGAAGAAUGCCUUUCUUCAUGGCACUCUCUCUGAGGAGGUUUAUAUGAAACAACCACCUGGCUUUGUGCAUCCUUCGCUUCCUAGUCACGUUUGCCGCCUACGUAAAGCGAUAUAUGGUCUCAAACAAGCUCCUCGGGCUUGGUUUCAGCGUUUCACUUCUUUUCUUUCUGAGAUUGGUUUUGUUGGCAGCACUGCUGAUCCCUCAAUGUUUGUUUGUCAUUCUUCCUCUGGCACUCUUGUUCUCCUCUUGUAUGUUGAUGAUAUUAUUGUCACCGGCAGUUCCUCAUCUCUUCUCGAUGCUCUUAUCGUUACUUUACAACGCGAAUUUGCCAUGAAGGAUCUCGGACCGCUGCAUUAUUUUUUGGGUAUUGAGGUUCAUCGCUCUCCAUCUGGUCUUCAUCUAUCUCAACAAAAAUAUGCGCAUCAAUUGCUUCAGCGACAUGGUUUUCUUGACAGUAAGCCCGUUUCUACUCCUCUUUCGCCAACAUCUCGUCUCUCUUCCCAUGAAGGGCAUCUUCUUGAGGAUCCAUACACUUAUCGUCAGAUCGUUGGUGCUCUCCAGUAUCUCACUUUCACCAGACCGGACAUUUCAUAUGCCGUCAACUCUGUUGCCCAGUAUCUUCAUGCACCUCGUGAACCACACAUGCAAGCGGUCAAACGUAUUCUGCGUUAUAUUCGGGGGACGCUGACUUAUGGCCUUCCUAUCUCUCGCUGUGACAAUCCUUCUCUUGUGGCCUUCGCUGAUGCUGAUUGGGCUGGUUGCCCCGAUACACGUCGCUCUACUUCUGGAUAUUGCAUUUUUCUUGGGCCAAAUCUUAUCUCCUGGUCCGCUAAGAAACAACCCACCAUUUCUCGUUCUAGUUCUGAAGCAGAGUAUCGUGCUGUAGCCUACACACUUGCUGAGACAGUCUGGAUUCGUCGUCUCCUUCGUGACCUUCGUGUUUUCUUAUGGCGCUCUAUCAGUAUUUAUUGCGAUAAUCUCAGCACCACCUACCUUGCGGCCAAUCCUGUUCUCCGUGCUCGCACGAAGCACAUUGAACUUGAUCAUCAAUUUUUGCGGGAAAAAGUUCAGUCUGGUGAUUUGGCCUUAAUUCAUAUCCCUUCUGACAAGCAACUUGCCGACAUUUUCACCAAGCCCCUGUCAUCCUCUCGGUUUUCGAUAUUGCGGCUCAAUCUUCGCAUCCGACCACCGGAUGCUUAGCUUGCGGGGGGAUGUUACGAUAUAUUUUAUCUAUAUUAGGAUGUUACGAUAUAUUAGGAUAUUGUGUUUUAUUGCCUUAUAUAGAGUAGUAUCAUUGCCUUCUAUAGAGUAGGAUUAUAUAACAUGUAAUCCUAGUUAUACUCUUACUAUAGUAGUCAUUGUUACUAUAGUAAGACAAUCUCUUGUACUAUAUAUAUUCAUUAAUACAACUCAAGAGGGUAUACACUUUAGCCCUUCUUUCAACCGGUCCCCGAGAGCAAAUUCUGCAAUUGUGCAGAAUUGCACCAGCUUGCUCUCCGAGGCCCUCUUCAAUGCACUUAAGCACUUUUUGACGCCUUCGGCCUUUCCGAAGAGUACCCAACCGACAAUCGGUCGAUUCUAACCGAAGUUCAACUCUCGCAUUUCGAAAAUUCACUUCCUUAUAUAUUCCCUACACUUGCAACUUUAGAAGAGAUUGGAUAGAGCGAUGUUCCCGACCUAGGGCAUCGAAGAAGCUCCGUUCCUGUUUUCUUGUCCUUCAAAGAAAAACCAAAAGAGUCAAAUUCAAAAAAGGAAUUAUUGUCAUGACAGAAUUGACGCACUGAAAGUAAAUUUCUCUUAAUAAAAGUAACAACAAAAACAUUUUUAAGAGCAAAAGAGGUAGAAGAUGUACUCAAUUGAGUUUCACCUGUCUAAGUAAUAUUAAGUAAAUUUCCAUUACCAACUAGAAUUUUCUCAUGCCCAAUAUAAGGUUUGGAAGAAGAGAGAAUACUAGAAUUCGCAGUUAUGUGAUUAGACGCUCCAGUGUCUAGAUACCACACUUCCUCACUAGGUUCAUGAAGAUUCAUAGUAGCAAAAGUCUGAGGGACAUCAUCAACCACGAAUGAGUGAUUGAAGCGUUGUCUGCACUGAAGAGCAGAAUAGUUGUACUUUCCACAAAUAUGACAUUAUGUGCCAGACUUCGGAAAAUAAGGUUACUGAUUUGGAGUGUAAGGUUGAGGAGGAUUAUUAGGUGAAGGAAGUGGAUAGGUUCCAGGAGAUCCACGACCAGGAUAAGAAUUGUCUACCGCGCUGUCCUCGGCCUCCGCAAUGUCUUUCUCCACGGCCACCACAAUUACCACGUCCACGAUUUGCAUAAAAGGCUUCUCCGUCAACAGUGGUAGUAGAGGGCGUCGUUAAGCUAGUACGACAUUGGACUUCUGUUUCUUCUUGCAGCAAGAGUGGACGUAGUUGUUCAAAGGUAGGCUUACUUCUGUGUGUGUUUAGGGCACUAACAAAACCUCUGUAUUCUUCUGGUAGUCCUAGCAGAAUAGUCAUGACCAAAUUAUGGUCAGACUUAGUUUCACCAAUUGCCUGAAGAGCAUCACCAAUCGACUUGAUCUUCUGCAUGUAAUCACUCAUGCUCAUCGAGCUUUUCUUGAUGCUUUGUAAUUCGGGCUUUAGAGAGAAAGCCGUGGAAGCAAUUUUAUCAAGAAAAUAAGUUUCAAUGGUUUGUCAGGUAUCAUAUGCAAUUUUGGGUGAGCUAGAAAUUACCAUUUGUAAUAUACUAAAAGAUAGGGUAGCAUUGAUCCACGAAAGUAUAGUAGUAUCUUCUCUUUUCCAACUUAAAUAUUCAGGAUUUAUAACCAUCUUAUUAUUAGCAGUAUCGAUAGUCUGAGAAGGCACAACACUAGUUCCGUUCACAUGUGAUGUAACACCAAAACUUUCUAGAACAUUAAGAAAGACUUGUUUCCAUACAAGAUAUGUAGAAUUAGUGAGUUCUAGUGGUAUGAGAGUUCUGAUGCUAACAACUGGUAAAUUUGAGAUAGAAGAAGACAUGUCUGCCACCAAACUAGCUGUAUCAAACGCACAAGAGAUGAACCACUUAGCACCAAACAAGAACGGCCGCCCCAGGAAAAGGAUCGAGCGACACGAGCAACUAGUGAGCGGUACCAGAAGAGUAAAGAGGAUUCACAAAGAGGCUGAAAUUACUGUAGCAAAACUAAUGUAGCACUGGUACUGUAGUAGUACUGUAGUGCUGGUACUGUAGCAGUUCCGGAGAGAUAGAACACCAAAAAGAAAAGAACACCUAUGGCUCGGCCACUUCAAACAUAACUCGGCCCAACCUGCCCUCCCGCCUUUUCAAGUGACUCAGCCCAACCUGGCCUCCCGUCACAGGACAGGAUGCUGGCCUAUUUAAGCCAACAAUCCUUCCUCCAGCACCUACACACAUUCGCAGCAUGCGGGAAUUGAAUUCGUGACCUCUGGCUCUGAUACCAUUUGUCGGAUUUUUGGUGCUAACCAUUAAUCUCAAAAGCUCGAGCUAUUAAAAAUAUGCAACCAAUUUACUUAAAGCGUAUAAACACAUUGUGCAGGGGUCUCGAUUGUGACUCGGCUCAUCCAGCCUCGCACCACUUUAAACAUAACUCGGCCCAACUUGGCCUUUUGCCAUUUCGAACGUGACUUGGCCCAACUUGGCCUCCCGCCACUGGGCAGGAUGCUGGUCCAUUUAAGCCAACACAUUUAUGCCGAGGAAAGAUCAUAGGCUAGAGGAACCUGUGGAGGAGAGAGAAUAGCGCAAUAGAAAACUCAUUAAAUUUCAUCCAUGAAUAUUUGGUUCGAUGCUGAAGAAAAUGCAGAUUUUAUCUUGAGUACCUGUUUUUUGUUGAAGCAAACUAGUGGCUAUCAUGUCAGUAUAAAUAUUGUGUUACUAGCUUUUGCCAACUCUUGUAAAACUACAUUAUUCAUUUUGUGAUAAUCAGCAUGGUGGUUCCACUAAUGCUACUACAUCUUCUGAGAGCACAAAUUUCUAUUUUGAUGUCAACGUAGAUUGCUCCGAAGAGGCCUUGGAUAGGUAAAUUUUUUUUUCCUUUUGUUUUUUACACAGCAUUCCCUAAAGAUCAAGUUAAGGUGAAAGUUAUUCUUUGAUUUUUCACUUUCAGAUUUGCACAAUUCUUUAAUAAGCCGUUGAUGUCUGCCGAUGCCACUCUUAGGGAGAUAAAAGCUGUGGACUCUGGUCAGUAAUGCUGGUUUUUUAAAUUUUUCUCAUCUUGGAUUUCAUAGUUACUGUUCUGCAUAUUUUUUUGUCAAAUUUAGCUUUGUUUUCCUUUUUUCCUCCAGAGAACAAGAAGAACCUAUUGUCCGAUUCCUGCAGGAUGAUUCAGGUAAGUUUUCCAAAAUCGCAAGAGCCUAUUCAAUCAAACAUCUAAUUACUUUUAAUCGGCUUUUCUCAGUGCAAAUUAGCAUUUUAUUAUUAAUAUUGAGGAUCUCUACUCAACUAUGCAUAAUAAACUAUCUUGCAAAAAGUUAGUUGUGACAUUUAUUGUUGAUUGUAAAAUAACUCUUCUCAAAACUUACUCCCUCUUGUAAUUCUCAUCCUUACCAUUCUUGAGUAGUUGAUAUUGUUGAUUCCUCUUUCUCUUAUCCACUUUUACUCCCUCUCACUCUCUCUCUCUCUUCUGAUGGUGACACUGUAGUUUAAUUUCAGUCUUUGUAUCUCGAUCUUUUCAGCUUGAAAAGCAUCUCUCUUCAAAGGACCACCCAUAUCAUAAAUUCAGUACUGGUGAGUAAUCUUAUAAUCGACUAAUUAAUUGAUGUCCUCAUCACAAACUUGUUCCACACUAAUGUCUUUAUUUCCCUUUUAUUUUUUAUUUAUAAUAGGCUUUUUUGGGUCUGAAUGCAACUCAAAAGUAGUUUUAAGUAGUUUUAUGUCAGCAAAUGCGACUGCUUUAGUAAGAUGGGCAUUUUGCAACUUGCUUAAAAGUAGGAAAUAUGGCAAUGCCUCUAAGACCAUUCAUUGGUUAGAUUAGUUUUGGUUUUUCACCUUUACAAGAAAUCAUGAACACUAGUGUAGGGACCCGCGCGAUGCAGCGGGUAUAUAUUACUGGAGUUAAAAUUUCGUUAGUGAGAGCUACUCUUAGUUCUAACUACAAUAUUUUAAACAAAAAAAGUAAAAAUAAGUAUAAAAAAAUAAUAAGUUAUAUUUCUAUAUAAAGUGAGGCAUAGGAAGUUAUAGCAAGUGGUGUGCUUUUCAACUAAAUCUUUAUGAAAAAGAUACAGAUUACAUAAGGAGAAGAAGAAACAGCAGAAUACGUAAAAAGGAGGAGCAGUAAAUUGCUAGCAAAAGAAGAAGAAGAGAAAAUAAAAAGGGUAGAAGAUGCAGCAGAGAAGCAGUAGGCAACAACUCUUGCCAAUUGUUUUCAAAACUAUUCAUUUGCUCUACUACAUCUUUUUUCUAGAUAAAAUUCCGAGAUAUAUGCAAUUCAUCCACUCAGUCUAAGUAUUAAGGAAAAAAUAAUUUCUCAAACACAAACUUCCGAAAAAUUUGUUGAGUUCAGAUAUUUACGCUUUUCUCAAUAUUUUUCUGAAACAAAACAACUUUCUUUCUUGGUUGCAAUAGAUUGCUCUACUAUCUAACUUUCUAUCAUCAUUGCUCUUCUUUAUUUUAGCAGAUUCUCAAAAUGUGUGCCAGAAAAAGCAUGAAGAUCAAAUUCAAAUGUUUUUUUUAUCGUCACCAAUUUUUAUAUAGAUGUAAUAGAAGCAGCAUAAGUGGAAGAAGUAGCAACAACAGCAGCAGGAGUGUAACUCGAAAAAAUGAUGUAAAAAAAAACCAGGGUUAAAAACCGACUCGAAUUGUCGAAUCCGAUCGAUCAGAUCCCCAAAAUCAGCGAAUUGGAUUUGAUGCAAAAUUCUCCCGAGCGUUGCAAUUGGUCAAAAAAUUUUCAAUUGAUCUACCCAAUAUGGCCAAUCGAAUUGCCAUCCAACUGAUCGGAUGGUUCGAAGUAGAAUUAUGAAGCUGAUUCCGACUGGUCAGAUUUUCGAUCAAUUAGAUUGUUCAUAGAGGAGGCACCCCAACACUGUUCUCAUUUGUAAUAGAAGUUCAUUUGCCUGGCCUAUUCAUCCUAUAAUGUUGUUAAAACCUCUUAAUUCAUGUUAAUCAUAAAUAUAAUGUGAUAGUAUAUAUAUAAUUAUUUUGUUGUUAUUUUUUCUCUUAUAAGAUAAACAUCAAUGCAUUAUGCAGGAUAACAUAAUAGCAAUAGUGGUCCUCAGCAUGAAAGGCUCAUAGUGUGAAAAAUGGGAUGCUGGGUUGUGAGAGAACAUAGGCACAAUUGUUGGUGGAAAGUGACUCAAAGCCUUAUAAGACUCUUCAACCAUUCCCGAUACGCCAAUUGAGAUGAUGACCACAAACCAGUAUUAACAUCAUAAUUGCCACCGACUGUCCCUAGAGCAAGUGGUAAAGGGCUUGGUGGUUGGUACCCGAGACCUAAGUUCGAAUCCUAGUUGAUUCACAUUUCCAGCUAAGUUUGUUUCUAAAUGAAAUAAACGAAGCGGGUAGCGUGCGUGCUAUCUAUCUCUCAAAAAAAAAAAAAAAAAACAUCAUAAUUGCCACAUUACCCAACCAUUAACUAAUUGGGAAAGAAUUGGAAUACUGAUUCAACUCAGUUUGUUAGUUUUGAUAAUCGUCCUUCUUUGUAGAAGAAGAAUGAGCAAUAGAAAUUUUUUAAAAAAAUAAUAGAAGAAGAUUAAAAUAACAUAUUUUUUUUCAAAUUUUUAACUUAACCUUUAAGAAGAUUUACAAUACUUAAGAAGGGGAAGAAAUAGAAGAAUUGAUAGCGCAAAAAGAAGAAGAGAAAAAAUAAAAAGAGCUGAAGAUGCAAUGCUCUUCAUACAAAUCAACUUUAUUAACAUUCUUUUUUAUAAAUAAUAGUCAAACCAUUAUCUAAUUGCUGCAGAACAUUAUAAAAUACAUCAAAAUCUAUUACUUUUCUACAUAUUUGAAUACACAGGGUACAAAUUAGUUCAAAAUGCAUUCAUGUAGAGAGAGAGUGGGAUACCUGCGAGAAGAUUUUUCAACGAUUGAUGGUGAAACUUUUCAUGUUUCCAUGAUCCAAAUCUGAUAGUAACCUUCAACCCAAAAAAAGAAAAAUCCUUUUAUUUUAAAAGUUCUAACAUAGCGGAAAAACAUCAUUUGUUAUUUUGAAACUAAAAUAGGUAAAAAAAAAAAAAAAAAAGUCUAAACGUACCUUGAGCAAGCUAGGAAUAAUAAUAAUAAAAAAAAAUCUAAACAUAAUUAAUAAUAAUCAUAUUUUUUUUGAGGGUGUGAAAGUGUGAGAGAGCAGCACCUUCAUUGUCUCUAUCUUUGUCGCGCUCCCCCUCGCCUGCCGGGCCCUACGCACUUUCGUCAUCGUCGACACCGACGCCCUCGCUGUUACCUCAUCGCCGUGCACUACCCCACCCACCCUCCAUCGGCCACGUCAUUAUGUGGAAUCGAACUUGAUCUCAACAAAGCCGAAGGCUUCAUACUGUGCCUCCGUGCAAGCACCACCAUGGUGGCCUUCGAGUGCGCCGAGUCGUUAGAGAAGAUGAAUCGUGGGUGAGGUCGAAGAUGGGAGGGACCUUCAACACAGUAGGGGUCAUCAAAUACAGUGGAGUGGAGGAAGCGCUGGAAAGGGUAGAUGGAACAACAAUGCAUCUAGCCCUGUUUUCUGUCGAGAGGGGCUUCAGUUUCAGAAAACGAAUAAACGGCUCGAGAAGAGGAAAAGCCCAUUUCAAAAAAGAAGAUUAAUAGUCAAAAAAAAAAAAUGAAGAAGAGUAACAGUCAAAAAAAAUAAAUGAAGAAAUGGCUCAAGAAAAGAAAAAGUCCAAUUCAAAAGAGAAGAGUAACAAGUCAAAAAAAGAAGGAAAGCAAGCAUAAAAAAACCCACAUCCUACUAUGAAGGUUGGGCUGCCACGUGGAUUAGUUUUUGAGGUUUAAUAUAGGGUUAUAGAUGAGCAAACUUAUGAUCAACAUAAUGUAUUUAGAUAAACAAUGCUGAAUAUGAUAGAAUAUCUCCAUUGAUGAUUUUCUUUUGUCUUAUAGUAUUUGCAAGUGUUGGGAUAUUGUCAUGCCCCGGCACUGAAGCCCUACUAGGAGCACACACAAACUUGCCGCACGGACAUAAUUUCCCUUAUAUAUGCACAGAGUUGAAGUGCAAAGCAUCCGGCAAUUUUCAUGAUUUGCAAAGAAAACAACCUUGGAAUGUAAACUUUAAAGCAAUACCAUGAGUGUUCACAAAAGCCAUCAAGUUUCCAAUAUACACAAGUCCAACUAUAGAGUUUAGAAUAUCAAUGUAACAAUUAACCAAAAAACAUCUAAACUAUUAAAAUUUACACGAGUCCCAACUACAGAGUUUUGAAGAAGAGAAUACAAAGAGAAUACAAAUUCUUCUUAUUCAUUCAAUAAUGAAUUACAAAGAUAUAUAUACAUAAAUAUUCCUAUAAUAAGAUAUUUAAUAAGGAAAGAUCUCUAAAGAAAGAUGCCUAAAACUAUGCUAGCUAAAUAGGAACAUAAUAUAUACAAUUUUGACUUUCCAUAACAUUUUGACUUUCCAUAACACUCCCCCUCAAGUUGGAGCAUAGAUAUUAAUCAUGCCCAACUUGUUACAAAUGUAGUCAACCCGAGCUCCAUUCAAAGCUUUUGUGAAGAUAUCCCCCAACUGGUCUCCAGUCUUGAUAUACCCUGUUGAAAUGAUCUUAUGUUGUAUCUUUUCACGAAUAAAGUGACAAUCAAUCUCAAUAUGUUUAGUUCACUCAUGAAAUACAAGAUUAUAGGCAAUAUGGAGAGUAGCUUGAUUAUCACACCAUAAUUUAAUGGGUUGUGGAUUCUUAAGACCAACCUCAUCCAAUAAUUGUUGUAUCCACAUUACUUCACACACAGAUUGUGCCAUAGCCCUGUAUUCCGAUUCAGCACUUGAACGGGAGACAACACUGCUUCUUACUUCUCCACGACACCAAGUUACCUCCAACAAAAACACAAUAUCCUGUAGUCGAUCUCCUAUCAACAUUUGAACCCGCCCAAUCUGCAUCUGAAAAGCAUUCAAUAUUUGAAUGUCCAUGGUUCUUGUACAAGAUACCACGCCCUGGAGCUCCCUUCAGAUAACACAAAAUUUGUCCCAAAGCUUCCCAAUGAGUAACAGUUGGAGAAGACAUAAACUGACUUAAUACACUGACGGAGUAUGCAAUAUCUGGUCGAGUCACUGUAAGAUAGUUCAAUUUGCCAACUAAUCUCCUAUGCCUCUCUGGAUCUUCAAACAAUUCAUCAUCAUUAGCUGUAAGUUGGAGAUUAGGAGCCAUUGGUGCACUGCAAGGUUUAGCUCCUAAUUUUCCUGUUUCUGUUAAUAAGUCAAGCACAUAUUUCUGUGAGAUAAGAAGAUGCCUCUUUUGCAUCUUGUAACUUCAAUACCCAAAAAAUACUUCAACAUCCCCAAGUCCUUUGUCUGAAACUGGGUUUGAAGAAAAAUCUUGAGAGAUGAGAUUCCUGCAGUAUCAUUCCCAGUGAUGAUAAUAUCAUCCACAUACACUACUAAUAGAAUUAUACCAGUCUCAGAAUGUCUAUAAAAUACAGAAUGAUCACACUUACUCUUCUUCAUGCCAAACUCCUAAACUACUUCACUGAAUCUGCCAAAGCAAGCUCAAGGACUUUGCUUCAAGCCAUAUAAAGAUUUCCGAAGUCUACAAACUCGACCUAACUUCCCUUGAGCAACAAAACCAGGUGGUUGCUCCAUAUAUACCUCUUCAUGAAGAUCACUAUGGAGAAAAGCAUUUCUAAUAUCCAGCUGGUGUAAAACCCAAUAAGAGGUGGCCGCCAACGAAAUAAAUAAGCGAACAGAAGCAAGUUUAGCCACAGGAGAAAAAGUGUCGGAAUAAUCAACCCCAUAAGUCUGAGCAUAGCCUUUGGCAACAAGGCGGGCUUUGAGGCGAGCUACAGAACCAUCUGGAUUCAUUUUCACAGUAAAUACCCAUUUGCAACCAAUAGCUCGCUUAUCGGCAGGUAAGGGUACCGGUUCCCAAGUACUAUUAGCGUCUAAAGCCAUCAUUUCCUCUUCCAUUGCAGCACGCCAGCCAGGAUGAGACAAAGCUUCCACAACAGAUUUAGGAACAGAAACUGACUUUAGAGAGGUAAUGAAACAACGAGAACAGGAUGACAAACAGUCAUAAGAAACAAAUGAUGAAAUAGGGUAAGUACACGUAUGUUUGCCUUUGCGAAGAGCAAUGGGAAGAUCAGAGUCAGAAGCAAGGUCGGUGAUAGUAGUGACUGGAUCUUCCGACGAAGAAGCUGUCAUAUGGUCUGUAGCAUCAGAAUGGUCGGUGAUAGUACACGUAUGUUACUCUAGUGGGAAGUAACAGUAGAAGAUGCUAUAUGAGACUGAAAGACAGAUUAAAGACUAGAGUUACCUGUCAUAUGGUCUGUAGCAUCAGAAUCAAUGACCCAUUUAGAAUGGGAAGACACAAGGCAUGAUGUGGAUUUACCUGACUCGGCGAGUGCAGUGACAGGGGAACUGGUGGACUUUAAGGAUGCCUGAUAUUGGGAGAACUGUGCAAAUUCUUCAGCAGACACCAAAACAGUUUUAUCUGAGGAUGGGGUUGUAUACUCCCCGGUUGCCAUGUUGGCCAUCUGAGAUCGUUGGUUCUUAUUUUGAAGUUUCAAACAUGUGCGCUUUGUAUGACCAGGUUCAUGACAGUAAUAGCAAACAACUCCAAAAUCUCGAUUAGAGGUAGUCUCUCCAUGACGGUGAUUACCUCUAUUGGCAAUAAUCCCUCUAUUGACCCCUCUACUAUUAUGCCGUCCAUUAUCAUUGCGACUCACAAGUGCGCUAUUAGUAGAUUGAGAAAAUUGAGGAGUCUCCGUACGAAGUACUCAGGUGAAAGUAUCAUGGAAAGAGGAAAUCUCAGAGCUAGAAAGAAUCUGAGAUUUAGUUGUCUCAAAUUCUGGGGGUAAACCAGCAAGAAAACUCAUAACCGCCAUUUGCUCGCGUUGAACCUGCUGCACUUUUACAUCAGGACUAAAGGGUAACAAAACAUUAAGCUCUUCAUACAUUGUUUAAUGUCAAGGAGUGAUCCUCGAAAUCCGAGGAUUAGACUUCGGUUUGGAAUCGACUGUUCGUUGAGUGCGCGUAGGCUUCGGAAAGUCCGAAGGUGAUUAUAAUGCAUAAAGUGCAUUAAAGGAAGUCGGAGAAGAACCUCGCUUUUGAUGUUAUCCCGCCAAACACCCCUAGGGCUGGAGAUAGAAGCGACUGGACCUCGAAGUGGUCGCUCCCGAGAUUCCGGCUCAGGCCUGGGAUGGCGCUCGUUAUUCAACGAACCUUAUUGGAGAGGUAUCAAGAAAUUGCAACCGCAGAUUCGAAUCUCCAAAAAGGUGCGGCGCAACAUCGAGGCAAGGAACGAGAUGGCGAUUUCAGUGUGGACGCCAGUGGCGCGCUCCGGUUUUCGAAACGGUGGUGCGUCCGCCCCGAGAAUGAAGAGCUUCGCGAGCUCGAUCUUGCCGGAAGCCCAACCGGUCUCCCAUAUCGCGGAUCACCGGCGGCACCAGAUGUAUCAUUGAGUUGAGAGCCUACUAUUGGUGCCGGGGGAUGAAGGUGAUAUUGGGCGCUUCGUGGCAAGAUGCUUGACUUGUCAGCAAGUAAAGGAGGAAGCGCCGGUUCUCCAGCGAGGAAGCUUCAAAGCCUACCUAUUCCCGUAUGAAAAUGGGAGAUAUAUUCUAUGGAUUUCAUCGUUGGCUUACCUCGCUCGACAGGGGACACGAUGCGAUCUGGUGAUUGUGGACGCACUUGACAAAGUCAGCGCACUUUUACCGAUCCACACCACCUGGGCGGGAGAUAAAGUUGGCGCAGUAUAUCUUGGACGAAGUAGUGAGGUUACACGGGGUGCGAAAUCGAUUGUGCUCGGAUAGAGACCCCAAGUUCACUUCAUAUUUCUGGAGAAGCCUACGGGGGCCCUUGGCACACGCGAUUGAUUUCGGUACUGCAUUUCAAUCCCCGACAGGACGGACACAACCGGAAAGAAACCAUUCAGACUCUGGAGGAUAUGUUGCGACGCGUGUGUCAUCGAUUACAAAGGAGGUUGGUGUAGGUAUUUGCCAAUGGCCGAGUUCGCCUACAACAACAGUUAUCACGCUAGUGUGGAGAUGGCACCGUUCGAAGCUCUUUAUGGGCGGAAGUGCCGCUCUCCCAUUUAUUGGAGUGACGUGGGCGAGCGCACGGAAUUUGGCCCUGAGGUGCUGCGGGAGGCGGAAGAAAAGGUCCGCCUUGCUCGCAAACGAUUACUCACGGCGCAGUCUCGACAACAAAGCUAUGCGGAUAGGCGCCGACGAGAUUUAGAGUUUGCGGCGGGAGACCGCGUCUUCUUGAAGGUCUCGCCUAUGAGGGGUGUAAGGCGAUUUGGAGUUCGGGAAAAAUUGAGCCCCCGAUAUAUUGGCCCCUAUGAGAUCUUGGAGCGGAUUGGGACGGUGGCUUAUCAGCUCGCGUUGCCGCCGAAGCUAGCGGAUGUGCACAAUAUUUUCCACGUCUCCAAUCUACGCAAAUACAUUCCUGACCCCGAACACGCGAUGUUAUACGAGCCGUCGGAACUUCAGGAGGACCUGAGCUACGAGGAAUUCCCAGUGGCAAUUACCGCUCGUGAAGUGCGCAAGUUAAGGAAUCGGAAAAUUUCUUAUGUCCGAGUCCGGUGGAGCAAUCACGAUGAUCGCGAAGCCACCUGGGAGCUCGAGGAGGAAAUGAAGGCGAAUCACCCUCGCCUGUUCGAAGGUUAAAUCGAGGUAUGAGUUUAGAAUUUGGAAUUCUAGAUAAGUCUUGUAGUAUUGAGUUCGUUUCGAGGACGAAACUCUUUUAAGGUGGGAAGGAUGUAAGGAAGUGAAUCAUCGAAAUCCGAGGAUUAGACUUCGGUUUGGAAUCGACUGUUCGUCGAGUGCGUAGGCUUCGGAAAGUCCGAAGGUGAUUAUAAUGCAUAAAGUGCAUUAAGGAAAGGUCCGCGGGAGCAUCAGUGCAAAAUCUGCACUGGAGCAGAAUUGCUCUCGGGGACCGGUCCCUGGCAGGGAGGGACCGGUUCUAUCAGGCUGGGCUGCGGAGGUCUCUGAUGAGACCGGUCCCUGGCAGGCAGGGACCGGUUCCCGAACGUCAGCCCGGCGAGAAUAGCCAAAAUUUGGCUAAGUCCCGAGAAUCCAACUUUCGGGAACCGGUCUCUCGGACAAGGACCGGUCUGUCAGGCAAGGACCGGUUCCCGAACGCGAAAAUCCCUCUGCCCGAGAUGGCAGCCUUCGGGGACCGGUCUCCCCGAGCUGGGACCGGUCCCUCACUGCGAAAAUGCCCAAAGAGGGCUGGUUUGAAGGAUGAAAAGUUGAGGGGGCUAUCUGCAAAAUGGCCUUUAAUAGAGGUGGGGGACCCCUCUCUUUCCCUCAUUGCUCUCUAACUCUCUCACUCUUUCCCUCUCUCUCUCUAGAAAGAAAAGAAAGAGAAGAAGAAGAAGAAGAAGAAGAGAAAAGAGAAGGAGAAGAUCAAGAAGAAGGAGAAGAUCAUCUUCUUCCCUCUCUCCUUCAAGCUAGGGCAAGCUUGGAGCUUGGCUUAGAGGUAAGCUCCAAACCCACUCAUGGUAGAUUUCUUAGGAUUGGGUUUUAUUGCUUACAAUUGGUUCAAAUGGAACCUAGAGGAGAUGAAUAGGUGGUUCGGGCUUGCAAUCGAAGCUUGCACCACGGAUUUCCCCCUCGUUGCCAUUCUAGGGCACGGAUUCGGGAUUUUUGGAAAUCGAGGGUCUUGAUCUAUUCUAAUAGGUCGCAAAUCUAAUUGCUAGGUCCCGGAACGCGUCGGCGAAGUCGGUUUUUCGAUCCGACGAGCNNNNNNNNNNNNNNNNNNNNNNNNNAUUGCAACGACCCGACCCGCUAGCAAUAAUAACUCGUUGGGCCAAACCACUGGCCCAAAAUGCUUAAGCUCAGUUAUUACUAUUAGCGUGUAGGUCUCAUAUAAGCUGAUCGGAAUCAGUAUCCCAUCCAAUGUAGGACUAUUGGGGGUGUUACAAACUCCCCCUGUUUAGACCCUAACGUUCUCGUCGGGUCCAAACCAGAUCACAGACAGACAGACCAGGACCAUUACCAGGCGAUGUGAGAUUCUAGAGGUGGCUCCUAUGGGUUCAAGAGGUGGCUCCCACCAAACCCGUUGGUGUAGCACUUUGUCCCGCAUAGCACUUAGUUCUCACACUUCCGGUUGGUAUUCGGCCCUGAUACCAAUUGCAACGACCCGACCCGCUAGCAAUAAUAACUCGUUGGGCCAAACCACUGGCCCAAAAUGCUUAAGCCCAGUUAUUACUAUUAGCGUGUAGGUCUCAUAUAAACUGAUCGAAAUCAGUAUCCCAUCCGAUGUGGGACUAUUGGGGCGUUACAAACUCCCCCUGUNUGUCGAUUCUUGCAUCUUGUAUUAUUGCAUUAUAGGAUGAUUGUGCAUUGCCUUUCCUUAUGCUUUCCUUGAUGAUAUCGUAGCAUGUAUUGGAUACUUGAUAUAGUGGAUCGAUAAGGAUUGGGUCGAGAUUGUGAAUCCUAUAGUGCAGAGAAAAUGAUGGGCUCAAUGGUUGGUCUAAUGAUGAACAAAGAACGGGUGGCAUCUAGUCAAUAGUAAACCAUGAACGAGUGGCAUUUAGUUGAUAGUAAGCAAAAGAACAAAUGACACAUAUGACCGUAUCGUUUUGGGUUUCCAGAAAUGUACGACUUGGCACUGGAAGCCUCCGCCGCUCAUCUGUUUCCUUCGAACAUCUGAGGCAACAAAGGCAGCUAGCCAACAAGGCUCUGGGACAAUUUUCAGGGUAUUCACACAGCCGCAAGUGAAUCCCAACUCAAGAAACGCGUUCCGCCGGCAGUUUUGCUGGAAAAUGCCUCGAAACCAAUUUUCGGUUUCAUGAGGACUUCAGAGACUUGGACAAUCAGUCCCAGGGGGUCACAGUCGGUGGCUUCACGCUGCCCGAGGCAGCCUAUGCUGUCACAAUUGAGUAGAAGCCCCUAUACUACCAAUAAUUGCAUAAUAUAUACAUAAAAACAGUGUUUCAAGGCCGUUACUGAAAACCGUGCAACUUCGAGACCGAGGGUACCAGCGGGUAGGUCUUGAUGCAACAAACCCUGUGCUCGCUGUCCGAAGCACAAACGAUGGCCGAGGAGCGCGCCGGGUCGACGAGAGCUCUGACUAAAACUCCACUGGGAGCGACACGGUUGUUUCUGCCAACCAGAGCCUCUUCGACAGCAACUAGGGUGAGCACUGUGAUGUAACACCCCCAAUAGUCCCACAUUGGAUGGGAUACUGAUUCCGAUCAGCUUAUAUGAGACCUACACGCUAAUAGUAAUAACUGGGCUUAAGCAUUUUGGGCCAGUGGUUUGGCCCAACGAGUUAUUAUUGCUAGCGGGUCGGGUCGUUGCAAUUGGUAUCAGAGCCGAAUACCAGCCGGAAGUGUGAGAACUAAGUGCUAUACGGGACAAAGUGCUACACCAACGGGUUUGGUGGGAGCCACCUCUUGAACCCGUAGGAGCCACCUCUAGAAUCUCACAUCGCCUGGUAAUGGUCCUGGUCUAUCUGUCUGUGAUCUAGUUUGGACCCGACGAGUACGCCAGGGUCUAAACAGGGGGAGUUUGUAACACCCCCAAUAGUCCCACAUUGGAUGGGAUACUGAUUCCGAUCAGCUUAUAUGAGACCUACACGCUAAUAGUAAUAACUGGGCUUAAACAUUUUGGGCCAGUGGUUUGGCCCAACGAGUUAUUAUUGCUAGCGGGGUCGGGUCGUUGCAAUUGGUAUUAGAGCCGAAUACCAGCCGGAAGUGUGAGAACUAGUAUGCUAUGCGGGACAAAGUGCUACACCAACGGGUUUGGUGGGAGCCACCUCUUGAACCGUGUAGUCCUGGUCUUUCUGUCUGUGAUCUGGUUUGGACCCGACGAGGACGUCAGGGUCUAAAUAGGGGGAGUUUGUAACCCCCAAUAGUCCCAAUUGGAUGGGAUACUGAUUCCGAUCACUUAUAUGAGACUACACGCUAAUAGUAAUAACUGGGCUUAAGCAUUUUGGGCCAGUGGUUUGCCCAACGAGUUAUAUUUGCACGACCCGACCCGCUAGCAAUAAUAACUCGUUGGCCAAACCACUGCCCAAAAUGCUUAAGCUCAGUUAUUACUAUUAGCGUGUAGGUCUCAUAUAAGUGAUCGAAUCAGUAUCCCUCCAAUGUAGGACUAUUGGGGUGUUACAAACUCCCCCUGUUUAGACCAACGUUCUCGUCGGGUCCAAACCAAUCACAGACAGACAGACCAGGACCAUUACCAGGCGAUGUGAGAUUCUAGAGGUGGCUCCUUAUGGGUUCAAGAGGUGGCUCCCACCAAACCCGUUGGUGUAGCACUUUUCCGCAUAGCACUUAGUUCUCACACUUCCGGUUGGUAUUCGGCCCUGAUACCAAUUGCAACGACCCGACCCGCUAGCAAUAAUAACUCGUUGGGCCAAACCACUGGCCCAAAAUGCUUAAGCCAGUUAUUACUAUUAGCGUGUAGGUCUCAUAUAAACUGAUCGAAAUCAGUAUCCCAUCGAUGUGGGACUAUUGGGGCGUUCAAACUCCCCGUUUAGACCCUGGACGUCCUCUUCGGGUCCAAACCACAUCACAGACAGACAGACCAGGACCAUUACCAAGCGAUGUGAGAUUCUAGAGGUGGCCCUACGGGUUCAAGAGGGUGGCUCCGCCAAACCCGUUGGUGUAGCACUUGUCCCGCAUAGCACUUAGUUCUCACACUUCCGGCUGGUAUUCGGCUCUGAUACCAAUUGCAACGACCGACCCGCUAGCAUAAUAACUCAUUGGGCCAAACCACUGGCCCAAGUUAUUACUAUUAGCGUGUAGGUCUCAUAUAAACUGAUCGAAAUCAGUAUCCCAUCCGAUGUGGGACUAUUGUGGCGUUACAAACUCCCCCUGUUUAGACCCUGACGUCCUCUUCGGGUCCAAACCCCAUCACAGACAGACAGACCAGGACCAUUACCAAGCGAUGUGAGAUUCUAGAGGUGGCUCCUACGGGUUCAAGAGGUGGCUCCCACCAACCCGGUGGCUCCACCAAACCCGUUGGUGUAGCAUUUGUCCCGCAUAGCACUUAGUUCUCACACUUCCGGCUGGUAUUCGGCUUCUGAUACCAAUUGCAACGACCCGACCCCGCUAGCAACAAUAACUCGUUGGGCCCAAACCACUGGCCAAAAUGCUUAAGCCCAGUUGUUCUUAUUAGCGUGUAGGUCUCAUAUAAACUGAUCGAAAUCAGUAUCCCAUCCGAUGUGGGACUAUUGGGGCGUUACAAACUCCCCCUGUUUAGACCCUGACGUCCUCUUCGGGUCCAAACCACAUCACAGACAGACAGACCAGGACCAUUACCAAGCGAUGUGAGAUUCUAGAGGUGGCUCCUACGGGUUCAAGAGGUGGCUCCCGCCAAACCCGUUGGUGUAGCACUUUGUCCCGCAUAGCACUUAGUUCUCACACUUCCGGCUGGUAUUCGGCUCUGAUACCAAUUGCAACGACCCGACCCGCUAACAACAAUAAUUUGUCCCAAAAUGCUUAAGCCUAGUUAUUAUUACUAGCGUCUAAGUCUCUUAUAAACCCAAUGACAAUCCAUUCCCAUCCGAUGUGGGAUUAUUGGGGUGUCACAUGUGAUCAAUGGCACAUCAGGGUCACUAUGCUUACUUUUGGAGAGUUAAUGGCCUCUUGGAAUGCCGGAAUAGAAAGAUCGGUCCAGUUCAGCCCUAGAUCGGGCUUGGUAGGGAGCAAUCUUGCUCGGGCCAAACUCCUGCAGCACCGCGGCACGCUUGUCGGCAAGGGUCAGGUGCACUCGACAAGGGGGGUGGCGAUAAGGGGUCCUCCGGGAUUGACGGGAGGCGAUGACAGCGGCAACGGCGAGAGGCGGCGCAAAGAGUGCGGCUGCCUUAGCCCGAAACUGCAUCAAAAUUGGGUGCUGCGGCCGCGGCGGCGCUUGGUGGCGCCUGGGGUUGCCGGAGCAAGGUCGCCGGAGCCCUGGGGGAUGGGACGUCUCCAAGGGGCGCGGCCUUCCUCAGGUGUCUUCGGUUCGGAAAUGGGGUGAGAUGGAGAGGAGAUAGAUUGAGGGAGAGGGAGGAGAUGGGUAGCCGUGGUUUGGCCGGCUGGGCUACGGUCGCUGACGGUUGGGGGUGGGUGCGACACAAGCAGAGGGUGAGGAAGGGGCGGGUAGGGUUCGAAGAAGGUGAGGGGAAAGGGUUUCAUUUAGAGAAGAAACCCUUGGUGCUCCAUUAUGUAAUUUGGGAUAAAUUGCGCAUAACUCCACCAAACUUCAAUAUUUUUUCCCAAGUCCCUCACUGCACGUGUAAAACGCGCAAAGGCACCUCCACAUGCGAUUUCACGCAAUUUGGUACAUAAAAUAUUGGGAGUUUUUCAAAAACAUCAAUUUCCCAAUAUUGCCCUCUCCUCGGAAAAUGCAAAAUUUCGGACGACACGCUCGUCGGAUUUGCAAAUGGAUUGCACUAGCACCUCCGGCACUGCCAGACCAUCAGAUCUACAUUUUCGUUUCGCCUGAAUCAGUUGUCGAUUCGCGAAGAACCCAUCCCCUCUCGCCUCUCUCUAUAUAAUAUAUAUAUAAUUCAAAUUCAAAUUUAAAUUCAAUUCAUAUUUCCUUCAAAUUAAAAAUCUUGGAUAUUACAUGCGCGGUGGUUAGGCCCAAGAGGUUAAGAAGGUUAAGUAUGCUAAAACUGGAGUAGUUUUAGAAUGGGUGACGCCCCGGAAAGAGAGUUAAGUGUGAUAGGACUAGAGUAGUCCUAGGAUGGGUGACCCUCUGGGAAUUAGGGCGUCACAACAUGCUUCUAACUCCUAAGGCUUGCCAUAGGAUGGGAUCAUGUCACACACCAAACCUGAUACAUAAAAGACACCGCAUACCUACCAUUUUUUAAUUACAAACAUGCAAGACAACAAAAUAUGUAGAUAUCGAUAAAAAAUUUUCUACUUGAGAUCAAAUUGAAAUCCAAAGAGAACUUCAAUAAUCGAUUAUCCACAAAACUAAAAUCCAUAGGGCUUUUUUUGCAUAUUGCCCCAUGGCAAAUUUUUAUUUUAAAAAUAGCCUUAAAAUUUAAUUUGUAAAAAUGGCCCUGCGCCUGCCACGCAGGCGCCACAUCAGCGCCACACGGGCGGGGCCAGGGCCAAUGUGUUAAGUUAAACACGGUGAACCAUUCACCGUGUUUAGACAUGGUGAAUGGUUCACCAUGUUUACUACGUAUAUUUUAUAUGUUGAAAAGAGGAAUAAGGAGUAGGGAUGUCAAUAGGUAUGGAUAUCCGAAAUAUUAUCCGAGCCCAAACUCGAAUAAAUUAUAUAUAUAUAUAUAUAUACACAUAAUUUAAUUUUAUUUAUUUAUACAAUAUAUAAAAUAUUUAACCGUUCCUUAGAUCUUCAUCCAGCGGUUAAAUAUUUUAUAUAUUGUAUAAAUAAAUAAAAAUAAAUUAUGUAUAUAUAUAUAUAUAUAUACACAUAAUUUAAUUUUAUUUAUUUAUACAAUAUAUAAAAUAUUUAACCGUUCCUUAGAUCUUCAUCCAGCGGUUAAAUAUUUUAUAUAUUGUAUAAAUAAAUAAAAAUAAAUUAUGUAUAUAUAUAUAUAUAAUUUAUUCGGGUUUGGGCUCGGAUAAUAUUUCGGAUAUCCAUACCUAUUGACAUCCCUACUCCAUAUUUCUCCUUUUAACAUACAAAAUAUACAUACUAAACACGGUGAACCAUUCACCGUGUCUAAACACGAUGAAUGAUUCACCGUGUUUAACUUAACACAUUGGCCCUGGCCCUGCCCGUGUGGUGCUGACGUGGCGCCUGCGUGGCAGGCCCAGGGCUAUUUUUGCAAAUUAAAUUUUGACGGGGCUAUUUUUAAAAUAAAAAUUUGUUAGGGGGCUAAAUGCAAAAAAAGCCCAAAAUCCAUAACUAGAAGUUUCACAAUACUCAAAUUUUUUAAAUUCAUGAAAAAUUUCAACAAUUCUAAAUUAAACAAGUAACUUCUAUUUCAGUCAGAUGUUAAAUUUCAAAGCUAUCUAAACUAUAUAAAUUUAUUAACGGAAGUCCAAAACAAAUCAGCGUCUCAGCAACUAGCUAUCACUCAAUCCCAUCCUCUACAAGAUGAUCAGACAUAGUACCUAGGUGGGCAACUAUUUAUUACAUUAGUCGGAUUAAGCUUGGAAAACAAAAUAUGUUCUAAAUAUUCAAAUGUAAUUUUGUUACUAAAAAUAUAAUAACGAUGAUAGGGUUUAGCAAAAUUUCACAAAUCUCAUUUCAAAAUUUCAAGUCUUAAAACGAUCAUCUUAUACAAAAAUAAGAAGAGGAAUGGACUCCGAUAACUAGCGACCCAUUGGCAAAGAUCGUCAGCACACAUUAGAAGCACCCAAAGGCGUGAUCACAAAGCAAAAGCACCUGAAGGUAUUCCUAAAUAGCUCCCAAAGGCCCGCCCAAAAAAAAACAAAUGAAGACACGACACAAAAUUGCACUUAGAGGUGCAUUACAAAAUCAAAGCUAACUUCUAUUACAAAAUUCAAGCUAACUUCUAUUACAAAAUUUGUGUCGACAUGGCCAACAUCAUUAUAACAAUACCACAAGAGAUCACAAUUUCAAAAUAUUAUUUACCUAUUCAACAAUUUCAACGAAAACAAAUAAUUGAAUACUUUACCAAAUAGGCACAAUUUUCAAAGUACACAUUUUAAAAUUACUCAAUGAUUGAACAAAUCAUUUCACAAAUCCUUCAUUUUCGAUGAUUUAUAGUCUAUACAAACAUGCUCAAUCCUUAUUUUUGAAAAAAAGUAAGCCAAAAAGGUUUUUUUUCAUCAUAACUCAUCUUUAUAGUUUUAUCGAUAAUAAACUAACAGGAGUUAGGUCACUUAUUAUCAUGCCCUAGGCCAUAGCGGCUCGGACGCGUGAACAGAUUCGCUGUAUGUACGAGGACACACCCCACACAUAUGAAACGACUAAAAACAACUUGUACAACAAACAACAAGUCUUAAGAGAUUACAACUAGCAAGUAUCAAAGUCAAUAAAUAAACAAUUAAACAGAUAUAAUAAUCCAUGUACAAGUGUGUAUCCACAACUAUACAUCCAUACAUCUCCCAAAAAGUACAAUAUGCGAAACUUUGGCCUCGCCAAUCCAAAUGUAAAGUCUGCUACACGAGCUAGGGGUCCUCCUCUAUGCCACACAACCAGGGUAGAAGAUGCUAUCUACCUCGCAUCCCCUUACCCCGGCAAGAAGUAGAUGUUGAGGAUUCUGAAGUAGAAAAACAACAAAAUGGAGGGCAUGAGAACUACUGAAUAGUAGUCUCCAUUGGAUACAGUCAACGACAACGAUGACCUACACUACUAGGUCUACUAGAGGAAAUAAUAGAGAAUGACCCGAGUACAAUAGGAUAUAACUGAACCGAUAAUAAUACUAUCUAUCAUGCCUUUACAACAAAUAUUGGAAAGUGGUAAAUGACCAUCUCAUGCAUCAACUAAAUAAAGUAUGCAAUAUAACCCAAUCAUAUAUUGACCGACUCGGUAGUCCAAUCAAGCCGGCGCAGACUUAUUUCCAACACCUAUCUAUAGUGGCCCGCUACCAUGCGGGAUAAUGUCUUUGUCUCAAUCUCAGCCAAUCUCCGGAGUGGCACUCUGUGGGCACAGCUCUAAUUGAGUAUAAUAACAUCUCAAACUAUUUAGUUCGAUGUGGCUAGCAGGCUAUAGUUAUGAUGCGAUGAUCAACUAGAUCAUGAAGGAUGCUGUCCCAAUGCGCUUGGCACAAACACAUUAUAUCUCAUUAUAACCAUCGGCUACUAGCUCUUAGGGCAUAUUGAUAGUUGACAUACCAGUAUAAAAUUAACAUGUACCUAUAUCAUGCUCUCAAACACCAAUAUAAAAUUAACAUGUACCUGUAUCACGCUUAAUGAUGGUCUUAAGAGAAGCAAUCUUCUCUUCCAGUUCUUUGUGAGUGACCUUCUUCGUUUGAUUUGCUGUAGCCGACUGUUUUAUUUUUCUGUUCAGCCACGGCACGGGGUUUGAACCGCCCGCUUCGUCAUCGCUCUUUAUGGGCGGAUAAGGCGGCCGCUGCACAGGCUGCCUCCACGUAUUCGACCUUAUCUCAUUCGUUUCUUCCCAUUGGUUUCUUGCCUCAGCUUGUAUUCUUUGUUUGCGCCGUUUUUGUGUCUUCAUUAACAUCGGCCCAUGCCACCUGGCUGGGGCCUUUGCCAUGACCUGCUGGUCGGUUGGCACGUUGGCUAGUAUCUUCACUGUCGUGAGGUGCUCCCUCAGGAUUUCUCUCCUCUCCCAGGGUCUCGGCCAUGACUGAAUGCCGAGUUCGUUCACUAGACUCCGACGGAGGAAUUCUAUACUCCCUCGGUCAUUCCCUUAAACUCUAGUUUGGGUCUCGUUCUAGGCAGCUGGUGUCACGCCCCAAUUCCCGCCAAUUUGGUCGGGUUCGAGUCACGUCAACAGACGCCGAACGGACAGCAUCUCCCCUGUCCGCCCAAGGCUCUAACAACAAGUAUAAUUAAGCAAACAACAAAGAGAUUUUGCAAUUAUACAAGGCUUGCACGAGGGCAAGCAACAACGGAAGCAAAAGCUCUAAUCUAAAAUAUACAACCAUACAUGAUAUUUGAUUACAUUUCAACCAAAUACAAGUAAACUACAACUAUUAUAUUCUUUUUCCAUUCAACCAUAAUUUUUUACAUUUUUGUCAUUCUCCAAAAUAUAUGAUAUGUUUUCAACUUUACAAUUCUAAAUCAACAAAAUAAAAGUUGAUACAUAUAGGCAAAAGGAAUGACUAAUGCAUAAGUCCGGUGGCCACUAGCUAUGGCGCAAUACCCUUGCCUCCGUCCUCCGCCGCCCAGCUCGUGCUCGGACCUGUAGGGUUAGUGGUGUGAGAACUACAACGAAGUUCCCAGUGGGUUUGGCAACCGACCUCGCCGACUUACCCACUAGGUCUAAUUCAGGCAUAAGUAUUUCAAAGGAAAGAAAAUAGUAACCAUACUUGUAAUAUACCGAAAAUUCGGAAAAUAAAUAUCGAACUUUAGUCAAAUUGACCAAAGUGCGAGGACGGUACACUUCGGAAAGUCCGAAGGUGUUAAAAUGAGUAAAAGUGAGUUACGGGAGGUUUUCGAGAGCUAUAGAAUCAAAUUUGCAAAACUGCAGAUUUUGAGCUCUCGGGGACCGGUCCCUGGUGGGAGAGACCGGUCCCCGAACGCGUAUGGAAUGAGAUUGCCGAAAAAUCGGCUAAGUCCCUGAGACCAGCUCUUGGGAACCGGUCCCUCCCCGAGAGACCGGUCCCCCAGAGACCGGUCUCCUCAAAGAGAGACCGGUCGCAUUGCGCGCAGCAGCUUCGGCUGCGCUGGGAGAGCUCUCGGAGACCGGUCCUUAGUCGGGGAGACCGGUCCCCGAGCCCGAAAUUUGCCCAGUCCAGGCAGUUGAAUAAGAUGAAAGUUGAGGGGUUUAUUUGCAUUUUUGCAACCCAUAGGUUAUGUAGAGGGCUGAGAGAGCCUUUUCUCUCAUUCUCUCCCUCACACACACUCCCUUCUCUCCCUCUCUCUCUCUAGAAGACAAAGAAGAAGAAGAAGAAAGGAAGAAAAGAAGGAAAGGAAGGAGAAGAAAGGGAAGAAGAGAAUCAAAGAGCAAAGGGGCUUCAUCUUCUUCCUCUCUAGUGCAAGAAAGGAGAGCUUACAAGGUAAGCUUUGAACCCUAAUGUAGUAAAACCCUAGAAAUGGGUUUGAAUAAACCUAGAAAUGGAUUGUUUAGAGUUUUUAAAGCUUUCUCUUUGCUUCUUUAGAGAUCAAAACCUUGGUUUGCUAUAGAGGUGAGCUUGGACCACCUCUCAUGGUGAAAUCCAAACUAGGGUUUGGAGUGAGCUAGGGAUAGUUCUAAUGGACUAUUUAGAGUAUAAUGAAGCUACUUUCGCUUCUCUUAGAGAUCAAACCCUAGGUUUUGAUAUACAUGGGAGCUAGGGCACCCAAAUUGGGGCUUUUGCUCAUGAGGGUUUCUAAGUGCAAUUGGCCCUCUAGAAACCUAAUUGGGGGUAUUUCCGACGCGUUGGCUUGCGCGCUCGGAUUAACGUUCACGAAAAGCCGAUGCAAAGUUAUGGCCAAAUAAGCCUAAUUUGGCUUCGUUAUGGCCGCAGGUAAAGAACGAAGGGUCUAAAAUCCUAAGAAAAUCGUCGGAGCACCUAGAUAGACCCUCGAGGGUGGUGCUUCUCAAACUCAUUGAACUUCUCUCUAUGCCUAAUGUGUCAUUCAAUUGAGCAUAUGUAUUAUCUGUUGCAUGCAUUUUAGGUAAAGUGAUGAUGGGAAAUGCGAUAUUGCAUGAUUGUGAGUACAACUUGCAUAAUAUGAUGAAUAGAACCUUAAGAAUGUCGGAAACCCUAUAUGUCUGCAUGAGAGAAAAGUGAGCACCCAAAAUAGAGCAAAACAGAGUGACACAAUGACAUAGAUCGAGUGCAUUUGAUAAGUUAAAGUGAAAUGACACUAGAGAUAGUGUGAGGAAAAGAACCAUUGUAAUGUAAAGAAUCAUGAAAAUGACAAAAAUGUGUAAAGUAAAGUAAAGUGGGGCAAUGAGAAUAAGUAUUGUUAAUGAACAAGAAUGCUAGUGUUAGCAAGAGUAGAAAAAUGUAAAGAAUGUGAUUGCCAUGAGUUUGCAACGUAAAGUGAUAUAAAGAACACUAGAGCUAGUGGAAAGUCAAGAUUGACUUAUUAAUCCUUUGAGUUAAGGAUAUGAUCACACUUGCUAUGAGUUCCGUGCUCGAGGCGGUCGCUCCCCCUCGGGCGAUGCGCCCGGAGUUUUGCAUCACGGGUGGAGUACCCGAAGGACGGUCCUAGCUGGUGAGUUCCUGCGUGAUGGACUUAAUGUGAAGCAAGUUAAUGUGGCAAACUCGGACCGUUAGCUUGAGAUUAAAGAACAAAGAACAAAGAGCAAAGAAUAAAGAACAAAAGUACCAAGUAAAGUCAAAGAACGAAUGAGUUUUCAUAAUCUGCAUAUAUUAAUGUUAGCAUACUUCUUGCUAUUUCGUUCAGCAUAUUAGCAUCAUGUUAUAGAUUGGUUACUAUUACCUGCUUAUCCUUUCUAUUACUAGUUAGUCCUGUGGGAAAGUCGGUGAUGUUGAGGCCGAACCCACUGGGAACUUUGUUGUAGUUCUUCCACAGAGCCUGGGAUCCGAGCGAGCCGGCGAGGCGACCGCGUUAAAGGUAUCGCACCGUAGUCAGAGGCACCGGCAGUUCGAGUGUUACAUUUUCGUUAGCCAGUAAUCCCUUUUUAUCAUCUUUUGUAUUAUGAUAUUCAAGAGGUUAAUGAUAUAAGGCAAGAAAGAAUGUAAAGCUUAUUUUGGUAUAUUGUCAGCCCCGAGACCGCUGCCAAUUUGGUCCGGCCCGGGCGCGUCAAAACAGACGCCGAACGAACAGGACCUCCCUGUCCGCCCAAGGCUAACCAACAGAUCAUGUAUAAGAAUUACCCAGGAAUUAAUUCAUGAAUACACGAUCAAGAAGCACCACCAGUGCAACAGACGAGAGCAAGAUACAAGUAUAAAAAUAAUAUACAAGUACAUAAAGAGAGAAGAUACUAUCUAUUACCAUUCAUUAGCCUUUAUAUAUACAAUUUGAUUAACAUUAAGUUUCUUAACAUAAUAAAAGCUUACAUCUUCCAAAUAUAAACAUUAGCUUACAUUCAUCCCAAAAUAGCUCACAACCUAUACAUCAUCUACUCUCAAUGCAUAUAACGGUGACUCUAAUGCAGAAAUAGGAAAGUAACUAAUGCAACUAGGGCGCUAGCCCUUACCGCGAUCCUCGCCGUGUGAACUCGCGCUCGGCUGUAGUAAAAAUGGGGGUGAGAACUAACUCCUUAGUUCCAGUGGGUUCGGCCGCCGACUCGCCGAUCUCCCACUAGGUCCAAGUGGGCACAAGUAGAUAAUCGAUAGAUAGAUAGAUAAGGAAAGCGGUAAACUGACAGCAGUAAGCUACGCUACUAGCCCAAUCAUAAAUAUAUGAAUGCAUGUACAAUGAAAUGGAUAAACAACAAUCCAUUAUCAUGUCCAAAGGUAAAGUUAUUUACUCGUUCACCAAUCUUUCAUACUUGUUUCUAAAUCUCGGCCUCCCGAAAGGCCUGCUGCUCACUAGCCAUCUCGAAGGUAGGGAGGUCAACGCGCACUACGAACCGAGACCGUCUGCGGGGCCUAAAAUAGGCAAUCCCUGGGACCCGAAAUCGGCAAUCCCACGUGACCAACUCCGGAGCGCCAUACUUGUUGGGGCUUCCAUCACAAGAUUUAAAACAGACCGUGAGCAUGAUCCAAUCCUCGUCUCGAGAAUACCCUAUCCUUUAUGGUUACAACCAUCAUAGGAGUCCAUAGUUUCAUAUACACUAUGACUCACAUAUGCCAUUUGUUCUUUUGUUUACUAUCAACUAGAUGCCACUCGUUCUUUACAAGUUUCCAAUGCAAUAGCCAAUGCAUUAUUAAAUUCCAUCCACACUUAUCAUCUCAUUAUAUUCCACAUCACAUUAUAUAACCUCAAGCAUGCUAAUAUAAGUAUUAAGCCAAAUACAUUAUUCUACCAAAGAACAUGCAAGGUAUAGGACCAAACCAUCAUUUAUCACCCUAUAAUGCAAGAUGUCAAUAUGUCAAUAUGCCAAUUUGAUCAAUAUAAAACUAUAGACAUAAAAGGGAGCCCGAUUGCUUCGGGAUGGACACCACCCACCUUUUAUUGGCUAUCACGAGGGCUAGGGUUCCAAUUUCGUGAUUUUUGGAAGCUUUCGCCGCAAGUGUGCGGCAAUCUGUACCUUAACGGCUUCUCUUUAAUAUCUUCGCGUACGUUCGUCGUAUCGCCGAAUCGACUUCGCC